AAACAUGAUAUCAGUAUCAAACUUUUGAACAAAGAGUUCAGCAUCAAGUCUCAGUCAUCUGGAGAUUUGAAUGCCCAAAUAUAUUCACAUGCUCAUACAAUAACAUUUUAAAAAUGCAUUAUGCAAUAGAAACAGAACAUCAAACUGACAGAGAAAACAUGCUGAUGCAGAAAAUACUCAAGUCGUAGAAAGGAGAACGCAUGAAAGUCCACACAUUAAACCAAAAGAAACACAAAUGGGCAAGCAAACAUGCGCCCUUACUUCUGGAGGCUUGUACGAUAAUGGGCAAGCAACAUUGUUUUUUUGAGGUUCGCACAGUAAUGACUAAAUACACAACAUGACAUUACUCCUGUGCUGUCAACAAUUCUUCUAACUUCUUCAGCAAUGUGAAGCCAAUUUGUAUCCCAUUGCCAAUGGAACAGUUGGAAUUAUUUCCCACCAAAUCUAAAACAUAUUCGCAGCACCAACCUUGAAAUCAUGUAACAGUUAACCACCAUUCAACAUGAGAUUGUUCUGCUAGGAAAACAUGAUAUCAAACUUUUGAACAAAUAGUACAGCAUCAAGUCCAAAUAUAUUCACAGCUCAAAGACAUGAGUCUCCAUCUUCUUUCCACCCCAUAUUUCUGGUCCACUCUCUAUUAAUGCUUGAAUCUUCAGCUACUUCAGGUACCUGUAAACCAAUUCAAGCAUGGCAUGCUCAUUUAACUUGUAAUCUUAUUAUUGAGAGAAACAAGAAACAAACAUACUAAAAGAGAGGCAAGAAAUCAAGUCAAAUCAGCAGCACCUCUGAUUGAGCACUCAUUGAACCAUCUGGUGUAGUAGCAAAUUUUGUGGUCAGCUUUGGACAUUGAUGGACCUUCAACUUCUCCAAACGAGGGAAUAAGAAAUAAUCACACCAUCCGAAACUAAAACAGACAAUACUUGAUAAUUGUUCUAGCGACAACUCCUUUAGAUUAGGAAGCACUAUCUCCUUCUCAACGUUGAUAGGUGAAGCUUGACCAUCCUGCUCAGGAGACUCUGGAAUUAUUUCCCUUUCACCAUCCUCUUCUCUGAUAAUAUGCUUCAAUUGACCGCAUUUACUUAUGUAAAGUCUUUGUAGCUUUGGCAGACUUCGAGCGAGGGACGGUGUGAAGAUAAAUGUCAGUUUGUUGAGAGACUCCAAAUUCAGACGAUUAAGACUUUGGAGGCUGACAUGUCUAGAUUGUUGUAUUAAACUCAAUCCAUCCAGAAGGUCAAGGAAGGCAGCCACCAGCUGUCACCGCCCAGCCACCAACCGGCCAGCCGCCAGCCACCAGCUGUUUGCCGCCACAGCCGCCAGCCGCCUUCACACUUGAAGGUUGAAUUUUCUUGUUUUGAAUUCGUGUAUAAAUAGCAAGCUAAGCUUAUGUUAUUCUGUGUGGAGAGAGUAGAGAGAAACACUAGAGAGAAAGAGAGAGGGCGUGUAUUGUGUUAAGCUUUUGUGUUAAGUAAUUGUAAGCUUUUGUUCUUGAAAUAAAACAGUGUGUUUUAUCCCCUCCGAGUGUUUCAAAGCCACCACCAGUGGUUUCUCCCACCAACAAUUGGUAUCAGAGCCCCGUUCGUCAGAAAACAGAAGUGUUUUGGGAGAUAUCCGAAUUUUCAAAGUUGUCAAAAACAAGUUUUGAUCAUUCCAUUGUAUAGAGCUCAUCCAUACGAACUCACUGCCGCAAAAAUCAGCUCAAUCGGACACCGGGGUGAGCCACACGCGCCGCCUGAAGAUCCGGUGACUGUAGCCCAGUCUCACCCACGCGCGCCAGAGGAAGAAGACGAGUGACGUCCACGCGCGCCAUAUUUGAGCCGUUAAGCCGAGCCGAGCCGAGCUGCAAGCCAAGCCUCCAGCCGCGCCGAAGAAUAUUCCCAAGAAUAUUCCCUUUUCAAGCCGAGCCGCUAUUAGCCGAAGCCGAGCCGAUAGAAUAUUCCACAGAAUAUUCCCGGUUCAACCCAGCAAACCGCCCGACGCCCAGAAUUGGUUUUUUGACCGGUUCACCCAUUUUCUGACCUGAUUUCUACAAAGUCAAACCGGUUCCCGACUAUUUCGACCAUUCCGGAUCGAUCUACAAUGUCGGUUUUGCCAAAUUCAACUCCCAGAAGGAGAUAUAGUCAUUAAAAGAGCAAAAUGACUACAGAAAGUACACAAACACUCAUCCCGAAGCUGACCAAAGACAACUAUGAUAGUUGGUGCAUAAGAUUAAAGGCAUUUCUUGGUUCACAAGAGUGUUUGGAGAUUGUACACUAUGGUUAUGAUGAACCAGAGUCUAAAGAAGAAGAAGAUGCUUUACAAGAGGCACAGAAGCAAGCCCUGAAAGUCAACAGAAAGAAGGACAACAAAGCAAAGACCAUCAUCUACCAAGGUCUUGAUGAAGAUACAUUCGAGAUCAUAGCUUCCGCUGAAACAUCAAAAGACAUAUGGGAGGCUCUCCAACAAAAAUACAAAGGUGCUGACAGAAUCAAGAAGAUUCGUCUUCAAUCUUUGCGAGGUGAAUUUGAGUUAUUGCAAAUGAAGUCCUCAGAAUCUAUUUCUGAUUAUCACACAAGGAUUAUGGUGAUAGUCAAUCAGAUGAGGAGAAAUGGAGAAGCCAUCAUAGAUUCUCGAAUUACUGAGAAAAUUUUGAGAUCCCUAGAUCCAAAAUUUGAUUUUGUUGUUGUCGCUAUUGAAGAGUCCAAGGAAGUGGACAAGUUGACAGUUGAUGAGCUUAUGAGUUCUUUGCAAGCUCAUGAGCAGAAGAUUGUAAAGCGAAAUGGAGAUAAGGCCAUCGAGCAUGCCUUACAAGCAAAGAUGUCUCUCAAGGACAGAUAUGAGCAAGGGGAGACUUCAACAAGUGGAUAUACCACUCAAGCAGGAAGUCAACAAUCCAGAGGAGGAUUCCAGAGAUUCCAAGGAAGAGGUUCUUGGAAUACAAGCUUUAGAGGAAGAGGUGGUAGAAACACCACCAGAGGAGGUAGAGGACAGCAAGCAUUCACUCCUAGAGGAAGAGGAGGCGGUUACAAUAACCGUGACAAGAGGAAUAUCCAAUGUUAUAGUUGCAAUCAAUUUGGGCACUAUAGCACUGAAUGCAGAAGGAAAGCUCCGUUGGAGAUACGUGAGCAAGCCAACUAUGCAGAGAAGGAUGACAUAGAAGCUGCAUUUCUUGUCCAACAAGAACUUGGCGAGAAACAGGAAAAUAUAUGGUAUCUAGAUACUGGAGCCAGCAAUCACAUGUGUGGCUACCGAGAGUUAUUUAGUGAUCUAGAUGAGACCAAGCAAGGUCUAGUUACUUUUGGAGAUACCUCAAAGGUUCCAUUCAAAGGUAAAGGCAGCAUCCCAAUCAAGUUGAAGAACGGCGAUUCCAGCUACAUCGCCAAUGUUUAUUAUGUCCCAGCCAUAAAGCAGAACCUGAUCAGCUUAGGUCAACUUUUGGAGAGAGGAUAUACUUUUUACUCGAAGAAUUGCCAUCUGACAAUUAGAGACAACAAUUGGAGAUUAAUGGCCUAUGUGAAAAUGUCCAAGAAUAGGAUGUUUCCUUUGAACAUCCAGUAUGAUGCAGCAAGGUGUUUGAGUGCCAUCACCAACAGUGAAGAAUGGCUCUGGCACCUGAGGCUUGGACAUCUGAAUUUCACGAGCUUGAAGAUGCUAGCAAGCAAGAAGAUGGUCAAAGGUAUGCCUCACAUUGAUCAUCCAGAUGAAGUCUGUGAGAGUUGUGUCCUCAGCAAACAUCACAGAUCCAGUUUUGCCAAAGAAGUCAACUGGAAAGCAAAGAGGCCACUGGAGUUAGUACACACAGAUGUGUGUGGCCCAAUAACGCCUAUGUCGACUGGACAGAAUAGGUACUUCCUCACUUUUAUUGAUGAUUUUAGUAGAAAGACGUGGAUAUACUUUCUGAAGAGGAAGUCAGAAGUAUUCAAUUGUUUUAAAGAUUUUAAAGCAAUUGUGGAGAAGCAAAGUGGUUACAUGAUCAGAACAGUGAGAUCUGAUCAAGGUGGAGAAUAUACAGCAAAUGACUUUGAAGCCUUCUGUACACAACAAGGCAUCAGACAUCAAACAACGCCUGCUUAUACACCACAGCUGAAUGGUGUAGCUGAAAGGAAGAAUCGCACGAUUCUUGACAUGGCAAGAAGUCUGCUCAAAGCAAAGAAGUUGCCCAAGCAAUACUGGGCUGAAGCUGUAUCAUGUGCAGUGUAUCUACUGAAUCGCUGCCCAAACAGAAGUUUGCAAGGUGUCACUCCAGAAGAAGCUUGGAGUGGUCACAAACCAAGUGUUACUCAUCUACGAGUCUUUGGUUGUGUGGCAUAUGCAAAGAUCCCAGAUGCAAGAAGGAGAAAACUCGAUGAUAAAAGCGAGAGAUGCAUCUUUGUGGGAUAUGGUGAAAGAAGGAUGGGAUACAAGCUGUAUAAUCCCAUCACGAAGAAGGUGAUUAUGAGUAGAGAUGUUAUCUUUGAAGAAGAUAAAUCUUGGGAAUGGACUGAUAAUAAAGAAGCAGUUAGAUGGAUCAACAUUGAUUUGAUCCUUGAAGGUGAAGAAGUACCAACAGUACUUGUCGAAGAACCGAUUGUGCCAGCAGCUGAACCACAAAGUCCGGUGAUUAUACCAGCAGCUGAACCACAAAGUCCAGUACACAGAUUCCCUGUAUUCAACAGGAGGAACACACCAGGAGCAUCAUCAUCAACACCAGCAGCAGCAUCCUCGUCAGAAGGACCAAGAAGGAUGAGAAAUCUUGACGAGUUGUACGAUGCCACGCAAGUCAUCGAAGAUACAACUCUAUUUUGUUUCUUUGCAGACAAUGACCCACUUAGCUUCAACAAAGCUAUCACAGAAGAGAAGAUAGAAGCAAUGGAUAAAGAAAUGCAUGCCAUUGAGAAGAAUGAUAUCUGGAAGCUGACUUAUCCACCAGAAAGCAAGAAAGCAAUAGGUGUCAAAUGGGUCUAUAAGAAAAAGAAGAAUGCAAAAGAAGAAGCGCAAAAAUACAAAGCCAUUGAAGAGGGAAACAUUUAUCAGAAUGAAGUUCAUGCUUGGCAUGACAUCCCUCGAUUGAGUUUAAAGGGGAGAUUUGUUGUAUUAAACUCAAUCCAUCCAGAAGGUCAAGGAAGGCAGCCACCAGCUGUCACCGCCCAGCCACCAACCGGCCAGCCGCCAGCCACCAGCUGUUUGCCGCCACAGCCGCCAGCCGCCUUCACACUUGAAGGUUGAAUUUUCUUGUUUUGAAUUCGUGUAUAAAUAGCAAGCUAAGCUUAUGUUAUUCUGUGUGGAGAGAGUAGAGAGAAACACUAGAGAGAAAGAGAGAGGGCGUGUAUUGUGUUAAGCUUUUGUGUUAAGUAAUUGUAAGCUUUUGUUCUUGAAAUAAAACAGUGUGUUUUAUCCCCUCCGAGUGUUUCAAAGCCACCACCAGUGGUUUCUCCCACCAACAUAGAUGGCCCCUUCCAUAUACAUUUGAGCUCAGGUAAACAUGACAGCCGUAACUCUGUUAAAGAUGACAGAAGCGGUAGCUCCUUCUCCUCACUACUUCCUUCAUCAGGCUCACCUAAUUCAAAUACCUCUUCCAAUGAUUUACAGCUGUCAACAAUCACCUCCUCUAGAUUGUUCAAAGCUCGGAGCAAUUUUGCUGGAAACGGAGUGCGAACAUCCCCACAAUCGUCCACUCGUACAAAUUCUAAUCUUUGUAAGAAGCCGUUUUGCUGCCCAUGGACGACCAUCUUAUCAGAGAACAAUAUUAUAUUUUUUCACUCAUAAAAACAAUUUAUAUGAUGAGAGAAAAAAAAAAAAACAGGAUUACAUACUUUUUAGAGAUUACAUAUUAUUGUUUCAGUUUUUUUCUUAAUUAGAGAUAAGUUAAAUAAUAAUUAGAUUUUUGCGAAAAAAGGUUACUACAACUCCUAAUAAUUAGUUUCAUGUAAAAAAUAAAAAUAAAAAUAGUAACUAAUAUUUUUAUUUUAGUUAUAAAGUUAAUAAAUUUUUAAAGAUAUUUUAAUUGAAUUAAAUAUUUGAACACAAAAUAAGCUAAUAUGAUUUCUAUGAUUAAUUGUUGGUAUUAAGUUUCUUAUAUUUAUAUAUGUUUAGAUAAAACAAAAAAAUAAGCAGUGACGAAGAAAGAAUAAAUCUAACAGAUAAUAUAAAUUACGUAAAUCAUGAGGCAGUUAAAUCUAACAGAUAAUAUAUUUCAAAUGAGGCAGUCAAAUCUAACAGAUAAUAUAUUUCAAAUGAGGCAGUCAAAUCUAACAGAUAAUAUGUUCUUCCAUAUGAUUAAUUUUUAAUAACGCAGACAACAAUGAGGCAGUUAAGUUUUUUAUAUUUAUAUAUGUUUACAUAAAAAAAUAAAUCAUAAAAAAAUAAAAAUAAGCAUUUAUCAAUUACUUUACUUUUAGAAAUUGGGAGGAAGAAAGAAUAAAUUAUCGCAAUUGACAAUUUAAUUUAGUGGAGAAAUAUAAAUUACGUACUUGUAGCUGUGCCAACCAAUUACCCACUUCUUCGUGGCCUUCAAUGGUUAAUCUUUGCAAGGGCAAUUGAGCAUCAAAAUUCCUUGGACCUAAAAAGCUGUAAUUAGAUUGGAGCCAAAGAGAAAAUUCUCUUAGCCGAGGGAACUUGAUGAUGCCAUCUCUGGUAAGUGCAUCUCCUUCUCCACCGUAAAAUAUUUGCUUUAAAUUGUCAGCACGAGCAAUCCUCAUCUGUUCCAGGUUCGUAAGACUUGGAGACAUGGAGACAGGGAAGACAUAUUCCAGUGAAAAACAGAAAGAUAUGUUGAUUUUUUUUAAUUUUGGGAAGCGAGGAGACUCUGGAAUUAUUUCCCUUUCACCAUCCUCUUCUCUGAUAAUAUGCUUUAAUUCACCGCAUUCAUUUAUGCGAAGGCUUUCUAGCUUUGGCAGAUUUCGAGCGAGGGACGGUGUGAAGAUAAAUGUCAGUUUUUUGAGAUCUGAAACUUUCAGAUGAACAAGAUUUUGGAGGCUGACAUGUCUGGUGGGCCCCUUCCAUAUGCAUUUGAGCUCAGGUAACUCUUGCAGCUUUAACAGUGUUAAAGAUGACAGCAGCUCCUUCUCCUCACUGCUUCCUUCAUCAGCCUCACCCAAUUCAAAUACCUCUUCCAAUGAUUUACAGCUGUGAACAAUCACCUCCUUUAGAUUUUUUAAACCUUGCCGCAAUUUUGCUGGAAACAGAGUGAAAACAUCCUCACAAUCCCUCACUUUUACAAAUUCUAAUUUAUGUAAAAACAAUUGCUCAAAUGUCUUCGCAUUGAAGGAUGUACCAGCCAAAAUUAAUCUUGUCGAGGUUGGGUAUCGUCCUGCAUCAAACCGAUUCCCAAAUAUUAUAUCAUAUUUGCGCAAGCUAACUGGAAAAACAAAAUCUCUGGGAAUGCAUUCAACCUUCGGUAUCCACAAUGAUAAUACGGCUAACUGAGACAACGAAUUUAGUUCUGUUAGGCUUGCAUUCAUUCCUCCUGUGCUGUCACAUCCAACAGCAUCCCAUCCCUGAAAGCUGCGAUCCCCGAUCAACAGCUCUUCUAACUUCUUCAACCUUCCAAUCAAAUUCACAGGGAUCCUUCUUAGCCUUUCACAACCUGUCACAUCCAACAACCUUAACUCCUUGAGCUCUCCUAUUUCAUCAGGUAAUUCUUCAAUGGAUAAGCACCGUCUAAGACCAAGAAUCUUAAGUCUCUGCAGCUUUCUCAACCCAAUGAGGUCCUUGCAUCCACACCUGAUCAACACCAACGAUUGAAGUUUCGUUGAGAGUUCAAGUGAUUGCAAUGACAAGCACCCUCCCUUCAGAGACAAAACUUCAAUUUCUGUCAUCCCUUCAAAAAACCUCUGAGGAACAUUCAAACCAGAAUCCACUUCCAAUAAUAGAACUUUGAGCUGUGGGCAUACCAAUCCUUCAGGAAGUUCUGCUAGUUUAUUGCCCAUUAACGAAAUUGUUGUACAACCUUCAAAGCUUUUACCCGUCCAUUGCCAAUUCUCUAACCCUAAGCCAGCCUUGACCAUGAAUCCAUAUUCUUUUGAUGCUAUCUGAAUAGCAACAUCACGAACAAGGUCAUGCAUUUUCACAUGUUCUUCAGUUUCAGAGCCCAACAGCAUGCAACAAUCUUUGAGGUUUUCGAUUGCCACAGAAACUCGUUUCCUUGCAUCUUCAAUGGGCUCCGCAUCUUGAUGUAACCCAUAGCCAACUGCAUAUCUCGUCAAGUCCUCGAUUGGAAUGUCAUAAUCUUCUGGAAAUAAACAGCAUAGCACGAAACAUGACUUGGUUUCCUCGUACUUCAAAUAAUCAUAGCUCAACUUAAGACAUGUGUAAGCAUUAUUUUGUUCAUCAAUUUGUUCCAUGCGCACAAAUUGAGAUUCUUUGAGCUGUUUAGACGCUACUUCCCACUGAACUCGUGAUUUACCUCUUAGAGCCCUUCCCACUGUCACAAGUGCUAUAGGCAAGCCUUGGCAUUCUCUCGCAACCUCCCUUGCCACUGUGUUCAAGGUAGAGUCCCCAUCACGUAAACCUGCAUUGAUACUGAAUAAAUCCCACGCUUCAUCUUCAGGUAAGACUCUUAAAUGCACUUUUUGCUGGCACUCCAUAGAAAAACAUAUGCCUUGAACACGUGUUGUUAGAAGAAUUUUACAACCCCUGUGAUCAUCACCAAAUGGGAUCCCUAUCUCUUUCAAGUCAAUAUGUUUCCAAACAUCAUCCAGGGUUAUAAGCAUCUUCUCCACUUUCUUCAGUCUCUGCCGUAAUCGAUCUGCUCUCCCUUCUUUACUGUUUUCUUCAAUUUUCAAACCUAACAUAUCUGCCAUUCGGUUCUGAAUGUCUAUGACAUUUGGAUUCUGCGACACCGUAGCCAUCAAAACUUCAUCAAAAAGCUGCGACUCUCUGGCUAUCGUGCCUACUCUUUUCACCAGGGUGGUUUUACCCACCCCUCCCAUGCCGUACAGUCCGAUCAUAUUGGCGUUGUCAUCUUUGCGAGCUUUCAUAAUCUGUUCCAAAGCUUCUUUUGAAGAUUCUGAGGGCGUGAAUUCCUUUGAUGGAAGAAAUUCUAUGGGCUGAGGAGGAAAUUUGUGGGCCACUUUUGUAAACUUUGUUUCUGAAAGUCUCCGACUCCUUGGCCAGUGCCUUGCUUAACUUGAAUUGUCGAAUGCAGUUUGGACACCAAGUGAAGCAUUUGCCAUUUUUUCCUAUUUCUUUUUCCAAGGGCUUCGCACCUUCAAUUUUGCUGUUUGCAUCUUCCAUCCACUUUUUGACACCUUUCUUAAUUUCUUCAGCAUUCCUUUCAGCAGCUUCGACUUCUUUUUGCAGACCAUCUAGUGCUAAAGCAAGGUUCUCCUUUUGUUCUUUGAAUUCUUCAACAAAAUUGUUGAAACAGAACAUGUAACGGAACUGCCUUCCUACUGGUUCCACCAUGAGUUCUGCUAUCUUAGAUAUAAUGGAUCCACCCACACUUUCGAGAGCCAUUUUCCACCAGUCUGAAAAUCAGAGAAAUGAGGAUACAGGACGUGAGAGUGAGUCACUACAAGUAAAACAGGCGCAGAGAGAAUGGGAAUAGGAAUUCCAUUACCGUAAUUUGGGAAAAUAUGCGCGGAAAGCACUGGUACUGAGAGCUCAAUGAAAUAGCGGGAGGAAGAAAAGGAGAAGGCCUUUAGCUCUGUAUGGAAUCCAGCUUCAAAAGCAACAAGGCAAGGUAUAAGGAUUCUAACUGACACUUGUGAGUUAAAGCAGUAAUUCCCAUUAAAAAUGCAUUUUGAUGACAUAAUUAAGAUCAUAUUGAGACAGUGGCAAACAAAAAAUAAAUGUAUAAAAGUACUCACCUAGCAAAGAAAGAAACGAAUGAAAGGUUCAGGAUAAUCACUUAGCUCGCUUCCAACAACAAAUAUAAUUAAUUAAUCUAAGCUAUGAUCGGUCAAAGUUUUUUUUAGUUUUAUUCUUUUUUUAAAAAAAAAAAAACAGGAAAAAACUUGCAAAGAAAUAGAAUUACUGGAAUGAACACAAUAAAAGAUGAAACUCAAGCAAUUAAAAAUAAAUUAUCUAUGAUGAUCAUGUCUGUGUCACACUCAAUGAGGUAAUCACUAUUACAAUAUUAAAUAAAUAAAUAAAAGCUAAAAGAACUAGGUUUUUGGUGGCAUCCAGAGUGCGGUUACUUUCUUCAUCCUUCUUUUGUGGUUUUAUUUUAUUUCAGUCCUUCAAAUCUUUUUCUUUUGCUAUUUCAUCGAGUUGCUUUGCUCUUGAGUUGAUGUGCUUGCCCUAGAAUAUGCAUUAUGCUAGGGAUUACAAUUACAUUACAUAAGAAAUUAUACUUACAGAUUAUAAUUAAAAUUUUCAGUUUUUUUUAAACAAAUUUAUGAGAAAGUACCAAUAUUACAACGUGAGUAAAUGAUAGGAGAAUUUUAAAUCUUUUUGUGACAUGGUGACCAGCUGAUCCAAGUAACCAAUAGAUUAUCGCCACUUGUUCAACCUGAUCUGCACUUUAAGAUAGGGGUAGUCAUAACUAUUCCUCGUUUUGUUUGAGGAAAAAUAAUUUUUUUAAAAAUAAAUUUUAAAUUUUUCUAUAUUUAUUUGCUAUUAAAAAAAUUAAUCAAUAAAAAAUAUUUUUUAGUAAAAAAAAUUAGUUUUAUUUUUUAAAAAGUAUUUUUCUUUUAUUUUAGGCGGAAAAUACUUUCCAGAAAUUGUGAAAAAUUUAGAAAUAUCAUAUUAUUUGUUGAUUAUAACAAAUUGGAUCCUCAAACUUUUAAUUGCUAUAUAUUUUGUUUUGAAUAUUUUUGUUUUCAAUUUCAUCUGUUAUAAUUUGAUUUUAUAUUAAAUUUGAUCCUUAUUUUUAUGAUUGUUAUUUGUUUUUCUCUUUUUAUUUUUUUAAUUGAAAUUUUUUAUUUAUCAAAUUUGAUCAUCAUUCUUUUGAUUGUUAUUUAUUCUAUUUGAAAUAAUUUAUGAAUAGAGGGAGAGGUUGUUGGAGGCAGAAAAGGAAAGACUACGAUACUAUUUUUCUCUAUAUUUUGAGUUUUAGUUGUUAACAGCCAUGCUCGUUUGAUUUUAUUUUAUUUUUAUUUAUUUUUUUCAUGCUCUUGCAGAUAAGGCAGGAAAGGAGGACCUGAAAUCACGACAGCGAAUAAGGAGAGAAAUAGCGUGUUUGUUUUUUAUUUUUGAAAUUAUUUUUUUAUAAAAUUAUUUUUUUAUUCUAAAUUAAUUUUUUGUAUUUUUAAAUUGAUAUUAAAAAUAAUUUAAAAAAUAAAAAAAUAUAUUAUUUUAAUAUAUUUUUAAAAUAAAAAAUAUUUUUAAAAACAACUACUUAUUCAAUCACUUAAAAUAAAAACCUUAAAAUCACGGCAUGAUAAAAGGAGGAAGAAAGGAAUGGGACAAAGGAGGAAGAAAAUAAGGUCACGUAUAAAAUAGAAGAUGAAAAUUAGUAUGAAAAAGAGGCUAUUUGUUUUUUUAAUGUGUCAGAGUGGUUUUUAUAAUUAUAUUUAAUUUAUAAAAAUAUUAAAUUAAUAUAUUUUUAAAUAUUUCUUGUUAUUAUUAUAUAUAUAUAUAUAAUAUUCUAAUAUUUUUUUAAAUAAAAAAUUAUUUUAAAAAAAUAUGUGUCACAAUACUAAAUUAUAGUACAAAUUAAAAUAUAAAAGAGUUUUCUAUUACUAUUUACCAAGACUUAUUUUGUUGUGGAUGUGGAUAUUAAUAGUGAAUUUUUUUAAAAUUUUCAAUUUGAUAUUUGAAUUUUUUUUUUUCAUAAUCGAAUCUCUUUAUGCCCAAAUUAAAACUCAAUUGCAUUUUGUUUUUUAAGUAUAAGAGUUGAAUUCAAAGAUAGAUGACUGAAAUGAAAAACUUGGUAAAAAUAUGCGGCGACAUUGUAAUUGUUUGCAAAGUUCAUUUUAGUCCCUUAUCUUUUUGAGCUACUAAGUAACAUGUCCCUAUAAUUUCUCAACAUUACAUUUUAUCCAGAAUCUCAGAUUAUGCUCUACGGACUAAACUAAAUUUUUCAUAAAUUGAGAGACCAAACUGAAAUUUAUCAUUUUCAAUCUUAAACCUAGAAUUUUCACAUAUCACCUACUGAUAUAACAAGAUUUCUAACUCAAAUUCACCAUUUAAACAAACCAUAACUCAAAAUCAUCAUUUUUACUUAAAGUCUUUCAAAAUCAACUAAAUAACUCAUUAUUCAUAACAAUCAACACAUAAUAUUCAAAUCAAUUCAUCAAUCAAACCCAAAACACAAUCUUCAAAACUCUAAUAUUCAACAAAACAGAAAAUUAAAGCUAAGAAAAACACAUUUAUACACAUCAAAGCGUAAAUAUUCUUACAUUUUAAUUUAUUUUCUCUAACUCUCUUAUCCUUUUGUUUAUCUUUUUCUCUUUUCUCUUUUUCUUCUUUCACUCUCACGGUUUUUUCUCUAAGAAUUCAAAUCUUUCUCUUUUUUAUUCUAUUUAUAUUUAUGAACUCUUUGUUCAAUUACUACAAUAUCGUUCAUUCAUUUAUACCUACUUUUAAGCCUCCAAGAGUUUUGUUGUUUUUUUCUAUUCUCUUUUAUUUCCAAAUCAUCACAAUAAAAUUGUUUUCUUUUUAUUAAGCUGCUAAUUUAUGCAGCUUUAGCUCUUGUUCUCUCUUCUUGUCUUGCUAUUCUGAUUUUAUCUUUUUCUUUACAUGAUAUAAGAGCAGGUUCUUACCUCUUGAAGUCUGCUGGAUAAACCUAUCAGCAGAAGAUCCUGAAGCGAUCCCAAAUCACAGCUUCAAUCCCCACCACAACCAAUCUCCUCUUUCCCGUAGUCUGUCGUCCUCAAUUGGGAAAUGAUCUCAAAAAAUCACUUGAUGCAACAAGUAGGGUAGAGAAAUAUAAGACUUCAACAAAGAAUCAAACUCAAAAAAAUAAAAGUAAUUGUCUAUGAGAAGCAUUUCUGUGUCACACACUCAAGUAAUAUGAUUGACCUAUUACAUUAUACAAAUUAACAAUAAUAAUAAUAAUAAUAAUAAUAAUAAUAAUAAAAGAACUAGGUUUUUGAUGGCAUCCAGAGUGCUGUUACUUUCAAACAAAGAGGCUUGUGCAUGCGGUGUUAUGCUGUUCGUGUAGGCUAAGAUCUCCUAUGAAUACAUUUGUAAAAUCAUACAAUUGUAUUCUUUUUAUUAAGCUGCUAAUUUAUGCAGCUUUAGCUCAUAUUCUCUCUUCUUGUUUAGCAAUUCUGAUCUGAUCCUUUUCUUUGCAUGAUAUAAGAGCAGGUUCUUACCUCAUGAAGUCUGCUGGAUGAACCUAUCAGCAGAAAAUCCUGAAUCAAUCCCAAAUCACAGCUUCAAUCCCCACCACAAUUACCAAUCUCCUCUUUCCUGUAGUCUUUCGUCCUCAAUUGGAAAAUGAUCCAAAAUCAACAACCAGUUCGGAGAUAGUCUGUGUGAAAAUAAACGGCUGAGAGAUGAAAUGUGAAGGUUAUGGUGAGAAAUUAGAUGACAAACUUACUUUGUCCUACUAAUGCUUUUGCUUUCAUUGUUUCAACAAGUAAAAGAGACAUAAGCAUAAUCAUAAGAAUCCUGUUUUUUCUAUUUUUUUCACCUAUUUAUACAUCAAAAAAUGGCAGUUUUUCUUGUCCUUUCUUUUUAAAAUCUUAUGCCUUGGGUGAGGAAAUUAGUGGAGCAUAAGACGUUUUAAAAGACAACAAAAAGAAGCAAUGUCUCAUCUUUUGAUAUGGUGGUCUUCCAUGAUCAGUUUGUUGAUGAAGAUAUCGAAAGAUUCGAGUCUCCGUUCUAGCUCAGGUUGGAAGCUAGGCCGAAGGCUAAGCUUCUUUUAAUUAUGAAUUGUUUAUGCAAAGGAAACCCAGAAGCUUGAACAAACAGAAAUGCCUUGUUGAUUUCUCUGCUACUACUCAUUAUUUCCAAUAUUAUUCCAUUAUCUUACCCGAAAGCAAUUAUACAAGAAAUUUCAUUAUCCUGCCCCAAAGGCAAUUUAUUACAAGGACUUCCUUUAACCUCCUUGAAGGCAAUUUAUUUGAUGAAAAUUCCUUUAAUCCACCUCAAAGACAAUUUAUCUUAGGGAAUUCCAACGACCCAGGCAAUUUAUUUGCUGAAAUUCCUUUAACCUCCUUGAAGGCAAUCAAGAUUUUAAAUUAAAAACCAUCUAGGUGGUGGCCCAGUGGUAAGAACCUGGGACCAAGAGGUUUGCUCAUCUGCAUAAUUAAAUAGUACUGUUACUGUAAACUACUAGGAAAUUCAUGCGUAGAGCCAAAAUGUUAACAAUAGCACAACGACCCAGGCAAUUUAUUUGCUGAAAUUCCUUUAACCUCCUUGAAGGCAAUCAAGAUUUUAAAUUAAAAAGCCAAAAAUGAACGCAUCUACUCUUGCAAGAAUGGACUCAAAAGGUCAGCUAAUCCGCAUAAUUAAAUAGUACUGUUACUGUAAACUACUAGGAAAUUCAUGCGUAGAGCCAAAAUGUUAACAAUAGCAUUGAUUCGGUCAGGGGCUCUGGUGUAUAGAGAGGACCUUGCCGUUAGAAACUAUGAACCCACUAUUUAUUAAUCCAUUUCUAUUUAGUACUAUUUACUAUUUAUUUAUUUUUAUUUACUAUAUUUCUGUAUGUGAUACCUAAGUACCAAUAAAAUUUGAGAUUCCUUCAAUUUUUUAGGUGCAUGUACAAAAUCAAUUCAAGAGUGUGUAUCCUUAACUAUAUAUCAGGCUAACCUUUACAGGCUGAGCUAGCAAUCGAUAAUUAAUUUUUAAUGAAUUCAUUUUUUAUUUAAAAUAAGGAAAAGGACAUUGUUACACCUUAACUAUUAUAAUUGUUACACCUUACCAAAGGGUUAAUUUAGAAAAAAAUUAUCAACUUACAGGUCACUGGCCGAGGUCAACUUAUGAUUAAGUAGAUCAAUUUAAAUUAAUUAUUUUUAUUAAAAUGAUAAUGUUUUGUUUUUUUUUUUCUUGAUAUUAAUUUGGCUAAUUUUUAUCAAAUCAAAUCACUAAAAACUUAAUCAAAUUAAAUUUCAUCAAAUCAAUAAUAUUUGAUGUAGUUGAAUUUUAUAUAUAUAUAUAAAUAUUUGAAAAUAAUUUAAAAAUGAUGUUUUCAUUAAUACCCAUUCUCAAUGUUUUUUUUGCCUUAUUUAGCUUUUUUUUCAAUUAGUUUUAAUUUUAUUAGCUUGGUUUAGUUUUUUAAGAGGUUAAUAUGAUUUAUUUGUAAUUUGUUUUAUAUAUUUCAGAUAUAUUAAGUAUUUUUUUUAUGUGUGUGUCAAUUUCUUUUAUAUAUUUAUUUUAGUAAAUAAAUUUAUUAAAUAUAACCAGAGAAAUGACUUUUUUAAUCUAUAUUUGUUUCUUAAUUUCUUAAUUUUUCCACCUGCUUUUUUAACUAUUGAUAAUGACUUUUUAUUAUUAUUAUUAUUCACACAAUAUAGUGCUGACACCCGCAGGUUGAGACUUGAGUAAACGAAAAUGAAAUAUUUUGGGUGUCUAUCUCCUAGUUAUGGUAUUAUUAAUAUUUGAGGGUUUUGAUUUGGAAUAAUUAGUGAAGAUUUAAUUAGAACUUAGCCAUGUACUUUAUUAAAAUUAAUUAUUUAGUCCUUAAAGUGUCAUGGAUAAUUAAAAAGUCUAUUAACUAGUGUUGACCACCCUCCAUUUACUAUGUUUUUCUCUAAAAAAUGCCUUCCUUCCUAAUGAAAUUUCCGCAACUGCAUCAGAUGUUUAUUCCCGUUCAAAUGCUCGCAACAGGGAAAGCAUAUGAUAAAGAGAAUGGAACAAGAUUCUUGUCUAUGGAGGGAAUCAAUGCUUCAACUUGCCUUGUGAUUUGCUUUAAUAAGAUUUUUUUUUAUAUAAAAAACAACUUUUAAAUUAUAAUUAAAAGUAAAAUAUCAUAAAUUUAUUUUAUAUUAAAAACCGAAUUCAUUAAACAUAACCAGGGUUGUUUAUUUUUUGUAAUGACUUUGUUUUUUAUUUAUUUAUAUAAUAAUUCAUGAUUUAUUUAAUUCGAUGCGUGCAUAAGUUUUUUAAUUUAUAUUUAGAAUUUUUCUUAAUGUAAAAAAAACAUGUUCAUAAAUUUUUAUUUUUAUGAUUUCAGUUUGAUUCUUAUUUUUAUGAUUUUUUAUGUUUUUUCCUUAUCCUUUUAUAAAAGUUUUUUUGUUUAUAAUUUCACCCUUCAAUUCAAUAUGAUGGAGUAAUUUUUUUUUUCAUUUUUUGCUUUAUAUUGUUGCCUCUCUCCUUUUGGGAAUAUUGUUGCCUCUCUCCUUUUUUUUUUUUUUUUUUCAUUUUAUCAGCUUUUGCAUGUGGAAUAUUGAGUCUUCUAUUUUUUAUCCACAGAAUUGAAUCCUUUAUAUAUUCUUAAAACUAGAUUUGAAUUCUAAUGAAGGAAUAAUAAAGAUUGUUGCAUGUACAAAUUCUCCUUCAAAAAAAUAUAAUAAAGUAUCAUGGAUUUAAGUAUAACUUAGCCCUGUAAUUUAUUAAAAUUAAUUAUUUAGUACGUCCUUAAAGUAUCAUGGAUAAUUAAAAAGUCUAUUAACUAGUGUUGACCACCCUCCAUUAAUUAUAUUUUUCUCUAAAAAAUGCCUUCCUUCCUAAUGAAAUUUCUCCAACUGCGUACUUUUCUUUUCCUUAUUCUAAUUUUUAAGAAAGAAGAAAAAACAUAUUAAUUGGAAAAGAACUAAACAAUAUGUAACUUUAAAAAUAUAAGAAUUAAACAUAUAGUUAUUGAAACUAUGGGAUUAAUUAAUUAUUGUUAUCAAAUUAUAGAGAAUAAAUUAUAAUUGAAUAAGUGUUUGUGUGGAGGAGUGUUUGCAAAUACCAUGGGAGAUGCGAUUUGUAUUAUUAAUUUAGUUGUUGGUAUAAUAGUCCAAAUAUUGUGACGACCAUUUUAUAGAAAUGAGCACAAUGUUUUUAGAAUAUUUAUAAAAAUUGACUUAAACCAAUCAAAAAAAUGAUUUUUGAGUUUGUUAAACAAUUUUAAUAAAAAUAAUAAAAAUAUAAAAUAGAAUUGAAUUGGUUGGAUAUGACCCAAACUAAAUUAAAUAAAAAAACUUAACCAAGCUAUAUUUCAAUGAUCUUGGUAUGGAUUUGUUUUUAUAAAAAAAACAUGUUCAUCCUUUUUUAAACUUCUUGUGGCCUGUUCAUUCAUACUUUAUUAAUAUUUAAAUUAUUUUUUUAUAUUUUUUAAAUUUGUUUUAAUGUUAUGAUAUUUUUUAAUUUUGUUUUGAUUGAUACAUAAAAAUAUUGUUUUUAUUGAUUAAAUUUUAUUUGGAAUUAUUGUUGAUAUUACAAAGACUUAUUUAUUCCUAUUCAGUUGAUAAUGACUACUUAGAUUUUGUAAAAAGAGUUACUUUCUUUAAUAGCCAAUUGAAUGAUUUUUUAUGAGAAAAAUAAAACAUCUUUUGAUGUGAAAAAAAGACACCAUGCACCGUCGUGUGAUACGAUGCUUUUUUUCUUGUGGCAUGUUUUUGAUGCUUUUGAUACGAUGUUCUUCCAGGAAUUUUUUAUCUUUUUAUUAGGCGGUCUAAGAUGCACAGUCGUGUGUGUGUCUAUAUAUAUAUAUAUAUAUAUAUAUAUAUAUGUAUGUAUAUAUAUAUAUAAGUCAUCGAUGCAUGUUUUUAUUUGGUAUUCAAUUCAAUUUCAUAAACAUUACUUUACUCUCUAAUUAAAUUGCUGCAACUAUAUAUAUUAUACCCUUAACCAGACUAUUAGUUUACCAUUCCUGACUAGCUAUCGUAUCCUUUUGGCAAGAAUCAUUGCCAAUUACUUUAUUCGUAGUAUGUAAGAGUCAUUAUCCAACCAUUUUCAAUUCCAUUUCAAAUCACUUUCUUUGAUAAAUUAGUUUAUAAAAUAUUUUUACAAAAACUCCAUACCAUACAUCUAAACAUCACAUAUGUUCAAAUUAAUUUGAACAUAGCAAGUGUUAUAUCUUCUUUUAAAGAUUGUAAAGGACAAAUAUACAAUUACAUUUUCCUUUUUGGGUCUCAAUUACAUUUGCAUUUACAUAUUGUUCACCUAGUAAUUUCUUUUAUAAAAUUUAUAAUAAACUCAAAAAAAUAAAUAGUACGAGAAACAAAGUUGAUAGACCCAACCGAGAACAUGCUCACGAGUUUAAAUAUCUUAAUUUUAGUUUGUAGAACAUAAAGAGAAAUAGAAUUGAUCCAUUAUUUUGUUUGCAGAACAUAAAUGAGAAAGCAACGUCAAUAUAUAAACUUAAUUAAUAAAUAUAUAGUUGGUUUUGUUUUACAAUAAAGAAUUAUUUUGUUCUAUAAAAGAGUAAUUGAAUUUUAUAAAUAAAAACACGAAAUUAUUUAUUUCCAUGCAAGAUGAAGUCAAGAUUCACCACUUAUUUGUGUGAGGCAAAAUAAUAAUAAUAAUAAUAUUAUUAUUAUUAUUAUUGUUAUUGUUAUUGAAUAAGAUGAAGUCAAGAUUCACCACUUAUUUCCAUGCAAGAUGAAGUCAAAUUUCAAAGUUCCCUUUACAAAUCGGUUGGAUAUGGCCCAAACUAUAUUAUACCCUUAACCAGACUAUUAGUUUACCAUUCCUGACUAGCUAUUGUAUCCUUUUGGCAAGAAUCAUUGCCAAUUACUUUAUUCGUAGUAUGUAAGAGUCAUUAUCCAACCAUUUGGUAUUCAAUUUCACGUUCUUUGAUAAAUUAGUUUAUAAAAUAUUUUUACAAAAACUCCAUACCAUACAUCUAAACAUCACAUAUGUUCAAAUUAAUUUGAACAUAGAUAGCAAGUGUUAUAUCUUCUUUUAAAGAUUGUAAAUGACAAAUAUACAAUUACAUUUUCCUUUUUGGGUCUCAAUUACAUUUGCAUUUUCAUAUUGUUCACCUAGUAAUUUAUUUUAUAAAAUUUAUAAUAAACUCAAAAAAAUAAAUAGUACGAGAAACAAAAACAAGAAACAAAAUUGAUAGACACAACCGAGAACAUGCUCACAAGUUUAAAUAUCUUAAUUUUAGUUUGCAGAACAUAAAGAGAAAUAGAAUUGAAUAUGAUGAUGAUGAUUUCUUUUUUCAUUUUCAGGAGACCUAUAAUAGCCGGUUGAGGGAGAGAUAUGGGGACGAUCCUUUGACCCUCCGGAUUUCGAUCCGGAUUUGUGGAUGGAGGUCGGAUCGUUCGGUGGACUCGAUAAAAAUCGGCUGUACGGGCUCUCCAACACUACGACCGAGAACUUGCGGUCGGCCCGUAGUGUCUCAACUGUUGGGAGCUCCAAAUCAGUAUCGAGCACCCAAUCUGAGGAUAUCAUGACCUUGAAACAACACACAGCUAAUCUCACCGAGAAAUACGAGCAACUCUUGGCAAAUUAUGAUCAACUCCGCCAAAUUGUCAUGAACAUGACUUCACAGAGUGGUGCUACAUGUCCGCCCCCUUUUUGGCCGUAUAACAACCAGCCUCCUCCUCCUCCUCCUCCAACUCCGCCAUUGUGCUAAUUUAAUAUUUUUUUGAAACACAUUCAAUUUGUAAUGAAUAUUAUUUAACACUAUUUUUUUGUUCUUAAUGUUUAAUAAAAUUUUAUUUGCAUAAUUGGUUUUUUUACUAUUAAUUUAUAUAAUUUUAUGUUAUUUAUUCUAAAUCAUUUUUAAUUUUUUUAAAAUACCCACCGAGGGAUUUACCGACGGAAUGUAUCACCGACGAAUUUACAGACGGAUAACGUUCGUCGGCCUUUCACCGAUAGCUAAAAAAUAUUUACUAUAUAUGCCACUAUCACCGACGGAAUAAAUUCGUUGGUAAGGUUCCAGCGGGAAGUUUUUUUUUUGGCGUGCAAUUUCCGUUUGUAAAACCAUCGAUAAUAUUUUUUUUACCGACAACCUUAGCGACGGAAUGCGGUAUUACCGACAAACAUUAUGCCGACGGACGUUUUUCGUUGGCGAUUUAGUCGGUAAAAAAAUUACUGACAAACUCUGAAUCUCAUACCGACGGAAUAUGUCCGUCGGUAAAACUGUGAAAUCUUGUAGUGAUUUAGAUUUGGGUUGGUUUUUUAUUUUUAAAUCAAUUAAAUGUUUAUUUAAGAUCAUGAAUGGACUUAUUGAGGUACCUUUUACCUAUAGCUCACUUUGAUACCCCCUCCGAUAUAUCUAACUCUUCAAUAAAGGAGCAAUUUUUCAUUACAUUCAGCACAAUAUUUAUUUCUCUAACAUGUAUGAAGAUGGCACGAGUUAAAAUGAUUGUGUAAAUUAAUUUACAAUAACGAGGCCUUCGUAUAUAGUAAUUUAUCCCAGACAAGAUGACUAAAGUACUCAAAAGAUUCAAGUAGACGUUGUUUUAACACCUUGAAGGAUUCUGAAAUUCUGCCUUGCUCGAACGCGCACAAAAUUUGCCUUUUCUUUUAUUCCUAAUCGGAUUCGUAUGCAUGCAAAAUUAAAUCACCUUGAAAACUCUUAAUCUCUAUCUCGGCUUUUAAAUAUAUAAUUUAUAGCCAUUGUAAAUUCACAAAAAAAUAUUGAUUUUUUUUUUAAUCUCUUGGGUUAUAAUAACCAUAUCUAUCCGGUGUUGUUUAUUGAAAUAUUUUUCAGUUAUUUUGGAUGAGUAUAAAAUGAAUUCAUAGUUUUUGAACUACAAAACCUAAGUUUUAUCUUGCAAACACCCCCAAAAACUUUUAGUAUUCUCAAAAACUCAAUUUUCAAUCAUAAAAUACCUUCUAAUUAGCCUAAAUGUGAAAAUCAAACCUAAUAAAAAAAAUUAUGGGUCUAAUAUACUUUUUCUAGCACGGUUAAAUGACAAGAUCAUUUUAAUCGAACUUCUUUUUUCAAGAUGAAUCUAUUAAUAUUAAAAUCGGAUUUUUUAGAUCAAAAUAUAAUCAGUCAAAUCCUUUUUUUUCUCCAUUUUCUGACCACAUUCUCUCCCUCCUCUCAAUAUUCAAUAACUUAAAAUAUAAUAAAAAUGAAUUUUUAAGAUUGAAUCAUAAAAAUUUAAAGCUAUAGAAUUAAAUAAAUCUGAAAAACAAAAACUUCAAGAACCAUAUUAAAUUUUUCUGCAACUUCUAAAAGGAUUGCAUUAUAGGAGAAUAGUUUAAUGCAUGAUAACUUGAGUCUUGCUACACAAUAAAAUUUGUUACAGUAAGAAUAACAAAUGUUUUAAUUUAGAAUAUAACUAGUUAGGUGCUCACACUACAUCGCGGGUUCACAUUUUAUUUUCAUAAAAAAUAUCAUAAAAAUUUAUAAUACAAAUAAUAAUAUUUUUUCAAUAUUAAUAAUCAUAUUUUUUCAAAUUUAUUAAUAAUAUUUAUAACACAAAUAAUAAUUUUUUUAUUAUAAUUGUAUUAAUUAUAAUAAAAAUAAAAUAUUUAUAACAUAAAUGAUAAUAUUUUUAAUAGUAAUACUAUUAAUUAUAAUAAAAAUAAUAAUAUUUAUAGCACAAAUGACACUAUUUUUAAUAUUAAUACUUUAAAUUAUAAAAAAUAUAUAUAUUUAAAAUACAAAUAAUUAUAUUUAGAAACCUAAAACCUAAGAACCUUGGGUUUUGAUAAAGGAUCCAAUAGAAUUAGGUUCUGACGCAAGACCCUUUAAGCUUGGGUCUUGAUACGGGACUCAAGACAAUCGGGUCCUGACACAGGACCCGAUUCGAAAGGUAAAAAUAUAAAUUAUUGUUCUUAUUAUCAUUAUUAUCAAUAAUAAAUUUGACAUAAAAUAUUAUUACCACCAAAGAAAAACUAUAUAGUUGAUUUGAAGGAUAAAAUUAAUAUUAAUAAUAAUAAUAAUAAUAAUAAUUAUUAUUAUUAUUAUUAUUAUUAUUAUUAUUAUUAUUAUAUGUGCUAUAGAUAUUAUUAUUUUUAUUAUAAUUGAAGGUAUUAAUAUUAAAAAUAAUAUUAUUUGUGUUAUAAGUAUUAAUAUUUCUAUUAUAGUUCAAAGUAUUAUUAUUUAUGGUAAAAAUAUUAUUAUUUUUAUUAUCAUUGAAGGUAUUAAUAUUAAAAACAGUAUUAUUUAUGGUAUAAAUAUUAUUAUUUAACUUGUCUGCCUAAAUGUUUAUAUUUUUGAGUCUUUAAAAAACAAUUGUGGUUUUUCUUCGAUAGUAAUAAUAGUUUUUUUUAAUUUAUUGAUGAUGAUGAUGAUGAUAAUUUUUAAUUUUACCUUUCAAAAUAAAAUUUAUGGUUGUUUUUCAAUAUUACUAAUAUUUGUUUUUCAAAUUUAUUUAUUAUUUUAUUAAUAAUAUUAAUUAUAAUUAAAAUAAUAAUAUUUAUAAGACAAAUAAUAAUAUUUUUAUUAUAAUAAAAAUAAUAAUAUUUAUAACACAAAUGAUAAUAUUUGUAAAUUCACAAAACAAUAUUGAUUUUUUUUUAAUCUCUAGGGUUAUAAUAACAAUAUCUAUCCGGUGUUGUUUAUUGAAAUAUUUUUCAGUUAUUUUGGAUGAGUAUAAAAUCAAGUCAUAGUUUUUGAACUACAAAACCUAAGUUUUAUCUUGCCCCAAAAACUUUUAGUAUUCUCAAAAACUCAAUUUUCAAUCAUAAAACACAUUCUAAUUAGUCUGAAAGGUGAAAAUCAAACUUAAUAAAAAAAAUUAUAAGUCUAAUAUACUUUUUUUAGCAUGGUUAAAUGACAAGAUUAUUUUCAUCGAACUUCUAUUUUCAAGACGAAUAUUAAUAUUAAAAUCAGUUUUUUUAGAAGGGAAUAUGAUUAGUCAAAUCCUUUUUUUUUCUUCAUUUUCUGACCACAUUCUCUCUCUCCUCUCAAUAUUCAAUAACUAAAAAUAUAAUAAAAAUAAAGUUUUAAGAUUGAAUCAUAAAAAUUUAUAGGAUUAAAUAAAUCUGAAAAACAAAAACUUCAAGGACCAUAUUAAAUUUUUCUGCAUCUUCUUAAAGGAUUGCAUUAUAGGAGAAAAGUUUAAUGCAUGAUAACUUGAGUCUUGCUACACAAUAAAAUUUGUUACAGUAAGAAUAACAAAUGUUUUAAUUUAGAAUAUAAAUAGUGGGUUCACUUUUUUAUAUAUAUAUAAAACAUAUCAUACAAAUAAUAAUAUUUUUUCAAUAUUAAUAAUAAUAUUUUUUCAAUAUUAAUAAUAAUAUUUUUUCAAAUUUAGUAAUUAUUUUAUUAAUAAUAUUUAUAACACAAUUGAUAAUAUUUUUAAUAUUACUACUAUUAAUUAUAAUAAAAAUAAUUAUAUUUAUAGCACAAAUGACACUAUUUUUAAUAUUAAUACUUUAAAUUAUAAUAAAAAUAAUUAUAUUUAAAAUACAAAUAAUUAUAUUUAGAAACCUAAAACCCAAGAACCUUGGGUCUUGAUGAAGGACCCAAUAGAAUUGGGUUCUGACGCAAGACCCUUUAAGCUUGGGUCCUGAUACUAGACUUAAGACAAUCGGGUCCUGACGCAGGAACCAAUUCAAAAACGGAUAAUUCCAACUCUGGCGUUGGUAACUAUUACGUAGCUAUAAAAUAAAUUUAGAUCAAUAUUUUUUUAUUCCUAACUUUAAAGCUAUUGAAUAAAAAAAUAAACUAAAUUCAUCUUAUUACGCAUUCACAUAUUUUUUAUUUCUUAUGUAGUUAAAUAAAAAAACAAAAAAAACAAUUAAAUCAGUGUUUUUAUUCAUGACUCUAGCGUCAGUGAAUAAACAAAAAAAAUAUUAUUUUUUCAUACAUGCACAUAUUUUUUUUUGCUAAAUAAAAUAAAAUAUAACGAAUAAAAAUAAUAUAAAUUUAAACCAGUAUUUUAUUCCCGACUCUGGCGUUGGUAAAUAAAUCAGUAAAUUUAUAUUAUUUUUAUUCAUGAAUACACAUAUUUUUUUAUUUUUUUAUUUUUUAUUUUUUUGGGGCUGGGCCCAGCUCAGCCCACAUGGGCUGGGCUAGCCCAGCCGGCCCAGCCCGGUCACUGGCCCAAGCCAGUGACCCGGCUGGGUCACAGCACGCAUGAACUAGUUUCAUGCGUGCAUGGCGCUGCGCGAAGGUAAUUAAUUACCUUCGCACACUGCUAAAUGCACUGAACUUUCGAAAGUUAAAAAACGAAGAAAACAGAGGAAGCUUACCUUGUUGCAGGUUGCUUCGCCGGAGUGUCAGCGUGUCGGGCGACGAUCAGUGGUGGCGUCCGUCAACAGUAAGCUAUAAUUCCUCCUUCGACCUCUGCCUUACUGCCCUCUGUUUCCUCUGCCCUCGUCUGAAAAAUUAUUCAUGUGCUCUGUUUUUCAAAUUCUCUCUACUCUCUCUCGGUUUGUUUCUGUUUUCGUUGUUUUAAGGCCGGUAUUGGUGAGGGAAAGGUUCACUUCUGGUAUGGGGUUCUAAAAAAAACUUAAAAAUUCGGCUGGUAUCUUUGUGUUUCUCUCUUGGGGUUUCGUUCGUCCCUCUCUCUCUCUAGCCAACCCCUGUUCUUCGGUGCUCCUCGGUUUAUAUAGAGCUCGGGCGGUAGGCUGAGGGUCGACCACCAUUAAGGCGCCCCUAACUGAAGCCAACGGACGACGAUUACUGCUGCAACGUUCUCCCUCCUUUACUGUAGAAAACGGUCACUGGCUUAAAGGAGAAGAAGAUGAACAGCGUCUUCAAAACGACGCCGUUUGGGAUAUGAGAUGGCCAUUUGCGUUUUGACCCGUGAAGUUUCGCAACUUUUAUAAUUAAGCCCCUGGUUUAAACUGUAAUUUCUCCUGCAUUUCGGCGCCUUUUACAAGUUAGUCCUUGGACUUUAAUCUGUUGCAAUCGUGCCCUAAUUAACCCCAAACUUUGCUAUUUCUUCAAUUAAGUCCCUAAGUUCAUUAAUUUAAUUCAAUCCAAGUCCAAUUAAGUCUCAAAACUUAUCAAUUAUCCAAUUAAGCCCCUGAUUGGAUUAAUUAAAUUAAUUCCAAGAUUAAAUAAGUCUCAAAACGUAUCAAUUUUCCAAUUAAACCCUUGAUUGGAUGAAUUAAAUUAAUUUCAAGCUUACUUAAGUCUCAAAACUUAUCAAUUCUUCAAUUAAAUCCUUGAUUGGAUUUAAUUAAAUUAAUUCCAAGUUUAAUUAAGUCUUAAAACUUAUCAAUUCUCUAAUUAAACCCUUGAUUUGAUUAAUUAAACAAGUAAAAAAUUUAAUUUAAAUCUUUAAACUUCCAAUCAUGUUACCCUUAACCCAAAUUUUAAUUCAUUCUUCAUUUAUUUCAUUUUUAUUAUUUAUUUUUCAUCAUCAUUAUUAUAUUUUUUUUCAUUAUUUUUCUUUUUAUCAUUUUCCAGUAAAUAAAAUAAUAAUAAUAAUUAAAAUAAAAUGGUCAAAAAUUGGGUUAUGACAACAUCUAUGGAAAUUCAAUCAUUUAAAAAAAUUCGGCAGCACCUCCCCUGUACUGAAGACUACCCACAAUUUAUAAACCUGCAAUCUUUACAAUAACCACAAUCCAAUUGACUCCAGCAACAUAAUAUAUACAACCUAACAUCUAUGAAAAUUCAAUCAUUUAAAAAAAUUCGACAGCACCUCCUAUAUAUUAGAGACUAUCUACAGUUUUCAUACCUACAAAUAUUAAUAAUUACACAAAUAUUGCAAAAUCAACUCUAUACAACCUAACAUAUAUAUACAACCUAACAUCUAUAGAAAUUCAACAUCUAUAUUUUUUCAACUAACAUCAAUAGAAAUUCAUAAAUAACAAUUAAAAUUAAUCAAAAUAAUAAACAACAUAACAAACAAUAAUAUCCUAAAAUUAAGAUAAACUAAUUAAACUUAAUUCUAUAUUUCAAUUAACAUUUUAAAUAUAAAUUCAACAACAAUAAUUAUUGCAAAACAAACAAUAAUAUCCUAAAAUUAAGAUAAACUAAUUAAAUUUAAUUCUAUAUUUCAAUUAAUAUUUUAAACAUAAAUUCAAUAACAACAAUUAUUGCAAAACAAACAAUAAUAUCCUAAAAUUAAGAUAAACUAAUUAAAUUUAAUUCUAUAUUUCAAUUAACAUUUUAAACAUAAAUUCUUAAAAUCUAUUGUUUUUUUUCAAUAUUAAUAAUAUUUUUUUUUCAAAUUUAUUUAUUAUUUUAUUAAUAAUAUUAAUUAUAAUUAAAAUAAUAAUAUUUAUAAGACAAAUAAUAAUAUUUUUAUUAUAAUAAAAAUAAUAAUAUUUAUAACACAAAUUAUAAUAUUUUUAAUAUUAAUACCUACAAUAAUAAUAAAAUAAUAAUAUUUAUAAGACAAAUUAUAUUAUUUUUCAUAUUAAUACUUUUAAUUAUAAUAAAAAUAAUAAUAUUUAAAAUACAAAUAAUUAUAUUUAGAAAGCUAAGACCCAAGAAGGAUCCAAUAGAAUUGGGUCCUGACGCAAGACCUAUUAAGUUUGGGUCCUGACGCCGGACCUAAGACAAUCGGGUUCUGAUGCUGGAUUCAAGAGAAUUUGGUCCUGACGCAUGACCCAUUACCCUUAGGUCCUAACACAGGACCCAAGCGAAUUGGGUCCUGACGCAGGACCCAUUAGAGUUGGGGUCCUAGGGCAGGAUUUAAGAGCAUUGAGUUCUAACGCAAACCAAUUACCAUUGGAUCCUAGUGCACGACCCAAGUGAAUUGUGUCCUGAGACAGGACCUAUUAGACUUGGACCCUUAGGCAGGAGCCAAGAGCAUUGGGUCCUGGCGCAUUUGAAAUAAAAUAUUAUUACCACCAAAGAAAAACCAUAUAGUUGAUUUGAAGGAUAAAAUUAAAAAUUAAAAUAGUAUUAUUUGUGUUAUAAAUAUUAAUAUUUUUAUUAUAGUUCAAAGUAUUAAUAUAAAAAAUAUUAUUAUUUGUGUUACGAAGAUUAUUAUUUUUAUUAUCAUUGAAAGUAUUAAUAUUAAAAAUAAUAUUAUUUGUGGUAUGAAUAUUAUUAUUUGCGGUACAAAUAUUUUUAUUUUUAUUAUAAUUGAAAGUAUUAAUAUUCAAAAUAGUAUUAUUUGUGUUCUAAAUAUUAUUAUUUUUAUUAUAAUUCAAAGUAUUAAUAUAAAAAAUGCUCUUAUUUGGGGUAUAAAUAUUAUUAUUUUUAUUAUAAUUGAACUAAUAAUAUUUAGAAUAUAAAUUAUAAUAUGUUUGAUAUUAAUACUUUCAACUAUAAUAAAAAUAAUAAUAUUUAUACCCCAAAUAAUUAUAUUUAGAAACUUAAGACCCAAUAACCUAGGGUCUUGAUGCAGAACCCAUCAGCCUUGGAUCCCGACGCCGGACCACAGAGCAUUGGUCCUGUUGCAGGAUCUAAGAGUACUGGGUCUGGACGCAGGACCCAAGAGAACUGGUCCUGAUGCAGGACCCAUGAGCCUUAGGUCCCGACGCCGGACCACAGAGCACUGGUCCUGUUGCAGGAUCCAAGAGUACUGGGUCCGGACGCAGGACCCAAGAGAACUGGUCCUGAUGCAGGACCCAUGAGCCUUGGGUCUUGACGGGGACCCAAGAGAAUUGGAUCCUGACGCUGGACCCAUGAGCUUUGGGUCUCACUAGGGUUCGCGCUGACCCAGCACACAAGCAGGGAAGCCCGAGCGUAAGGUGUCCCCAUGUGGCGCGCGGGUCUGGCUCAGCGCCUAGGGCUUGCCAGCCCUAGCGCCAGGUGUUCGCAUCCCAAGGCUUGUAGCCCCACCAAAACUGGAACUGACCAUUUUCUCCCCAACCAUCCCUUCAAUGCCAAAUAUAUCCCAGUGAGAAGACAACCCCACCCCUCCCCUGCUGUCCUUGCAAAUCUAUGUGGCAAGGGCAACUUUGUCAUUACACUACUUUAAUCCACAAUAUUUUGUAUCUAGAUAAAUAGUAACAAGGGCACUGAACCUUUUUAGUAUAACAAGGAGAUUUCAAGAAGUAGUUAAAUUUAGGUUAUAUUAGAUACGACUUUUGUAAAUUGAUUUAAUUUAUUUUUUACUUUUGAUUUUAAUUUAUUUUGAAGUAUGUUAGUUAGAAUAGCUACCAGAUUAGGCAUGUAACUUAUGAAAGGGUUUGCAAGCAGAAAACAAUUAGAAAUCAGAGGAAGAUUUAGAGGAUAUAAUAUUUAGGAUCUCUAGCAAAAGCCAGCAAGGUAUCUGCUCGAAAAAACCAUUCAACAUGAGAUUGCUCUGCUAGGAAAACAUGAUAUCAGUAUCAAACUUUUGAACAAUUAGUACAGCAUCAAGUCUCAGUCAUCUUGAAAUAUAUCGACAUCAGCAUACAAAAACAUUUAUUCUGCAUUGCCAGGCCCAUUUCCAAAACCACAUAAGCAUAUGCAAUAGAAACAGAGCAUCAAACUGACAGAGAAAACAUAGUGAUGCAGCAAAUACCCAAGUCGUAGAGCCAUUAAUUUGAGCAGAAAGGAGAAUGAAAGUCCACACAUUCUUCUUCUUUCCACCCAUUAUCUCGGGUCCACUCUCUAUUAGUGCUUGAAUCCUCAGCUACUUCAGAUACCUGUAAACCAAUUCAAGCAUGGCAUACAUAUUUUAACUUCUAAAUCUUAUUAUUGAGCGAAACAAGAAACAAACACACAAAAAGAGAAGCAACAAAUCAAGACAACUCAGCAGCACCUCUGAUUGAGCUCUUAUUGAACCAUUUGGUGUAGUAGCAAAUUUUGUGAUCAGCUUUGGGCAUUCAAACACCUUCAACUUCUCUAAAUGAGGGAAUAAGAAAUCAUAACAUCCGAGACUGAAGCAUACAAUACUUGAUAAUUGUUCUAGCAACAGCACCUGCAGAUUCGGGAGCUCCAUCACCUUCUCAACAUUGACAGGUAAAGCAUUCUCUUCCUGUCCAAAUACUCCCAAUAAUUGAGAAGCUUCUCUUACUUUCAGUAUUUGGAGAUUUGGGAGACCUGAAGCCAUGCCUACUGGGAAGAGACAUUUCAACUUGUUGCAUUUUCUGACAUCAAUUUCACAUAAAUUGGGGAAGCAUAAAGAUUGAAGAUGAUCUCCUGGCACUAUCUGAUCCUUUCCAUCAUCAUUAUCCCUAGCAAUGAUUUGCUCUAAUUCCUCACAACUUUCUAUGUUUAGAAAAUUCAGUUGAACUAGACUAGCAAUCAUGCUGUCUGAGAAUACAUGUGUUAGUCUCUUACACUCAUACACCACCAAAGUAGUCAAAUUGCUCAGCACGAGACCCUUCCACAAACACCUCAUGUCAGGCACAAGCAGGGAGCCCAAGCGCAAUGUUUUCAAACUUGUUAACUCCUACAUCAAAAGACAACAAUGGCACUAAUUUGUUAGAUAUAAUUCCUAGUAUGUUUUGGUAAAUAGAUGAAUCAGUUAUCAACAAAAGGAUACAAGUAGACAUGGCAAAAGGGCAUUGGAAUAUGAAAUCAUAAGUUGCAAGACUGAAAUAGACAACUCAAUAUUAGCAAAUGGAGGUUUAUCGUCCUAUCCAAAUACUUUCAUUAAUUGGGGGAAGAGCCUCAAUUUCACUCAAACUGGGAAAGCAUAAAUCAAGGUAGGAUUUCAUUACAAUAAUUAAUUUCUUACUUCUUAAGCCCUGCGUCAAGAGACAGGGAAUGAUACAGUUAGACAACUCCUUUUAAAUUUAGUGGAUGGCUAAAGGAUUUAUCUCCACUUAUAAAUUACUUCAGUUUUAGAAAUUUGGAGGAAGAAACACAGUGUAUUGAAGUUGACAAUUUAAAAUAAAAAGCAAAAAAAUUAUUGGAGAAAUAUAAAGGACGCACUUGAAGCUUUGCCAACAAAUUACCCAAUUCUUCAUGGCCAUCAAUGAUUAGACAUUGCAAAGAAGGCAAUUGGGCAGCAAAAUUCUUAGGGCCAAAAAAGCUGAAAUUUGAUCUGGAAGAAAGAGACAAUUUUCUUAGUCGAGGGAACUUGAUGAUGCCAUCUGUGGUGAGUGCAUCUCCUUCUCCACUGUAAAAUAUUUGCUUUAAAUUAUGAGCAUAAAAAAUCCCCAUCUCUUCCAGGUUCAGAAGACUCGGAGACACAGAGACAGGGAAGACAUAUUCCAGUUUACCACACUCUUCUAUGAAGAUAGUUUUUAAUCUUGGGAAGCGAAGAGACUCUGAAAUUAUUUCCCUUUCAUCAUCCUUUUCUCUGAUAAUAUGCUUCAAUUCACCGCAAUAUCAUAUGUCAAGGGUUGCUAGCUUUGGCAGACUUUGAGCCAGGGAUGGUGUGAAGAUAAAUGUCAGUUUGUCGAGAGAAUUCAAAUUCAGAUGAACAAGAUUUUGGAGGCUGACAUGCCUAGUAGCCCCUUCCAUAUACAUCUGAGCUCAGGUAAGUCGAUCAGCAGUAACGUUGUUAAAGAUGACAGUAGCGACAGCUCCUUCUCCUCAUUGCUUUCUUCAUCCACCUCACCCAAUUCAAAUACCUCUUCCAAUGAUUUACAGCUCUCAAUAUCCACACUACUUAGAUUUUUCAAAGCUUGCAGCAAUUUUGCUGGAAAAGGAGUGCGAACAUCCCCACAAUCGUUCACUUCUACAAAUCUUAAUCUUUGUAAGAAGCCCUUUUGCUGUAUAAAUAUUAUAUUUUUUAAACCCUUCACUCUCAUAAAAACAAUUUAUAUGAUGCAUAAAUAGGAAAAAAAUUUUAUAAAGUACGUACUUGUAGCUGUGCCAACCAAUUACCCAAUUCUUUGCGGCCAUGAAUGGUUAGUUUUUGCAAAGAAGGCAAUUGGACAGCAAAAUUCCGUGGACCUAAAAAGCUGUAAUUUGAUCCGAGCCGAAGAGACAAUUCUUUUAGUUGAGGGAACUUGAUGAUGUCAUCUCUGGUAAGUGCAUCUCCUUCUCCACCGUAAAAUAUUUGCUUUAAAUUGUCAGCAUAAUAAAUCGUCAUCUGUUCCAGGUUCGGAAGACUUGGAGACACAGAGACUGGGAAGACAUAUUCCAGUUUACCACAUCCUGAUACAAGGAGAGUUUUUAAUUUUGGGAAGCCUGGAGACUCUGGAAUUAUCUCCCUUUCACCAUCCUGUUCUCUGAUAAUAUGCUUCAAUUCACCGCAUUUUUCUAUCUCAAGUGUUUCUAGCUGUGGUAGACUUUGAGCGAGGGACGGUGUGAAGAUAAAUGUCAGUUUGUCGAGAGACCAAACCUUCAGAUGAGCAAGACUUUGGAGGCUGACAUGUCUGGUGGCCCCCUUCCAUAUGCAUUUGAGCUCAGGUAACCCUUGCAGCUCUAACAUUGUUAAAGAUGAUAGCAGCGGCAUCUCUUUCUCCUCAUUGCUUUCUUCAUCAACCUCACCCAAUUCAAAUACCUCUUCCAAUGAUUUGCAGCUGUCAAUAAUCACCUUCUUUAGAUGUUUCAAAGCUUGCCGCAAUUUUGCUGGAAACAGAGUGCAAAUAUCCCCACAACGCUGCACUUGUACGAAUUCUAAUCUCUGUAAGAAGCCCUUUUGGAGCUCAUGGCCAUGGUUGGUCAUGUGAUCAGAGUGCAAUUCUAUAUUUUUUAAACCCUCUAAACUCGUAAAAAUAAUUUGGGACACCGUAGGAAACAACAGCUCAAAUGUCAUCACAUUUAAGGAUGUGGCGCUUGUACCAGCCAAAUUUAAUCUUGUCGAGGUUGGGUAUCCUCCUGCAUCAAACCGAUUCCCUAAUACUAUAUCAUAUUUGUGCAAGCUAGGAAAAACAAAAUCUCUGGGAAUGCAUUCCACCUUCGGUAUCCUUAAUGAUAAUACAGCUAACUGAGACAACGAAUUUAGUUCUUUUAGGCUUGCAUUCAUUCCUCCUGUGCUGUCACAUCCAACAACAUCCCAUUCCUCAAAGCUGCCAUCCCCGAUCAACAAUUCUUCUAACUUCUUCAACCUUCCAAUCAAAUUCACAGGAAUCCUACUGAGCCUUUCACAACCUGUCACAUCCAACAACCUUAACUCCUUGAGCUCUCCUAUUUCAUCAGGUAAUUCUUCAAUGGAUAAGCACCACAUAAGACCAAGAAUCUUAAGUCUCUGCAGCUUUCUCAACCAAAUGAGGUCCUUGCAUCCACACAUGAUCAACACCAAAGAUUGAAGUUUCGUUGAUAGUUCAAGUGAUUGCAAUGACAAACGCCCUCCGUUCAGAGACAAAACUUCAAUUUCUCUUAUCCCUUCAAAAAACCUCUGAGGAACAUUCAAACCAUAAUCCACUUCUAAUAAUAGAACUUUGAGCUUUGGACAUACCAAUCCUUCAGGAAGUUCUGCUAGUUUAUUGCCCAUUAACGAAAUUGUUGUACAACCUUCAAAGCUUGUAUUGCUCAUUGGCCACUUCUGCAACCCAAUGCCAGCCUUUACCAUGAAUCCAUAUUCUUCUGAUGAUGCUAUCUGAAUAGCAAAGUCAUGCAUUUUCACAUGUUCUCCAGUUUCAGUGCCCAACAGCAUGCAACAAUCUUUGAGGUUUUCGAUUGCCACAAAAACUCGUUUCCUUGCAUCUUCGAUGGGCUCCGCAUCUUGAUGUAACCCAUAGCCAACUGCAUAUCUCAUCAAGUCCUCGAUUGGAAUAUCAUAGUCUUCUGGAAAUAAACAGCAUAGCACGAAACAUGACUUGGUUUCCUCGAACUUCAAAUAAUCAUAGCUCAACUUAAGACAUGUAUAAGCAUUUUUUUGUUUGUCAAUUUGUUCCAUGCGCGGAAAUUGAGAGUCUUUGAGCUGUUUAGACGCUACUUCCCACUGAACUAGAGAUUUAUCUCUUAGAGCCCUUCCCACUGUCACAAGUGCUAUAGGCAAGCCAUGGCAUUCUCUCGCAACCUCCCUUGCCACUGUGUUCAAGGUAGAGUCCCCAUCACGUAAACCUGCAUUGAUUCUGAAUAAAGCCAAUGCUUCAUCUUCAGAUAAGACUCUUAAAAACACUUUUUGCUGGCACUCCAUAGAAGAACAUAUGUGUUCAAAACGUGUUGUUAGAAGAAUUUUACAACCCCUGUGAUCAUCACCAAAUGGGAUCCCUAUCUCUUUCAAGUCAAUAUCUUCCCAAACAUCAUCUAGGAUUAUAAGCAUCUUCUCCACUUCCUUCAGUCUAUGCCUUAAUCGAUCUGCUCUCCCUUCUCUACUCUUUUCUUUAAUAUCCAGACGUAACUUAUCUGCCAUUCGAUCCUGGAUGUCUGUGACAUUUGGAUUCUGGGACACCGUAGCCAUCAAAACUUCAGGAAAAAGCUGCAACUCUUUGGCUCUCCUGCCUACUUCUUUCACCAGGGUGGUUUUACCCACUCCUCCCAUGCCGUACAGUCCGAUCAUAUUGACACUGUCAUCUUUGAGAGCUUUCAUAAUCUGUUCCAAAGCUUCUUUUGAUGAUUCUGAGGGCGUGAAUUCCUUUGAUGGAAGAAAUUCUAUGGGCUGAAGAUGAGCUUUGUGGGACACCGUUUUAAACUUUUCGCUAAUUUCUUCAAGUUUUCUGAGAGUCUCCGACUUAUUGGCCAGUGCCUUGCUUAACUUGAAUUGUCGCAUGCAGUUUGGACACCAAGUAAAGCAUUUGCCAUUUUUUCCUAUUUCAUUUUCCAAAGGCUUCACACCUUCAAUCUCGUUGUUUGCAUCUUCCAGCCACUUUUUGACAACUUUUUCAAUUUCUUCAGCAUUCGUUUUAGCAUCUUCGACAAUAUUUUGCAGACGUUCUUUUGCCGAAUACAGAUUCUCCUUUCGUUCUUUGAAUUCUUCAACAAAAUUGUUGAAACAGAACAUGUAACGGAACUGCCUUCCUACUGGUUCCACCAUGAGUUCUGCUAUCUUAGAUAUAAUGGAUCCACCCACACUUUCGAUAGCCAUUUUCCACCACUCUGAAAAUCAGAGAAAUAAGGAUACAGAACGCGAGAGUGAGUCACUACAAGUAAAAGAGGCACAGAGAAUGAGAAAAGGAAUUUUAUUACCUUAUUUUGGGAAAAUAUGUGCGAAAAGCACUGGUACUGAUUGCUCAAUGAAAUAGCGGGAGGAAGAAAAGGAGAAGGCCUUUAGCUCUGUAUGGAAUCCAGCUUCAAAAGCAACAAGGCAAGGUAUGAUCUAAGACGAAUGAAAGGUUCAGGAUAAUCACUUAGACGCCUCCAUGGGUGAUACCAGCUCGCUUCCAACAACAAAUGUAAUUAAUCUAAGCUAUGAGCGGUCAAUGUUUUUUUUAGUUUAGUUUUGUUUUUUUUCUUAAAAAACAGAUCAACAAGGGAAAAAACUUGCAAAGAAGUACAAUUACUGGAACGAACUCAACAAAGGAUCAAACUCAAGCAAUUAAAAGUAAUUGUCUCAUCUCUGUGUCACACACUCAAAGAAUUUCAUUACCUUAUUUUGGGAAAAUAUGUGCGAAAAGCACUGGUACUGAUUGCUCAAAGAAAUAGAGAAGGCCUUUAGCUCUGUAUGGAAUCCAGCUUCAAAAGCGACAAGGCAAGGUAUAAGCAUUUUGAUGACAUAAUUAAGAUAACAUGCGUAGUAAUAUAAAGAAAAUGACAAACAAAUAAAAAAAAAUAAUGUGUACAAGCAAGAAACGAAUGAAAGGUUCAGGAUAAUCACUUAGACGCCAUGGAUGAUACCAGCUCGCUUCCAGUAACACAUAUAUUUAACCUAAGCUAUGAUCGGUCAAAAAAAUAUUUAGGUUUCUUUUUUUUAUAUAUAAAAAAAUACAGAUCAACAAGGGGAAAAAAAAAAGAAAAGACUUGCAAAGAAGUAGAAUUACUGGAAUGAACUCAACGAAGGAUCAAACUCAAGCAAUUAAAAGUAAUUGUCUCAUCUCUGUGUCACACACUAAAGGAAGGAGAGAAAAGAAGGGGAUGGGAUCACGGCAAGAAAGAAGGAGAAAGAAAGGAAUGAGACAAAGAAGGAAGAAAGUAAGGUCACGUAGGGGCCAGUCUUGUAGAAAGUUUGAGAAUUAGAAUGAAAAAGAGGAUAAUAAAGUAGUUCACUUGUCAGAAUCAAAACACAUAAACAUAGGACAAAAACAGGGAGAGAGGCUAUUUGUGUUUUUUAACUGUGUUAGAGUGUAUUUUAUAAUUAUAUUUAAUUUAUAGAAAUAUUAAAUUAAAAGUUUUUAAUAUUUUUUGAUAUUUUUUAAAAAUAUAAAAUAUUAUUUUAAUAUAUUUUGAAAUAAAAAACAUUUCACAAUACCAAAUUAUAGUAUAAAUUUAAAGAGAAAUUGAUUUUCUUGUUCAUUAAUGUUUACUCAGACUCAUUUUACUAUGAAUAUUAAUUAUGGGUUUAUUGAAAAUUUUCAAUUUGAUACUUAAGUUUUUUUUCUAUAAUUGAGCCCUUUUGAGCUCAUUUGCAUAUUUUUUUAAGGAUAAGGGUUAAAAUGAAAGAUAGAGAACUAAAAUGAAAAACUAGGCUAAAAUAGGUGGCGGCUCUAUAAUUUGUUUGCAAAGUUCAUUUUAGUCCUCUAUCUUUUUAAACUAUUAAGUAACCAGUUCUUAUAAUUUUUAAACAUUGCAUUUUGGUAUAAAAUUUUAUUUUCCUCCUUUUUUUAGUUUUUUUUUUUUAGAGGAAAGAGAGAGGGUCGCCAGAUUUCAUCUUAGAGAGAAAACGUUGUAGUUGGGGAAGAUUUUGGCCCCUAAAACAUAUGUUGCUUGAUUUUUAAUUGAGUCUAAGUGGUUUUUAUAAUUAUAUUUAAUUUAUAAAAAUGUUAAAUUAAUAUAUUUUUAGUGUUUUUUUGUGAUUUAAAAAAAUAUAAAAUUAUUUUAUUAUGUUUUUAAUAAAAAAUAUUUUUAAAAAGCAUGUGUCCCAAUACCGAAUUAUUAUAAUUAUAAUAUAAACUAAAAGACACAGUCUUUUAGUUUGGCCUUUGACUUAUAGCACCGUGAAUUAGAACAACGUUAUCAUGUCCUAACCAUAGUUAUUAAACCCGAUCCAGAGGUUGACCUGGCCAAGGUGCCGGGUCCUGAGUUUCAUGGGUCAACCCGGAAAAAAAAAUAAAAAUUAAAGUUUUAAUAUUUUAUAUGAAAAAUUAAGAAAAAAUACAUGUAAAUAUAUGCUAUACAUAUUGUAAAUAAUGAAAUUUAAAAGAAUAUUUUAAAAAGUUUUUUUAUCUCACAUUAAAAAGAUAUUAUGUUAGGCUUUUAAGUUGAAAUAUUUAAACCAAAAAAGUUUUUUAUCUCACAUUGAAAAAAAUAUAACUUUUUUCUUGGAAACAUAGAGUAUAUAUAUUAUAAUACUAAUGGGUUUUAAAUCCCACAUUGAAAAAACAUAGUUUUUUUCUUGUGAACAUAACAUAGUUUUUUUCUUGUGAACAUAGAAUAUAUAUACUAAUGGGUUUCAAAUCCCACAUUGAAAAAAGAUAACUUUUUUCUUGGGAAUAUAGAGUAUAUUUACUAUAAUACUAAUGGGUUUUAAAUCCCACAUUAAAAAGAUACUAUGUUAUCCUUUUAAGUUGAAGUAUUUAAACUAAAAGGUUUUUUUAUCCCACAUUGAAAAAACAUAACUUUUUUUUUUGAAACAUAAUAUAUACUAAUGGGUUUAAAAUCUCACAUUUGAAAAAAAAACACCGGGUCUCGCCCCGGUUGACCCGCCAGGUCGAUCAAGUUUGGUCAGGUCAUUGCAUCGGCCGGUCUUUUGACAAACAUGGACCGGUUCAGCCCCCAGGUCAACCCGCCAGUCCGUUCAGGUUUAAUAACUAUAGUCCUAACUGACACGAUCAAAGAGUUGAUGUCUUAUCCCAAGUGCAAGAGUGUCAAAGUAAUAAAUAACCCGUCAAGACCGGGGUCGAACCACAAGGAGGUGAAUUAUAUAAAUUAUAAUAAUAAUAAUAAUAAUAAUAAUAAGAACAACAACAACAAUGAUGAUGAUGAUGAACAACAACAGGACUUUGAGAUGUAAGAUAAAUGUGAAGAUUAAAUAAUGAUAAAAACAAAUGUCAAGGUUAGAGGAUCCACUAAUAGUAUUAGAGAUAAGUAAAGUAUAAACUCUUUAUAAAUUAUCAACACGAUCAUAUCAAUCAUCUUAUUUACGUAACACCAUAUUUGUCGCACGUCAGAAAAUUCGUGCGGCAUCGGCUUGCAAUUUUAUCGUUGUUAUGCGUUGAUUUAGGGUCUUAGGAGUCGCCACCUAGUAAUUUAUAGAAGGCUACUAGGAAACCGGAUGAACUGGUCUUGUCAGAGAUUCACGAGUAAGAGACUGGUUGUGGUUAGAGAAGGUAUUAGCACCCCUAACACACCCUACCUGAGGUAAGCUGCUUCGUGGACUUGAUGUGUUAAAGAAGUUUUAAAAAUUCUGUUCUUUCAUUGAAUUUUAGAAAUACGACUUCCAUGUAAGUUCAUAAUUCUUUAUCCGUGAGCAAAUCAAAAUAUUAAAUUCUUCUUUAAUCUUUGCAAUUUUAUCAUAAAUAAAAAAAAAAACAUCCAUAACAAAAAAUAUAAACACACACAUACACCUUCACUGUAUUUUUUCUCUUUUCUUUUCUUUUCUUUUUGUUUUUACAUCCACAAUACAAAAUACAAUUUCAAAAGAACAAACUAAACCAAAAUUACAAUAAUAACCCCAAAACAAUCUGGAAUUUACAGGGAACACCUUCUGCAUCACCAGAACAGUGUCAGGCAGACUUCUGGAGCUGCAAGAACAGUGGUCGCACGUCUCCUCCACUCGCCACCGUGGCUGGUGGCGCGUGGGUUCACGCGCCGCCGCUGACAAUGCCCGAAAAUGGGCGGAUCUGCCCUGCUUUCUUCUUCCCUUCCCUUCUCUGCUGGCUGUGAGAACCACCGUUACCUGCAAAGGGGGAAAAAUAAACACAAUGCAAAGCUUCCGAUCCUCUCCUUUUUUAGAUCUACUAUCUUCUGUCUUCUCUUUCGGGUUUUCUGUUCUUCCCUUCUUCAGGUGGCAGGUCUGCCGGCUUCUUCUCCCCUUCCCCUCUGCAUCAGCGGUGGCUAGUGAGGAUGGAGACUGGCUGCUGUGGUCGGGUCUGUUCGUUGACCCGGAGAGGGAGGCCGAUGGGUCGGCUGAGAGAGGAGAGGAGGUGUUCCCGGGCGUGGAUGCUGCUGGAUGCUCUUCACUCCUGUUGGUGGCAGCAAUGGUUGGCCUUGCUGCUGUUGUCCGGCUGUCACUGGAGGCUGGUUGAUGGAGACCUGUGAGAUGGCCGGGGAGGGAGGCCGAUGGAAGGGAACAGUUGGGAUGGAGAGGGACGGCACUGCUGCUGUUCAGCCGCUGCUGGGGCCGAAUGGAGGAGAGACCUGGCGAUGGAAAUGAGAGAGUGAGGGGAUCCUGUUCUGUCAAAGAGAGGGGCGAGUGAAAGGGAGAUGAGGGAAAUGCAGAGGAGGCUGCUCUGGCUUGGGAAAAGAAGUUGGAAAUGAGGGCUAUCUGUUGAUGACCGGGCUGUGGGAGAAGGAAGAAAAAUGAGUGCUAGUCUUGGGAGAUGUGGAAACGGUGGGUGUUGUCUGUGAAGGGGAGGCUGGUCUGGGUGUGUGGGGGCUGUGGCUGAGGGGAAGGAACGGUGAUCAAGGGGGAGGGGGCUGGACUAUGGCCGGCUGUCACUGGUUGAAGGAAGGCCUGUGGGAAAGCUGGAGAGGCAGAGAGGGAAGAAGAAACCGAAGGGAAAACUUGGGGAAAGGGGAGCAGCGGCUUGUGUGAAGGAAAAUGGAGUGGGCAGCUGUUGUAAAAAUGAAUGGGGUUUUGUGUUGUUGGCUGGCCAAGGAGAAGAAAAUGGGAGGAACGGCGUGGAGAGGAAAACCAAAAACAUGGGGGGCCUGUGUUGUUGGCUAGAAAAUGGGGGAGGGCUGGCGGCUUGGAGAAGAUGAGAUAGGUUUAGGGUUUCUCUUCCCCUCUUCUGAUGUUGUCAAAAUUCUCCCCUGUUUGAGUUGUGGACCAGUAUUUAUAGAUAAAAUGUUGCAUGGAUCUAAAAAUUGAUCCCUCAACUUUUUUUAUUUUUUUUGUAAAUUUGAUUUUUCUUAAUUUUUUUGUAUUUUUUGAAAACGAGCAAUAUCAACGUCGACUCAAUGAAGAAAAUCAAUGAUUUUAAAAAUAACGCGUUGAAAGUUGAACGCGUUCCAAAUGUCUUUGAAAAUUUAAAUUCUUUUGAGACGAUGCUAAAAAAGAUGCAAAUGUAUUAAAAAUGUAUUUUUUGGAUUUUCAAUGUUUUUCGCUAUUUUUGGAUUUUUUCUGAAAAUUUAUCAAAACAUGGGUCAAAAAUUGGGUAGCAACAGAUGCCCCCUCUUUACAAUGCUUACGAAGCAAAACUCCUCAAUGUUUUGCAUAGUAAGCUUUGUAAAGAAAAACUUGUCUUUCUGUCACUCAAUAUCCACUCAUCUAAAGGCCUUGCUCUUUUUUUUUGUUCUCUCUUCCUUCUCUUUUCUUCCUCUUCUUUCUUCCUUUCUUUCUUUCUCUUUUUUUUUUUAUCUUGAGAUCCCAUCUGGCGAUCUCCUUUUCCAAAACCAAAGAAUAUGUGUAGCUCGGUCAACCUGAAAUCCCAUCUGGCGAUUUCCUUUAACCAAAGCUACAUGAGAUCCCAUCUGGCAACCUCAUUAAACCAAAACUAAAAAAAUGUGUGUGUAGUCUUAUUAUGACGGGUGACCUACCCAAAAUGAAAGAUGGUCUCAUUAUGACGGGUGACCUACCCAAAUACAAGAUGGUCUCAUUGUGAUGGGUGACCUACCCAAGUGGAAAAGGGAAAGAGUGGUCUCAUUUUUAUGGGUGACCUACCCAGGGGGAAGAAUGGCCUCAUUAUAAUGGGUGACCUACCCAAGUAAAAAAAUAAUGGAGAAUGAUCUCAUUCUAAUGGGUGACCUACCCAGAAAAAAUGGUAUCAUUGUGAUGGGUGACCUACCCAAGUGGAAAAGGGGAAGAGUGGUCUCAUUCUUAUGGGUGACCUACCCAGGGGGAAGAAUGACCUCAUUAUAAUGGGUGACCUACCUAAGUAAAAAAAUGGAGAAUGGUCUCAUUAUGACGGGUGACCUACCCAAAUACAAGAUGGUCUCAUUGUGAUGGGUGACCUACCCAAGUAGAAAAGGGGAAGAGUGGUCUCAUUCUUAUGGGUGACCUACCCAGGGGAAGAAUGGCCUCAUUAUAAUGGGUGACCUACCCAGAAAAAAAAAUGGAGAAUGGUCUCAUUCUAAUGGGUGACCUACCCAGAUGGAAGAUAGAAAAAAUAUGAAGUGGUCUCAUUGUAAUGGGUGACCUACCCAUAUGGAAGAUGAGAAAAAUGUGAAGUGGUCUCAUUAUUAUGGGUGACCUACCCAGGUGGAAGAUAGAAAAAAUGUGAAGUGGUCGCGUUAUAAUGGGUGACCUACCCAGGUGGAAGAUAGAAAAAAUGUGAAGUGGUCGCGUUAUAAUGGGUGACCUACCCAGGUGGAAGAUAGAAAAAAUGUGAAGUGGUCGCGUUAUAAUGGGUGACCUACCCAGGUGGAAUAUAGAAAAAAUGUGAAGUGGUCGCGUUAUAAUGGGUGACCUACCCAAGUGGAAAGAAUGUGAAGUGUGGUCUCAUUAUAAUGGAUGACCUACCCAGAUGGAAGAUAGAAAAAAUAUGAAGUGGUCGCGUUAUAAUGGGUGACCUACCCAAGUGGAAAGAAUGUGAAGUGUGGUCUCAUUAUAAUGGGUGACCUACCCAGAUGGAAGAUAGAAAAAAUAUGAAGUGGUCGCGUUAUAAUGGGUGACCUAUCCAAAGAAAAAGGAAAGAAUGUGAAAAACGGUCUCAUUAUGAUGGGUGACCUACCUAAAUGGAAAAAUGUGACUUACCUAGCAAAAAGACUUGGCAGGCGAAGUCCUGAUAGGAUAAGGCUGACAAACGGCGCUUCCUAAUUGCAAGGUUUACUUGAAGACUCCUCUUGAUGACGGGGUUAAUCUCCUCGUUUCUUUGAGAUUCUCCUACUGGCAGGGUUCAUCUCAUUCUCUUCUCGUUCCAGGAUCUAAACCGAUUCUUUGUCAUCAUCAACUCAAUGAUUCUUUCUUUGUCCACAACCUUGUUGAACUUCAUUGAGGAUCUUUCUGUAACAAAUCACAAGUAUGUGCAAUGCUUUGAGGUUAGAUGACAUGCAUGCAUCCUUACCUGAUGUGAAAUAUAGGUCCCCCCCUUUGAUGAUCCAUCGUCAUAGGGUGCCUUUGUUUGCUAACCAAAGCCUUCUUUGCUCUUCCCAUGUACUGACUCAUUCGUGUGCUAGCCAUCCACUCAAAUGUAAGUGCAGUGCCCAUCUCGGGCUGUCUACGACGAUUACUACUCUCAGUUGUUCUCAAUGUUGACCAUGCUUCCAAGCGUGGUGUUGCUCGAUUCAUCAUGAAGGAGUUGAACAAAUCAUCCAUCUCCUAGAUUCUCUCAAGAAUUGUCCUUUGAUUGGUUGUGCGUGUUUUGCCACUGCCGGUCAAGAGGUUUUCUAGUGUUUAACCUCAUUUUAGAUGGACUUGCCCCCAGUUGAAAUAACACUCUUCAAGUAUAUAUUAUCACCCGCCUUCUUGGAACUGCUAAGUCAUCCAGACAUGCCUCUCAUACUUUGCAGUAAAAGGCUAAUCAUUGUAAGCUCAAAGUUCUUCUCCAUAGAUUCCUCUCAGCUUGUCAAAUCAGAUCAGGAAAGGAAAUGCGUUGGCAUCAUCAAUGAUGUUCAUCACCCAUAUUCAUGCGGUGAAGUGUACAUUUGAGCUUCAAAGCAGAUGGUCCCACAGUCAGUCUUGGUGGGUGCAUCUUUCCAACAUUCAUUCAAAUGCAACUAUGCGAUAACAUCAUUCAAAAGUCAUAGCCAUGUUGGAGAUGAUAAACCAUGAUGAAGAUAUGAAAAUAUCCUUCAAAUGCAGCGUUGUUCAUCAAUUGCUGUUGAAGUUCACUAGAUCACAAACUGUCUUUGAACAAUAUUGCCCCCAGCAAUGAUUUGAAUGCUUGUUCAUCUGUCUAUAAUCAAGAAGUUUUUUUUUCUUUGUCAUUGCCAGAUGCUAAACAUAACUUCGAUGGACUUUGACGACUCAUCAUCUGAUUUUUUUUUUGCUUUGCCCUCAGCUGAUCUGAAUACUGCUUGUUUUCCUACCUAGGAUCCACUGUAUUGCCCCUAGGUGGUCAACUUUUCAAGGAGUGUCGAGAAAUGUUGAUGUCAUUCUUGUCAAGGAUUUUGCAAAUUCAAUCGAUGUUCUUCUUGUUUGACAAUCUUCCUUGUUCUGGAAUCAAAUCUCAUAUUUCAACGCUCAUGUCUAUUCAAAUCUAAUUGUUGAAAUGAAAUCAGAGAGAUGUCAAUUUUGAAAAGUAUUUUCUGGAAAUCAAGCUUGUUUGGUCAAAGAUCCAACACACGCUAUUCAAUGAAGUCCUUUAAUUGUCUUGUAUUUUGAAGACAGAAAUAACUCGUUGUAAGAUUAAAAUGACUUUUUUCGUGGUUCUUUGUGUCAAUUUUAAUCUUUGAUCUUAGGUAUAUCUUUUGAUGGCCUGCGAUGAGGUGACCUUCUGUGGAUUUCAAGAAACAAAAGGCUCAAGUCAAAACUUGAGGAUUCAUCAAGAAAGAUUGUUUUCUUUUUUAGCACCAAUUUUAUUAGCAUGCAUAAUAACAAGUAGCUUAAUCCAUGAAGUCACGACCCUUAUGGAAAAGCUCUUCAAGUUUUGAGAUCGUCAUUUAUCGGUUCAGAUUGCUUACUUGAUUAAAAAAAGGCUUUUUACAGCACGUAAUGCAUGCUAUGGUUCAUGGCUUAUGAAAGAAAGGAAAUUCACAGGCUCAAAAGGUGUUUGAGGGUUUUAAAGACCUAGGAUCAACAUCAAUUAUUCAUCAACUCCUUUUCUAUUGUUGUCUUUGUAGAGACGACAUAGAACCUUGUUAACCUCAAAGAUCAGACUUCUCUUAACAUAAGUCAUAAUGCAAAUCCACCUUUCCUUGAUGAAUAACCAACCUCAAUCAUCUGAUAACAUCAGAGGUUUUAUAAUGGAUAUCAAAAGUCACGUUUAUAGCUUAGUCUUUCUUCUGCUAUUGACUUUUGUUGUCUUUCCUUGAUGUCUUUCUUCUGCUAUUGACUUUUGUUGUCUUUCCUUGAUUGAAAUUUCUUUUGCCAAGACUUGAUAGACAUUCUCUUUCCUUUAUCUUUGACUUGCCUUUAAGUGAAGGCAAUUUCAACUUCUUUUUUUUUUUUUCAUAGCCUUCCUCAAAAUUUUCUUAUAUGCCCCCAGCCUAUGUGUUUUCUUUUAGCCCUCUCUCAAUCAUUGGACUUUUGUUCUAAGCCUUCCUUUUAUCCAUUAAUGUCUUCAAAAUAUCUCUCAUUGCCCCCAGUGUGGGGUGUGGUCCUAGUCAGGGUUUCUUUUUGAAAGAAAAUAUUUUACAAGGCUAAAAAAUGGGACUGCAAGGGAUAUAAUCUUUAGAAAGUGAAGGGAUAUCAAAGAUGACAUUUUCUCAUUUCAAGCAAGGUCGGUUAGAACCGAUAAAUUUUGACCUCAUCCAGUGUAAUGAUUGGGACUUGUAAGAAUAAUGAUUCACGAGUCCAUAACUAUCGAAUCCACUACAUGUCAUUAUGCAUACUGCUAAAACUUAGCUAUAUGAUGUUUUUUUCAGUUUCAGGAGGUAUGAGUUCAAAAUUGUUUGGUCACCUCAUGUCAUUUUCAAGAAUCAAGUCGUUUCUGCAAUCAAAAUAUUUUUAAUCUUCAGGAUUAAUUAAUCUUAAUCGUAUGUUCGAGCUUGAUCAAAAAUAUUUGUGUCAAAAUAGCCUUUGAAAGAAGCAUCGCUUGAUUUCAAAACAACAAGAAGACAAAGAGAAGACAUGUUUCGUUGAAGGGUGAGAUGUGAUCCCAAAACAAAAUGCAGAAUGCUAAAAUCCCAUAACAAAAAUGAUUGACAAUUUGACCCCUUCUUGGAUCACCUACUCUGGCGAUAUCUGUGUUUCACCGAGUCAAUUUCGAUCACUUGUCAUUCUGAGGAUGUUCUGGUGACAACAUGAUUGAUGACAUCAUCUUUCACAAACUCAGCUCGAUUCUUGAAACUCUUGUGUCUGUUCAACUGAAAUGGUUCACGAACCCUCCAUGAUAUUCACAUCUGGUUUGAAUUAUACCACGGUGGUUGCAUGCAAUUUGUCGAAGUCCGGGGCACUAAGUCUGGAAUCUGGCAGAUGCUAGUCGACAAACUUAAGUGGCAGAGGGAUGUCAAUCUUGGCAAAGACAUUUGAGCCAUUGAUGCUACAAUGAGACCUGGCUAAACCACAUAACUAUGGUUUUCCAUCUUCAGAGUCAUCUCCUUAUUCAACUCCCUUCACAGUUCUGAAAUCCACGGUAGAGCCUUCAAUCUUUCCCAUCUUGAUAGUUAGCUCUAUUCUUUUGGCAAUCCUCACAACAUCAUGUCAAUCUUCCAAUGUUGUUGCGGUUGUAUGAGAAUUGUUGGAACCCUCCACUAGCUAGGUAAUCUUGGCAGCAUACAGAAACAUGCAGUACCACCACUGCCGACGUGUGGAAUCACGCGUUGUCUCAACUGGAAGAGAACUUGAUGAAUCUAAAACUCCUUUGUCUCCUCUUUGAUUCCUCACUGACGGCGCAUCAAACAGACACCUGUAGAGGGAGUUCUGCUCCAUUGAAGUUUCAGUCUUAUUCCCGUUUUUCAGCCCACGUUUGUCUCUUCUCCCUACUUUUGUGUUUUAAUUCCAACACUGGUAGGAGAAAAUUGUAGACGAUCUGAAACUACUGCAUCCCUUCUUGGAUUCCUCACUUACAGAUCCACAAACAAAUCUCUAUAGAGAGAGCUCUGCCACAUAGAAGUUUGAUGUCUGCUUAUGUUUUUCAGACCAGGUAUGGCUUUUCAACCCACUACAGUGUCUUCGUACUGAAACUGGUGGCGUAAAUUUUCAUAUCUUCUGAAACUACUACAUCCCCUGUUCUGCUAGGAAAACAUGAUAUCAGUAUCUAACUUUUGAACAAAGAGUUCAGCAUCAAGUCUCAGUCAUCUUGAGAUUUGAAUGCCCAUAUAUAUUCACAUGCUCAUACAAUAACAUUUUUAAAAAUGCAUUAUGCAUUAGAAACAGAACAUCAAACAAAGAGUUCAGCAUCAAGUAGAACGCAUGAAAGUCCACACAUUAAACCAAAAGAAACACAAAUGGGCAAGCAAACAUACGCCCUUACUUCUGGAGGCUUGUACGAUAAUGACUACACACACAACAUUACAUUACUUCUAACUUCUUCAGCAAACACGUAGAUAGAUAAGUCGCAAUCUUCUAUGGUAAAUAAGACUGUUACAAUGUGAAGCCAAUUUGUAUCCCAUUGCCAAUGAAACAGUUGGAAUUAAUUACUUCCCACCCAUCUAAAACAUACUCGCAGCACCAUCCUUGAAAUCAUGUAACAGCUAACCAACCUUGCCUGAUGCAAACAUGAAGAACAAAGACAAUCCAUGAUUUAAUUCAACCAUUAAAAUUUGAAGGUAAAGGAGAGGAUAAAUAAUCUUCAGCUAUGUCACCUGGUUUGGGCAAGAAAGAAUUAUUAGACUAGCAAUCAUCAUCAUCAUCAUCUUCUUCUUCUUCUUCUUCUAUUUCUUUCCACCCAUUAUUUCUGGUCCACUGUCUAUUAAUGCUUGAAUAUUCAGCUACUUCAGAUACCUGUAAACCAAUUCAAGCAAGGCAUGCUCAUUUUAACUUGUAAAUCUUAUUAUUGAGCCAAACAAGAAACAAACACACUAAAAGAGAGGCAAGAAAUCGAGUCAAAUCAGCAGCACCUCUGAUUGAGCACUCAUUGAACCAUCUGGUGUACUAGCAAAUUUUGUGGUCAGCUUUGGACAUUGAUGGACCGUCAACUCCUCCAAACGAGGGAAUAAGAAAUAAUCACACCAUCCGAAACUAAAACGGACAAUACUUGAUAAUUGUUCUAGCGACAACUCCUUUAGAUUAGGAAGCACUAUCUCCUUCUCAACGUUGAUAGGUGAAGCUUGACCAUCCUGCCCAGGAGACUCUGGAAUUAUUUCCCUUUCACCAUCCUCUUCUCUGAUAAUAUGCUUCAAUUGACCGCAUUUACGUAUGUAAAGUAUUUCUAGCUGUGGUAGACUUCGAGCGAGGGACGGUGUGAAGAUAAAUGUCAGUUUGUCGAGAGAAUACAAAUCCAGAAUAUUUAGACUUUGGAGGCUGACAUGUCCGGUGGGCCAUAUGCAUUUGAGGUCAGGUAAAAUUUGCAGCUCUAACUCUGUUAAAGAUGACAGCAGCGGCAUCUCCUUCUCCUCAGUGCUUCCUUCAUCAGGCUCACCUAAUUCAAAUACCUCUUCCAGUGAUUUGCAGCACUCAAUUUUCACAGUGCUUAGAUUUUUCAGGGCUCGCAGCAAUUUUGCUGGAAACGGAGCACGAACAUCCCCACAAUCCCUCACUCGUACAAAUUCUAAUCUUUGUACGGAGCCGUUUUGCUGUUCAUGGGCGGCCAUCUGAUCAGAGAACAAUAUUAUAUUUUUUCACUCUCAUAAAAACAAUUUAUACGAUGUAUAAAUAGGAGAAAAAAAUAGAAAAAAGAGGAUUAAAUACUUUUUAGAGAUUACAUAUUAUUGUUUUAGUUUUGUUCUUAAUUAGAGAUAAGUUGAAUAAUAAUUAGAUGUUUGUGAAAAAAAGGUUAAUACAACUCCUAAUAAUUAGUUUCAUGUAAAAAAUAAAAAUAAAAAUAGUAACUAAGAUUUUUAUUUUAGUUAUAAAGUUAAUAAAUUUUUAAAGAUAUUUUAAUUGACUUCAAAAUUUUCAACACAAAAUUUAUGCUCUUAUAUAUUAAUGAUUUUUUUUGUGAAGUUAUUUGAUGUAAUUUGGUCUAAUUUUUAUCCAGAUAGAUUACCUCCAAAGUACCCUUCCAUAUACACCUCGUGUCAGGCACGGAGUCCAAGCUUAAUGUUUUCAAAUUUGUGAACCCCUGCAUCAAAAGAAAUUUUGUGCACUUUGGAAUUGUCCAUAUAAAACUUCAGCCAAAAACUUAUCAACAAAAGGAUAGAAGUAGACAUGGCAAUACGGCAUGGGAAUAUGAAAUCAUAAGUUUUUGAAGAUAUUUUAAUUGAAUUAAAUAUUUGAACACAAAAUAAGCUAAUAUGAUUUCUAUGAUUAAUUGUUGGCAUUAAGUUUCUUAUAUUUAUAUAUGCUUAGAUAAAACAAAAAAAUAAGCAGUGACGAAGAAAGAAUAAAUCUAACAGAUAAUAUAAAAGCUGCAGGACUGAAACGAACAACUCAAUAUUAGCAGAUGGAGGUUUAUCUUCCUCUUCAAAUACUUCCAUUAAUUGGGGGAAGAGCCUCAAUUUCACUCAAACUUGGAAAGCGUAAAGAUUGAAAAAUCUGGAUAUCAUUUCAUUACAAUAAUUAAUUUCUUACUUCUUAAGCCCUCCAUCAAGAGACAGGGAAUGAUACAGUUAGACAACUCCUUUUCAAUUUAAUGGAUGGCUAAAGGAUUCAUCUCCACUUAUCAAUUACUUCAGUUUCAGAAAUUUAAAGGAAGAAAUCAACAUGUAUUGAAGUUGACAAUUUAAAUUAAAAAGGAAAAAAAAAAAUUGGAGGAAUAUAAAGGACGUACCUGGAGCUGUGCAAAGAAAUUUUCCAAUUCUUUGUGGCCAUAGAUGGUUAGACUUUUCAAAGAAGGCAAUUGUGCAGCAAAAUUCUUUGGACCAAAAAAGCUGUAAUUUGAUCUGGAAGAAAGAUCCAAUUCACUUAGUUGAGGGAACUUGAUGAUGCCAUCUGUGGUGAGUGUAUCUCCUUCUCCACUAUAAAACAUUUGCUUUAAAUUGUCAGCAUCAGAAAUCGUCAUCUUUUCCAGGUUUAGAAGGCUUGGAUACACAGAGACAGGGAGGACAUAUUCCAGUUUACCACACUCUUUUAUGAUAAUUGUUUUUAAUAUUGGAAAGUAAGGAGACUCUUGAAUUAUCUCCCUUUCAUCAUCCUUUUCUCUGAUAAUAUGCUUCAAUUCACCGCAUUUACUUAUGCGAAGGCUUUCUAGCUUUGACAGACUGUAAGCAAGGGACGGUGUGAAGAUAAAUGUCAGUUUGUCGAGAUAAUUCAAAUCCAGAUGAGCAAGACUUUGGAAGCUGACAUUUCUGGUGGGCCCCUUCCAUAUGCAUUUGAGCUCAGGUAACCGGUACAGAUUUAACUCUGUUAAAGAUGGCAGAAGCGGCAGCUCCUUCUCCUCACUGCUUCCUUCAUCAGGCAGCUCACCUAAUUCAAAUACCUCUUCCAAUGAUUUGCAGUCCUUAAUUUCCACCUUCCUUAGAUUUUUCAGAUCUGGCAGCAAUUUUGCUGGAAACGGAGCCCCACAAUCGACCACGUGUACAGAUUCUAAUCUUUGUAAGAAGCCGUUUUGCUGUCCAUGGGCGGCCAUCUUAUCAGAGAACAAUAUUAUAUUUUUUCACUCUUGUAAAAACAAUUUAUAUGAUGUAUAAAUAGGAGAAAAACAUAGAAAAAACAGGAUUAAAUACUUCUUAGAGAUUACAUAUUAUUGUUUCAGUUUUUUUUUCUUAAUUAGAGAUAAGUUGAAUAAUAAUUAGAUUUUGGAGAAAAAAAGGUUAAUAACUCCUAAUAAUUAGUUUCAUGUAAAAAAUAAAAAUAAAAAUUGUAACCAAUAUUUUUAUUUUAGUUAUAAAGUUAAUAAAAUUUUAAAGAUAUUUUAAUUGAAUUAAAUAUUUGAACACAAAAUAAGCUAAUAUGAUUUCUAUGAUUAAUUGUUGGUAUUAAGUUUCUUAUAUUUAUAUAUGUUUAGAUAAAACAAAAAAAUAAGCAGUGACGAAGAAAGAAUAAAUCUAACAGAUAAUAUAAAUUACGUAAACCAUGAGGCAGUUAAAUCUAACAGAUAAUAUAUUUCAAAUGAGGCAGUUAAAUCUAACAGAUAAUAUGUUCUUCCAUAUGAUUAAUUUUUAAUAAGGCAGACAACAAUGAGGCAGUUAAGUUUCUUAUAUUUAUAUAUGUUUACAUAAAAAAAUAAAAAUAAGCAUUUAUCAAUUACUUUACUUUUAGAAAUUGGGAGGAAGAAAGAACAAAUUAUCGCAAUUGACAAUUUAAAUUAAGUGGAGAAAUAUAAAUUACGUACUUGUAGCUGUGCCAACCAAUUACCCACUUCUUCGUGGCCUUCAAUGGUUAAUUCUUGCAAAGGCAAUUGAGCAUCAAAAUUCCUUGGACCUAAAAAGCUGUAAUUUGAUCUGAGCACAAGAGACAAUUUUCUUAGUUGAGGGAACUUGAUGAUGCCAUCUCUGUUAUGAGACAAAGAGACUGGGAAGACAUAUUCCAGUUUACCACAGUAAGCUACAUGGAGAGUUUCUAAUUCUGGGAAGCAAGGAGACUGUGGAAUUAUUUCCCUUUCACCAUCCUCUUCUCUGAUAAUAUGCUUCAAUUCACGGCAAGCAAUUAUGGAAAGUCUAUCUAGCUUUGGCAGACUGUAAGCAAGGGACGGUGUGAAGAUAAAUGUCAGUUUGUCGAGAGCAUACAACUCCAGAUUAAUAAGACUUUGGAGGUUGACAUGUCUGGUGGGCCCCUUCCAUAUGCAUUUUAGCUCAGGUAAUAUUUUCAGCUUUAACUCUGUUAAAGAUGACAGCAGCGGCAUCUCCUUCUCCUCACUGCUUCCUUCAUCAGCCUCACCCAAUUCAAAUACCUCUUUCAAUGAUUUACAGCUGUCAACAAUCACCUCCUUUAGAUUUUUAAAACCUUGCCGCAAUCUUGCUGGAAACAGAGCGAAAACACCCCCACAAUCCCUCACUUUUACAGAUUCUAAUUUAUGUAAAAACAAUUGCUCAAAUGUCUUCGCAUUUAAGGAUGUACCAACCAAAACUAAGGAGGUUGGGUAUCGAUCCCAAAACCUUAUUUCAUAUUCAUUAGCAUACCCUAAUAUUAUAUGAUAUUUGCGCAAGCUGACUGGAAAAACAAAAUCUCUGGGAAUGCAUUCAACCUUCGGUAUCCUCAAUGAUAAUACGGCUAACUGAGACAACGAAUUUAGUUCUUUUAGGCUUGCAUUCAUUCCUCCUGUGCUGUCACAUCCAACAACAUCCCAUCCAUCAAAUCUGCAACCCCCGAUCAACAGCUCUUCUAACUUCUUCAACCUUCCAAUCAAAUUCACAGGGAUCCUUCUUAGCCUGUAACAACCUGUCACAUCCAACAACCUUAACUCCUUGAGCUCUCCUAUUUCAUCAGGUAAUUCUUCAAUGGAUGAGCACCACAUAAGACCAAGUAUCUUAAGUCUCUGCAGCUUUCUCAACCAAAUGAGGUCCUUGCAAUUACACGAGAUCAACACCAACGAUUGAAGUUUCGUUGAGAGUUCAAGUGAUUGCAAUGACAAACACCCUCCCUUCAGAGACAAAACUUUAAUUUCUUUCAUCCCUUCAAAGAACCUCUGAGGAACAUUCAAACGAUUAUCCAGUUCUAAUAAUAGAACUUUGAGCUGUGGACAUACCAAUCCUUCAGGAAGUUCUGCUAGUUGAUUGCCCAUUAACGAAAUUGUUGUACAACCUUCAAAGCUUGUAUCGCUCAUUGGCCACUUCUCUAACCGUAAGCCAGCCUUUACCAUGAAUCCAUAUUCUUCUGAUGCUAUGUGAAUAGCAACAUCACGAACAAGGUCAUGCAUUUUCACAUGUUCUUCAGUUUCAGAGCCCAACACCAUGCAACAAUCUUUGAGGUUUUCGAUUGCCACAGAAACACGUUUCCUUGCAUCUUCAAUGGGCUCCGUGUCGUGAUGUAACCCAUAGUCAACUGCAUAUCUCGUCAAGUCCUGGAUUGGAAUGUCAUAGUCUUCUGGAAAUAAACAGCAUAGCACGAAACAUGACUUGGUUUCCUUGAGCUGCAAAUAAUCAUAGCUCAACUUAAGACAUGUAUAAGCAUUAUUUUUUUCGUCAAUUUGUUCCAUGCAAGCAAAUUUAGAUUCUUUGAGCUGUCUACACGCGAAUUCCCACUGAAGUGCAGAUUGAUCUCUUAGAGCCCUUCCCACUGUCACAAGUGCUAUGGGCAAGCCUUGACAUUCUCUCGCAACCUCCCUUGCCACUGUGUUCAAGGUAGGGUGCCCAUCAAGUAAAUCUGCAUUGAUUCUGAAUAAAUCCCAUGCUUCUUUUUCAGGUAAUUCUCUUAAGAACACCUUUUGCUGGCAUUUCAUAGAAGAACAUACAUUUGUACGACGUGUUGUUAGAAGUAUUUUACAACCCCUGUGAUCAUCACCAAAUGGGAUCCCUAUCUCUUUCAAGUCAAUAUCUUUCCAAACAUCAUCUAGGAUAAUAAGCAUCUUCUCCACUUGCUUCAGUCUCUUCCGUAAUAGAUCUGCUCUCCCUGGAUUAGUAUUCUUUUCUUUAAUAUUCAUCAGUUCUAACUUAUCUGCCAUUAGGUGCUGAAUGUCUUUGACAAUUGGAUUCUGCGACACCGUAGCAAUCAAAACUUCAUCAAAAAGCUGCGACUCUCUGGCUAUCGUGCCUACUUCUUUCACCAGGGUGGUUUUGCCCACCCCUCCCAUGCCGUACAGUCCGAUCAUAUUGACAUUGUCAUCUUUGAGAGCUUCCAUAAUCUGUUUGAAAGCUUCUUCUGACGAUUUUGAGGGCGUGAAUUCCUUUGAUGGAAGAAAUUCUAUGGGCUCAGGAUGAGCUCUGUGGGACACUUUUGUAGACUUUUUUUCUAAAAGUUCUCUGAAAGUCUCCGACUUCUUGGCCAGUGCCUUGCUUAACUUGAAUUGUCGCAUGCAGUUUGGACACCAAGUGAAGCAUUUGCCAUUUUUUCCUAUUUCAUUUUCCAAGGGUUUCGCAUCUUCAAUUUCGUUGUUUGCAUCUCCCAGCCACUUUUUGACAUCUUCGUAAAUUUCUUCAGCAUUCCUGUCAGCAGCUUUGACAUCGUCUUGCAGACGUUCUUUUUCCGAAACCAGCUGCUCCUUCUUUUGUUUGAAUUCCUUAACAAAAUCGUUGAAACAGAACAUGUAACGCAACUGCCUUCCUACUGGUUCCACCAUGAGUUCUGCAAUCUUAGAUAUAAUGGAUCCACCCACACUUUCGAUAGCCAUUUUCCACCGACCUGAAAAUCAGAGAAAUAAGGAUACACAGAACGUGAGAGUGAGUCACUACAAGUAAAACAGGCGCAGAGAGAAUGGGAAUAGGAAUUUCAUUACCUUAACUUGAGAAAAUAUGUGCGAAAAGCACUGGUACUGAUUGCUCAAUGAAAUGGAGAAGGCCUUUAGCUCUGUAUGGAAUCCAGCUUCAAAAGCAACAAGGCAAGGUAUAAGGAUUCUACUGACACUUGUGAGUUAAAGCAGUAAUUCCCAUUAAAAAUGCAUUUUGAUGACAUAAUUAAGAUCAUAUAGAGACAGUGACAAACAAAAAAGAAAGAAACGAGUGAAAGGUCCAGGAUAAUCACUCAGCCCGCUUCCAACCACAAAUAUAAUUAACUAAUCUAAGCUAUGAUCGGUCAAAGUCAAAGUUUUUUUUAGUUUUAUUCUUUUUUUAAAUAAAAAAAACAGGAAAAGACUUGCAAAGAAAUAGAAUUACUGGAAUGAACACAAUAAAGGAUGAAGCUCAAGCAAUUAAAAAUAAAUUAUCUAUGAUGAUCAUCUGUUUGUCACACUCAAUGAAGUAACAUGAUUGACCUUUUACAAUAUUAAAUAAAUAAAUAAAUAAAAGCUAAAAGAACUAGGUUUUUGGUGGCAUCCAGAUUGCGGUUACUUUCUUCAUCCUUCUUUUGUGGUUUUAUUUUAUUUCAGUCCUUCAAAUCUUUUUCUUUUGCUAUUUCAUCGAGUUGCUUUGCUCGAGUUGAUGUGCUUGCCCUAGAAUAUGCAUCAUGCUAGGGAUUACAAUUACAUUACAUAAGAAAUUAUACUUACAGAUUAUAAUUAAAAAUUUCAGUUUUUUUUUAAAAACAAAUUUAUGAGAGAGUACCAAUUUACAACGUGAGUAAAUGAAAGGAGAAUUUUAAAUCUUUUUGUGACAUGGUGACCAGCUGAUCCAAGUAACCAAUAGAUUAUCACCACUUGUUCAACCUAUCUGCACAUUAAGAUAGGGGUAGUCAUAACUAUGACUAGGAGUGAGCAAAAAAACCGAAAAACCGAUUUAACCAAGAAAACCAGAAAAAAAUUAACCGAAAAAACCGAACCGGUAAAAAAAACCGAUUGAACUGGUUAAAAUAUUUAGGAAAAUGUCCGGUUCGGCUUCCGGUUUUGGUGUGCCUAAACCAGCCAACCCGAACCGAACCGAACCGGUUCGGUUUAGGAAUGAAAAAAAAAUAUAAACCAAGCGGGUCGCCUCCUCCCAUUACUUUCCCUUUCAACAACCCUAGCAGACCAUUUAUUUGUUUUCCCUUUCACACAGCCGCCCCCUCCCCUCCAACCCUUUCAAUCUUCAUUCACACUUCACAGACAUAGCCGCCCCCUUCAAUCACCCCUACUCCCAUUAACAGCCGCUCCCUCCCAUUAACAGCCGCCUCCUCUUCACCAGUCAACGAGCUUAGGCUAUUCUCGGACAACCAUUCUUCGAAUCUCGAAAGAAACCGCCGUGCGUGUGAGGUGGCGAAACUGUUACCGCUUCUAGAUCUUCUUCAAUCUAUUGCUUCUAUCAAAGCCGAUUACAUCGCUCAGGUAAUCUUGUCAUGUAAUUACAUAUUUAAUUAAUUAUUGCUUGUUGAUUUUAUAUUGUUUCUAUUUUUCAAUUUUGAUGUGUUAAUUAUUUUGAACAAUGUAAAAAUAAAGGUGGACGAAAGAACACAAUUUGGAAAGGAAAUUGGAAUCGUUGUCCCUGUCUCAGAUUCUCAAAAGACAAUCAAUCGCAAACAGUAUGUCCUCCAUUUUUUUUUCUUCUUUUCUUUCUCACUGGUAGAUUGGAAUUUGAAACUGCCAACAAAAGUUUGUAUUCGAAGUUAGCUUUUUGAAAAUUGACCCUAUUAUAUAUUUACUGUGGCUUAAGCUUUGAGAUAUUGCAUGAUUAUGAAUUAGUUUAUAUGAGUUGAAACUUGAAACAUAGUCUGACAAGGAUGGAUUAACCAAUUGCUGGGAAAAUAGUUUUCAAAUCUCUUUGAAAAAUGUCUGAUGCUGCGACAUAAGUCACAUAACAGACUCGAUUUGAAGGGAAUCUUUGAGAUAUUGCAUGAUUAUGAAUUGGUUUAUAGAAAUUUGCUGGAUUGAUUUUUUUUCUUUUUCUUUUUUAAAAGGGAAUUUAAUUAAAAUACAUUUUUUUCAUCUACUUUUUAAGUUUAAAUCUUAGAAUUAAUAUCCAAAAAAUUUCACCUUUGCUCGCUAAAAUAUAAUUUUAAUCUUAACAAAAAACUAUAUCUUAAAAUUGACUGUGUUGCUAUCCAACUAAGAAAUUGACUCAAGUGGCUUAGUGAUAUAUAGUGGGGACAUUCUAUUUUAGACAUGCAGCUUGUUGCCUUGUUCUACUUUAUUCUAUAAUCUAUUUGAGAAAAAUGUUGUUUAUUUCUUCUAGACACUUUAGUCUUCCAAAUUUCAGUUGUAACCAGCAAGCAUAGAGGUUAUGAUAGAGGUUAUGUAUUGGGAAGAUGAACUAUCUUUUUAUUUGCAGUGGCUGUGAAACUCUCUUUCUGUGUGUCUCUGUCUCGUGUGCGUGUGUAUAUAUGCACCUGUAAUUCUUGCUUCUCUCCAGUUCCUUUCGUUUGCAAGUUACUGUUGCUAGAGUAGGUGCAACUAGUUCUUUCCUCUACAAGUCGGGUUUGGUAAGAUUGAUUAUAAAGAAAAAGGUAUUGGUAAUGCACAAUUUGAUUUUAGUGUUGAUGUUAAGUGUGGCUUGUUUUAUGAUGGAUAAUUAUGUUGACAAUAUUGGGCUUCAUGAAUGAUGAUGCCAGUUUAUUUAUGGUCUUAAUAAGCUAUAUUACUGCUGGAUUUGUGCUCUUUAUUUAUAUGGCAAAUUCUUAUUCAAAUCUUUGAUAUUUAUCGCUAAUGAAACUUCAAUCUUGCCUCAAGUUGUCGACCAAGUCAAAAUUCCUCCUACAAGUAUACAAUAUUGUUUUAUUAUAAUGUUAUAAUGUUAUCGCUAAUGAAACUUCAAUCUUGCCUCAGGUGCUCUUUAUUAUUAUAUUGAUAUUAAAAAUAAUUUUAAAAAAUAAAAAAAAUAUUAUUUUAAAAUAUUUUUAAAAUAAAAAAUAUUUUAAAAAACAACUAUUUAUUCAAGGACUUAAAAUAAAAACCUUAAAAUCACGGCAUGAUAAAAGGAGGAAGAAAGGAAUGGGACAAAGAAGGAAGAAAAUAAGGUCAUGUAGGGGGCCAGUCUUGUAUAAAAUAGAAGAUGAAAAUUAGUAUGAAAAAGAGGCUAUUUGUUUUUUUACUGUGUCAGAGUGGUUUUUAUAAUUAUAUUCAAUUUAUUAAAAUAUUAAAUUAAUAUAUUUUUAAAUGUUUCUUGUUAUUAUAUAUAUAUAUAUAUAUAUAUAUAUAUAUAUAUAUAUAUAUAUAUAUUCUAAUAUGUUUUUAAAUAAAAAAUUAUUUUAAAAAAAUAUGUGUCACAAUACUAAAUUAUAGUAUAAAUUAAAAUAUAAAAGAGUUCUCUGUUUAUUACUAUUUACCGAGACUUAUUUUAUUGUAGAUAUUAAUAGUGAAUUUUUUUAAAAUUUUUAAUUUGGUAUUUGAAUUAUUUUUUUUUCAUAAUUAAAUAUCUUUAUACCCAAAUUAAAACUCAAUUGCAUUUUGUUUUUUAAGAAUAAGAGUUGAAUUCAAAGAUAAAUGCCUGUAAUGAAAAACUCUGUAAAAAUAUGCGGCAACAUUGUAAUUGUUUGCAAAGUUCAUUUUAGUCCCUUAUCUUUUUGAGCUACUAAGUAACAUGUCCCUAUAAUUUCUCAACAUUACAUUUUAUCCAGAAUCUCGGAUUAUGCUUUAGGGACUAAACUGAAUUUUUUAUAAAUUGAGAGACCAAACUGAAAUUUUAUCAUCUUCAAUCUCAAAUCUAAAAUUUUCACAUAUCACCUACUGAUAUAACAAGAUUUCUAACUCAAAUUCACCAUUUAAACAAACCAUAACUCAAAAUCAUCAUUUUUACUUAAAAUCUUUCAAAAUCAACUAAAUAACUCAUUAUUCAUAACAAUCAAUACAUAAUAUUCAAAUCAAUUCAUCAAUCAAACCCAAAACACAAUAUUCAAAACCCUCAUAUUCAACAAAACAAAAAAUUAAAGCUAAGAAAAACACAUUUAUACACAUCAAAGCGUAAAUAUUCUUAUCUUUUAAUUUAUUUUCUCUAACUAUCUUAUCCUUUCUUUAUCUUUUCCUCUUUUCUCUUUUUCUUCUUUCACUCUCACGGUUUUUUCUCUAAGAAUUCAAAUCUCUCUUUUUUUUUUCUAUUUAUAUUUAUGAACUAUUUGUUCAAUUACUACAAUACCGUUCAUUUAUUUAUACCUACUUCUAAGCCUCCAUGAGUUUUGUUGUCUUUUUCUAUUCUCUUUUAUUUCCAAAUCAUCACAAUAAAAUUGUUUUCUUUUUAUUUAGCUGCUAAUUUAUGCAGCUUUAGCUCUUGUUCUCUUUUCAUGUUUAGCAACUCUGAUCUGUUCCUUUCUUUACAUGAUAUAAGAGCAGGUUCUUACCUCUUGAAGUCUGCUGGAUAAACCUAUCAGCAGAAGAUCCUGAAGCGAUCCCAAAUCACAGCUUCAAUCCCCACCACAACCAAUCUCCUCUUUCCCGUAGUCUGUCGUCCUCAAUUGGGAAAUGAUCUCAAAAAAUCACUUGAUGCAACAAGUAGGGUAGAGAAAUAUAAGACUUCAACAAAGAAUCAAACUCAAAAAAAUAAAAGUAAUUGUCUAUGAGAAGCAUUUCUGUGUCACACACUCAAGUAAUAUGAUUGACCUAUUACAUUAUACAAAAUAAUAAUAAUAAUAAUAAUAAUAAUAAUAAUAAUAAUAAUAAUAAUAAUAAAAGAACUAGGUUUUUGAUGGCAUCCAGAGUGCUGUUACUUUCAAACAAAGAGGCUUGUGCAUGCGGUGUUACGCUGUUCAUGUAGGCUAAGAUAUCCUAUGAAUACAAUUGUAAAAUCAUACAAUUGUAUUCUUUUUAUUAAGCUGCUAAUUUAUGCAGCUUUAGCUCAUGUUCUCUCUUCUUGUCUUGCUAUUCUGAUUUUAUCUUUUUCUUUGCAUGAUAUAAGAGCAGGUUCUUACCUCUUGAAGUCUGCUUCAAUCCCCGUAGUCUUCCGUCCUCAAUUGGGAAAUGAUCCAAAAUCAACAACCGGUUCGGAGAUAGUUUGAGUGAAAAGAAACGGCUGAAAGAUGAAAUGUGAAGGUUAUGGUGAGAAAUUAGAUGACAAACUUACUUUGUCCUCCUAAUGCUUUUGCUUUCAUUGUUUCGAAAGUAAAAGAGACAUAAACAUAAUCAGUGUGUUUUCUGUUUAGCAAUAGCUAGAAAGGUAUCUGCUUAAAAAGACCAUUGAACAAGGGAUGACCCAUUCAGCAAGGGAUUCUGCUAGGAAAACAUGAAAUUGUUCUUCUAUUUGAUAUUUGUUUCAAUCUUCUAAACAAAUAGUACAGCAUCAAGUCUCAGUCACCUAUUCACGAAAUUGUUGUAUUUCUAAUGACUAUGCUAAUAAAAAAGUUGAGCCAGCAUGACACAUGAAAUUCAAAAAUAACAAAAUAACAUGAGAAAAUAAAUAUUUAUAUUAUAAUUAUGCAUCUUAAAAAAUCACUUGAUGCAACAAAUAGGAUAGACUUCUAGGAAAUUCUUUCACUGUAAAAUGGCUGAAGGUUCUUUUAUGAACAUUUAUAUUAAAAAAUUGGGUCAAUUGAUCUUUGUUAUUUAACAUGAAUAAAGUGUUGAUUUAGUCUUGUAGUUAUUAUAUCAAAGUUUUUAUUAGUUUAUGCACGAUCCCUUAUUUUACUUGCUUUAUUUUUUUUAAACCCAGCUUAGUUUCAAUCUCGAAUCUAUCGGGUCCCACUACCAGAUAUUCGCUAAAUACCAACGGAUUUACCGACGAAAUAUUUUCUGUCGGUAUUUUGAGGUCGAAAUUACCGACGGCCACUUUCCGUCCGUAAUUCAGUCGGUAAAAACCGACAAAAACUUUUCCGUCCGUAAUUCAGUCGGUAAAUACCGAUGGAAAUUUUCCGUCGGCAUUUACCGACUGAAUUACGGACGGAAAAGUUUCUGAAUUUUAAAAAAGGCGGGUCGCUGACGUGGAGGUUUUGGCGGGUUUUUUUUUUCCGACGGAAUCACCAACGGAUUCAAAAACGACUGCCCGUACAGUGCCCGUAAAGUGAUGUGACCGGUUCACCGUUUAAAUUUCCGACGGACUCACCGAGGGAUUUGAAAUGGCAGAUCCGUACGGUGACAUGUCUAUGUUUCCGUCAGAAUCACCGGCAUAAUAACCGACGGAGUGUCCGUCGGUAAAACCGUCGGAAAAAGUUAAUAUAUGACAGCUCUGCCGACCCUCUCAUCCCCUAUUUCUCCUUCUUCUUCCUCAUCCCAACUCUCCCCAUCUGCAAACAACCAGCCCCCCCUCCCCCCUAAAAAAAAAAAAUCUUCCUCAUAUCAGCACAAGAAGUUAUAUUUCUUGAAGUUUUGUGGUCACGGCAUCCGCGCGUGUUCUGAUUUAUCGACGGAUUUUAUCAAUUUUUGUAAGUAAUUAUAUCUUUUUAAAUUUUAACAUUUAAUUAAAUGUCAAUUUUAUUGUUUUUUUAGUAUAUGUAUUUUGUUAGUAGAUGUACAUGUUUUAUUGUUAUUUCUCAAACAAACUUGUAGUAUAUGAAUGUAUAAUUUUGUACCUGUUAUGGUUUGUUUUAGAUUUUGUAAGAUUGUAUUUGUUUGUAAAUUAUUAUUUCUUUAUGGAAUUACCGAAUUACAUGUGCUAUUUUGAAAUAAUUAAUAGCUUGGUUAAUGGGCCCGUUUAAAGUUUUAUCAAUGGUAUUGUGGAGUGGUAAUUUCUGUAAAUUUAUAUUUUUUAAUUCGUAUGGACGUUGAUAAAUGAUAAUGAAUAUUUAAUAUUUAUGAGAAGUUGUGAUUGGUUUGUUGGAUAAUCUCGAGUUAAAGUAAUAUUUGUACAAGUUUAUUUACCUAACUUAGUUAAUUAAUACAUGAUGUCAUCAUAAUUUUAUAGAGGUUCGAUAUAAGUCAUGGAUGAUCGUUCAUGGAUGUAUCGAGAUUCACCCCAAGGAUUGCGGAGGAUGGAUUAUUGUAAUGGGGUUCAGGGUUUUAUUAAUUUCGUAACAUUUAUUCCCAGAAAUUUUACUGGAGGCGGUAUUAGGUGUCCAUGCAGGAAGUGUGAAAAUAAAAAGUAUUUGCAUCCAGAUGUUGUAAUGAUACAUCUUCUACACAAAGGGUUUAUGGAGAAUUACCAGUGUUGGUAUGCACAUGGAGAAGUAUUUGUUAGCGAGAGUGAGAGGAGAAUGGAAGAAACGGUGGUUGGGUCUACUUCUAGUGCUAGUAACGUGCAUGAAACGGCAAAUGACAACACUAAUCCUUACAGAAAUAUGGUUAUGGAUGCAAUGAGAAUGAAUCAAGGUAAUGGCAGUCAAUGUCCAAUCGUAGAAGAAGAACCUAAUGUAGAUGCAGCUAGGUUUUUUGAUUUGUUGAAAGAUUCUGACGAACCAUUAUGGGAUGGCUGCACGAACCACAGUAAAUUAUCGGCUGUAGCACAGGUGUUCACCAUCAAGUCAGAUCACGGGUUGAGUGAGGCCGGGUAUGACAAGAUUAUUGAAUGGGCAAGAAGCAUUUUACCUGAAGGGAACAGGCUGAAAGAGAACUUAUAUGCUGCGAAGUUCAUGAUGAAACCCCUCGGUUUAGGAUACCAGAAAAUUGACAUGUGCCCUAACUUCUGCAUGUUAUACUACCUUGAAAAUGCUGAGAUGACUGAGUGCAUGACAUGCGGGCAUUCCCGUUACAAACCUAGAACUGGCAGGGGAAAGACUCUAGUGGCAUAUAAAAAACUUAGAUACUUCCCGAUCACACCUAGACUGCAGAGGUUAUUCAUGUCACCAAGGACUGCUGAGCACAUGACAUGGCACCAAGCACACCAUGCGGUUGAUGGAGUGAUGGUUCAUCCUUCUGACGGCGAAGCGUGGAAACGCUUUAACAGUGUUCAUCCUCACUUUUCAGCUGAAUCAAGGAAUGUGCGUCUUGGGUUGUGUACAGACGGAUUCAACCCAUUUGGGUCAUUUGCUGCUCCUUAUUCUUGUUGGCCGGUCAUACUCACAGUUUAUAACUUGCCACCGGGAAUGUGUAUGAGGCCGGAGUUCAUGUUUUUAUCUAUUGUCAUACCCGGUCCAAGAAGCCCGGGGCGGAAUAUAGAUGUUUGUCUUCGACCGUUGAUUGAUGAGUUGACGCAGUUGUGGUCCUCCGGAGCUCUGACUUAUGAUAUAUCGAGGAAACAAAAUUUCCUUAUGAGGGCGGCAUUGAUGUGGACUAUCAAUGAUUUUCCAGCUUAUGGAAUGCUUUCUGGUUGGAGCACGCAUGGGAAACUCGCAUGUCCAUAUUGCAUGGAAAACAACAAGGCAUUCACGCUAGCAAAUGGAGGUAAAGCUUCUUUUUUUGACUGUCACCGUCGCUUCUUGCCACUUCAUCACAGGUACAGAAAGAACAGAAAAGAUUUCUUUGCUGGCAGAGUUGAAAAAGAUGUUGCAUCCCCGCGUCUUUCUGGUGAAGAAUUGCAUGAUGUUGUCUUAGAGUACGGUGACAUUGUGUUUGGCCUUCAAUCAGGAAAGCAAAAGUUUCCUGGUUUUGGUUUGACCCAUAAUUGGGUAAAGCGAAGUAUCUUUUUUGAGCUUCCUUAUUGGAAGACCAAUCUGCUUCGCCAUAACCUUGACGUCAUGCACAUCGAAAAGAACAUGUUUGAGAAUAUUUUCAACACCGUCAUGGAUGUGAAGGGGAAGACAAAGGACAACAUCAAGGCUAGAUUGGAUAUAGCUUUAUACUGUAACCGAAAAAAUAUGGAGUUGGUUUAUGAUGAGUCACGGGUCGCAAAACCAAAAGCAAGCUUCGUGUUAGAGAAAAACGCACAACUGCUAGUCUACAAAUGGCUUAAGAGUCUGCGUUUUCCGGAUGGACAUGCAUCGAACAUAUCAAGGUUGGUUAAUAUAGAGGACUGCAGAUUGUAUGGAAUGAAGAGUCAUGACUGCCACGUGUUUAUGCAAACACUCAUCACAUUAGCUUUUCGUGAUUUGUUGCCAAAGGGAAUAUGGGAUGCACUCACGGAGAUCAGUCAUUUCUUCAGAGAUAUAUGCUCCAGCAAGUUGAAUGUUGAUCACAUUGAGAGGCUUCAAACGAAUAUCGUCGAGACACUGUGCAAACUUGAGAUGAUAUUCCCUCCAUCAUUUUUUGACUCAAUGGAGCAUCUCCAUAUACAUCUAUCGUUCGAGGCAAAAGCUGGAGGACCGGUCCAAUAUAGAUGGAUGUACCCAUUCGAACGGUUAGAUAUUACAGUUGCAAUGUAAUUCAUAUAUAAAAGUAUUUUAUAUGUUUUUCUUAAUUGAAAAUACUUGAUUAAUAUUUCAGGUGCGGUCGCAGCUAGUUCGUCUAGCAGCGAGGAUGAUAUUUCCUUAGGUGCCUCUCAAGAAGAGGCACCUACACCACCUGCGCCGUCAACCGAUGCUGCCUCUUCCAGCGGUACUUCACAGCGCAGAGGCGGCGUGCCUUCGCAGCGGAAUCAAUUUACCCGCAAGUACGAGGCACAGUGGAAGGACGACCUUUCAAUGUAAGUUUGUUAAGGUUUUAGUUUUUUUUAAAAAAAAUUACAACAUAAUUUAUCAAGUAAUCACUAUUGAAUUUAUUUCAUUUAUUUUCAGGUUCACAAACAUUGAAGUCGCCCGAGUAAUAUCAUCGGCGUUUAAAUCGUCGAUGGAGAUUCCAUUGUUUCAAUGGAGUCAGAUAUCCAAGCAUCCUGAAUGGAUGCCUCAAAUCAAUGCAUGGUUUAACAGGUUUGAGGUUGGUAUUAAUUUAUAAUUUUCAGCUUAUUAAUAUAAUUGUAUUAUUUUUAUUUAAACUUGUUUAUUUAUACAAAGCACAAAUUCUGCUAGGACAUUGAGCAUAACGCUGUUGUGAGGAGGGUGUGGGAAAAUCACGCGGCAACUAGGUAAGAUCGAAAACAAUACAUGAUUUUUUUUAGACAAAAAUUUAUGUUUCGAAAUGUAAUUUUUGGUUGCGUGAAGCAGGUUGCGUGAUUUUUGGUAUGAAGCACAGAAAAAGGCAAAAAAAACCGCGAGGGAUAGGGGUUUCCAAGGCUGGAACGAUGUUGCGGUUUGGAGGGAUUUCAAACUGAUAUACAUCCCGGAAGAUAUAUGGCCGCACUAUCUUGAGCACGUGACGUCUGAGCAGUUCACACGACGCUCACAGUCCGGUGCUGGCAACCGGAAUCGACCAAUUCAUGGCGGGGUGAGAACUCACACUGGCAGCUCCGUUCCGUUUGCUGCACAUGCGAAACGGAUGGUAAGAUUAAUUUAAAUGAAAUAUAUCGUUAAAUUCAGUUGUUGUUAAUAUAUCUUUUUUCAUUAUAGGCUGCGUCUCUUGGACGUGAGCCGAGCCCGAUGGAGCUGUUUGUGGAGACGCACGUGCGGAGUCAAGACCGCCAGAAGGGGGCGCAACAGUUCGUUGAUAACCGUGCUCAGCAUUUCGUGGUAUGUUUGUUCAACCAUUUUAUUUUCUAAGUUAUUAUGUUUAUUGUAUUGAAUAUGAUGAUUACUUUUUUUAUUUUAUUUUCAGGAGACCUAUAAUAAUCGGUUGAGGGAGAGAUACGGGGACGAUACUUUGACCCAUCCGGAAUUCGAUCCGGAUUUGUGGAUGGAGGUUGGCUCGUCAGGUGGACCAGAUAAAAAUCGGGUUUACAGCCUCUCCAACACUACGGCCGACAACUUGCGGUCGACCCAUAGUGUUUCAACCGUUGGGAACUCCCAAUCAAUAGCGAGCUCCCAAUCUAAGGAGUUUGUGGCUUUGCAGCAACUCAACGAGAAAUACGACAACCUACAAGCGGAGUACGCACAACUCAAAGCAUCUCAUGCACAACAAAGAGCGGAGUCUGAGCAAUUCAAAGCGUCUCAAGCACAACAAAAAGCGGAGUAUGAAGCGGCUCAUGAACAGCAAAAAGCGGCUUAUGACCAGCUUUACGAAAUGAUUAUGAAAUUGUCAAAUAGCGGAACAUGUGCGCCUAAUCCUUUUUGGCCGUAUAACCACCAGCCUCCGCCCGGAUCUCCUCCUCCUCCUCAAGCUCCAUCAUCUUUAUAUUAAUUUGUAAUCAACAUUAUUUACCUUUAAAACUUCAUUUAUUAUUUUUCUUGAAACAUAUUCAGUUUGUAAUGAAUAUUAUUUAACUUUUUUUUUUUAUGUUUAAUAAAAAUUUUAUUUGCAUAAUUGGUUUGUAUAACAAUUAAUUUAUAUAGUUUUAUAUUAUAUAUCCUAAAUAAUUUUUUAAAAACAAAUUAAGAAAAAAACUAUUACCAAGGAUUUUACCGACGGAUGAAUUCGGUCGGUAUUUUAAACUUUCACCGACAAACUUACCGACGGAAUUAAUCCGUCGCCAUUUAACAGUAGCUUCCACCAGUACCGACGAAUUUACAGACGAAAAUAUUCCGUCGGUAUUUCAUACAUUCACCGACCGAUAUCACGACGGAUAUUUUCCGUCGGUAAUUUCAAUUUCACCGACGGAAUGAAAAUCCGUCGGUAUAUUUCAAGCGGGAAUCUUUUUUUUUUGGCGCGCACGUUCCGUCUGUAAAACCGUCGGUAAAUGAUUUUUUUGUUUUUCCGACUGAUAUACCGACGGAAUGAGGAAUCACCGACGAAGGUAAAGCCGACAGACGUAUUCCGUCGGUAAAAAAAUCACCGACGAACUUCUAAUCACACACCGACGGAAUUUUGCCGCCGGUAAAACUGUGAAAUCUUGUAGUGUCCUGGAUCGACCCAUAAAGCCAAACCAAGUUUUAAAACUAUGUUAUCUUAGCAAAUUUAAUUAUCCCAAUUCUUAAUUUUCAAUUGAAAAUGCUAAAGAAUUCCCCACUGGGAGCAAAUAAUAAUAUGUUAAGCAUGACAAAUUUUAUUUAAAUUAAAAAGCCAAAAAUGAACGCAUCUACUCUUGCAAGAAUGGACUCAAAAGUUCAGCUAGUCCGCAUAAUUAAAUAGUACUGUUACUGUAAACUACUAGGAAAUUCAUGGGUAGAGCCAAAAUGUUAACAAUAGCAUUGAUUCGGUCAGGGGCUCUGGUGUAUAGAGAGGACCUUGCCGUUAGAAACUAUGGAGCCCACUAUUUAUUAAUCCAUUUUUAUUUACUACUUAUUACUAUUUAAUUAUUUUUAUUUACUAUAUUUUUGUUUGUGAUACCCAGUACCAAUAAAAUUUGAGAUUCCUUCAAUUUUUUAGGUGCAUGCAAGUCUAAUGGCUUCAUGUACAAAAGCAAUUCAAGGGUGUGUAUCCUUAACUAUCAGGCUAACCUUUACAGGCUUCGCUAGCAAUCAAUAAUUAUUUUUUAAUGAAUUCAUUUUUUAUUUAAAAUAAGGAAAAGGACAUUGGUGAAUAAAUUGUUUCCUUCCUAUUAUAAUUGUUAGACCUUACCAAAGGGCUAAUUUAGAAAAAGAUUAUAACUUAUAGGUCACCAGGGCCGAGGUCAACUUGUAAUUAAGUAGAUCAAUUUAAAUUAAUUGUUUUUAUUUAAAUGAUAAUGUUUUGUUUUUUUUUCUUGAUAUUAAUUUGGCUAAUUUUUAUCAAAUCAAAUCACUAAAAACUUAACCAAAACAAAUUUCAUCAAAUCAAUAAUAUUUUAUGUAGUUGAAUUAAAAAUUCAAUUCAAUUCUAGCUCUGAACCCUGAUUAAGCAUACAGGUUUAAAAAAUAUGCAUCUCACUUGCAGCUGUGGUUUGCUGCGGGCAUUUGGUAAUUGGGAGAGGCUUUAGUUUCGUACCUGUUGAUCUGCUUCAUAUACACUUGGACCUCUUAUUUUAUUUUAUAUUGGUUGGAUCCAAACUUAAUCCAAUACAAAAUUAACAUAUUUAUUAUUUAUUUAAGAUAAAUGAUAUGGCUUUAACAUAUUAGCGUACACUUAAUAUGAUUAAAUUUAAUUUAAUUAAUUAACAUCUCACCGCAAUAAAUUUUACCAUUUGCAACCAUAAACAGUUGACACCUUAUUAAUAUAAUCAAUAUAGUAGAAAAAUUAUAGUGAUUUAAAACAAUUCAUUAAAAUGUUCGUAAAUGUUUUUAUUUUGUGAUGAUGGUUUUCGUGUUAUCUUUUAUGUAUUGUCGCUACCGUACAUGAACGCCUGACAUGAGGGUUAUUUGAAAUCAUUAUCUAGUUAUUUAGUUUAAGGUCACUAAGAAACCUAUAAAUACUAGUCUUGUUAGAGAUUUGAGAGUAAAUGACUAGUUGUGGCUAAAGAAUGUAUUAACACUCUUAAUGCACCCUACCCAAGUAAAUUAUUUUGUGAUUAAACGUGGUUUAGAGAUUUUGAUGAUUUUCUGAUAUAUCUAUAGUUUAGGAUUGGGAUUUGCUUGUAUGAAUAAAUUUGGUGUUUAAUAAUUUAUCAUGGAUUCUUGUACCCAGAUAAAUUCUUAGAAAAAAAAGUUCUUCAUAAUUUGUGUACGUAUUACGGUAAAAAUUACUCUCAAUAAAAAUUCAUGAAUAUUUAGAAUAACUUUGAGGAUUUUCUAAUCAACUUCAAUAUUUCAAAUAUCAGCCUCACUUAUAGGUAUAGCGUUUUAUAUCAAUAUUUUUAACCAUUAAUUCUCAUUAAUUAAAAAAUAGUGGUUUAUUAAAAUAUUGACCAAAUUCACAUGAAUUUAAUAAACUAGUUAUUAAAUUUUAAAAUGCAUAUACAUAUAUAAUAUUUUAAUUUGUUUUUAAAUAAAGAAUAUUUUUAAAAAGCAUGUGCCAUAAUACCAAAUUAUAGAAUAAAUUAAAAGAGAAAGGAGUUUUCUCUUCAUCACUAUUCACUUAUAUUCAUUUUACUAUGGAUAUUAAUAGUGAAUUUUUUGAAAAUUUCCAAUUUGGUACUCAAUUAUUUUUUUUUCACAAUUGAGCUCUUUUAAAUCCAAAUUAAAGCUUAAUUGCAUAUUUUUUCAAGGAUGAGGGUUGAAUUGAAAAACAUAGGACUGAAGUGAAAAACUCGAAUAAAAUAAGUUGUGGUUUUGCAAUUUGUUUGCAAGUUCAUUUUAGUCCCUAUAAUUUUUUAUCAUUGUAUUUUGAUACCAAACUUUAUUUUCUUCUGUUUUUAGUUUUUUUGUGUAAGAGAGAGAGAGAGAGGAUCACCAUAUUUUGUUUUAGAGAGAAAAAGUUAUUUUUAAGGAUUGUGACCACCAAAACAAUUGAUUUUUGUGUUAAAUUGUUAUGUCUUAAUUCAACAAGGUUCCUUGAAUGUUUUCUAGGUGUUUUGGGUUAAAAUGGGUUGAAGACAGGUUUUAGGUUAUAAUUAGGUUUUUUACCAAAUUGAUCAAAUUUUUUUAAAAAAAAAAACAAAUCAAGAAGAGAAAAAGACUUGUAAAAAAGUAGAAUUACUGAAGGAAGCUCAACAAAGAAUCAAACUCAUGCAAUUAAAAAUAAUUGUCUAUGAUGACCAUCUCUGUAUCACACAUUCAGGAAAUAUGAUUGACCUAUAACAAUAUUAAAAAAAACAAAAAAAAAAUAAGCUAAUAGAUGGUCGCCACGUGUUCAACUUUAUCUAACCUUAGCAAAGGAUAGAAAGUGGGAGAGAGAGAGAGAGGUUAAAAGGAUUAAGAAAAAGAAAAAAGGAAAGGCAGAAACGGAAGAAGACAUUGAAAGAAAGAAAAAAACGAUAAGUUAUUUAACGUCUUUUUAGGGGGGGAAAAAAAAGCUUGUAACACCGUGCAGACCAAACAGAAGAGACAUCUGUUUAUUUAAAGAAAAAAAAAAUAUAUAUAUAUAUAUAUAAAUACUCUCUCUUCCAAUUUCCUCUCCCAGCUGAAUUUCGGCGACCGCCCACACAACGAUAGCCUACACAACCACCAGCCAUGCCACCUUUCAAGACCCCAUCUCUCAACCUCAAAACCAAAAACAACUCUUUCUCCAUUUAUCCGAACCUCAUAACUCCAGGAAGGUGAAGGACUAAACCAUAGUGGCAAAAAUCUUAAAGGGUUCUAAAUUGUCUGUUACUUUCCCUUAAUUUUCUAGACAAGCAAAAGGAGCUAAACUUAUUCCCGACCAAAACGUCAAGAAUUUCAGUAGAACAAAAGAAGAGAUCAUUACUUGACCAAAAACAACUAGUCAGCACCCAAAGAAACCGAGUGAAUGAGAGAAAAUUAAAGAUUAAUAGCUAGAAAACAAUAAACAGAUCCAAGAAUUUUCUGUAUGGUUUCCAAGAAAAUGAAACGAAAUGAGCAGCACAACCCUCUUUCUCCUCCAAGAAAAGAAAGAAAAAGAAAGGAAAGAAACAAAGAAAGUCAAACUUGGCUCCUCUUUUAGUGUUAAAAAAAAAAAGAAGUUAGAGGAAGUGGGCUGCCUUUUUUCUGCUGUUCAUGUGGUGUUCUGCUGUUCACGCAGACUAAGAACUCCUACCAUCGUAAAAUCAUACAAUUAAAACACAACAAUAAUAAAGUAAUAAGCAGCUAAUUAUGUGCGAAAACAAGAGAAAUAAGGAUACAGAACGUGAGAGUGAGUCACUACAAGUAAAAGAGGCGCUGAGAGAAUGGGAAUAGGAAUUUCAUUACCUAAACUUGAGAAAAUUGUGCGAAAAGCACUGGUACUGAUUGCUCAAUGAAAUGGAGAAGGCCUUUAGCUCUGUAUGGAAUCCAGCUUCAAAAGCAACGAGGCAAGGUAUAAGCAUUUUGAUGACAUAAUUAAGAUACUAUGCGUCGUAAUAUAGAGACGGUGACAAAGAAUUAAAGAAAAAUAACGUGUACAAGUACUCACCAAGCAAAGAAAGAAACGAAUGAAAGGUUCGGGAUAAUCACUUAGACGCCUCCAUGGAUGAUACCAGCUCGCUUCCAACAACAAAUAUAAUUAACCUAAGCUAUGAUCGGUCAAUGUUUUUUUUAGUUUUCUUCUUUUUUAUAUAUAAAAAAAACAGAUCAUCAAGGGAAAAGACUUGCAAAGAAGUAGAAUUAAUGGAACGAACACAACAAAGGAUCAAACUCAAGCAAUUAAAAGUAAUUGUCUAUGAGUACCAUCUGUGUCACGCACUCAAGUGAGGAGAGAAAAGAAGGAGAAAGAAAGGAAAGGGACAAGGAAGGAAGAAAGUAAGGUCACGUAGGGGCCAGUCUUGUAGAAAUUUUGAAAAGUAGCAUGAAAAAGAGGAUAAUAGAGUAGUUGUCAGAAUCAAAACACAUCUAAACAGAGGACAAAAACAGGGAGGGAGGCUGUUUGUUUUUUUAACUGUGCCUGAGUGAUUUUUAUAAUUACAUUUAAUUUAAAAAAUAUUAAAUUAAUAUAUAUUUUUAAUAUUUCUCGUUAUUACAUAUAUAUAUAUAUAAUAUUUAAUAUAUUUUUAAUUAAAUUUUUUUUAAAAAAAGUAUGUGUCACAAUACAAAAUUAUAGUAUAAAUUAAAAGAAAAAGGAGUUUUAUGCUCAUUACUAUCCACUAGACUUGUAGAUAUUAAUAAUAAAGUUUUUGAAAGUUUUCGAUCUAGUAUUUGAAAUUUUUUUUUUUUUGCAUAAUUGAAUUUAUUUAAGCUUAAUUGCAUAUUUUUUAAAAGGAAAUAGGUUGAAUUGAGAAACAGAGAAACUCGGCAAAAAUAUGUGGUUAAAAUCAAUCCUUUUUAAAAAAAAAAAAAAAAAACUCCUUAGUUGUUAAGGAAAGAUUGGUAGUGUGAACAAAUCACCAAAGUCAGCAGCAAGGAAGUUCCAGGAAGUGGGCAGCCUGUUUCAGGGCUACCUGUUUUUGAGAAUUAUGGAAAGUUAUCCCUAACUCAAAAACGGCACCAAUUAUAAGUUCAUUAAAAAAAAUCUGGAACACAACAGAUGGAAAAAACUCGAAACAACUUGUAUAGAAUUUAGGCAAGAAGAAUGAGCCAAGAUUUCAAGUGCAAUGAAAUUUGUCUCACUUUGUUUUUUUAUUUAAUGAUACAAGAUAUACCGUCCUAUUUCAAGGGUAAAAUAGAAUGGAAUAGACAACCUUUAAAGGGAGCAUAUACCACAUAUGUGUAGCUGGAAUUCGAUAGCCUUUCUCCAAUGCUGACAUGUGCUUUACAUGCAUGCACCAACAUUUCACAUCGGCAAGUGAGGAUUUGGUAGCUCAUCUUAUUAAUAGUGUUGGUUAAUGACUUGUCAGACGCGUUUUGAGGUCAUGCGUGGUCAUCAAAAACAAAUUUGUGAGGGCGAUAAGGUCCAAAAUGGACAAUAUUUGACAAGUUGGAUCGGACUAUGACAUUUGGUAUCAAAGCUGGCCUCACUAACUAUCCAGUUGUGCUGAUGGGGUCAUUGAGCUCCUUAAGGGGGUGAAUUGUAAUAUCUCACAUCGAUGAAUGAGGAUUUAGAAGCUGACCUUAUUAGUAGUGCUGGUUGCUAACUUGUCAGAUGCGUUUUGGGGUCAUGCGUGAUCACAAAAAACAAAUUCGUGAGGAUGAUAAGGCCCAAAACGGACAAUAUUUGGCAGGUUGGGUCAGGCUGUGACAUAUUCGAUAAUAACUCUUCAAUUAAGUCCUAAAUCUCAUUUCAUCUUUUCAAUUUAAUCCCUAAUUUGACACCAACUCUUCAAUUAGACCCCAAAGCUCAUACCACUUGAGGAAAGCCCUCUUCUUUCAAUUUAGCCCCUCAUUUAUCUUUAAUUUAAUAUCGAAUUUUAUUCGAUCCAAGCCCAAAAUAGGCUCAAGCGAAGACAAAAUAAAGGAAGGAAAGAAAAUGAAUAAUUGCCCAACCAAGUUAACGUAUUCUGGUCUUUUCUCCAUGAUUCGGGUUGAACAUUUGACAUUUAUCCUUUUUUUAGAGGCUUUUCUCUAUGUUCGUUAUGACGCUGUACACGUGCGACAACCAUUAAAUCUAUAGUUAAUUUCAUUUUUUGAUAAAAGAUAAUGCCAUCAGUAUAGAAUGGUUACCAACUGUUAGUUUAAUAAGCCUUGUAUCCAAUCGGUUAGUUACACGAUAUAUUAUUAUAUUCAUGUAAAUACAUAUUUAUUAUUAAUAAAGGCUUAAUUUAACUUUAAUAUUCAUAUAAUAUUAGAUUAAUGAAUCUAGAGUGUCAUAACCCUUUUUGGGUUUUUCCCCAAAUUCAUUUUUUCUCUUCUAAAAAUUAAAAAAAUAUAUAUAUUUAGACUAAAAAAAAUAAUAACAGUGAGAAGGGGAUGCCAAAACGCCUGGAAAAUAACUAAAAAUUGGUUGAGGAGGUUUAAAAAUACAAGGAUUGAAAUUUGGCAGUAUAUCAUUGACUGAUGAGAGCCCGAUUGACAAAGAAAAUUCAAUUUGAGGAAGAAAUGUCUAAAAUCAGAUGUUUAUUGGACUCAAUUAAAUUUAUUAAAGGUUAAAUUGAGUUUAUAGAGGGUUUGAUUGCAAGAACAAUUGAUUUUGGAGUCAAUUUGGGCUUUAUUUGGAAGAAAUUAAAGUUCUGAGGUCAAAAUAUAAUUUUAAGGAGUUAAUUUGGUCAAAUCAGGGGCUUAAUUGCAUAAAUAUUGAAGUUUGAUGGCCAAUUAGGGACUGAAUUGAAGAAAUCUCAAACCAAGAACCAAACUGGAAAAGACACGUAAAUAGAGAGGCUGUAAUUAACCGAAUAAGGGGCUAAAUUAAAGAAAUUGGAAGUUUAUUUAUUAAUUAAGGGUCAAAUUGCAUACAUCAGAGACCAAGGACUAAAGUGAAAAAGGCGGCCAACUUCAGGGCCGACGAUUGAAUUUGACAGGGAUGCAAUUGAAUUGAUUUUUAAAAUCAAAAUAGCAAUUUAGGACUUGAUUGAAUAAAUCACAAAUUGAAGACUGAUUUGGACUUUGACACGAUUUUGCCGCCAUUUUCAUUUUGCUUAAUAUUGGUUUGUAUUUUAAUACUGUAAAAAUACAAAUCCGAUAUUAAAAUACUUGGUUUUUGUCAAAACAUAAAAUAUAUAUAUAUAUAUAUAUAUAUAUAUAUAUAUAUAUAUAUAUAUAUAUAUAUAUAUUUGUUUCAUGCAUACGUCCAAGUCUCUCAAAGAUAAAAAAAAAAAAAAAACCAUAUUGUAUUUUCAUACUACAAAGAAAACUUCAAAAAAAAAUAUGUUUUAACAUGCAUUUUGGCUUUAAUAACCAGUUUAUUAAAGUCACGAGAAUUUGGCAAAUAUUUAAAAAAUUUCAAAAAAAAUAUUUGUUUUUUUUAGUAUUAGGGAUUAUGAAUUUAUAUGUAAAAUGUAUUUUCAAUAUUAAAAGUGUUUUUCUUUUGAUGACAUAAAACAUUUAGGUGUUUACCUGAUAAGAUAAGAAUCUCUUUAUAGAGGAGGAUUUUUCUUAAACCAUAGAUAGACUGACAAUUAAAAACCACAACAAGACCUUAAAUUUUAUCAAACAACAAAACAAUGCAGCUUACAUUAGGUAGGGUGUAGUUGGGGUGCUAAUACCUCCCCUUUAUGCAACCAGUCUUCGUACCCGAUCUCUAAGACCAAUUAGGGUUCCUAGUGACCAAAAUACUAGGUGGAAACUCCCAUUCUAUUUUCCACUGAUAAAAGACAAGAAUUCCUUGUCUCCCCACAUUUACCAGAUAGAUAUACAUUUACUUGAGAGGGUGGACGUUUAUCGUGACACCGCACACAUGCGACAGAAUGGCGACUCCACAAGGUACCUUGUGGAUUAAUCUUUGUUUUUGUCUGAUUAUCGUGUUUUAUUGUUUGGUUUGUGUGUUAUUGUUAAUAUGCAUUUUCUCAUUUGCUCAUACGCUUUAAUUUUGUACAUAUUUGUUCAUGGAUUGUAUAAAAUUGUUUCAUGCAUCAUUCACAUUUUAUGAGAGUUUAUACUGAGAAAAACUUUAGGUUAAGUGGGGGACUAGUAGCUUACCUUACAAUUUUUAGUCGAGGUUUAAGUUUGUGUAAACCUCAACUCUUUGCUGAGUACUUAGAUUGAUAAUGAUUGGUACACAUGUCAUCUCAUUACCUAUUAAGCCCUUAUAUUGCCUUUACGAGGGUGAUCACUGGGACAACAAGAGACCCUUUUAAGACUAGGUAGAAAUGCACCCAUCAUGUAAUGGCCCAAAACCUAUCCUUAGAGUAUAAGCUCCCUAAUAUACAUGUACAUAUAUUUGCAUCCAUACAUACAUCAAUUCAUUGUAAAUAACAUACGUGCAUCAGAUUGAAAUAUAGGUCCCUAAAAAGUGUACAACACCCGACUUUGAGCAAGAAACAUAGAAGAUGGAGAGCGUGCUCACCGUGAUGCCUAUUUUCAAGAAGAGUUGGAGUCUCUGAAGACAAGCAUGGCUCGCCUUACUAGCUUACUCGAGCAAACACUGAGAAAUACCUCUGGUGAAGGCCCUUCUAACCGGCUAGUCACCGUCAAUUAGGCUUCAACUACAGUUUAGCCUGAAGAAAGAAUGAGUGAACAUGGUCAAGAGCCUUAAUAAAAUCCAACAUUUGUACAGUCAGCGACACUUGCAUUAGCCCCGACAGUCAUGAAGGUAUUUGCUAAUGAGUCCCAUAUGGCCAAUUCAUCUGAUAGCAUUGAUCAAGAUAAAAUACAGGCAUUGGAAGCCAGAAUCAAAGUCAUUGAAGGGGUAGACUUAUAUGACCCAGUUCGGGCAGCAAAGAUGUGUCUGGUCCCAAAUAUGGUUGUCUCGAAAAAGUUUCAUGUUUCGGAGUUCAUCAAAUAUAGUGGAAUACAAUGCCCCAUGACUCACCUCAAGUCUUACUGCAAUAAAAUGGCAGAGAUAGUACAUGAUGAAAAACUACUGAUGCAUUUUUUUAGAGAUAGUUUAAGUGGGGCAAUAUUGAGCUGGUACAUGAGAUUGGACAACACAAAAAUCUAGAGAUGGAAGGAUAUGGUGGUUGCUUUUGUCAAGCAGUACAAGUACAACAUGGACAUCACUCCCGACAGAAUCAACUUGUCCAAUAUAGAGAAAAAGGAUAAAGAAAGCAUAAGGGAAUACGUUUAAAGAUGGUGGGAAUCAGCUGCUCAAGUACAUCCCCAACUUCUGGACAAAAAGAUUGGCACUUUAUUUGCCGACACACUCAAGGCACCAUAAUGGGUAGUUUGGCCCAGCAAUUCACUAAUGCUGUGGUAGUGUGUGAACACAUAGAGCAAGGCGUCAAGAGUGGUAGAAUUUCUGCACCCAUUGAGAAUAGAGGUUUCGAAUGAAAAGAGGUUAACCAUAUUGAAGAUGGCUACAAGGGUAGGAAAAACUUAUCCCAAAACUACCAUACUUCAUCCCAAAUUGCCGACAUAAAAAAACCUGAGCCCCAAAACUUUCAAGCCAAAAGCCAAAUUAGAAAUUACCAAAGGGUCCAAGAACAACUACCUCCAUUACCGCUACCAUUAAAUGAGAUGUACCAGAAGUUAUUAAGCAUCAGACAUAUAGCUCCCGAACCUCUAGCACCUUUGCAACCCCCUUACCCCGGCUGGUAUAAGCCAGAGCUCACUUGCGAAUACCAUGCUAGUGUUGCUGGACAUGACAUUUAUAUUUGCAACACCUUUAAGAGAAAGCUUCUGCAAUUAAUUAAGGCAGGGUGGAUAGCAUUUGAAGACACUCUGAAUGUGAACACAAACCCUCUACCUAAUCAUGCUUAAAGCAGUGGAUUAGAAAUGCACUAGCAAUCGAAUGUUCGGGGAAUUUGAAAUCAUCAAUGGGCCAGGUAGGGUGCGAAAGGGUAGCAUAAAUUUUAAAGGACUCAAAUUCCAACCACAGUUGUUAUCCCCAUCAUCCCAAGAAUUAUUACAGGGAGGCUAGCCUAAAAGGAGAUUUACCAAAAUGAAAGGAUGAGGCCUGCCAUAUUAUUGCCUUUUGUUUAAUCAUGUUGGUUUCAACUAUUUCAGUCUUGUCGGUAAUUUAGCUCAUAAUGCCACAAGACUUUCUUUGUCAAAUAAGCCUUCUUGUUAAUAAGAUCAUGUAUUUUCCUGUGCUUAUAACAUGUUUUCCUUUUUCCAAAAUAUGCAUGAUCUCACAUGUUCAUAAGAAUUUUAGGAAUUCAAAGUUUGGUAUAAAAAUAAAAAUCAUAUUGGUGUUUGUCCAAAACAAAUAAAUUCUGGAAAUUCAAGUGAUUCCUUAGAAAGAUAAGUAUACACGUAGAAAACUUGAAAAAACAAAUAAACAAAUAAACACAUAAAAAAAAUCAUAAGGUGACUCCAAAGUUAAGUUUUAUUUGAAUAAAUAAUGAGAAAUCACUUUGCAUACUCGCAUGAAAGCAAGACGUAUCGAUCUUAAGUGCAUGUGUUUGAGAUGAGGAAAUGCCUUCUUUGAUAAUCGCUUCACGAGGCUAAAAUAUAUCCUUUGCAAUCCCUUUUUGAGUCUAGUAACAUUUUUUGAAAAUAACCUUGGCUAGGAUCACACUCAAACUAGGGUUAAGUGCGAGAGACACAGAAAAGACCUUGAUGAUUGAAGUGCCCAAGCAACACUGGGGGCAUAAAAGAAAAUUCUCAAUCAUCAAAGGUGCCCAAACAAAGCUAGGGGUAUGAAGAAAAAUCCAAAGGAUCCAAAAAUUUUAAGCAUACAAAAAAAAAACAAUUAAAUAAUGCUCAAAACCAAAUGAAGAAAAAAAAAAUAAAGAGAAAGAGCCCAACAUUGGGGGGCACGAUAAACCAUUUUGAAAAGACAUUCCAAAGACAAAAGGUCAGGAAACAAGCACUAGUGAUCCUUAGUCUUGAAAUCCCGUGAAAUACCUUUUGAGCCUACAAAUAUCCUUUUCUUCAUAACCAAGAACCCAAGCCUAUAUUACAUGCCUAAUCAAGCCCUUUCUGAUCAAAGACAAGCAAUCUGGAUCGGCAGACAAUGCUUUCUCAUACAACCCAAAUUAUUAUUCAUGUAAAUAAAAUAAAUGCUUUGAAGACUGGUUCUUUGUAACCCUCAAAUUAAAUCUUAAACCAUUUUUUACCAAACCCAAUGUCACUUCAUGUUUUUCACCAAAAGCAAAACGAAAGGUUUUCAUCACUUCUGAAAACCUCUUCAUAGGAAUCACUUGAAUUUCUUCAGAACAAGUUUGCUUUGAAUCGAUGUCAAAAUGAUUUCUGUGUUUGGAAUAGCUUUUAAAUUCCAACAUUUUUGCAUCAGAACAACUCCUUGUCAAAACUUCCUUUACAUAGCCUCAUUCCCAAACCCGAAUUAAAUACUUGGGGGCAUGAUCAAGUUGGGAGGCAAUAAAAAAUACAUGGUAGGGCAGACUUUAUAAUUCUUUUUCUAAGAAAAAUGUUGGGUAGAAUUGGCAACCCUUGAGAUAUAGGUUAGAGGGCAAAGAAGUAGGAUGAUAUGAAGCCUUUCUUAGAGGUCAAGAUCACAAGAUAUGACUCAAGUAAGCAAGAGCGAAAAAGUCAUCGAAAUUUACUACUUACACUCCAACUUUUGAGAAAAGAAAGACAUCAUGAAGAAAUGAGGACCUAUAUUUCUCAGGUAAGUAUACAUGCAUAUCAAUCAUAGUGCAUUACUUUCAACAUUGUCAGAUCGGUGUUUCACCAUCACCUUUUGGGUAGGACAUUUUAUAACCCUACCUCAUUUUGAGUGUGCCUUUGAGCCCUUAUUUUCUUUUCGAGUAAGUCUUUGAGCCCUCAUCUCAUUUUAAGUGCGCCUUUGAGCCCUUACUUCGUUGUCAAGAUGCGACUUUGAGCCUUUGCUUCCUUUGGAGUGCGCCUUUGAGCCCUCAUUUCCUUUUGAGUACGUCUUUGAGUCCUCAUCUCUUAGGUAGUGCAUUUUAUAACCCUACCUCAUUUUGAGUGCAUCUUUGAGCCCUUACUUCCUUUUGAGUGCGCCUUUGAGCCCUCACUUCAUUUCGAGGGUGGUAGUGUAUUUUCUAACCCUACCUCCUUUUGAGUGCGCCUUUGAGCCCUCACCAUCUUCCUGGAUAGGUCAUCCAUUACAAUGAUGCUAUUUUUACACUUGGGUAGGUCACCUAUUAUAAUGAGACCAAUCUUUCCUUUCCCACUUGGGUAGCUCACUCAAUACAAUGAGACUAAUUCUUCGUAUUUUUUUGCCUAGGUAAGUCCCUCAUUAUAAUGAGACCAUUCUUCCACCUGGGUAGGUCACCUAUUAUAAUGAGACCACUAUUUCCUUUUUUUUUCCCUUUGGGUAGGUCACCCAUUGCAAUGAGACCAUCCUUUUUUCUAGGUAGGUCACCUAUUAUAAUGAGACAACUCUUUUAUUUUUUUUUUCCCUUUGGAUAAGUCACUCAUUACAAUGAGAUCAUUUUUUUUCUAGGUAGGUCACCCAUUACAAUGAGAUCAUUUUCCAUGUUUUUUUUACCUGAGUAGGUCAUCCAUUACAAUGAGACCAUUCUUUUUUUUUCCACUUGGGUAGGUCAACCAUUACAAUGAGACUAUCAUUUUUCUGGGUAGGUCACCCAUUAUAAUGAGGCCAUUCUUCCACCUGGGUAGGUCACCCAUUACAAUGAGACCACUCUUUCUUUUUCCCCUUUGGUGACCACUAUCAUUUUUUUGGGUAGGUCACUCAUUACAAUGAAAUCAUUCUCCAUGUUUUUCCACUUGGACAGGUCACCCAUUACAAUUCGACCAUUUCAAAAAUCUUUGAAUUUCACCAGGAAAAAAAACCUUUCGACCAUUUAAGUUUGCUUUCUAGCCCUCAAAUGCUUUCCAAACAAUUCAUCAUAUGGUGAGUCCGUUAUCUUUUUUUUUCUUCUUUACAAAGCUUAUUAUCUAAAAUCUCUUACGAGACUUUCUAUCGUAAGUAUUGUAAAUAGAGGACAACUGUCAUAACCUAUUUUUGGAUUAUUCCCCAAAUUUAGUUUUUCUCUUCCAAAAAUAAUAUAUAUAUAUAUAUAUAUAUAUAUUCGGACUAAAAAAUAAACAACAAAAAAAAUAAACAAAAUAAUAACAGUGAGAAGGGGAUGCUAAAGUGCUCGGAAAAUAACUAAAAAUUAGUUGAGGAGGUUUAAAAAUACAAGAAUUGAAAUUUAACAGUAUAUCAUUGACUGAUGAGAGCCCGACUGACAAAGAAAAUUCAAUUUGAGGAAGAAAUGUAUAAAAUCAGAUGUUUAUUGGACUCAAUUAAAUUUAUUAAAGGUUAAAUUGAGUUUAUGAAGGAUUGGAUUGGAAGAAAAAUUGAUUUUGGAGUCAAUUUGGGCUUUAAUUAGAAGAAAUUAAAGUUCUGGGGUCAAAAUAUAAUUUUUGAGAGUUAACUUGAUCAAAUCAGGGGCAAAAUUGCAUAAAUAUUGAAGUUUGAUGGCCAAUUAGGAACUUAAUUGAAGAAAUAUGAAACUAAGGACCAAACUGGAAAAGGCGCGUAAAUAGAGGGCUGUAAUUAACUGAAUGAAGGGCUAAAUUAAAAAAAUUAAAAGUUUAUUGAUCAAUUAAGAGUCAAAUUGCAUUCGACCAAGAACUAAAAUGAAAAAUCAGCUAACUUCAGAACUGAUGAUUGAAUUUGACAGGAAAGCAAUUAAAUUAAUUUUUAAAAUUAAAAUUAUAAUUUAGAACUUGAUUGAAACACUUAAAAUAAAAAACUUAAAAUCACAGCAUGAUAAAAGAAGAAAGAAAGGAAUGGGAAAAGGAAGAAAGAAUAAAAAAAUCCCCUAAAAUCACGGCAUGAUAAAAGGAGAAAGAAAAGGAUGGGACAAAGAAGGAAGAAAGUAAGGUCGCGUAGGGGCCAGUAUUGAAGAAAAGCUAAAAGAACCAGGUAAUCCAAGGAACCAAUAGAUUAUCGCCACAUGUUCAACCUUAUAUUUAUUGUGACAUGGAGAUAAAGAUAAUCUCAAAAGCUAAUAGAUGGUCGCCACGUGUUCGACUUUAUCUACCCACUAGGAAAGGAAUCAAAGGAUAGAAAAGUGGGGGAGAGAAAGGUUAAAAAGGCUUUAAAAAAAAAAGAAAAGGAAAGACCCGGUUGAGAUAAGAGGGGGGACGUGGAAAUAGAAGGAGAAACGGAAGGAGACAUAGAAAGAUCGGAGGAGAGUAAGAAAAAAAUAUAUGAAUAUGUGAUGUCCAAUUUCUCAUAAAAAUUCUCUGUUUUUUUCUCUCUUUUAUUUGGAAUUUCUUUGGACACUUUAAUAAAAUAAUAACAAAAAAAUUAAAAUAUUGAUGAAAUUAAUAUUCAUUCAAACACAGAUUUACUGUGUACUAUGAUAUUAUUAUUUUUUUAAUUUUAAAAAACACGGCUUGGAUAAUAUUUCAAGUAGUGUCGUAAAAAAUAGCGUGUUUGUUUUUUAUUUUUUAAAUAAUUUUAAAUAAUAUUUUUUUAAUUUUUAUAUUGAUAUUAAAAAUAAUUUUUAAAAAAUAAAAAAUAUUAUUUUAAUAUAUUUUUAAAUAAAAAAUAUUUUAAAAAAACUACUUUAAAAACCUUAAAACCACGGCAUGAUAAAAGGAGAAAGAAAGGAAUAGGACAAAGGAAGAAAGUGAAAGGGAGAAAGGAAGAAAGUAAGGUCACGUAGGGGGGCCAGUAUUGUAGAAAAUAGGAGAUGAAAAAUUGGUAUGAAAAAGAGGAUGAUGGAGUGGUUGUCCAAAUCAUAGUGGUUUUUAUAAUUAUAUUUAUUUAUAGAAAUAUUAAAUUAAUAUAUUCUUAGUAUUUUAUAUGAUUAAAUUUUUUUGUUGAUUUAAAAAAUAUAUGCGUAUAAAAAAUUAUUUUAAUAUAUUUUUAAAUAAAAAAUAUUUUUAAAAGUAUGUAUCACAGUACCAAAUUAUAGUAUCAAUUAAAAGAAAAUAGGGUUUUAUGUUCAUUACCACUCACUUAUACUCAUUUAAUUCUUAUACUCAUUUAAUUGUGGACAAUAACAGUAUCUCAUUUGAAAACUUUCAAUUUUAUACUUAAAUUUUUUUCAUAAUUAAUCAUUUUUAAUUAAAAUUAGAGUUCAAAUGUAUAUUUUUUUUUAAGGAGGAGAGUUGAAUUAAAAAACAGGGACUGAAGUAAAAAAUUCAGCUAAAAUAGGUAGCGACUCUAUAAUUUAUUUACAAAAUUUAUUUUAGUUUCUCAUCUUUUCAAGUUAUUAAAUAAUAAGUCCGCAUAAUUUUCCAACAUUGCAUUUCAAAUUUUUUUUAUUAUUAAUACUUUUAAUAUAUUUUUUUGAAAAUAAUUUUAAAAACGGUGUUUUCAUUAAUAUUCCUUUUCUAUGAUUUGUUUUUUUGGCAUUAUGUAGUCUUUCUUCAAUUAUUUUUAAUUUUGUUGCUUUGUUUAAUUUUUUAAGAGGUUAAUAAUAUUUAUCUGUAAAUAUUUGUUAUAUAUUUCAGAUAGAUUAAGUAUUUAAUUUUCAUAAUAAUUUGAAUAUGUGUAGCGUUGCAUAGUUUUUCUUCCUUUUAUGAUAUUAAAAAAAAUUAUGUGUGUGUUGAUUUCUAUUAUCGAUUGAUUUUAGUAAAUAAAUUCAUUAAAUAUAACCAAAUAAAUGAUCCAUAUUGCAAUAUUAAAUACUUUAUCUAUAUUUGUUUCUUAAUUUUUCCACUUGCACUUUUAAUUAUCGGUAAUGACUUCAUUUUUUCAUUUAUUUACACAAUUGUUUGUGAUUUAUUUAAUUUGAUGCGUGUAUAAGUUUUUCGAUUUACAUUUAGAAUUUUUUUAAUGUAAAAAAACACGUUGAGAAAUUCUUAUUUUUAUGAUUUUAGUUUGAUCCUUAUUCUUAUAAUUUCUUAUUUUCUUUCUAACCCUUUUAUAAAACAAAAAAUUGUUUAUAAUUUCAUCCUUCAAUUGAACAUAAUGAUGUAUUUUUUUUAUUAUUUAUAUUCUUGUUUGUUAUUAUUGCUUUUUUUCUUUAUAUAAUUCAUAUAAAACCAGCUUAUUUAAUCGGCCAAGACUAAAUAAAUAAAUAAAAAGAUAUACUGUGUCUUCCCAUUUCCUCUCCCUGGUGAAUUUUGGCGACCACCCACACAAUGAUAGCCUAAACAACCACCAGCCAUGCCACUUUUCAAGACCCCAUCUCUCAAUCUCAAAACCAGAAACAACCCUUUCUCAUAAUUCCGGGAAAGUGAAGAACUAAACCAUAGUGGCAAAAAUCUUAAAGGGUCUAAAUUAUCUCUGUUACUUUCCCUCAAUUUUCUAGACAAGCAAAAGGAGCUAAACUUAUUCCCGACCAAAACGCCAAGAAUUUCAGUAGAACAAAAGAAGAGAUUGUUACUUGACCAUAAACAAUUAGUCCGCACCCAAACAAACUGAGUGAAUGAGAGAAAAAGACUAAUGGCUAGAAAACAAUCAACAGAUCCAAGAAUUUUCUGUAUGGUUUCCAAGAAAAUGAAACGAAACGAGCAGCACAACCCUCUUUCCCCUCUAAGAAAAGAAAGAAGAAGAAAAAGAAAAAGAAAAAGAAAGGAAAGAAACAAAGAAGUUCGAGGAAAGAAAAAGUAAGGAAGAUGAAACCAUAAACCUGCAAGUCCUACAAAUCAUAAACAUUGACUUUGAUUUUUCCUUUAUAAAACCAUAAACCUGCAAGUCCUACAACAUGAAGACUUAUCAGAUCCUAAUGAAAAGCUGUCAAAAUCCUAUCAGAAAUUAAGGAAGAUGACGUUACGUUAACUUCAAAUCUGAGGAUUAAUUGUAGCAGAUCUUAUAGGGUUCAGCUGAUUGCUUUACUUGUUUAAAUAAUUCUCUUGUAAGCCUAAUGGUUCACGUCUUCCAUCAUUGCAACCUUUUUUUCUGUGAUUGAAAAAUCUAUAAUAGGAACCUGCACUGCAUCCCUUCUAUGCUGUUGUUCUUUCUUCUUGUUUUGCUAUUUUGAUUUUAUCAUAUUUUCUAUGAUGAAAGUUGAAGAAAUUCUACUUCGAAACUCAAGACAAAGUCUCUCGAUCGGACUGCAUAUUAGUGGGUUGCUCAUUGGGAUUUCUAUAAACAACUGAUUCUAAUAUUGCAAAGCAACAUUACGAAAAACUGAAUAUUUCACACAUAGUCUAAUAAAAGUAGAUUCCAUUGUCAAUUCCUUAACAUUUUCCAAACAAAUCCAUGCUCCUCAUUUUAUACUUUCUUGAGGGUUUCUAUUCUCUUAUUACCAAUUUCAGUGAGUUUCAUAAUAAGCUGCUUAGAAAGAAGCUAUCUAGCAGGAGGGUGGGGCUACUCUUAGCCAAUGAAAACAGCUUCACAUGCUAUACAGCAACGUGAAAAAAAGAUUCUCAGCCUGUUCUCUCUUUAAUGAACACCCUCUUGGAUUCUCUAGCAUUAGCCAACAAGGUAUUUGCUUGGAAUUACUUCCACCUGAAAACAACAGUUAACCUAUUUAAUAUACUUAACUAAGUAUCUAUUUCAUAACCUUAUAUAUUUUUUUAAUUAAAUUAGUUAUUUUUUUCAAAAAUAAAAAAAGUAAACGGUUUUCCAAAAAUCUAAUUCACAAUAAAACAAAUAAUGAAACUUGAUAAUAAUUCAUUAAAUAACCAUCAAUUAUUCAUCAAACCAAUCUGAAAAAGCUCAUAUUAAAGCUAGGGACCAAUCUGGAAUUUUAUCAUAUUUUUAGGGGUCAAAUUAUAAUUUUAUCAAAUUAGAAGACCAAACUAAAAAUAUCAUAAAUUCAUGACUAUACUAGAAUUCUGCCCAUAAUUCAUCAUAAAUUCUGCCCAGAAUUUCAAAUUAUGCUCCAAGGACCACUAUAGAAUUUUAUCAAAUAUCUAGGGUUAAGUUGUAAUUUCAUCAAAUUGGAGGACCAAAGUGAAAAUAUCAUAAAUUCAUAACUAUACUGGAAUUCUGCCCAUAAUUUAACUUUAAUUCUGUCCAGAAUCUCGGAUUAUGCUCCAGGGACCAAUCUCUAAUUUUUCUAAAGUUCAAGGACUAAACUGUAAUUUUCACAAAUUGAGGGACCAAACUGAAACUUCAACCUCAAACCCAGAAUUUACACAGAUAACCUACUGAUAUAUCAAGAUUUCUAACUCAAAUUCACCAUUUAAAUAAAAUCAUAACUCAAAAUCAUUAUUUUUACCUAAAAUCUUUCAAAAUCAACUAAAUAAUUCAUUAUCCAUAACAAUCAACCCAUAAUUUUUCUGUAAUGUAAUUGUAAUUCCUAGCAUAAUGCAUAUCCGAGGGCAAGCACAACAACUCAAGAACAAAGAAACUCGAUGAAAUAGCAAAAGAAAAGGACUUGAAGGACUGAAAUAAAAUAAAACCAAAAAAUAGGGAUUAAAAAAGUAACCGCACUCUGGUUGCCAUAAAAAACAUAGUUCUUUUAAUAUUUUUUUUUUAACUAUUGUAAUAGGUCAAUCAUAUUACCCGAGUGUGUGACUCAGAGAUGAUCAUCAUAGAAAAUUACUUUUAAUUGCUUGAGUUUUAUCCUUAGAUGAAAAACUUACCUCGUCCUCCUAAUGCUUUUGCUUUCAUUGUUUCGAAAGUAAAAGAGACAUAAACAUAAUCAUUUCCUUCCUUUUACUUUCCACUUCUUUGUAAUGGAUUGCAAACGGGAUGGUGCUUAGUGAGGCCAGUUUUUCUUUUCCUUUCUAUUUAAAAUCUUAUGCCUAAUUGGGUGAGGAAAUUAGUGGAGCAUUAGACUUUUUAAAAGACAACAAAAGGAAGCAAUGUCUCAUCUUUUGAUAUGGUGGUCUUCCAUGAUCAGUUUGUUGAUGAAGAUAUCGAAAGAUUCGAGUCUCCGUUCUAGUUCAGGUUGGAUGCAAGGCCGAAAGCUAAGCUUCUUUUAAUUAUGAAUUGUUUAUGCAAAGGAAACCCAGAAGCUUGAACAAACAGAAAUGCCUUGUUGAUUUCUCUGCUACUACUCAUUAUUUCCAAUAUUAUUCCAUUAUCUUACCCGAAAGCAAUUAUACAAGAAAUUUCAUUAUCCUGCCCCAAAGGCAGUUUAUUGCAUGGACUUCCUUUAACCUAGCUCCUUGAAGGCAAUUUAUUUGAUGAAAAUUCCUUUAAUCCACCUCAAAGACAAUUUAUCUUAGGGAAUUCCAACAACCCUUAAGGCAUUUUAUCAAAGGGAAUUCCAAAAACAAUUUAUUUCUUGGACUCAGUAUUCUUUGAUACUAGUUAUUUAUAUAUAAUUUAACAACACUUAACCAUCUUACAUUUAAGAAGAAAUUCAAAAGUAAGGAUAACCCUUAUCUAGAGCUCCUGUGGUUCUUGCUCCCGAGAGAAUUGGCUCCACUCCGGACAAAUCUACUAUCAGAAACCCAAGUUUCAACCAAUCAAUAACAUCAACACCCAUUUUAUAUUAAUGCAAUAAGUUUUUCUUAACCAAUUUACUUGAUGCAAGUUCUUAUAAUAAAAGUGACAGUAUUCAAGGUGAAGACAAGCAGAAGGGCGUGAUAGAGUUUGACAAAGAUGAAGCUAGUUCCAAUAAAGGGAAACACUCUAUGCAGGCCAAACAACAGUGGAAAUUCUUAUAAUCCCACCAAUCAAGGAUUACAGGACCCUAGUCCUUCCCAAACCAAUUUGAACUCCCCGUAGAGAAAACAUCUCCAAACCCAUUUUGAAUCACCCACAACAAGCAUCUCCACAACCUGUUCUGAACCCCCCCACAACAAGCAUCUCUGCAACAUGAUUUUAUUUCCUUGUGUGACAGGGAGGUCAAAAUUGAAAGAUAUUACUAUUUUCAUUAAUUUUAUUAAAGCUUAAUUAUUAUUUUUUUUCCCUUUUCUUUUAAAAAUGUUAUCUCCUUGGUAAGGAAUCCUUGGUUCCCAACAGCAACUGUAGCAUAGUUAAAAAAAUAUCUAAACUCCACCGAAAGUAGUGGAGCCUUAGAAUUUUUAAAAGACAAAACGGGGACAAGUGAGAGACGAAGAAAAAGACAAAAGUAAUCCCAUCUAUUGAUGUGGUGAUCCAAGAUACACCAUAACAUGGUGUUCUUCCAUGAAGUCUAAGAUACACCGUCGUGUUGUUUCAUAUAUAUUUUUAUAUAUGAAAAUAAUAAAGCUACCGUUUAAAACAACUCUGAAAACAAAAUUUUUAAUAAUCCAUAAUUUUUAAGCAAACAUCACUUAUAAGCAAAUAAUUAAUGAUGGUUAGUUAAACUAAUUCAUUGUUAGGCGGAUAUAUAUUAAGGUUAAGAACCCUCUAUCUAACACUAAUAACUAAUCACUGAUAAUAUUUAUGCAAAACUUGUAGCUUAGGAUGAACUCUCAGAGAUGUGGGCGAGGCAACUCAAAGUAGAAGGGAAGGGGUAACCUCUGAUAACAGAGAAAAUUGUAGAGUAAAGCAGGACCGAAUUUUCUUAAAUUAACAACAGAAAUCUACAAUGAACAGUUCUCGAGAAGAAACUCAAGAAACGUAUAUAAAGCUACAUGAUGACAUAAUAGGAACCUGCAUUGCCUCCAUUCUAUGAUGAAAGUUCAAGAAAUUUUACGUCGAAACUCAAGACAAACUCUCUCAGACUACAUAUUAGUGGGAUUUCCAUGAACAACUGAUUCUAUUGCAAAGCAACAUUAGGAAAAAUUGAAUAUUUCACACAUAGUCUAAUAAAAGUAGAUUCCAUUGUCAAUUCCUCAACAUUUUCCAAACAAAUCCAUGCUCCUCAUUUUAUACUCUCUCUCUUAUUACCAACUUCAUUGAGUUUCAUAUAAGCAUAGUCAAUCACACAACUAAUAUGUGAAUUCACAAUUUCUUACCGAAAACAUUUUAUCAGUGCAAGUUAAUACAUAAUUUUACCUCUCCUCUUGGUGAAAACAUAAAGACACAACCACCGAGCAGAUCUCUGGUAAUGGUCUCUACAAAUUCCCUACAGUUCCUAUUGCCAACAAACUCCUCUUGCCAUUCCCUAACUGCAUUGAGCCAGCUAAUCUGGAUGAAAGAAAAGACUUCAGCCAUUCCCUAACCUUAAAGCAGACCCAACUUUGUAGCUCAUUACCAGUUAAGUAAAAGUUAUCAAUAGCUGUGUAAAUCAUUGAAACUGCCACAAAAGCCCCAAAUUAGUUAUGAAUUGGAUUCGAUAAGGGAAAGAGGGGAAGAGGGGAAAUGGGUAACGGAAAAUUAAAGAGAGAUGAAGAUCUGCGCAGGGCUACCUGUUUUGAGAAUUAUGGAUUUUUAUCCCUAACUCCAAAUUGCACCAAUUAUAAGUUCAUUAAAACAAAUCUGGAACAGAACAGAUGGAAAAAACUCGAAACAACUUGGCUAGAAUUUGGGCAAGAAAUUCAGAACGGCCAAGAUUUUAAGUGAGAUAAAAGUUAUCCCAUUUUGUUCUGUUUUUUUUUAAAAAAUUAAUAUGAGAUGUACUAUCCAUUUCAAGCGGAACAUAAUGGAAUGAACAACCUUGCAUCGAAGACCUAAUUUUAGUGAAACUCAAGUUUCUUGUGUCAAAGAAAAUGUUCUAAAAAAAUGUUUUAAGCAUUAACAAAAUCUAGUUGGCCUAGGCAAUCCACUAUUGUUGCUGUUACCGUUGGUGCAUACUCCAUUACACCAUUGACAUAGUGCAACUGUUUUUCUUUCUUUCUUUCUUUCUUUCUUUUAAAAAAAUCCAUGUUAUGUUUUUUAUUUGAAGCUUUUUUGUUAAUAUCUUUCGCAAUUGGCCUUGGUAUUUUGUUUCCAUUUUCUCUGUUUCCUUCUUCUGUAGUUAGAAAACAUCAUGUCUUUGGGUUUGCGCUUGAUACAGCAAAAUUAAGGACACAAUAAUCAAAGAACACAAAAUUUUAUAAGGGAAAGGGGUUGCAGUUGUGAACCUAAAAUUUACAAAUUUAUUUUCUCAAUAAUAAUAAUAAUAAUAAAGAAGUUUGCCUUCUUAAAAGGUUUACAAAACCUUAAAUAGGUUAGGAACCUUACCUCAACAAGGGAACAGAAAAAAAAUCCAAAAUUAUAAAUGAAACAAGCAUAAAAUCUGAAAUAAGCAAGAAAUGAAAAUAACAAAAAACUACCAAAAUCAGGGGCAUCAUUGAGAUUUUUAAUAUCUAAAGAUCUAAUGAUUUGUAUAAAAAUUUGAGCACAUUAAUCCAAUAAUCGAAAAAACAAUUAUGGCUCUUUUGAGCUGUUAUUCUAGUCUAGCACGAUCAAACAUUCUCUUGGGUUUAGACUUGUUCUAUUGGUUCAUAAAUGCAUUUACUAGGCCAUCAACAUUAAUUGUCUAAGGCAAAUUCUCAUCUAGUUGUGGUAGACUCACACCUGACUGCUUAUAAAAUUGGUUGGUUUUUUGUUUUCGAAGAGAUUUAAAAUUUGAUGCAAAUGAAAGCUAAAAACACAAUAAUUAAAGGGCACAAAAAAAAUUAUAAGCGAAAAAGACUGCAGAUGUGAACCCUCAAAUUCACAAGUUUAUUUUCUCUAAAAUAAUAAUAAUGAAAUUUGUCUUCUUAGGAGGUUUCCAAAGCCAUAAAAAUAUCAAGAAUCCUACCUUAACUUGGAAACAAAAACACAAACUCAAAAUUACAAAGGAAAAAAGCAUAAAAUCCAAAAUAAGCAAGAAAUUAAAAAAUAACAAAGAAAAUCACAAAAAACUACCAAAACUAGAGGGCUCAACAAGAUUUUUGAUAUCUAAAGAUUCAGCAGUCCACGCAAAAAAAUUUGCAUGGUCCAACGGUCGGAUAAGAAAUUGUGAUCAUUUUGAGCUAUUAUACACGACCAAAUCUUCUUUUGAUCCUAUACUUGUCCUAUUAGUCCAUAAAUGCAUUUUCAUAACCUAUCUUUUUUUUUUUUCUACUAUAGAUGGUGUUUGACCAUCAUCGUCAUAUGGUUUGACUUAGUUGUACCGGUUUUUAAUAAGAUGAACUUUAUAUAUUAUGGGUUUACAUUUACUAUUUUUUAAAAAUGUUCAUUAUCGUUUCGAUCUCUAUAAGUCCAUUGUUCACAACUGAAGUCCGUACCUGCAGCGGAUCACAGGCAAUGAAACUAUACAAACACACUAGAGACUCAAGAGUAAACAUGCUACUAUAGUUAGCAGGUAAGGGUCAGGUCAUUUGUUGUCUGGUUUCAAAUAGAGUUUCAACUCAUUUAAUAAAUAUAUAUACAUGGCUCAUAGUUGGAUUAUUUGUGUUUUUGUUAUUUGUUCUUCCCAGUAAUUGUACCAGAAGCUGCUCUCAUAUUUGAAGGAAUGCAAACAAUAUAUUGUUAAUAUGAAACUUAUGAUGCCUAGGAAAUUGCCAUUUUUCUCAUUUUUAAUUGGAAGAAAAAUCACAAGUAUGUUUCUGUUAGAAAUAACUUCUUAUUUCAAUCAGAAGUGUGUCACUAAAUUGAUUUAUAAGUAAGUUUUUAAAUUGUGGAUUAUAUCUUAAUUACAUUAUAUUUUUUUAUUAACAAAAGUUUAUUUGAGUUAUUUUUAUUAAAAAUACUUAUAAUUUAAAAUUAUUUUAAUUCUUUUUUAUCAUAAAUUAUUUAUUAAAAACAACUUAGAUUAUCGCUUGAAAUAAAAAAUUCUUAAUUCAAAAGUCAUUAAAAAAUUCUUAAUUUAAAGAAGCUAAUAAUCUAAAAGGAGGGUGGGGCUGCUUAGCCAAUGAAAACAGCUUCACAUAUGAAAACAGCUUCACAUACAACGCAACAACGUGACACAAAGUAGAAAAAAAAAGAAAAAGAAAAAUUUCUCAGUCUGUUUUCUCUUUACUGAACAACCUCUUUGAUUCUCUAGCAUCUGCUUGGAAAAACCAUUCAACAAGGGAUUCUGCUAGGAAAACAUGCAAUUGUUCUUCUAUCUGAUAUCAGUUUCAAAAUUCUAAACAAAUAAUGCAACAAGUCACAUUUAUUCCAGACCUCAAGCUGCAUUGCCUAUUUCAAAACCACAAAGAGAACAUCAAACAGAACAACAAAUACCCAGUCGUAGAGCCAUUAAUUUGAGCAUAAAGGAGAAAGAAAGUCCACGCAUUAAACAGUAGGCACACACAUGAGUAUACAUUAUGCCCUUGUUUUUGAAGAUUCAGACACUUCAAAAGAAAACUCACGCUCUUAUUUUUGGGAAGUUCUUGUAUGGUAAAUAAGACUGUUACAAUGUGAAGCCAAUUUGUAUCCCAUUGCCAGUGAAACAAUAGGAAUUACUUCCACCAAUCUAAAACAUAUUCGCAGCACCACAGCUCAAAGACAUGAAUCUCUGUGAAAUCACCUAAGGUCGAGUUGCUCAUGUAAUAGGCAACCAACCUGCCUAAUGCUAACAGAAGAACAAAGACCAUUCAUGCAUAUCCAUUACCUGUUUAGCAUGUUUUUCAAAUUCCAAUGCCAAACUAAUCAUCCUACCCAUCAUCAUCAUCACCACCAUCUCCCUUCACCACCUUCCUUCAUCUCCUUCACCACAUACCCACCCAUUAUUUCGGGUCCACGUUUUACAAGUGCUGAUUGGCGCAGAGCAACCAGUGCUUGAAUCCUCAGCUACUUCAGAUACCUGUAAUCCAAUCCAAGCAUGGCAUACACAUUUUGGCUUCUAAAUCUUAUUAUUGAGUGAAACAAGAAACAAACACACAAAAAGAGAAGCAAGAAAUUAAGACAAUUCAGCAGCACCUCUGAUGGAGCUCUUAUUGAACCAUUUGGUGUAGUAGCAAAUUUUGUGAUCAGCUUUGGGCAUUCAAACACCUCCAACUGCUCUAAAUGAGGGAAUAAGAAAUCAUAACAUCCGAGACUGAAGCAUACAAUACUUGAUAAUUGUUCUAGCAACAGCACCUGCAGAUUCGGGAGCUCCAUCACCUUCUCAACAUUGACAGGUAAAGCAUUCUCAUCCUGAAGCCAUGGCUACUGGGAAGAGACUCUUCAACAUGUUGCAUUUUCUGACAUCAAUUUCACAUAAAUUAGGGAAACAUACAGAUUGAAGAUGAUCUCCUGGGAAUAUCUGAUCCUUUCCAUCAUCAUUAUCCCUAGCAAUGAUUUGCUAUAAUUCCUCACAACUUUCUAUGUUUAGAAAAUUCAGUUGAACUAGACUAGCAAUCAUGCUGUCUGAGAAUACAUGUGUUAGUCUUUUACACUUAUUCACCACCGAAGUAGUUAAAUUGCUCAGCACGAGAACCUUCCACAAACACCACAUGCUUGUGUCAGGCAGGGACUUCAAUUUUAAUGUUUUCAAACUUGUUAAACUCCUAUGCAUGCUCCACUUAUCAAUUUUAAUGUUUUAGCUCUUCAUUCGUCUCUCCAUUUAAAGCUAUAAAAUAAAAUAAAAUAAAAAUAGCUAACAAUAUUACCCUUUUUUUUAUUGACAAAUGCUACUGUUUUUUUCUUUUUUUUUUUCUUUUUGUCAUUCUAAAUAGAGCAUUUGCCAAUAAAAAAAAAUUAAGGCCUGGAAAUGAUGUUUUGUGAUUGGCCCAUCAUUAAUUUUGUUAUCCAUGCACAGUAUAGACCGGCCCGGGAAUGAUGUUUAAACUGGGAAUAAUGAGUUUUCUAUGGGCUUUGGAGCAUUGUGUGACACUUAACAGUGUGCACUUCAGGCCCAUUUAAGAAGAGAAAAAAGGGACAGGGAUAAAGUCUGAAGUAACGGUCAGAAAAGAAACCGAUAAAUUAAUUAAAUUGAAAAAAUUAAAUUAUAAAAAAAAUUAAUUAAAUAAAUUAGAAUAUUUUUAAAAAAUUAGUUGAGUUUGAUUUUGAUUUCAUAAAUUUAAAAUUAAAAAACCGAACCAAAUAAAAAAACCCAUUAAAAAAUCCCAAAAUUACCAAAAAAACAACAUAAUUUUUAAUUUUAAAUAUAAAAUAAUCAAACCAAAUCGAAAUCGGUCAAUUGAUUGAGUUUCAGUUUUUAAUAUAAAAUAAUUAAACCAAACCAAAACAGGUCAAUUGGGUUUUAUUUUCUAAUAUAAAAUAAUCAAAUAAAAUUAAAAUUGAUCGGUUGGAAUCGGUUUUAAUUUUUUUAUAUAUUUUAUAAAAUUUGAAUUUAUUAUUUUUAUAAAUAAAAAAAAUAAUCACUCUCGGUCUAAAGUCAAGACAUUGUGGUAUAUGACAUCAUUGGCAGGGUACUAUUCUACCACUAGAUCACUGGCACUUGUUGGUAUCAACGUGUGGAAUAGCUAAUUAAAUAUAUAUAGUCAAAUAGGUAAUUGAAUAUAUAUAAUGACACGUAUAUUUCCUAGUCAAACGCAGGAGCAAAAAUUUCAAAAUAGCAGACAACGUUUUUGACAGAAGUCUUGUACCAUUACUUCUAUCUCGCUUUAUUCUCUUCUAUAUAUAUAUAUAUAUAUAUAUAUGGUGAAUUGACUAGAGCAUGCAUAUAAGACUUCUUCUAGUCAUGAUGGUCAGUGAGGUUUUUGGUUUUAAAAUCAACAACUCCACUUAAAUUUCUUAAACUUGAAGAAUAUGCGAAGACAAUGCAUUUUUAAUAUGCUAAUUAUUCCUUGUACAGAAACAAGAAGGGAUUCUCCUCUACAUUAUUGUCCCAAUAUAUCAAACAUUGAUAAAGAAAAAAUGCAAAUCAAAACCAAGGCUCCCUCCCCACUGUUUCGUUUUAUAUGCUCUUGGAUCUUGAUUAACUAAUGAAGGAAACAAUUUGAAAACAUUAAAAUUGUAUCAAGAGACAGGGAAUGACACAGUUAGACAACUCCUUUUCAAUUUAGUGGAUGGCUAAAGGAUUUAUCUCCACUUAUCAAUUACUUCAGUUUCAGAAAUUUGGAGGAAGAAAUCACAAUGUAUUGAAGUUGACAACCAGAAGCCCAAAAGAAAACAAUUUUGACGAAUACCCACCAAACAGUUGAAGUGCUGCUGUAACUGAGAUUUUUUAUUAUAUGUAUUUUUUGUGGUCCAAUGGAUAAAUAAUUUUUUUUUCUUUUAUUUUAUCAGCUUAAUUUUGCAUGUGGAAUAUUGAGUUUUCUGUUAUUUUUUCAGACACAGAAUUGAAUCCUUUAUAUAUUCUUAAAACCAAAUUUGAAUUCUAAGUUCCUAAAUGAAGGAAUAAUAAAGAUUGUUGCAACUUGCAUGUACAAAUUCUCCUUCAAAAAAUUAACAAAUAAUAAAGUCUCCUAUGUUAAUGAAGAUUUAAUUAUAACUUAGCCCUGUAAUUUCUUAAAAUUAAUUAUUUAGUCUUUUAAGUAUAAUGGAUGUCGCACCCGACAUCGCGGCGGCCCUAAAAAUAAUCCUCGAAUAUGAAAAAAGAACAGAUUUCUGGCAUCUUGCUCUUUUAGAAGAAAAAAAAUGUCUUAUUUGAGGAGUCGCCACCUAUUAUUAUGGUCACUAGGAACCCUAACUAGUCAACAGAGAUUCUAUGGCUCGGGAUUGGUUAUGUAAAAGGGAAGAUAUUAUCACCCUUUAAACGUUCUGCCUAAUGCAGAUUGCAUUGCUGGUUUUGUCUUAAAUUGCUAAAUGUUUAUUAGUUUAUGCUAUGAUAAUUUGUUUAUAAUAUUCCUGACUCUGGCGCCAAUGAAUAUUCGAGCUCGAAUAAUUCCAACUCUGGCGUUGGUAAAAAUUCGUUGCUACGAAAAAAAAUUAGAUCAAUAUUUUUUAUUCUCUACUCUAGCGCCAAUGAAUAAAUAAAUAAAAAUAAAUUUAUUUUUACGCAUGCACAUAUUUUUUUAUUUCUUAUGUAGUUAAAUAAAAAUUAAAUCAGUAUUUUUUAUUUCUGACUCUGGCGUAAGUGAAUAAAUCAAUAAAUUUUUCUAUUUUUUCUAUUUUUAUUUUUUUUUGUUUUGGGGGUUGGGCCCAGCUCAGCCCACAAGGGCUGGGCUGGACCCAGCUGACUCGAUUGGGUCACUGGUCUAGACCAGUGACCCGGCCGGGUGGCAAACGCACGCCUGCCCAAUGAAUUAUAAUUCACUUGCUACAGUAGCAAGUGAAUUAUAAUUCACUGCUACUGUAGCAGUGAAUUAAAAUGCAAAAGGGUAGAGAUGAGGGACGACUGACCUGGUGCAGCAAGGCGUAGCCGGAGACGAUGGCGCACUGUGCUGGACAAACGACGCUGCCUCCUCUUGUUCUUCCUCUCUUCUUCCUUCUCUUCCUCCUUUUCUUCCCUGGUUCGUCCCUGUAUUUCUUUCCUGGAGUGCCCUGUUUCUGGUGCAGUGGCUGCUGAAGAUGGAGCUCUGGAGUUGCUGCUUCUGGAGGCGACGAAAACGGUUGUGACGCUGGUGGUGACUCUUGUCUACUGCUUUCCUUGGUCUUCCUUAUGUGCUUCCUCUGCUCAGGACAUCAACGAUGGUGAUGAAGAUGUUAGGUGCUGCCGGUUGAAUGGAAGCUUGCUCCCCUGUUUCUGUUUUUCUGCAUUCGUCUUCCCUAGUUUUCCUUUCCUAAGCUGUGAUAAGAUAGGAUUUAGAGGAAGAAGAGAUAAUAAGAUAAAAGGUGAUUGUUUAUUGAUUGCAUGCCUUUCCUCUCGAAACAGUGAGCCUAAAUAGGCCAUUCAAUACAACUGUAAACUAAAUAAUAGGAACUCCAGUAGUGGAGAGCUGAAGACUAGGGAUUCUCUGACCCAUUCAAUUACUUAAUUAAACAAUGAAAUAAAUUAAACAAUGAAACAAACAAAACAUAAAGUAAUUCCACGUAGACUCUCUCCAUGCAGUAGUAGCAAGAGAUCCACGUGCCCAAUGCUCUUAUCAUUCCCUCUCCCUCCCUUGAAUUCUCCUUGUCCGCAAGGUUGAAUUGAGGAUAAGUUUUUGCAAAUCGCCACAAAUUUUCCCACGAAGAAUCUUCUGGCAAUGCCCCCUUCCAUUGCACCAAGAUUUCCGUUCGUGGCCUGUAUUUCCCCUUCUGGAUAACCCUUCUAUCAAGGAUUGCUUCUGGUUCUGGUAACACCACAACAUCUGACAUAAUUGGAGGAAGGGUGAUCACCGCGUCCUUGGCUAUAUCUCCCCACUGUUUCUUGAGUAAACUGACAUGGAAAACAUCAUGUAUGCGUGACCCUGUGGGAAGGUCUAAUUUGUAUGCCACUGGUCCAAUGCGAGCGAGAACCUUGAAGGGGCCAAAAAACCUGGGUGAUAACUUUAAGGAACUCCUGAAAGCUACCGUUUUUUGGCGGUAUGGUUGCAAUUUUAAGAACACAUAAUCUCCAACCUGAAAUGUGACUUCCCGACGAUGCAAAUCUGCCCGAGAUUUCAUGCGUCCCUGUGCAUCAAUUAAAUUCCGUCUGAGGUCCCGCAGGAUGACCUCUCUUGUGCGCAGCAUUUGAUCUACUGCUUGAAGCUUUGUAGUUCCUGGUAUAUAGGAGAUCAUAGAUGGAGGAGGGACCCCGUACACAGCUUCAAAUGGAGAAACCUUCGUUGUUGAUUGAAUGGCCGUGUUGUAACCAUAUUCAGCCCAAGCCAGCCAUUCCAUCCAUGCCUUUGGGUGGUCGCAAGUGAAACAGCGCAGGUACUGUUCCAAGGUCCGAUUAACCACUUCGGUUUGGCCGUCCGUUUGCGGAUGGUAACUGGAGCUGUAGUUAAGUGUCGUGCCAUGUAGCGUGAAUAAGGACUUCCAGAAGGAGCUGAUGAAGAUUUUAUCCCGAUCACUCACUAUAGAACGCGGCAUGCCAUGUAAUUUGACCACAAUAUUUAAGAAACACUUCGCAACCGUCACUGCAGUGUAGGGAUGUUUAAGUGGCAUAAAAUGGUUGUAUUUGGAGAGCCGAUCCACCACAACCAUGAUAACACUGUAACCUUGCGAAGAUGGUAAGCCCUCGAUAAAAUCCAUAGAUAUGUCCGUCCAAAUGAGCUGUGGGAUUGGGAGAGACUGAAGUAACCCCGCUGGCCUUAAAGUUUCAUGUUUACAACGCUGGCACACCUCACAUUCUCUAAUGAAGUUCUUGACAGAUGUUCGUAUGCCAGGCCAUAGAAAGCUGGAGGAGAUGCGGGUCAAGGUCUUUAAAUAGCCAAAAUGUCCACCUGCAGGGAAUGAAUGCCCAUCGGCCAAAACAGCAGGUAACAAAGAGGAUGUAGGACUCAAGUGUAUCCUCCCUUUCUGCAUCCAAACCCCAUCUCUUUGAACCAGUUUUAAAGUGGGAUUGGUGGCCACAGUGCUGUAAUAGGGCUGCUGCUGGACUUCUUGUUGUAGAGUUUCCCACCAGUCUGUAAUAGGAGCUGAUAUAGCGUGUAAUUGUGCUGCUGCCACGCGAGAGAGAGCAUCAGCUCCCUGAUUUUCCUUGCCCUUGCGAUACUGAAUGCUGUAAUCGAACCCCAUAAUCUUCGGCAGCCAACGGGCUUGAGAAGGGGUGGUAAGUCGUUGCUCGAGAAGGUACUUCAAGCUUUGAUGAUCGGUCUUGAUCACAAAGGUUCUGCCCAAUAAAUACGGCCGCCAUUUCCGCACUGCCUUCACUACUGCGAGCAUCUCCUUGUCAUACGUUGACAGUAAUCUAGACUUGCCCUUCAAGGCCUCACUGUAAUAAGCAAUUGGCUGAUUGUCUUGAGAUAAAAUUGCUCUCAACCAUCACCACACGCAUCACACUCCACUGCAAAUUGUUGUGCAAAGUUUGGAAGUCGCAGCACAGGUGGGGACGUGAGGGCUUGCUUCAGUUUAUUGAAAGCCAUGAGCGCCUCCUCAGACCAGCGAAACCCCUCCUUGGAUAGGAGCUGAUUUAAUGGUGCAGCUAUGACGCCAAAUCCUCUCACAAAUUUUCAGUAAUAUCCAGCCAAACCGAGAAACCCACGGACAUCCUUGGGAGUUGCUGGAAUUGGCCAAUUUUGGACGGCUUGGAUUUUGGCAGGGUCCACUGCUACUCCUUCGGCAGAAAUGAGGUGCCCCAAAUAACCCACGGUAAGCACUCCAAACUGGCAUUUUGAGAGCUUUACAUACAGCUGGUUGUCCGAGAGAAUACGCAGCACUUGACAGAGAUGUUGUAAGUGAUCCAUCCAAGACCUGCUAUACACCAAAAUAUCGUCAAAAAAUAACAAUAUAAAUCGCCGUAAAUGAGGGCGAAAGAGGUCAUUCAUGAGACUCUGAAAAGUUGCUGGGGCGUUUGUCAAUCCGAAUGGCAUGACCACAAACUCGUAGUGACCGUCAUGAGUGCGGAAUGCGGUUUUUGGAAUGUCUUCCGGCUGGACUCUAAUCUGGUGAUACCCGGAGCGCAAGUCCAGCUUUGAAAAGAACUUCGCGCCAUGUAAUUCAUCAAGCAACUCAUCAAUGACCGGAAUGGGAAACUUGUCUUUAAUUGUGAUUUCAUUGAGCGCCCGAUAAUCAACACAAAAUCGCCAAGACCUAUCAGCCUUUUUAAUCAACAAAACCAGAGAAGAAAAGGGGCUGCGACUGAGGCGAAUAACUCCAGAUUGUAGGAAUUCCUUGACCAGUUUUUCAAUCUUAUUUUUUUGAUAGUACGGGUACCUGUAAGGCCGGUUGUUGACUGGAGAUUUAUUGGACAUCAAGGGAAUUUGGUGGUCAUGGCUGCGCGUAGGUGGCAGCGUUGUAGGCUCCUGGAAAACAUGUGCAAAAUCUGAAAGGAUGAGAUUGAGGUCAGGUGACCACGCUGAGGCUGUCUUUGGCAUUGUCUCCGUUUCUAUAUGCACAAAAUACCCCACACCUGAUAAGUGGAUCAACUCCUUAUCACUUAGGGGAGCGAGUUCAGUGUUUGAUAGUCCUCUCAAUGUGUACGUCUGGCCUUCUUGUUUAAAUGACAUGAUGAGCUUUUUGUAAUCGGUCUUGAUGGGGCCUAAAGUCUCCAGCCAUUGCACUCCUAAUACGGCUUGGCAGGCUAUCACUGGAAGCACAAAGAAGUCUGCGCGAACAAUGAUUCCUUGAAUCGAUAAAGAAAGGCCUAAGCACCGCCCAGUACACUCAAUAAUCUCCUUGUUCCCAACUGUGACUUGGAUGGUUUUGCCGCGAAUAACAUGUAGUCCCAAUUUGGUUGCCGUGGACUGAUCAAUAAAAUUAUGGGUGCUUCCCCCAUCAAUGAGCACUGUCAUAGCCGUGUUUCCUGCUCUACCAAUGACACGGAAAGUCUGUGGGUGGUUUGUUCCCACCAGAGCAUGAAAUGAUAUCUCUGGAAUGUCUUCCUCAGGCGUCACAAUCUCCAUGUCCACAUCGUCUCCUUCCUCCUUCUGCUGCACAUCCACCAUCAUGAACAACUGAGGCCGUGAACAACGAUGCCCGGGAACAUAUCGCUCAUCACAAUAGAAACACAACCCUUUUUCACGUUUCUCCCUUGCCUCCUGACCUGUUAUCCGUCGAAUUGGUGCAGUUGGGUGAGUUGUUCAUUGAGCCGGGGCAGGACCCAAGAGUCCCAUGGUGUUUGUGUGUGGUUGUUUCGGCUGGAAUGAAGGUGUUGUCGAUGGUCUGACUGGAUUGUUGAAUUUCCUUUGGAAAUGAUUUCGUUCUUCAAUUAAAUGAGCCACACUAAUGGAUUCAGAGAGAGUUUUUGGUUGCUUAACUCGAACAUCCAAACGAAUUUCAUCUUUUAAUCCCGCAAUAAAACACCCUACCAGGAAAUUUUCUGGGAGGUCAUCAACCUUGUGAGACAGUUUCUCAAAGGCUUCUUGAUAUACAUUCACAGUCGUGGUUUGCUUAAGUCUGGACAAUGCUUCUGACGGAUCAUCAUACUCAGUUGGUCCAAAACGGUGGAGAAGGGCUGAGACAAACUCAUUCCAGAGUAAUUGUCCCUUGCUUUUCGUAUACCAACGAUACCACUGCAAGGCGACACUCGACAGAUGAAAUGACGCCAAUUGUACUUGUCGUGGAGCGUCAAUGUUCUGGAACUCAAAGUAUUGUUCUGCCUUAAAUAUCCAGCCAGUGGGAUCCUCCCCUUCUCCAGAAUAGGUUGGAAAAUUCAACUUGAGGGUAGUGUGGUUUCUGUCGGCAUUGAAGGUUGCAGACGACCUGUCGUGAGAAGUACUUCCCCCAGCAUAAGGAUUUACUUCCCUCUCACUGGAACGAUGGGAAUGGGCGAUCCUCAUCGCUUGUAGCUCUGUCAUGACUCCCUGAAGGGCGUCGUUGACUCGAUUGAAAUUGUGAUUCAAUUCGUCAAAAUUGGCGUCGUGUCAUCCGAGAGUUUCUGUGAUCUCAGCACGAAACUACGCAUUAGUUUUACCACGCGUGUCCAUGGAUUGAACAGCUCUAAUACCACUGAUAAGAUAGGAUUUAGAGGAAGAAGAGAUAAUAAGAUAAAAGGUGAUUGUUUAUUGAUUGCAUGCCUUUCCUCUCGAAACAGUGAGCCUAAAUAGGCCAUUCAAUACAACUGUAAACUAAAUAAUAGGAACUCCAGUAGUGGAGAGCUGAAGACUAGGGAUGCUCUUGCUAAUCCCGUUACUUAUUCUCUAACCCAUUCAAUUACUUAAUUAAACAAUGAAAUAAAUUAAACAAUGAAACAAACAAAACAUAAAGUAAUUCUACGUAGACUCUCUCCAUGCAGUAGUAGCAAGAGAUCCACGUGCCCAAUGCUCUUAUCAAGCUGUUGCUUGUGAUAUUAUUGGAAAACGAAGACGCAGACGAAGACGAUGGUCGAUGGUGAUGGAGGUCUGCACCCAGGAGAUGGGGGUUCUUCCCCUGCGUUUUUCUUGUUGUUGUUCGUCUCUGUGUUUUUUUUUCUGUUCUCUGUUCUGGGUCUCCAGUGGCUUUUCGGUUAUGCCCUCCCCUCUCUUCUGUCUUCUCUCCCCUUUUCCCCCGGUUUUGCUCUUUUUUCCUUUCAUCCUCUUCUGCUCAGUCGUUCUUUGGCUUUUAUAGCCAGAGAAAAUAAUGUCGUUUCUUCCAACCAUAAAGUGUGAUAAUUGCAGAAGUAAUGGCUGUGCGGCGGUGGGCGUCCGUUUCGGUCGGGUGAGGAAGAUGAACAGUAACGGGCAACGGUGCUGUUUUGGUAUUCACAGUUGUAUGCCUUUUGGCCCUUGAAGUUUUGAACGUUUUGUAAUUAAGCCCCUAGUUAAAUUGUAAAUGGACCCCUGAAUUUCGACGCCUUUUACAAGUUAGGCUUUGGACUUUAAUCUGUUGCCAUUGUGCCCCCAAUUAACCCCAAAAUUUGGUAUUUUUUCAAUUAAGUCCCUGAUUUCAUUAAUUAAAUUAAAUCUAAGUCCAAUUAAGUCCCAAACUUAUCAAUUCAUUAAAUAAGCUCUUGAUUUUGUCAAUAAAACUAAUCCAAAGUUUAAUUAAAUCUCAAAACUUCCAAUUUUGUUGCCAUUAACCCAAAAUUUUAAUUCAUUCUUUAUUUUUAUCAUUUCACUCAUUUCAUCAUCAAAUUUUUUAAAUAAAAUAGAGAAGUCAAAAAUUGGGUUAUGAUAAUGAAUAAUUAAAAAAUCUAUUAACUUGUGUUGACCACCCUCCAUUUACUAUAUUUUUCUCUAAAAAAUGCCUUCCUUCCUAAUGAAAUUUCCUCAAAUACAUACUUUUUUUUUUAGGAAAUGUUCCAUUUUCCUCACUUCUAGAAAAAAAAAAUUAAAUGCUUGUGCGCAUGGGCUUGACCUUGCAGAUCCGCACACAAGCCUUUGAUGGGUGGGCCAAGCACUAGGCCUGACUUUCUAGAUCUAACAACGUAUGACCUCAUUUAUUUUUUUUAAUUAUUAUUAAUACCUAUAUAUAUAUAUUUAUUUAUAUAUUUGAAAAUAUUUUUAAAAAUGAUGUUUUUAUUAAUACUCGUUUUCGUUGAUUUUUUUUUUUGCCUUAUUUAGCGUUCAAUUAUUUUUAAUUAUGUUGGGUAUGUUUAGUUUUUUAAGAAGUUACUAUUAUUUAUCUGUAAAAUUUUUUUAUAUAUUUCAGAUAGAUUAAGUAUUUAUUUUUUUAUAAUAUUUUGAAUAAUUAUAGCCUUGCAUGGUAUUUUUUUUCCUUUUAUGCUAUUCAAUAAAUUUUAUAUGUGUAUUGAUUUCUAUUAUAAAUUAAUUUUAGUAAAUAAAUUAAUUAAACAUAACCAGGGUUAUUUAUUUAUUGGUAAUGACUUUUUUUUUCAUUUAUUUAUAUAAUGAUUCAUGAUUUAUUUAAUUCGAUGCGUGCAUAAGUUUUUUAAUUUAUAUUUAUGAUUGUUUUUAAUGUAAGAAAACACGUUCAUAAAUUCUUAUUAUUAUGAUUUCAGUUUAAUCCUAAUUUUUAUGAUUUUUUAUUUUUUUUCCUUAGCCUUUUAUAAAAGUUUUUUUGUUUGUAAUUUCACCCUUUAAUUUAAUAUGAUGGUGUAUUUGUUUUUUUAUUUUUUGCUUCUAUAUAUAUAUAUAUAUAUAUAUAUAUAUAUAUAUAUAUAUUCCCGUCUUUUGUUUUUUCGUUUUAUCAGCUUUUGCAUGUGGAAUAUUGAGUCUUCUACUUUUUCAGCCACAGAAUUGAAUCCUUUAUAUAUUCUUAAAACUAGAUUUGAAUUCUAAUGAACGAAUAAUAAAGAUGGUUGCAUGUACAAAUUCACCUUCAGAAAACAUAUAAUAAAGUCCCAUAUGUUAAUGAAGAUUUAAUUAUUAAGAAUAUAAAUUAAAUUAAAUUAAAUAUUGAAAAAACUAAAUGAAUUCCUUAAUAAAUAAAUAAAUUCUUUCUUUAGAAAGCAUGGAAAUGCCAUGACACUGGCUUUUUAGAGAGAUGAAGAUCUGGAGCACAACAGCCAAGAAAGUUAUCGAUAAAAGGAAGAUGGGAAGAGGGGAAAUGGGUAACGGGAGAGAGAUGAAGAUCUGCGCAUGGCUACCUGUUUUUGAGAGAAUUAUGGAAAGUUAUCCCUCACUCAAAACGGCACCAAUUAUAAGUUCAUUAAAAAAAAUCUGGAGCACAAUAGAUGGAAAAAACUCGAAACAACUUGUCUAGAAUUUAGGCAAGAAGAAUGAGCCAAGAUUUUAAUUGCAAUGAAAUUUAUCUCACUUUGUUAAGUUUUUUAAAAUGAUACAAGAUAUACUACCUAAUGAAACAAAAUGGAAUCAACAACCUUUAAAAGGAGUAGAGAUCACUUAUGUGUCUCUCAUAUUCAAUAGCCUUUUUCCCAUACUGACAUGUGCUUUACACUCACCAACAUUUUUUUUCUUUUUAUUUUAUAAUAUUCAACAUCGGCGAGUGAGAAUUUGAUAGCUAACUUUAUUAGUAGUGUUGGUUGCUGACUUGUCAGACACGUUUUGAGGCCAUAUGUAGUCACCAAGAACAAAUCCAUGAGGGCGAUAAGGCCCCAUAAAGACAAUAUCUGGUAGAUUCAGUCAGGCUAUGACAUAUUCGAUAAUAACUCUUCAAUUAAGUUCUAAAUCUCAUUUCAUCUUUUCAAUUUAAUCCCUAAUUUGACAUCAACUCUUCAAUUAGACCCCAAAGCUUAUCUCACCUGAGGAAAGCCCUCUUCUCUCAAUUUAGCCCCUUAUUAUCUUCAAUUUAAUAUCAAAUUUUAUUUGAUCCAAGCCCAAAAAAGGCUAAGCGAAGAUAGAAUAAAGGAAGGGAAAGAAAAUGAAUAAUUGCCCAACGGAGUUAACGUGUUUUGGUCUUUUCUCCAUGAUUUGGGUUGAACAUUUGACAUAUAUCCUUUUUUCUAUAGUUUUUUAUCCAUGUUCGUUGUGACGCCAUUGGUAUAGAAUGGUUACCAACUGUUAGUUUAAUAUGCCUUGUAGCCAAUCGGUUAGUUACACGAGACAUUAUUAUAUUCAUGUAAAUACAUAUUUAUUAUUAAUAAAGGCUUAAUUUAACUUUAAUAUUCAUAUAAUAUUAGAGUAAUGAAUCUAAAGUAUAAAUAAAGUUUAUGAGACAAAAAUGUUUUGCAAAGGAAAUUAUAAAGUUGUUAUAAUUAUGAGAUUUUUAAUGCAUCAAAGUAUAAUUCAUAAAAUAUUCUUGGUCGAUGCUCUCUUAAAUACUGGAUAUUAAUUAGAGCUAUAAAGACUGAUACAUAUUAUGUUUUUUCCUUUAUGAAAUGAAGCAACUGUUCUCAUAAGUUGAGCUAUAAGGGAUACCUAAAACUAAUAUGUAUAUGCUUGUCAUUAGACAUGUACACUGAAUUGACCGGCAUGAGAAUUCCAUAUGAAGAGAUUAUUUAUGUCUAUGGAAAGACUCACAUGACGGUUGUAUAUGUAAUCCUUAGACUUGAGAUCACUAAGUUAUCUUAUAUAGAGAAUGUUAUGCUUUGAUCCUGUUACAUGUUAUCUUAAUUGAGGUAACAAAAUGAUAGACAUUGGGUAUAUCAUGAACUAUAUGAAGGUACUUGAGUAAUCAAGAGAGGAUUUCAUCACCCUAUGUGAAUUAGAAAAAAUGUUCAAUCUGUUCUCAAAUAAUAUUGACUGAGAAAUCCGUGGCCAAUGUGGAAUGAUAUUUAAAAAGGAUUUCAAAUCUUAUUCAAAUAAUCAAUUGCUAUCAUAUAGAGAAUGACAUGAUUUAACAUGGCAAACAUGCUUCAUGCUUUAAUGUUAAAUAAGAACAUUAGUGAUAAAAUGGUAUUAAUUACAAUGAGAAACUGGUAAUUGAAACCACUAAUAACUUUUCUAAUAUUUAUGGGAUCAUGACACGUUACUAGACAAUGCAUAUGAUCUUCAAAUCUUCAAUUGUAAUUUAUUUAAUUAUAAUUAUAAUUUAUAUUUGGGUUAAUAUAUUAGGAACCUAAUAUGUCAUACACAUUAAGAAUUAAAUUGUGAUGAUUUAAUUAAGUAUAACUUGAUUAAAAAAAAAUUUAGAAAUUAAGGACUACAAUAUAAUUAAUACAAGGAUUAUAUUUUUAGAUCUAGAAAAAUCAAGGACUUGAUUGAGUUAAUUUAUAAAAUUAUCUUAAAUUAAUAUAUGGAUAUUAUUCAAGGGGAAAAUUGAUAUUUUGUCAAUUUAUAGGGUUUUUCAUAUUUCCUUAUAAAUAGUAAGUGUCGCACGUGUGCGGCGUCGUGACAAAAACAUUCACCCUCAAAAUCUUAUCUUAUAAUGUGGCAAAUGUGGGGAGACAAGGAAUUCUUGUUUUUUAUUAGUGGUAAAUUGGAAUGGGAGUCGCCACCUAGUAUUUUGGUCACUAGGAACUCUAGCUGGUCUCAAAGAUCGGGUACGGGGACUGGUUGCGUAAAGGGAAGGUAUUAGCACCCCAAAUACGCCCUACCUAAGGUAAGCUGCAUUGUUUUAUUGUUUGAUAAAAUCUAAGAUCUUGUCGUGUUUUCUCGUUGUUGGUUCGUCUAUGGUUUAAGAAAAGUCCUUCUCGGUAAGGAGAUCCUUAUCUUAUCGGGUAAUUCUGACGUCAACCAAAGAAUUUAAUAUCCGAAAUACGUCUUACGUAUAAGGUCAUAACCCCAGAUAUUAAAAGAAAACAAAAUAAUUUUUUUGGAAUUUUUGAAAUAUUGGCCUAGUUCUCGUGACUUUAAUAAACUGGUUAUUAAAGCCAAAAUGCAUGUUAAUAUAUAUUUUUGAAAUUUUCUUUGUUAUAUGAAAAUACAAUAUGAUUUUUUUUUCUUUUAUUUUUGAGAGACUUGGUCGUAUGCAUGAAAACAAAAUAUUUUUUAUUUUUUAAAUUUUUUUAAUGUCUUGACGAAAACCGGGUAUUUUAAUACCAGAUUUAUAUCUUUACAGUAUAAAAAUACAAACCAAUAUUGAUCAAAAUGAAGUAAAAAAUUUGCAGAAAAUCACAUAUUUUUUUAAAAUUCUUUUUCCGGGCUGGGCCCAGCCCGGCCCAUGUGGCUGGGCUGGACCCAGCAGGUUUCUACCCGCAUGCGUGCGUGAACAAUUCACGCACGCCUGCUACAGUCGCGAUGUAAUUAAUUUUCAUGUGCACAGUGUUUGUGCAUUUUCUGCAAAGUUGGAGAAGUUUACCUGGAAGCAAGACGAAGGCAACAACAGCUUUGGACCUCUAUCUUCACCUUUUCGUUUGUUUUUCUUCUGGUUCCUCUGGUUCUUCCUGUUUUUUUCUGUUUCUGUUUUCCGUUCUUCUUGUGGUUCCUUUCCUUUCGUCUCUGUCUUCUCCUUCCUCCCGGUAUUCUUUGUUUUUUUUGGUUCCCCUCCCCUUUUCUGUUUCUCUCCUCCCUAUCCUCUGCUUCCUUACGCUCUCCCUCUGUCUAUCUCUCUUUUUGUUCUUUUCAAAAGAUUUCCCACCCUCUGUUUCUUUCUCCCUAUGCUGCCCAGUUCUCCUUCCUUCUCGUUCUUUUUCUAUGUUUUCUCCCUGCUCCCUUCUUCUCCCCCUCUUCGGCUCAGUCUUCUUCUGCUGCUUUUAUAGGUCAGAGAAGGCUUUGUGCUGGUAACGGCUGGCUUGGUAACGGUUUGAAGAGGGAUGACAGCCGUGACACAUGCCCUAUAAUUGAAGAGAAUUGGCACUGUUGCUGCAAGAAAACGUCUCUCGGCCUUUAGUGCUGAAACGGCUGGAAGAAGACACUGAAUAGUGUUUCAAGGCAACGGCCCCGUUUUUUGCAAUUUUAAAUGAUAUUUAUGAUUUGGUCCUUGGAUGUUUUUACAAUUUGUAAUCAAGCCCUCGGAUAAAUUAUAAUUGGAUCCCUUGAUUGUAGCACCUUUUCUGUUUUGGUCCUUGGUUUUGAAUUGUUUCAAUUAAGUCCCUAAUUGGCCAUCAAACUUUAAUAACUAUGCAAUUAAGCCCCUGAUUUGACCAAAUCAACUCUUUAAAAUUAUAAUUGGACCCCAGAACUUUAAUUUCUUCCAAUAAAGACCUAAAUUGACUUAAAAAACAAUUUUUCUUGCAAUCAAACCCUCCAUAAAUUCAAUUAAACCUUAGAUAAAAUUUAAUUGAGUCCAUAAACAUCUUAUUUUGAAUAUAUUUUUUCAAAAAUUGAAUUUUCUUUGUCAACAGAACUCUCAUCAGUUAACGAUAAACUGUCAAAUUUCAACCUUUUGCAUUUUUGAACCUCUUCAACCAAUUUUUGGCCAUUUUUCGGCAUUCUAGCAUCCUUUUCUUACUCCUAUUAUUUUUUGGAUUUCUUUCGAAUAUUUUUUGAUAUAUAUUUCUUUUUGUAUUUUCUCAUUUUUUUGUGGGAACCCAAAAAUGGGUAACAACAGUAAGCUAUGCCUUUUAUUUUUUAGGAGUUGUCUGUUAGACAAAAAGACUACGUAUGUCACAUAAUAAAGAGAUAACACUCUAGGCAUAACAAUCCCUCUCUCUUAAAUAGGGACUUGAGAGAUUUUUCACUAGUGGUUCAUGUGAAUUACUAUUGAAGGACAAACAAUUGGACGACUUCUAGUUUACAACAACCCAGUCUUUAAAAAAUUAUUCAAAACCGAAGAUGAUCAAAUCUUUAGGUAAUAAAUCCCUAAACAACUCUAGAUCUGUUUAACAAAAUUCCAGAAAUUCCCGAAUAAUUUUAGGCUGUGUUUGUUUUCCGGAAAGUGGUUUCCGGAAAACCACUUUCCAAACUUUCCUGUGUUUGUUUGUUAUUAGGAAAGUUGGUCAACGGAAAACACUUUUCAGUCAAAGGCAAAAUUUAGCUUGGUUUUUAGAAAAGUGUUUUCCUUUUAUUUUAGGCGGAAAACACUUUCCGGAAGUUGUGCAAAAUUUAGAAAUGUCAUAUUAUUUGCUGAUUAUAUCAAAAUUGGUCCUGAAACUUUUGAUUGCUAUAUAUAUAUAUAUAUAUAUUUUUUGUUUUGAAUAUUUGUUUUUCAAUUUCAUCCCUUGGAAUUUAAUUUUUAUAUUAACUUUACUCCUCAUUUUUAUAAUUGCUAUUUGAUUUUCCCUUAUCAUUUUUUAAUUAAAUUUUUUUAUCUAUCAAAUUUGGUCAUCAUUCUUUUGAUUGUUACUUAUUUUAUUUGAAAUAAUUUAUAAAAUGUUAAUUAUUAUUAUUUUAAUUUCUUCAUCUUUCAAUUUUUUUAUUUUUUAGAUUUGAUCUCUAUUAUUUUGAUUAUUAUUUAUUUUAUUUGAGAUAAUUUAUGAAAUUAUAUUUUUUUUCAAUUUUAUUCUCAUUCAACUUUUUAAUUUGUAAGAUUUAUUCCUCGUUAUUUUAAUAAAUUUGAGAAAAAUAAAAUAUUAAUACGUUAUUUUCCAGCUUAUUUUCCAUGACAUAACAAAACACAGGAAAAUGUUUUCCAACUUAUUUUCCAUGACACUGCAAUUGGAUGACUCAUAUUUGAUUUAUGGAGCUAGCUAUGCUAAGGGAAUCAUGCUUGUAUCACCUAUACUAAUAAUAAUAAUUACAUAUUAACAAGCAUCAUUUGAUUAGUAAGUUUCCAAAUUCUAUCCACAAAUAUUAUAACCUCUUAAUUUAUGCAAGAACUUAGCUACAUUUCAUGCAAGCAAUCCCUAACUCUAGUAUUUUGUCUGUGUUAAAAAUGGAGACUUCUUGGUGUUCGCCGGAGCUUGGGUAUAUACCAUAUUUGAACAAAUAACAAUGUAAAAACAUCUUUUAACGAUAUUAAAAUCAUUUAUUCAUUUAAAGUAUCAAUAUUGUCAUUUAUAGUGAAACAUUUAAUUUUACUACAUUGAAAAUACGUUGACCAAUAGAAUCCCCGCCUUCAGCUAACCCCCAAUAUGUCUUGAAUAGCAAUGGCCAUCCUUUGGCCAUCAUGCCAUAAAAGCCUCAUUUGGAGCCAAUUCCUCUCUUUCUUGCCACUAUUUAGCUUCCGACCAUUCUUCGCGUUUCACUUUUCUUCAAAUGUUUUCACCAAAACAAAGCUUCAACCUUUAAAUUGUUGCUUAUAAAGUCGAGAUCCAAGGGAUUAUUUAAGAUUUUAUGGAAAUUACGUAUUUCAAAUAUUUUAUGUUUAUUUUUCUGAAAUAUCGUUUGAAGCAAAAGGCAAAAAAGAAUUAAAAAUUUUUUUAAAGUGUUUUUAAAACACAAAAACAAACAGAGUUUGUUUUUUAUUUUUUAAAGAAUUGUUUUUAAAAAAUAAUUUUUUGUAUUCUAAAUUAAUUUUUUUAUUAUUUUAAUAUAUUUUAAAUAAAAAAUAUUUUAAAAAACAUCUACUUAAAAAAUAUUAUUUUUCUGAAAUAAUACUUUUCUCUAUAUUUGAGUUUAGUUUAAAAUANNNNNNNNNNNNNNNNNNNNNNNNNNNNNNNNNNNNNNNNNNNNNNNNNNNNNNNNNNNNNNNNNNNNNNNNNNNNNNNNNNNNNNNNNNNNNNNNNNNNAUUUUAAUGUUUUUUCAUGCUCUAGCAAAUGAGGCACGAAAAGAGAACCUGAAAUCACGGCAGCAAAUAAGGAGAGAAAUAGGUGUUUGUUUUUUAUUUUUUAAAGUAUUAUUUUUUAAAAUUAAUUUUUUGUAUUCUAAAUUAAUUUUUUUAUAUUUUUAUAUUAAUAUUAAAAAUAAUUUUUAAAAAAUAAAAAAUAUUAUUUUAAUAUAUUUUUAAAUAAAAAAAUAUUUUAAAAAAGAGCUGCUUAUUCAAACACUUAAAAUAAAAAUCUUAAAAUCACAGCAUGAUAAAAGAAGAAAGAAAGGAAUGGGAUAAAGAAGAAAGAAUAAAAAAAACUCCAAAAAUCACGGCAUGAUCAAAGGAGAAAGAAAAGGAUGGGACAAAGAAGGAAGAAAGUAAGGUCACGUAGGGGCUUGUCUUGUAGAAAAUGUGAGAAUUAGCAUGAAAAGAGGAUAAUAGAGUAGUUGUUAGAAUCAAAAGACAUAAACACGGGAGAGAGGCUGCCCCUUACCUCCUCCUGGGAAGGAAUAUAUGUCAGACUAUACAGCCUUUUUCAAUUCAUUAAUGUCGUUCUCUGUUUGUCUUCUAAAACCUACUCCCAUCAUGUACAUGUAUUAUUUUCUUAAAAUUGCUCUAUGGAAUUGCAGGCCAUGCUCGUUUGAUUUUUUUAAUAACAAAAUUCUUUUCAUGCUCUUGCAAAUAAGGCAGGGAUGGAGGCCUUGAAAUCACGGCAGCGAAUAAGAAGUGAAAAAGAGCCUUUGUUUUUGCUUUUUUAUUUUUUAGUAUUUUUGAAACAAAUUAGAUUUUUUUAUUUUUUUUAUUUUCUAUUAUUUUGAUAUAUUUCUAAACAAAAAAAUAUUUUAAAAAACAACCACUAACACAUUCUUUUUAAGCUAUUAAGUAACCAGUCCCUAUAAUUUUUCAACAUUGCACUUGGGUACCAAACUUCAUUUUUCUCUUUUUCAAGUUUUUUUUUUGGUGGAGAAGACAGAGAGGGUCGCUGAAUUUUAUUUUAGAGAGAGAAAGUUGUUGUUAAGAAAGAUUUUGGCUACCGAAAUCGUUGAUUUUUGUAUCAAAUGGUAACCGCCUAUUUUUUUCAUGUGUUCAUACUUAAAACCUUCUUAAAGAGUUCUUAUCAAUGGUUUUAAAACCUCUCUCUCAAGAUCGAAAGGUUAGAAAUAACUCUCUACCCUCUAAGUCUAAUAAAACCAUCAAGUACUCUUAAAACCAAAACCACAAUUGCAAAAACCAGUUUAGUACAAGAACUUCUAACUAUUAGCUUUUAUCCAUAACCCUCUCACUUUGAUCAAAUGGUUAAACUUUCAUCAAUCUUUGAGGGAAUCCACAAAAAAACCUAGAAAAACAUAUAAUUACUCUUGAAAAUUAGAGCCGGAGAGGAGGAGAAAAAAAGAGGAAAAACAUGGGGAAAUAAUUUGUUAAUAGACUCUAUUAUAAAGGUUCAAGAGCCUAGAAGGUUUAACCAGCUUUAGAAAGAAAAAAAGUGAAAGGAAAAGAAGGAAGGAAAUGAAAAUAAAAAAAUAACAACGUAAUUUUGAACUUAAAGGCCUAAUUUCAGUGAAAGUUAAGAGCAUUAGAGACUAGACCGUGCUUAUACCAAAGACUCUCAUCGUUGAAGGAAUGCAAACAGUUGUUAACGAGACACUUAUGCUGUUCCAACAUUCAAAGAUUGUUGAAUCUAGUACCGGUGCUCAUUCUGGAUCUAGUACCAAAAGGAGAAUAUAGAAAGAGAUAGUAGUGAAUUAAUUAUGUUUCAUUCAGUAGUAAGAAACAAACGGGGGCAAUGCAUUUAUAAUAGCCAGAGAGGGGUUUUUAUAUACAUUCNNNNNNNNNNNNNNNNNNNNNNNNNNNNNNNNNNNNNNNNNNNNNNNNNNNNNNNNNNNNNNNNNNNNNNNNNNNNNNNNNNNNNNNNNNNNNNNNNNNNACUAGAUAUAAAGAAAAAGUACAAAUUCCAACAAAAAAUACAUGUUUGAAGGUUCAACAAAAAUGAUUUGCUAAUUAGCUAUAAGCUUGAGAAAGAUAAAUAAUGAGAGUGUGAGUUCAAAAACUCAGUGAGUAGAUAACGUUCAAUAUACAUACACGAGGUAAUACAACAAUGAGGAAUAUAUAUACAAUUAUGGCUUUAGAUUCUUAUAGGAAGGUUUCUCAAAUAGGCCAUAACAAGGUUAUCAUAAGGUAAAAUUCGUUAGAAAAUCAAAAUGCAAUAACAUGAGGCUCUGUACUAUGGGAUGAUCAGUCCACACAGGUUGAUGACUCUCCCAACCAACUAGGGUUUCAAAUACAAUGUGCACUAAGACUAACACUACCCUGUUAGUAUGAGCAUUCUAACUGGCAUACCAUAAGUUCAUAUCAUAAUCAAACAAACAAAUUCAUAUCUCAAGGCCCAACUCAUGACAUUAAUAAAACAAGAAGCUAUCAAUUCAGAAGUCAAUUUAGAAGUAUAUAUUGGCUUAUAUCAAAAAUUCAAAUUCAACAAUUAAUCAUGUUUUAUCAUAACAAAGAUAAUAAUCAACAUAUAUAUUAUCAAGAAGCACGAUCCAAUUCAUAUUAACAGCUCAAAUAUUUAUACUAUUUCUCAUGCAUAUGGAAAAUUAUACACUCACUUGACUUAAAAGUGAACAGAACUCGAAAGCAAAUACCGAAGAAAAUCCUACUGAUAUUCCGCAUAUAGAAUAUCAAGAUUAUCUAAAUACAAAGAAGACAUAUUAUAAAAUGACUCGAAAAGAACAUACAACCUAUUUAAUACACUUAACUAAGGGUCUAUUUCAUAACCCUAUACAUUUUGUUAAUUCUAAACUAGUUAUUUUUCCCAAAAACCAAAAAAGUAAACGGUUUUUCAGAAAUCUAAUUCAUAAUAAAACAAAUAAUGAGACUUGAUAAUAAUUCACUAAAUAACCAUCAAUUAUUCAUCAAAACAAUCUGAAAAAGCUAAUAUUAAAGCUAGGGACCAAUCUGAAAUUUUAUCAUAUUUUUAGGGGUCAAAUUAUAAUUUUAUCAAAUUGGAAGACCAAACUAAAAAUGUCAUAAAUUCAUGACUAUACUGGAAUUCUGCCCAUAAUUCAUUUUCAAUUCUGCCCAGAAUCUCAAAUUAUGCUCCAGGGACCACUAUAGAAUUUUAUCAAAUUUCUAGGGUUAAAUUGUAAUUUCAUCAAAUUGGAGGACCAAAGUGAAAAUAUCAUAAAUUCAUAACUAUACUGGAAUUCUGCCCAUAGUUUAUCUUUAAUUCUGUCCAGAAUCUCGGAUUAUGCUCCAGGGACCAAUCUCUAAUUUUUCCAAAGUUCAGGGACUAAANNNNNNNNNNNNNNNNNNNNNNNNNNNNNNNNNNNNNNNNNNNNNNNNNNNNNNNNNNNNNNNNNNNNNNNNNNNNNNNNNNNNNNNNNNNNNNNNNNNNCAGACCCACAUGCCUAGGGUCUGCAGACCCGCUUGCGGUUUGCAGACCCUUAUCCCUGGAGUUGCAGAACCCCGCGCCUGGGGUGUGCAGAACCGGGAGCAGGGUCUAGACCCGCUCAUCUGGGUUUGAAGAACCCCACUUCUUCUAUCGUGCCUGGGGUCUGCAGCAUCCUCCCAGGGGUUGUAGACCCACACAACUAGAUCUGCAGACCCCGUAGAGAAAAAUAACAAACUUGAAAAAAAAAAUGAAAACAAAUAUAAUAACUAAUAACAAUUAUUUUUAUCAUUAUUAUUAUUAUCGCUAAUAAAUUUUAUAAAAACAUUAUUACUAUCAAAACUUGGACUAGACAAGUUUAAUAUUAUUAUUACUAUACUAAAUAUUAUUGUUUUCAUUAUAAUUAAAAGUAUUAAUAUUUGUGUUAUAAAUACUAUUAUUUUUAUUAUAAUUAAAAGUAUUAAUAUUAAAAUUAUUAUUAUUUUUCUUAUAAAUAAUAUUAUUUUUAUUAUAAUUAAUAUUGAAAAUACUAUUAUUUGUAUUAUCAAUAUUAUUAUUUUGAGUAUAAUUAAUACUACUAACAUAAUAAUUAAUAAAUUUGAAAAAAAUAUUAUUUAUAUUGAAAAGCAAUAAUAGAUUUAAUUUGAAGGGUAAAAUUAAGAAUUAUUAUUAUUAUUAUUAUUAUUAUUAUUAUUAUUGUUAUUAUUUAUUGUUAUCAUUAGUAAAUUGAAAGAAACAAAAUUAUUAGUUAUUUUUAUCAUUUCAGCUGGGGUUGAAUUUUCUUAUUAGAGCAUGUUUGGUUUUGGUUUUAAAAAUUGCUUUGAAAAGAAUUUUAUUUUUUUUAUUUUUUUCUUUACUUCAAAUUAAUGUUUUUUCCUUUAAUUCAUAUUAAAAUGUUUUUGUAAUAUUUUGACGUGAUUAUAUAUUAAAUAGAUUUAAAAAAAAUUAAACAUUGCAGGAUUCAAAAUAGUCUUGGGUCCAGGUUGGGGCAGGACCCUAGAUCUUACAGGUUGCAGGACCCAAAAUAGCCUUGGGUCCGGCCGUAUGCAUGACCCAAAAUAGCCUUGUACAGUUGAGAACAUCUCAUGCAUGCGACAUCCAAUGCAACAUAAUAUAUAAAUUGCAAUGCAUGUAAUUAAUGGGGGGGAAAUUCAUGAAUGAAUUGAAAGAUAUAUAUCUUAUGGGAUAGAUACAACACGAGAAGAAAAAACCAUUUAGAGAAACAGACAAUCUCGAUUGAUGAUCAUCCUAUUAUUAGCAUGAAAGGUUGAAAAAGAAAGAAUUCAUACAAGGAGGUUGGCCUUGAAUUGGCAUUGCCUUAUUCCAAGCGCUAGCUAGCUUAUAAUAUUAUUCACUAGCUAGCUAGCUCGCUAGCUCCUCUCCCUAGCCUUCCCUGCAUCGAUCUUCUGCUUUGCAACCUCUUCCUGGAGCGACUCGAUGGAGGCAUUGGGGAUUCUUUUCUGGGUCACAACGCGGAAGCCCUUCGUAACUUAAGUAUUUUGGUUUUCUUGUAAUGGUAUCUGCUACAUCUCCUGCAACAAACGUGGUCAUCAGGAGCAUUAAAACACCAAAAGCCAUCAAUCCUUUGGACAUUGACAUUGUUAAACUAUGAUGAGAGCAGACAAUACACAAAUGUUGUUCUUAAAAGAAUAUUGAUUCGGUGACAAUAAAAAGCAAGGUCUGGCAUAUAUAUAUAUAUAUAUAUAUAUAUAUAUAGCAUAUGCAUGGAGUGUUUGCCGUUUAUAGCACAAUUUCUUGUGGAUAUUAAAAUAGUUAAUUCUCUUUGCUUUUUCAGAUUAUAGCCGCACCACUUAUAGCACAAUUUCUUGAAGUUGAUACCCACAUAUAGCUGGGAGCUCAAAUGGCCACAUCUUGCAUUAGACAUUGAGAGCUUAAUUGGAGGUCUUGGUCAGCUAAAUUCUCAGCAUCCCUGAUGAGGAGCACACAUUGCGUGGUUGUGACUUCACUUGAGAAAAGUACAUCCAAGAAACAAGGAGAGAUAUGCUACCAAAGAAAAGAUGUCGUGAGUUCGAGCGUCCAGGUUUGGAUCAUGGGAACGCAUACACAACCACAUGCCCACCCAGCUGCAAGAGCUCCAAGUCUGCAAUAUUGAUCUUGUAUUGUAUGUAAACUUCCAACAAAAGUGAACUAUAUGUUAGAUCAUUAGAGAAGGUUUUCCAUGUAACAUGACAUAACAAUAUUAAACAGCAUCAGGACAAAUAUUGCGAACAUAAUAUGUUUGGUUUAGGUGCGCGCGCCGCCUCUUAAAAAGCAUGUCGAAAUCCAUGCUUUCUGCGAGGUGCACCGCCCGGCGCACCUUACAUACAAACACAUUGUAAUUAGUGUGACCAAAAAGAACUCUUGGUGCGAUUAUCCAAGACCACAAAUCACACUCUGCAACGAGAAGUGUCCCCCAAAGACUAAACAAAAAGAAAAAAUAAAAGCAGCUUCCAAUCGUUUCAUUACUUGACUCACCCAAUAACAAAAGCUCUUCGUCUUCUCAAUAAGGAAAUUAAUACAUGCAAGCUGCCACAAGAUUAAAGCACUUAAUGCAGAGAAAGGAGGAGUCACUGCAAUCUAUUCUACUUCCCAGAUGUUGCAGUCAAACUUAAAAUGUGAAAAUCAAAUAUGGUAAAGGCCACGGCUCUACAUAUAAAGAAAUAGACACCUGGGAUAUGAGAGUUCUUAUUGUUAAAUAAUAUUUAUGUAGUCUUAUUUAUUAAGGGUAGAAUAGUACUUUCAGUUUGACCUAUAUAUACUUUAUUUGUAUUGAGGUUAACACAAAGCAUUCAUAAUAAACAGUCUGAGGGAAGAGAUAUGAGCCUACGUUUAAGUAUUUGAUCUCGAUUACUUUAACAUGGUAUCAGAGCUGGUUUUAUGGCACGAGGUUAAUCCCGUACACAGCUUAUGUCAAGGUAACCGAGCUCGAUAUCUAUCCUCAAUUAUUUUGGUAUUUCGUCUUCCCUUCAGCUUUGCAAUUUUGGUAAUUCCGUUCAGUUUCUGCAAAUUGUUUUGUGUUUUGGAGUAAUCGUAUAGUUUGAGAAGAUAUUUGUUUAGUUUCUGCAAUCUCUGUUCAGUUUCUGCAAUUUGGUAUUUUGUUUUCCGCUGCUUUUGCAUUCUGGUUCUUUGUGAUUGUUGAUUAUGGCUACUGAAAGAGAUGAUUCGCUUCAGUCUGUGAGUGUGAGGUUGGAUGGGAAGAACUAUUCGUAUUGGAGCUAUGUAAUGAGAAAUUUUCUUAAGGGUAAGAAGAUGUGGGGAUAUGUUAGUGGAACUUAUGUGGUACCUAAGAAUACUGAAGAAGGAGAUACUGUCUCGAUAGAUACAUGGGAAGCAAACAAUGCAAAGAUCAUUACUUGGAUCAACAAUUCUGUUGAGCAUUCUAUAAGUACACAGUUGGCAAAGUAUGAGACAGCAAAGGAGGUUUGGGAUCAUCUGCAACGGUUAUUCACGCAAUCAAAUUUUGCAAAACAGUAUCAGUUAGAGAAUGACAUACGAGCUCUUCACCAGAAGAAUAUGAGUAUUCAGGAGUUCUAUUCUGCCAUGACAGAUCUUUGGGAUCAAUUGGCUCUUACAGAAUCGGCAGAAUUAAAAGCAUGUGGUGCUUAUAUUGAACGUAGAGAGCAGCAACGAUUGGUACAAUUUUUAACAGCACUUCGCAGUGAUUUCGAAGGACUUAGAGGUUCAAUUCUGCAUCGUUCUCCACUGCCCUCUGUUGACUCUGUUGUCAGUGAGUUAUUGGCUGAAGAAAUACGUCUUCAGUCUUAUUCUGAAAAGGGAAUUCUUUCUGCUUCGAAUCCUUCUGUACUAGCAGUACCUUCUAAGCCAUUCUCUAAUCAUCAGAACAAGCCUUACACAAGGGUUGGCUUCGAUGAGUGCAGUUUCUGUAAGCAGAAAGGUCAUUGGAAGGCUCAGUGUCCUAAGUUGAGACAGCAGAAUCAAGCUUGGAAGUCUGGCAGUCAGUCACAAUCUAAUGCUCAUCGAUCACCUCAGGGUUAUAAACCACCACACCACAAUACUGCAGCAGUAGCUUCCCCAGGCUCUAUUACCGAUCCUAAUACUUUAGCUGAGCAAUUUCAGAAGUUUCUCUCCUUGCAGCCACAAGCAAUGUCCGCUUCUUCCAUAGGUCAGUUGCCUCAUAGUUCCUCAGGUAUGUCACACUCUGAAUGGGUCUUGGAUUCUGGUGCUUCACAUCAUAUGUCUCCAGAUUCCUCAUCUUUUACCUCAGUGUCCCCUUUGUCCUCCAUUCCUGUUAUGACUGCUGAUGGCACUCCUAUGCCCUUAGCAGGUGUUGGUUCUGUUGUCACACCUCACUUGUCUCUCCCUAAUGUUUAUCUUAUUCCAAAACUCAAAUUGAAUCUUGCGUCUGUUGGUUAAAUAUGUGAUUCUGGUGAUUAUUUAGUCAUGUUUUCUGGUUCUUUUUGUUGUGUACAGGAUCUGCAGUCUCAGAAGCUGAUUGGGACAGGUCGUAGGGAGAAUGGGCUAUAUAUUUUGGAUGAGUUAAAAGUGCCAGUUGCUGCUGCUGCUGCUGCUGCUACUGCUGAUUUGUCUUCCUUUCGUUUGAGUCUUUCAUCUUCUAGUUUUUAUUUAUGGCAUUCCCGUCUAGGUCAUGUUUCGUCUUCUCGUUUGAGAUUUUUGGCAUCCACAGGAGAUUUAGGAAAUUUGAAAACUUGUGACAUUUCUGAUUGUAGUGGAUGUAAACUGGCAAAAUUUUCUGCUUUAUCUUUUAAUCGAAGUAUUUCUGUUUCAUCUUCACCAUUUGAUUUGAUUCAUUCUGAUGUAUGGGGACCUUCUCCUGUUUCCACAAAAGGAGGGUCUCGAUAUUAUGUCUCUUUUAUUGAUGAUCAUACUCGUUAUUGUUGGGUUUAUUUAAUGAAACAUCGUUCUGAAUUCUUUGAGAUAUAUGCAGCUUUUCGAGCUCUUAUCAAAACUCAACAUUCUGCUGUGAUCAAAUGCUUUAGGUGUGAUUUGGGUGGGGAAUACACCUCUAAUAAAUUUUGUCAAAUGCUUGCCUUAGAUGGAACCAUCCACCAAACUUCAUGUACAGAUACUCCUGAACAAAAUGGUGUAGCUGAAAGAAAACAUAGGCAUAUUGUCGAAACUGCUCGUUCUCUCUUGUUGUCUGCUUUUGUUCCUAGUGAAUUUUGGGGAGAAGCUGUUCUUACUGCUGUAAGUUUGAUUAAUACAAUUCCAUCUUCUCAUAGUUCGGGUCUAUCUCCUUUUGAAAAGCUAUAUGGGCAUGUCCCUUAUUAUUCCUCAUUUAGAGUCUUUGGUUGUACUUGUUUUGUUCUUCGUCCUCAUGUAGAACGCAAUAAGCUAUCCUCUCGAUCCGCUAUUUGUGUCUUUCUGGGUUAUGGUGAAGGUAAAAAGGGGUAUCGUUGUUUUGAUCCAAUAACUCAGAAACUUUAUGUGUCUCGUCAUGUUGUCUUCCUUGAGCAUAUACCUUUCUUUUCUAUUCCAUCCACUACUCAUAGCCUGACAAAAUCUGAUCUUAUUCAUAUAGAUCCUUUUUCUGAGGAUUCUGGUAAUGAUACCUCUCCCUAUGUUCGAUCAAUUUGUACUCAUAACUCUGCAGGUACUGGUACUUUACUCUCUGGCACAUCUGAAGCUUCAUUCUCAUCUACAGCCCCUCAAGCUUCAUCUGAGAUUGUGGAUCCACCUCCACGUCAGUCCAUCCGCAUUCGUAAGUCCACAAAACUACCAGAUUUUGCUUAUUCUUGUUAUUCUUCAUCAUUUACUUCCUUUUUAGCUUCUAUUCAUUGUCUCUUUGAGCCCUCUUCCUAUAAAGAGGCAAUUCUUGAUCCGCUUUGGCAGCAAGCUAUGGAUGAGGAACUUUCUGCUUUGCAUAAGACAGAUACUUGGGAUCUGGUUCCUCUACCUCCUGGUAAGAGUGUUGUUGGUUGUCGUUGGGUGUAUAAGAUCAAGACUAAUUCUGAUGGGUCUAUUGAGCGAUACAAAGCUAGGCUGGUUGCAAAAGGAUACUCUCAACAGUAUGGUAUGGACUAUGAGGAGACAUUUGCCCCGGUUGCCAAAAUGACUACUAUUCGUACUCUUAUUGCCGUAGCUUCGAUUCGUCAGUGGCAUAUUUCUCAGCUUGAUGUUAAAAAUGCAUUCUUGAAUGGAGAUCUUCAAGAAGAAGUUUAUAUGGCACCCCCUCCUGGUAUUUCACAUGACUCUGGAUAUGUUUGUAAGCUUAAGAAAGCACUAUAUGGUCUCAAACAAGCACCUCGUGCUUGGUUUGAGAAAUUCUCUAUUGUGAUCUCGUCUCUUGGCUUUGUUUCUAGCAGUCAUGAUUCUACUCUUUUUAUUAAGUGCACUGAUGCAGGUCGUAUCAUUCUGUCUUUAUAUGUUGAUGACAUGAUUAUUACUGGUGAUGAUAUUGAUGGUAUUUCAGUUUUGAAGACAGAGUUGGCUAGACGAUUUGAAAUGAAGGAUUUGGGUUAUCUUCGAUAUUUCCUAGGUAUUGAGGUAGCAUACUCGCCUAGAGGUUACCUUCUUUCUCAGUCAAAAUAUGUUACAGAUAUUCUUGAGCGAGCUAGACUUACUGAUAACAAGACUGUAGAUACUCCUAUUGAGGUCAACGCGAGGUACUCUUCUUCUGAUGGUUUACCUUUGAUAGAUCCUACUUUAUACCGUACUAUUGUUGAGAGUUUGGUAUAUCUCACAAUUACUCGUCCAGAUAUUGCAUAUGUUGUUCAUGUUGUUAGUCAGUUUGUUGCUUCUCCUACUACUGUUCACUGGGCAGCUGUUCUUCGUAUUUUGCGAUAUCUUCGGGGUACAGUUUUUCAAAGUCUGUUACUUUCAUCCACCUCUUCCUUGGAGUUGCGUGCAUACUCUGAUGCUGAUCAUGGUAGUGAUCCCACAGAUUGCAAGUCUGUUACCGGGUUCUGUAUCUUUUUAGGUGAUUCUCUUAUUUCUUGGAAGAGCAAGAAACAAUCUAUUGUUUCUCAAUCAUCCACCGAAGCAGAAUAUCGUGUCAUGGCAUCUACUACCAAAGAGAUUGUUUGGCUACGUUGGUUACUUGCUGAUAUGGGAAUUUCCUUUUCUCAUCCUACUCCUAUGUAUUGUGACAACCAGAGUUCUAUUCAGAUUGCUCAUAACUCGGUUUUUCAUGAGCGCACUAAGCACAUUGAGAUCGAUUGUCAUCUUACUCGUCAUCAUCUCAAACAUGGCACCAUUGCUUUGCCUUUUGUUCCUUCUUCCUUGCAAAUUGCAGAUUUCUUUACCAAGGCGCAUUCCAUCUCUCGUUUUCGUUUUCUGGUUGGCAAACUCUCGAUGCUUGUAGCUGCCGCAUCGUGAGUUUGAGGGGAGAUGUUAAAUAAUAUUUAUGUAGUCUUAUUUAUUAAGGGUAGAAUAGUACUUUCAGUUUGACCUAUAUAUACUUUAUUUGUAUUGAGGUUAACACAAAGCAUUCAUAAUAAACAGAUUAUUCAGAAUUGUAGCCUCCUUUUUGUAUUUGAUCUCAAUUACUUUAACACUUAUACCAUGCCUCAAGGACAAAUGAAGGAGAGCAAAGCAUCUCCCGGAAAAAAAACAUCAAAUCAAGAGUCUUGCAAUCCACAUGCAUUAAAGCUUCUUUCAUAAAGGACAGAAGCUUUGAUUUCCAAAUGAGACAGCAAAAAAGAUAUGUCACUGAUAUCCACUUGUAAUUAAUAACCACUUCAUUUAUUUAUUCUAGGACAAAAAACCAAAACAAUCUUGGAUCACAUAGGAACAGGAAAAGGCCUUAAACUCUGACGAACAAGGCGGAGCUAUUAUACAUAGGAUACUUCAGAUGAACUGUUGAUUUCCAUUAUGCUUCAUGCCAAACGUGAGAACCCAACCUCCUUUCCCACCCAUAUCCACAUCACACAACCCGAUCAUCGUCGCAUAUUAAUUUCAUUACAUAAUAUGACACUAGGAUGCAUGUCAUGAUGAAACAUGGAUGAGAUUAAAACUCAUUGACAUAAAUCUGGUCUUUUAAUACAUGUCUCAGAUAAUUAGACCUGAUGAUUAAGAUUAUAAGUUCAAAAACAUAAAUAUAUAGCCAUACGCAAGAGUCUUAGAUUCUGGAAGCCAACAUUUCCAGCAAUACAUGUCUAGGCAAGACAUUGCAUAUCUGAUUCUGAGAAUCACAGCAAAUAUGCCCACUCUAUCAAACAUACUUGAAUGCAGCCAGUCUUAUUUGACAGGCAACUAAAACUAAACAUGAAAAAAGUUUCAUAUUAAGAAGAAGCAGUGAUCAUCUAUGAUCUACCAUCCUCCUAAAUCCUAGAACCUUUUAAUUUUUAACACAAAAACUAGUGACAGCACCUCAACAUGAUAGAAUUGAGAAGGAGAAGCUUCAACGCAAUGCAUGCAACUCAAAGCCAAUAUAUAUUACCCUUUCACUUAGACUACCAUCACAUUUCUAAGCAUCGAGUUUCAAUCUACUAGUUCAUUCCAGAAACAUUCUUCAACUAAGACAAAAUGCCGAACCUACCUGGAAGGCAGGACCCCCUCAGCAGAAUUCAUGAUGCUCCAGCAACCCAUGAAUGCAAAGAGGAACAAUCUUCUAAAAAUGACUUCCAUUGGAGGAAGUUCGACAAAAUUGAGUAAAUUCUUGACCCAAGGAGGAGACUCCUCCACUUUCUUCUCUAUCCUGGUCUUGAAAUUAAUUUUUGUUUCUUUCCUCUGUCUAAAGCUAGUCAUCAACAAUUUCUCAAAGGCAGCUUCUAUUGAUUCUUCGCUUCUUUCAUGCCCAGCAUAUUGUUUCAGGAGAAAAUUGCGUGAACUCCAGACUUCCUCUUCAGAAGCGUAAGGACUGACACCAAGACGUUUAAAAGGGUCCCAAACAUUCAUGGAAGGGAAUUUCGGGAUGUUACCUGUUGAGUUUGAACACGAUUGUGAUAGGUCCCUGUCACAGCAAGUAAUUAAAGACAAGAAACAAACACAAAUGUAUUCUGCUUUGGGCGAGAAUAAGCCACAAUUGAUAUUAUUGAAUAUUGAAUGAAUGCGUUCUCUGUCUCAUAGCAGAGUUUAAAUACAGGAAUUGAAAUAACAACUUUCCUAAAAUACUGGCAUGACUACAUAAAAUCAGGAUGACUCCUGCUACAUAGCUGGCAUUUAUUUGCUGAAUAAAACUUGACUCCUUCCUCCCGUGCACUAAGGCACUGCAGUGAGAAGACCCCCUUGACUCGUUCCUCCCUUGACUAGCUCUUCACAGCUCAAUAAACCUGCGAUUCUUCUUACGAAUUCUGCAUGAUCUUCUCGGCUCCAGCUGUUGCUCAUCCCGUUGUUGUAGUUCAUCACUUGACUCCUUCAAUUGCUGCUGCUGCUUAUCAAUACCUCCCUCUUUUAAGGGAACCUUGUCCUCAAGGUUCAGAUUCUGAAAUCGCUCCCGUAACGCCACAGCAUCUUCCCACGUGGCAUCAUCAUUCUGCAGAUGUUUCCAUUUGACGAGAAUUGCUUCGACAAACCGAGACCCUUUCUUGAUCCAACGAGUGUCUAGGACAGCCUCAGGUUCAAUCAGCAUCUCUCCCGCAGCAGACAUAGGUGGCAAUUCGAUUGAUUCAACCACCUCAUCUCCAAUUUUCUUUUUGAGCAAGGACACAUGAAAGACUGGAUGAAUUCAAGCCUGUGUAGGCAAUUUUAGCUUAUACGCUACCGCGCCAAUUCUUUCUGCAAUCUGAUAAGGACCAUAAUAGCGGCUAGCCAACUUUUUGCAUACACUCCUGACCACGGAUUGUUGACGGUAAGGGUGAAGUUUAAGAAAAACCCAAUCUCCCACCUGAAAUUCAAUAUCACGUCGCUUAGAAUUAGCAAGUUGUUGCAUGCGAUUACUAGCCGCAUGCAGGUUUGCCUUGAGCAGACUCAACAAUUCGUCCCUAGAGGCGAGUUGCUGAUCCACUUCAUUCACCGGAGACAUGCCAAUGUGGUAAUGGGGAAUUGUAGGUGGUAAACGUCCAUAGAGGGCCUGAAAUGGUGUCAUUCCUGUAGAAGCAUGAUAAGUUGUAUUAUACCAGAAUUCGGCCCAAGGUAGGAGGGAAUUCCAUUUUGCUGGCUGGUGGUGAACAAAGCACCGAAGAUAUUGUUCGACGCAGCGAUUGACCACCUCUGAUUGCCCAUCCGUUUGUGGAUGAUAUGCGGAACUCAUCUUCAACUUGGUACCUGACAAUUUAAAGAACUCACGCCAAAAAUGACUGAUAAAGAUAGGAUCUCUAUCACUGAUAAUGGACCGCGGCAUACCAUGUAGCUUCACUACCCCGUCAACGAAUUUCUCGGCCACAAUUUUGGUCGUAUAAGGAUGAGCCAAUGCCAAGAAAUGUGCUGACUUACUUAGGUGAUUAACCACAACGAAAAUUGUGUUCUUGCCACCCGAUGUCGGGAGACCUUCAAUAAAAUCCAUCGUAAUAUCAUCCCAAACCUGACAGGGAACAGGUAAUGGUUGUAAUAAACCCGCCGGUGAUAGUGUGUCUGAUUUUACCCGUUGACAUACGUCACAGGAUGCGACAUAUUCCUUCACUAUGCGAGCCAUUGAUGGCCAAUAGAACUGGUGUGCCAACCGUUUGUAAGUGCGCAACACACCCGAAUGCCCUCCAAUAGGUGAAUCAUGGAAUUCACGUAAUAGUUGUUGAAUGAUGUCCGAGUUGGGGGCAACUACUACUCAAUUUUUAUAGUGGAGCAACCCAUUCCGCCGUGUAUAUGGGCUGCCCGAAUUUUCAGCAGCGAGCUUGCCAAUUUUCUUCAUGUAAGGAAGAGAAACAGCUUCGGCCUUAAGCUGAUCCCAUACGGUACUUUGUGGAACAGAUAAGUGCGAAAGGCAAGGGCUUCCCGUCAUUCGUGAUAAAGCAUCCGCAGCUGAAUUCUCCUUUCCUGGCUUAUACACAAUUUCAUAAUCAUAGCCGAGUAAUUUCGAUACCCAUUUCUGCUGUUCUGGGGUAGUAAUACGCUGCUCCAAGAGGUACUUCAAGCUGCGUUGAUCGGUUUGGAUCACAAACUUACGGCCUAACAAGUAUGGUCUCCACAGCUGGACAGCCACCACAAUAGCCAGCAUCUCCCUCGCAUAAGUUGACCAUGCACGCUUGGAUAGCCCCAAAACGCGACUCAUGAAAGCUAUUGGCCGCCUUGUUGGGUCAGAACAGCGCCGAUGCCAUCACCGGAAGCAUCAGACUCAAUCACGAAAACUUCAGCAAAAUUAGGCAUGGCAAGUGUUGGGGUGGACGUCAUUGCGGUCUUUAAUGCCUCAAAAGCUGCCUCGGCUUCAUCAUUCCAGCCAAAUUGACCUUUGGUAACAAGGAUGUCAACGGUCGAGCAAGAAUUCCAUAAUUGCGGACAAAUUUCUUGUAAUAACCUGUAAGACCUAAAAAUCCACGAAGCUCAGAUAUAUUAGUAGGUCUUGACCAGGAUAGCAUAGCCUGGAUUUUUGCUUGAUCAACCUUAACCCCCAUUGGAGUAAUAAUAUGCCCCAAGUACUCCAGUUCUUGUUGACCAAAAGCACAUUUCUUCAAUUUCGCAAAGAAUUGGUACUGCCUUAGAAUUUCGAAAGCCUUGCGAACAUGUUCAAGAUGCAUGGUCCAAUUGGGACUAUAGAUCAAUAUGUCAUCAAAAAAGACUAAUACAAAUUUGCGAAGGUAUGGUCGAAAUAUGGCAUUCAUAAGGGCUUGAAAAGUAGAGGGUGCGUUACACAAACCAAAUGGCAUGACUAAGUAUUCGUAAUGACCAUUAUGAGUGCGAAAAGCAGUUUUAUGAAUAUCAUUUGGUGCUACCCUAACCUGAUGGUAACCAGCUGUCAAAUCUAGUUUGGUAAAAUAAACAGCCCCAUGCAAUUCGUCUAACAUGUCAUCUACUGUAGGAAUAGGAAAUCGGUCUUUAAUAGUUACUGCGUUAAGUGCUCUAUAAUCGGUGCAAAAACGCCAUGUGCCAUCUUUCUUUUUGACUAACAAAACAGGUGAUGAAAAAGGGCUAGUGCUUGAUCUUAUAAAUCCCAAUUUUAACAUGUCUUGAACCUGUUUUUCAAUUUCAGCUUUUUGAAAAUAGGCAUACCUGUAGGGUCUGACAUUGACCGGUUCUGUCCCUUCUUUGACAGUGAUGGUGUGGUCGAUCUCCCGGACCGGUGGCAAUUGAGCUGGAGUUUGAAAAAUAUCUCCAAAUUCCUCCAACAUCUGCUGCAUUUCAGACUCAACUUUGCUAACAGGCAUCUCGACUUCGGUUUGUAGACAGAUAGCAAACAUCGUUUUGCUUUGGCGCAGCUCCUUCGAUAAAUCCUUGAGAGACGCGGGUUGAAUGUGUUGGCUGUCAAUUCCCUGUAAUUUUUGCAUCUGAUUCUUCCACAUAAAUUCCAUGGUCAUUUUCUUCCAAUCACAGGCUACUGUUCCCAAUUGUUCAAGCCACUGCACUCCCAAAACCAAAUCUAACCCACAUAAAGGUAUGGCAUAUAAAGUCAGCAUAAAUGGGAUACCUUGAAGUAGGACGUGUAUGUUUUCAAAUAUGCCUUGACACUUCAAUGGAUUCCCAUUUGCCACCUUUACGUUGAAGGGCUGUGUGGGUAUCACUGGUAGGUGUAGCCAAUUAGCAAUCCGCUCGCUAAUGAAAUUGUGGGUGGAGCCACUAUCAAUGAGGACAGUCAAUUCGUGAUUUCCAAUUCUUGCCAUGAUGCGCAUUGUUUUGGCAGUCGACCAGCCAGUAAGAGCAUGUAGUGAAAUUUGUGGUUCAUCAUCUUCGAAGUCUUCGUCAUCUUGCAGAUGUGUCUUUUCGUCUCCUUCCAGUAGCAACAAACGGGGUCUUUGACACUUAUGGCCAGGAGUGAAUUUUUCGUCACAAUUGAAGCAGAGACCUUGCGAUCGGCGCUUCUGCAUCUCGUCCCACGCCAGGCGUUUCAUGGGCAUAACUGCUGCUGGUGAUUUUGUGGGUGAAAAAGAAGCAAUUGGAUUCUGACUAAUGGAAAAUGGCUUACGUCGUUGGCGAAGUAAUUGCUCAUCUCUCAUUCUGGCAAGGCUAAUUGCCUCUUUCAAGGAUUUGGGUUUAAACAUCCUAAUCCCUUCUGCAAUGUCAGGUUUCAAGCCUCCCAUAAAAGUUCCCACCAAUGCCUUCUGCGUCCAGCCUUGCACACGGUUACCCAGCCUUUCGAAUUCUUUUUGGUACUCCCGUAGUGAGCCCCCUUGUCUCACCCUUGACAGUGCUUCAUCGAAAUCUUCACAUUCUGGUGGUCCAAACCUUGCCCAUAAUUCCUCCUCAAAAAUUGGCCAUGUCAUCUCCUUGUCUUCCUCUUUGUAAGCACGUCGCAGCCACUGCCACCACUGGUUCGCCUCCCCUUGAAGAUGAAAAGAUGCCAAUGACACCUUUUGUGUUUCCACAGUACCUUGGUAUUCGAAGAAUUGAUCAACUCUGUUGAACCAUUCAGUGGGGUCGUUGCCCGAGUAUAUGGGGAACUCAAGCUUCGCCAGUUUUGAAGAGAACAUCUGUCUGUUCCCCUCAGCUCGUUCUGCAAUGUCUUCACGUUGAUAGCGCGGGCGUCCAUUGCGCUCAAUGGAUUGGCUGCUGGAUCCUUCUUUGUUGGACAGUAACGCCUCUGUCAGCUUAUUGAUGUUGACUUCCAUCUGCUGCAUUCUGUCAACAAGAGUAAUUUCCAUUCGGCUCAUUCCAUCUUGCAGACCUCCCAAUCCGAUUUCCAAAUUUUCUAUCCGCUCCUUGUUUGUUGUCAUUGUUAACCUGGCUCUGAUACCAAUUGAUAGGUCCCUGUCACAGCAAGUAAUUAAAGACAAGAAACAAACACAAAUGUAUUCUGCUUUGGGCGAGAAUAAGCCACAAUUGAUAUUAUUGAAUAUUGAAUGAAUGCGUUCUCUGUCUCAUAGCAGAGUUUAAAUACAGGAAUUGAAUAACAACUUUUCUAAAAUACUGGCACGACUACAUAAAAUCAGGAUGACUCCUGCUACAUAGCUGGCAUUUAUUUGCUGAAUAAAACUUGACUCCUUCCUCCCGUGCACUAAGGCACUGCAGUGAGAAGACCCCCUUGACCCGUUCCUCCCUUGACUGGCUCUUCACAACUCAAUAAACCUGCGAUUCUUCUUAGGAAUUCUGCAUGAUCUUCUCGGCUCCAGCUGUUGCUCAUCCCGUUGUUGUAGUUCAUCACUUGACUCCUUCAAUUGCUGCUGCUGCUUAUCAACUGCAUUGGCAUCCAAUAAGUGAGGACAAUCUUGUAUCUUCCAAGUGGCAGUAGAAUUUAAUUAUAACUACCAUUAUUCUUAUCUUUAGUUAGUAAUAUAACUCUAUUUAUUGUUUCUAGUACGUAGGACAUGUUGUAAUGAAAACCUGUUAGUUAUUUGGUGUGAUUCCAAGGAGUGAUUCCUUUGAAUGAUAUCAGGCUCUACUUAUUUUCCUCUAUCAAUACUUUCUUGCUAUCUUUUAUACCAUGUUCAUUAGUUUACAUAAAUUGUUCCCUUAAUAUCCUUUGGUAUUAAUAUUAAUUGAUAUCAGAACAAGUUUUGAAUUUUUGAUCUGCUAUGCCUGGAACCGCAGUGGAAAUUCUUAUAAUCCCACCAAUCAAAGAUUACAAGACCCUAGUCCUUCCCUAACCAAUUUGAACUCCCCGUAGAAAACAUCUCCAAACCGAUUCUGAACCCCCCACAACAAGCAUCUCCACAACCUAUUCCGAACCCCCCACAACAAGCAUCUCUACAACAUGAUUUACUUCCUUGUUAAACCAGUUAGAAGAUGCUCUCAGAAUGGUAAGCUUCGAAGAGCUGCAGGAUGCAAGCGUGUGCUGAAGAAGCAAGAGGACAAUUGCCCACAUAAAUGGCAAAGGGGGUGAUUGUUGGAAUAUUGCCAAUUAUGUGGCUGCCAUUGUCAAAGAAGAUGGCUGCAAUGGUGGGUUGUUGGUGGCAGCCAACAACCAUUGUCUAAUGUCAAAGUUUGGUAAGUUUGGCAGCCACCAUUGUUGACAAAAGAGUUGGAGGAGCUGCCAUGAAUGCCUAUAAAUAGAGGCCUACAUUAGAGAAGCAAAGUGAGAGAAGAAAGGAGAGAAAACGUGAGUGUGAGUUGAGAGAAAGAGAGAGCUGCAAUGGCAGCAGCCUUGCUGCCAUUGCAGCAGCUGCAACAGCUGUGUGUGAGAGCUGGGAGUAGAGUAGAGUGAAUGUAAUCCUCCUCCUCCAUAUAUAUUGUAAUCCUUUCUCUAUAUAUCUCAAUAAUAUAGACUCUCCCGUGGAUGUAGGCGGUUUUGCCGAACCACGUAAAAUAUUGUGCCAGUGUGCUAUCCCUCCUUUGAGCAAUUAUCAGUACACCCCCGGUCGGAAAUCCCCAACACAGAGUUGAUCAAGGAGGAGAUGUGGCUAUAGAUGAAGAAGAAGUAGGAGAACAUUAGCUCAAUUCAGUCUACAGUGACAGGGAGGUCAAAAUUGAAAGAUAUCACUAUUUUCAUUAAUUUUAUUAAAGCUUAUAAUAAAAGGUUGUGUUUUUAAUUGGAUUUAUUUUUAUAUGGCGUGGCUUCUUUUUUUAAAAUGCAAUCUGCUUCCCUUUAUAAUACAGAAAUCCAGUUUUGAGUUUAUGUAACUAUAUUAACAAAACGAUUAAAUGCUUUCGUGUCCGUUUAAUUAUUUAUAUAAAUAAUAAACCCAGUUAAUAUAUUUUGCAAUCAGUUUAUGGUUUAUUUAUCUCAUAGUUGAGUUAGUUAAUGUAUGUUUUUUCAAAUUAGUAGCAAAGGCGUGUGGGCUUGUCUCAGGCUCACAUGCUAGUGCCUGAGUUGUACUGUAAUAGACCCUAUCAUAUUAGGCCACAUAAGCCCGAGUGGUUGGAAUUUUUUUUAUUGGUCAUUUUUUAUUUUUUUAAUAUAAUUUUUUAAUUUUAUAUUUUAUUGUUGAGUUUUUUUAUUAAGUUUUAUUUGUCAAUAUUGAAUUAAUUAUAAAUUAAUUUUUAUAUUUUUUAUUAUAUAUAAACCGAGUAAAGUAUUUGGUGGGUUAGCUAUAAACCUGAACUUUUUAUUUUUUUAUUUUUUGGACUAGUAAAAGACAAAUUAAAAAAACAAAGUAAUCUUAUUUGAUAUGUUGUAAAUUUUUUUUUUAUCUAAUAAUUUAAAUUGAAAUCUCAUUUAAUAAUUUAAAUUAUUAAAUUGAAAUAAAUUUUUAAUACAAUGAUUUAAGAUGUACCAAGAUAUGGUUGUAGUUUUUAUUUUUUUGCCUUUUUCUUUAAAAAUGUUAUCUCCUUGGUAAGGAAUCCUUGGUUCCCAACGGCAACUGUAGCAACGUAAAAACAAAUCUCUAAACUCCACCGAAAGUGGUAGAGCAUUAGAAUUUUUAAAAGACAAAACGGGGCGCGACAUUCAUAAUUUAUAAACAGAUGCGAUAAAAUAAGUCAUACUGCAUGUUUUCAUUUGGCAUUUAAUUCCAUGAACAUGGCUUUUUUAGAUUAAUAUAGUGUUUGGACUAGCUUGUAUAUCUCGAAUAAUCUCAAGAGAUCUUGAAGUUAACAACGUACCAUAUAAGGCUUUAAUAGCAAUGAGAUUUGUAGGAUUCGAACUAGUGAUAUUUAGAAAACAAACUUAGUGACUAACUAGUUGAGCUACACCCCUUAAAAUUCCAUGAACAUGAUCUUACUUUUCGAUCAAAUUAAUGUGACCAUAUUAUACUUGUAAUCAAACCAUUAAUUGACUGUUCUUGACUAGCUAUUGUUUCUCAUUGGCAAGAGUCAUUGCCAAUGAUCAUAACAUGUUAGUGAUCUAUUGCAACUAGUUCUAGUAUCGACAGAGUUGUUAUUUAACCAUUAAAUCAAUUUAUAAAACAUUAUUGACUAGCUAUCUAACACUAACAACUAAUCACAGAUAAUAUUUAUGCAAAACUUGUAGCUUAAUACGAACUCUCAGACAUGUGGGUGGGGCAACUCAAAGUAGGAGAGUGGUAACCUCUGAUACAUAACAGAGAAAAUUAUAGAGUAAAGCAGGACGGAAUUUUCUUAAAUUAACAACAGAAAUCUAGAUACUUCAAUAAAUUAACACACUGACUAAUAAAUCCCCCCCACCAUCAUCCAGUUAUCACAGGUGCAUCUACAAUGAACAGUUCUCGAGAAGAAACUCAAGAAACGCAUAUAAAGCUACAUGAUGACAUAAUAGGAACCUGCAUUGCCUCCAUUCCAUGAUGAAAGUUCAAGAAAUUCUACUUCGAAACUCAAGACAAAGUCUCUCAGACUACAUAUUAGUGGGAUUUCUAUAAACAACUGAUUGUAUUGCAAAGCAACAUUAUGAAAAACUGAAUAUUUCACACAUAGUCUAACAAAAGUAGGUUCCAUUGUCAAUUCCUUAACAUUUUCCGAACAAAUCACAGUUGCUCCUCGUUUGAUACUUUCUUGAAGGUUUCUUUUCUCUUAUUACCAAUUUCUGUGAGUUUGUGAUUUUUUAUCUGUACCGUAUCAUCCGAACAAUUACUAGAACCACACAACUAAUAUGUAAAUUCACAAAUUCCCUACAGUUCAUAUUGCCAACAAACUCCUCUUGCCAUUCCCUAAUUGCAUUGAGCCAGCUAAUCUGGAUGAAAGAAAGGACUUCGACCUUGAAAUUAGCAUCAUAGUCAUGGAACCUUAAAGCAGGCCCAACUUUGUAGCUCAUUACCAGCUACGUAAAAGUUAUCAAUAGCUGUGUGGAUCAUUGAAACUGCCACAAAAGCAACCCAAAUUAGUUAUGAAUUGGAUUCGAUAAAGGAAAGAGGGGAAGAGGGGAGAAGACAGAUGAAGAUCUGCGCAGGGCUACCUGUUUUGAGAAUUAUGGAUUUUUAUCCCUAACUCAAAACGGCACCAAUUAUAAGUUCAAUAAAAAAAAAUAUGUAACAGAACAGAUGGAAAAAACUCGAAACAACUCGGCUAGAAUUUAGGAAAGAAAUUCAGAAUGAGCCAAGAUUUUAAGUGAGAUGAAACUUUGUUCUUUGAAAAAAAUAAUUAAUAUGAGAUAUACUUUUCAUUUUAGUGAACCUUAAAGCAGACCCAACAGUUAAGUAAAAGUUAUCAAUAGCUGUGUAAACCAUUGAAACUGUUACUGUAGGUGCACACUCAAUUACACCAUGGAUUCACAUAGUGCAAUUGUUAAUUUUUUUUUUAAAUUCCAUGUUAUUUUUUUAUUUGAACCUUUUUUUGUCAACAUGUUUCGCAAUUGGCCUUGGUAUUUUGUUUUCAUUUUCUCUAUGUUUCCUUCUUCUGUAGAUAAAAAACAUCAGGUCUUUGGGCUCGUACUUGAUAGUGCAAAAUUAAUGACACAAUAAUCAAAUAACACAAAAAUUUUUAUAAGCGAAAGGAAUUGGAGAUGUAAACCUAAAAUUCGCAAGUUUAUUUUUUCUAAAAUAAUAAUAAUAAUAAUAAUAAUAAUAAAGUCUACAUUCUUAGAAGGUUUACAAACCUUUAAAUGGGUCAAGAACCCUACCCCCAACUAGGAAGCAAAAAUAAAAAUUCAAAAUUACAAAGAAAAGAAGCAUAAAAUCCAAAAUAAACAAGAAAUCUAAAAAUAAUAAGGAAAAUCACAAAAAUUACCAAAACUAGAGGCCUCAAUGAGAUUUUUGAUAUCUAAAGAUCCGACGGUCCGCAUUAAAAUUUGAGCACAAUCUAACAAUUGAAUAAAAAAUUAUGACUCUUUUGAGUUGUUAUUCUGGUUUAGCGUGACCAAACCUUCUCUUGGGCUUAGACCUGUUUCAUUGGUCCAUAAAUACAUUUGCUAAGCUAUCAACAUAAUUUAUCUAGGGAAAAUCUUCAUCUAGUUAUGGCAGAUUCACACCUGACUGCUUAGAAUCACUAAUUAUUAUAGGAUUGACUACAUCAAAAUUGGUCGGUUUUUUUUGUUUUCAAAGAGAUUUAAACUUGAUGCAGAUGAAAGCUAAAAACACAAUAAUCAAAGAACACCAAAAAAUAUAUGAGCGAAAGAGAAUAUAGAUGUGAACUCUCAAAUUCCCAAGUUUAUUUUCUCUAAAAUAAUAAUAAUAAAGUUUGUCUUCUUAAGACGUUUACAAAGCCUUAAAUAUGUUAGGAACCUUACCUUAACUAGGAAACAAAAACAUAAACCCAAAAUUACAAAGGAAAGAAACAUAAAAUCCAAAACAAGUAAGAAAUAAAAAAAUAACAAGGAAAAUCACAAAAACUACCAAAACUAGAGGCCUAAACAAGAUUUUUUAUAUAUAAAGAUUCGAUGGUUCACGUGAAAAUUUGAGCAUGAUCAAAUAAUCAGAUAAAAAAUUAUAACUUUUUGAGCUUUUAUUCUGGUCUGACACGACCAAACUUCUUCUUGCUAAACUUGUUUCAUUGGUCCCUAAAUACAUCUCCAUAACCUUUUUUUUUUGUUUCACUAUAGAUAGAGUUUGACCAUUAUUAUAUAUGGUUUGACUUAGCCGUAUCGGUUUUCAAUUAGAUCAACUUUAUAUAUUAUGGGUUUACAUUUACUAUUUUUUAAAAAGUGCUCACAAGUCCAUUUUUCACACCUCAAACUCGUAACUGCAACGAUUCGUAGGCAACGAAACUAGUUAAAGACUAGAGAGUAAACAUGCUACUAAAGUUUGCAGGUGAGGGUUUAGAUUAGAUUAUUUGUUGUCUUGUUUCAAAUAUUAGAUCAGUCUCAACUCAUUAAAUAAACAAGUGGUGCAUUGAUCCUUGGACUCAAAUCAUAUAUACACGGCGAGCUCAUUUGUGUUUUUAUUAUUUGUCCCUCCCUGUACUUGUAGCAGAAGAGAAGCUGCUCUCAUCUUUGAAGGAAUGCAAACAAUUGUUAAUAUGAAACAUAUUAUGUACAAAUUAUAAUAUUUGUAAGAAGCCGUUUUGCUGCCCACCGGCGGCCAUCUGAUCAGAGAACAGUAUUAUAUUUUUUAAACCCUUCACUCUCAUAAAAACAAUUUAUAUGAUUAUAAAUAGGAAAACAUAAAAAAAAAUAGGAUUACAUAUUUUUAGAGAUUACAUAUUAUUGUUUUAGUUCUUUUUCUUGAUUAGAGAUAAGUUGAAUAAAAGUAGUAAUAAUUUAUUUUUGUGAAAAAAGUUUACUACAACUCCUAAUAAUUAGUUUCAUGUAAAAAAUAAAAAUAAAAAUAGUAACUAAAAUUUAUUUUAGUUAUGUUAAUAAAAUUUUAAAGAUAUUUUAAUUGAAUUAAGUAAUUCAACACAAAAUUUAUGUUCGCAUACAGUUGUUGUAACCCAUUUUUGGGUCCCCACACAAAAUACAAAAAAAAUAUAUCAAAAUAAAAAAAAUAUUAUAGAAAAAUAAUAGCAGUGAAAAGAGGAUGUCGGAGCGCCCAGAAAAUGAUCAAAAAUUGGUUGAGGAGGUUUCAAAAUAUAAGGAUUGAAGUUUGACAGUAUAUCAUUGACUGGGGCUUAAUUGCAUACAUAUUGAAGUCUGGUGGCCAAUUAAGGACUUGAUUUAAGAAAUCCAAAACCAAGGACCAUAGUGAAAAAAGCGCGCAAAUUGAAGGGCUAAUCUGAAAUUGGACCCAUUUUGGCACCAGUUUUUGUUUAAAUGAAAUGGCACGUUUUGAUAAAAAACAACGCCGUUUCAUGCAUUGCACAAAAAAAAGAGAGCAAACGGUGCCGUUUUGAACGGCACCAUAAGCCUUCUUCUUCCCCUGUUGAGAACAGGGGAAGAAAAAGCAUUUUUGAUGUAACUAUAUUAUUUGAUAGUUUCACCCACAUUUAACUAGUGUUUAGCCUAUGUUAUAUAUAUAAAAUGCCUUGAUAUUCUUUGUUUUAUGUUUUGAAGGCACCUUUAGAUGAAAGAUGCAAAAAGGAGUAAAUUGAAGAUAAUUGGCAGAUUUGAUGUUCAGUCGAUGUUUUGUGCAGAGCAUGAGCUCUAAAAGUCAAAACGAAGUGAUUCUAGUGGCAUUAGAAAUCUAACAUCCAUACCUUUCUGUAAAUAUAAGUCAAGAAAAAUAAAAAUACAACGAGCAUGGAAAUCACAUCCUUCAAAGUCAAAACUCGCAUUCUGCCAGUGUUGACCUUUGUCCAUUCAAAAUUCAAUAUCUGGAGCUGUAGAUAUCCAAUUGAUGUAAACUCAAUUGUUUUGGAUUCCUGACUCAAAGGUGUCUAUAAACGCUCCAAAUUUCAGCCACAAAUGAUGUCAUAUGAGGGAGAUAUGAGUUUUCAAAGAUGACAACUGAAUUCUGCCAGCAAACAGGUUUCGUGAAGAAACGAAUCCAAAUUACAUCCCGAAGCAUCAAAACCGACAUCCAAGUUUUAAUUUCAUCAAUUUAGCUCCUCAAGUAAAUCAAUCCAGAAGGUCAAGGAAGGCAGCCACCAACCUCAAGCCACCAACCUCAAACCACCAACCACAAACCAGCUGCCAGCCACUAGCCGCCUUCACACUACCACCAUCUCUUGAUGUUCACACUUGAACUUUGAUUUUUCUUACUUACAAUUUAUGUAUAAAUAGGCAGCUAAGUUUAUGCUAUUGAGUGAGCCAAGAGGGAAGGAAAGAGAGCCAAGAGGGAAGGAAAGAGAGCCAAGAGAGAGGGAGAGGGAGUGCAGUAGAAUAAAGAAAGAGGGGUGGCAGCCAUAAGAGAAGAAACACAAACUCUCCCCUCAACAAAUCAGAAAUCAUGUAUUCUUUUAUCUUUAGGAGUAGUUUUUCAAUAGAUAUGCAAGGCUAAGCUCGUUUUCUUGGUUGCAAGGACGCAAAAACCUUCAGAUUUAAAGAACCGUGAGAUUUAUUCUUCCAUUUAUUUUCAGUUUGUAUUAUGAAUGAGUAUGUUUGUUUUCCUAUGCAUAUUUUCUAUGAUUGUUUAUCUUAAUUGCUAGAGCGGACUCUAAGUUAUUAUUGUGAAUAAUCUAUUGCUAAGUUUGAUAUCAAAACCGGAGUUGUGGUAUAUAAACGUGUGAAGCAAGUAAGCUUGAUAAUUGUAGCGGAACUACAUUAUUAAACUUAGGGAGAACAUUCGAUCAAAGCAACACAAGCUGACAACUUGGUUGUUAAGAUUAAUGAAUUUAUCUAGAUCUUAAGGCUGCCAUUGGAUUAAACCAUUAGUGCGGACACUGUGAUUGUUUGUUGGUUAGGGUUAGUUAUACGGCGGAUCCGUUAAUUAACCAACAUUAAGAAAAGAUAAAAAAUUCAGAAUAUAAACUGAAGUUUCGUUUCAAGGAUCGGUUCUGAUUUCUGUAGGUGGAUGUGUGCUUGCGACCAAGGUUUGUUUUCUUGAUAUAUUUCAGUUUCAAUUGAUUUUGUUUGUUAGUGUAAUUUCUACCAUAGUUUAGAUCAUUGCAAAUCAAACCCCCCCAAUUAUAUAAUGUAUAGCAUAAAAAUCUGAACUAAACCUUCCUCGUGGGAUCGACCCCUUGCUUGCUCUAUACUAUCUUGUGUGUUUUAAGCUAGGGUAAUUAAUUUAUGCGACCGCGACAUCGCAACAAUUUCCCCCCCAUUUUUUUCUCCUCUCUCUCCCAAAACCCAAAAAACCAACGACGACCCGACUUGUCCUUUCACUGACACCACCACGCCCUCAUGCCGAAAGACCCAUACCCUACAGAGGUAGGGGCGGCUGUGCAGUAGCUGCCCCCAUGCCACCAUGCCCUGCACCAUGGCACAGGACAGGGCAUGGUGGCCCUCUCUCCCUCUACCUAUAAAUAUAAAGGGAGUGCGGGAGAGAAGAGGGGGGAAAAAGAUUUUUUGAAAGAGAAAGGGAGGAGAAACCGAGAGAGAGACCGACUGUUUUUUAAGGAGGAAAAGAGAGACCGAAAGAGGGGAAACAACAGUUUUUUUAGAGAGAAAGGAGUGAAGAGAAGCAGACCGAAACACUAGAAAUUAAAGGGGAGAAAAGAAAAAGGAGGGAGACCGAGAGAGAAGACAGAGGAGAGAAAGGGAAGCCAUAAAAGAAGCGGGGAAGAACAGGAAGUGACAGGGGAAGAAAAAAAUACUGGAGAAGAAGAACAACCACAGCUGCCACCGUGCUUCCUCUCCACCGACAUAGCGCACCACCUGACCGUAGCUGACAGCCCCGAAGAGACAGAGGAGAAAAGGAGAAGAUAACGGGAAAAAAAACACAGAGAUGAGGGGGCUGAGAAGAGAAACAGAGGAGAGGAGAGAAGGAAGGAAAACGCCGCCGCUGUCACCGCCGCUUUCCACCACCGCUGACGACCACAACCGUUCUUUCCCGCUCCAGGUAACUUUCUCCCCUUCCCUUGUCGUUUUUAGUUGUUCAUCUUCAUUUUGCAUGCAGACGUGAGCAAUUCACGUUCUGCAGCAAAAUGUAGAUUAAUUAGCUAGUUACUAUGUUAGGCACAGUAACUAGCUAAUUAUAUUUUGCUGGUUACUGUGUGCAGCACAGUAACCAACCCUUUGAUUGCUUAUGGGCUAGAACAUCAGCCCAGCCCACGCGGCUGGGCUGAGUCCAGCCCACAGUAUAUGGGCCGGGUCAGGCCCAGCCCAGGAUGGUUGGGCCAGAUCCGGCCCAAGUUUUUUUUUGGUUAAAAGAAAAUUUCAAAAAUAUUUUUUCAGAAUUUUAUAAUUUCCCCGCAUAUUUUUAUGUCAUUUUGAUUAAAAGCAAUAUUUUUUAUGUUGCUAAAAAUACAAAAUCCGAUAUUAAAAUACCUGGUUUUCGUCAAAACUUUCAAAAUACAAAACAAAAACUUUGUUUUGAAAAAAAGGAAAAUGUUUUUGUGCAUACGGCCAAGUAUCUCAAGGCUAAAAAAUCAUAUGGUGUUUUUCAUACACAAAAAAAAAACAAUGUUUUUGCAUGCAUUUUGGCUUUGAUAACCAGUUUAUUAGAGUCAAGAGAACAUUGGCCAAAAUUUCAAAAACUACAAAUUUUUUUUUUUUUUUGUCUUUUAGUAUCCGGGGUACGAUAUUACAUGUAAUACAUAUUCCAUAUAUUAAAUGUUUUUCCAACGUUAGAACGGUUAGGUUCUACCCCAUUAAAGAUAAGAACCUCCUUAUUGAGUAGGGCUUUUCUUGAGUCUUAGAUAGACAGGACCAAUAAGUAGAAAACACGACCAAACCUUAGAUUUUGAUAAGACAAAUAAAACAAUGCAGCUUACCUUAGGUAUGGCGUAUUUGGGGUGCUAAUACCUUCCCUUUACGCAACCAGUCUCCGUACCUGAUCUCUGAGACCAGUUAGGGUUCCUAGUGAUCAUAAUACUAGGUGGCGACUCCCAUUCUAUUUUUUUCACCGCUAAGAGACAAAGAAUUCCUUGUCUCCCCACAUUUACCAGAUAUAUAUCCAUACAUUGAGGGUGGACGAUCGCCGCGACGCCGCACACGUGCGACAGAAUGGCGACUCCACUGGGGACCUUGUGGACUAAGCAUUGUUUUGUCUGAUUUUUUGUUGGUUUUGUCCCUGUUUUGUUAUUAAGAUGCUUAUUUUAUUUACACGCUUUAAUUUUUGUACAUAUUUGUUCAUACAUUGUAUAGAACUGUUUCACGCAUCAUUCUUUUUAUGUGAGAGUUUAUAUGAGAAAACUUUAAGUUAAGUAGGGGACUAGCAGCUUACCUUAUGACUUUUAGUCAAGGUUUAAGUUUGUGUAAACCCCAACUCUUCGCUGAGUGCUCAGACUGGUAAUGAUUGGUCCAUAUGCCAUCCCAUUACCUACUGAGCCCCCAUAUUGCCUUCACGAGGGCGAUCACUGGGACAACAAGAGACCCUUUUAGAGACAGAAUAGCCAACCUACCCUUGUCAAGCAUAAAAGAAUUAGAACCGGCCUUUAGGGUGUAUGCUCCACUGUACAUGUUUUGCAUAAUACAUUAAACCUAACCAUAAAGCAUAUUGGUUUUCAGGUCUUUUUAACGAUAAGAUGGCCAUCAUUACCAAAGUUACUACUGUGGAAUAUGGGCAAAAUUCUGAAUUGUCACAACUAUCAGAGGGAGACGGCUCUAGAUGUAAUGCAAGGAAGCUUCCAAUAGUCAAAGACCUGAAUUGUAUGGUAAAUGAGAUGAAGAGAAUAUUGGUUCAUAGUCAGAACAUUGAUGAGGCGGCAUUUUCCGUGAAGUAUGGGCGAUUGUUAGAAAUUACGAAGAUAGAAGUAUUGAACCCAGCAAUCAAAGCCUUGAUUAACUUUUGGGAUCCUGAUUAUAGAUGUUUUUCCUUUGGAAAUGUGGAUUUGUGUCCCACUGUAGAGGAGUAUGGAAUGUUGAUGGAGUUUCCCAAGCACCUGCACAAGGUUUAUUUCCCUUUGAGAAGUGACAAAGUAAUUCCCGAAUUGUCAAAAUUGCUGAAAAUUCCAUAUCUGAGCAGAUUUUUAGAGAAGAAUGCCAGCGGUUUAAAGUGGAAAUUCCUGGAGAUUGAACUAGAAAGGAAAAAAUCACAAUAUGGAUCGAUGCUAGAAAGAGACAGGUUAAUCGCUCUGGGGAUAUAUGGUCCUGUAUUAUUUCCAAGCUUAACAGGGGUUAUAAGCCUAGAAGCUGCUGCUGCAUUUGUGGAAUAUGAAAAUACUCAUGUCAACCCUAUAACUGCCAUAUUAGCUGAGACCUUCCUGACCCUCAACCAUUUCAGGAAGACUGGGAAAGGCGCAAUGAGAUGUUGUACUAAGUUAUUAUACAUCUGGAUGGUAAGCCAUAUUGAAACCAAAAAGCCGAUCUUUAAUAAUUUUUGGUGGUUUAACCAAAAACCUUUGAAGUUAGUAGAAGAAGAAGAAUGGGGAAGCUUGGGCGAUCAGGGUUGGAUGAAAAAACUGCAAGAGUUACCAAGUAGCAACUUUAGUUGGAAAGCCCCUUGGGUCAAAUCGGUUGAUAUCCUAGUAAGUUGCGGACAAAAAUGUUGGGUACCUUUAGUUGGGAUCAUAGGUUAUGUCAGCUAUGCUCCGGCCUUGGUGAUAAGACAAUUAGGCGGCAUACAACACAUCCCAAGAACUGUGGGACUCGCUGAAUUUUCCAGGUUUUUCAAGGAUCAAUCCGCGCUAGAAGAUUGGAGCCAUUUGACUUUAAUGUGAAAGGAAUCUGAAAGGUUAAGAGACCCCAGCUCAAGUGAAGGAUAUGAAAAGUGGAGGAAUUUGACCCCGACUGCCGCUCCUAGAAUGCCAUGUUCUGAAGACGGGCCUUCACGAAUUAUAGAAGGGUCAUUCAAAAGAAAAAAGGUCAGUAAUGAGGAGGACCUUAUGGGGCAAUUGGAAAGGCUCCAAAUAGAAUUGGGAAAGAGUAAGGUAGAUAAAACAGCAUUAGAAAUGAUGAUGAUAGAGGGAGACAAAAGCCGAGUAUUUCUAAACGUACAGCUCGAAUCUAGAGAUGUAAAAAUAAUGAUGUUGGAGCUGCAACUGAGCAAAGGAAAAGUUGUAAUGGAAGAGUCCGAGAAAGAGAGGGGAACGCUGAUUUUGGAUUGGAUGCAGAGCAGCUCUGAAUUGGAAGCAUUAAAAGCCAACUUCAAUGACUAUCAGAUGCUGAAUAAAAUCAGGAUAAAUUUUUGCACGUUCAAGCGGAGUUAAUGGACCGAAUCGAGAAGUAUGAUGAGUUAAACAAGAAAUGUGUGAUGGUAAAAAGUCGGCUAGCCGAAUUGCAAGAGUUCGAAAGAAAGGGGAAGGAAGAGGAGGUUGUUAAAGCAGAUUUGGCAACUAAGAAAAAUGAAAUUAGGAUGCUGAAAGCGAAACUUGAUAGAGAGCGGGAAAAGGUAAGACAGUUGACCGAAAAGUUGGAAGCUUCAAAAAAACAUAAAGAACAGAUCGACACCAACAACAAUACCUUGAAUCAGAACAACAUGUUGCUUAUGGAGAAGAUGGCCAAAGUAGAUGAGCAAAUGGAUGAAGCUGCCAUUCAUGCACGGAUUAUUAGAACCAAUGCCCGAAGGGUGGGGAGGGACAUCUUUUGUUAUCGACAAAGCUUGGCUGAGACUGAUGCCUUCUUAGAAAAGAUUGAGAAUUGAGGCCUUGCUUUCCUACCAGUGGCUAGAAAUAUGGAUGAAGAGGAAGAUUGAUGUAUUUUUUUUCUUUUUUUGUAUCCUCUUUUCUUUUUGUAUCCUCUUUUCAAGAGAUGUAUUAGCCAAUAUUAUUAAUGAAAAGGGGCCUUGACCCAUCUUUUGUGAAAUAUCUCUUAUAGAGUAAGGUUAAGUCUACCAAAGCAACAACUUGAGCAAAACUACCCCUGAUAAGGAACGUGACAAAGGAGUCCAUACCCAUUACGCAAGCGAAAUGUUGGCCAUCGAUCGUUUUUGAAAAACAAGCUCACAUUACAUAUGCAUCAUGCAUUGUUCAUUAUCAUACAUUCAUUUACAUUUUUCCAUCCGCUCCAGAUCGUGAAACAUAGGUCCCCCACCCAAGGUCCACCACACUAGGCUAAGAUCAAGAAUGGAGAACGAAGAGAGGGCCAUUCUAGAAUCCCGCUACCAAAGUGAAUUGGAAUCCGUGAGAAAUGAAGUUUCCCGGAUGACCAAUCUGCUUGAGCAACUUCUAAGAGCCAAGAAUGGGGAGGGAACGUCUACCCAACCACCCAUAGGAGCACCACCAACUCAUGUCCCUGGGGUAUCUCAGAACUUGAGGGCAGAUUCAGUAACGGAACAACACUUUACACUAGCCAUUCCCAUCCAGCCCACUCAAUCUCACAUCACUGUAGAUUUAACAGCGAAUGGGCCUUCCGAUAAUAGGUCCACUGGUUUUAUGAACGACGACAAGAUAUCCGCUUUGGAAGAAAGGUUAAGAGCAGUUGAGGGAAAUGAUUGGUUUGACCCCAUGCGAGCUUCUGAAGUAUGCUUGGUACCAAACAUCAUGGUACCAAAAGAUUUUAGGAUACCAGAGUUUAUAAAGUACACUGGGUUGGAAUGCCCACACACUCACCUUCAAGAGACUUGUCGACUUUGGUUUUUGUAUUUUUUUUACAACAUGCAAGAAAAUUUACAAGCAUUUAUAUAUAAAAAAAUAUCAAAAAUACCAGUUGAAACCCAAAAAAUUACCUGAGUGUCACUGUAUAGGUAAAAUACUGAAAUACCCUGGAAGUUCUCCAAAAAUUACGAAAAUGCCACUGGCGGCGCGUGUGGCACACGCGCGGCUACUGUUGGCUGCGGCGAAAUUUUCUGGCGAGAUUUCUGGCCAACAAAUGGUUGAUUCUGGCAGAUCUGAGGGCGAGGAUUCUGAUGGUGGUGGUUGUGAAGGUCUUUGAUGGCUGAUGAGUGAGAAUCGACGACUUGAAGCUUCUGUGGCAGCCGACGAUCGCGACCCUUUUCCGACCAAAUGGGGCGGAGACAACGCUGAAAUCGGCCAGGGUUUUGCUUUAUAUGAGGAUAGAGACCUUUCUGUGGUGGUUUGGAAGCUUGAUAUGGCCGGAGAUGGGAGAUCGGAAGAGAGAGAGGGAGUUGCCGGCGAGAGGAGAGAGAGAGUCCGAGAUUACGCUACGGUGUGAACGCGUGUAUGGUAAACAGGUACCUCUGAACACUGUGCGCCGUUGGAUCUCGGAUGAAACGAUCGGAUGGCUGUGAUUGGCCUGAUCUGCAGGUUGAUCGGACGGUCCGGAUGAACAGAGGUAGGAUCUGGUGUGGCGCGGUGUACCGAGAGAUUGGUACACCGGGUGACGUGGCGAAACUGGAUCUAAGCUUAGAUUAUUUCAAGGGCUGAGAUGUGUCUGGGUUUUAAUCUAGUGUGGUAAGCCCUAUUGUAUCCUAUUAAAUCAACGGUUCAGAUCUAAACACUAUUAGAUCUAACGGUUAGGAUAUAUUUGGUAUUUUUCAUAUUGUAUUUUUAAAAAAUCAAUAUCCACUCUCAUGAAGAAAUAGUGAAAAACUUAAAUAGUAACCUUGAUAUUCGUUUCUUUUCUUUCUUUUUCUUACCUCUCCCCCUUUGUUCGUUUUUCUCACCGGCUAUUUAUAGCCAAUCAACAGGGGACAUCAAAAUCUCAACAUUAUCUACUUGCAAGAAAAAAAUCGUCGAUACAACUGCCCCGCCUGCUGUGACAAAAAAAGUUUGCAUUAUUGAUUUUUUUAUUUUGUUUUAUUAUAUAUAAUAAUAAAUAUUUAUAUGGAUAAAACUAAAACUCAAAUUAGUAUUAGAAAAGCCCGUUUCAACCGCUAAAAAUCAAUUUUAAUGACCGAAAAUAAUAGUUUUGACCCAAAAUAACCUGAAACUCAUUUUUUACCCCGAUCGACAUGGUUGGACCCGUAUGGACUCGGUGGACUCGGUUUUGACCGAAUAUGACGGUUUUGACCCAAAACGGCCCGACACUUAUUUUUUACCCUGGUCGACAUGGUUUGACCCGUAUUGACUCGGUGGACUCGGUUUUGACCCGAAACGGCCUGAAACUCAUUUUUUACCCUGGUCGACAUGGUUUGACCCGUAUUGACUCGGUGGACUCGGUUUUGACCGAAAAUGACGAUUUUGACCCAAAACGGCCUGAAACUCAUUUUUUACCCUGGUCGACAUGGUUUGACCUAUAUUGACUCGAUGGACUCGGUUUUGAUCGAAAGAUGCGGUUGACUCGAGAAAAAUAUAUUUUUAAAUUUUCCUUUUUCUUAAUUGUUUUGGAUUUUUAUAAAUAAUAAUAGAAAUAAAAUAACAUUCAAGAAAAUCUUGGUGAAUCCAAAAUUGGGUUACAACAGUUGCACCCUCUUUACAAUGCUUACGGUGCAAAGGCAUUGGAAAAUUCAUUUUCUUUUGACUUUGCAUAGUAAGUUUUGUAAAGAAAAACGAUGGAAGUGUUGAAAAAUGCACAGAUUUUUCGGUUGGUCUAAUUGUUAUGGGCGACCUGCCCAAGUGAAAAACAUGAAAGUGUUUUCAAUAUUGGUUUUGUGAAAUACAUGAAAGUGAUUUCAGCAAUGGUUUUGUGAAAUACAUGAAAGUGAUUUCAACAAUGGUCCUAUUUUCCAGAUGACCACCCCGAUGAUAAAAUGCGAGGAAACUCGCAAGUGGUUUAAUUGUUCCAGGCGACCUGCCCGAUGAUAAAAUGCGAAGAAACUCGCAAGUGGUCUAAUUGUUCUAGGCGACCUGCCCAAUAGUGAAAUGCGAGGAAACUCGUAAGUGGUCUAAUUGUUCCAGGCGACCUGCCCGAUGAUAAAAUGCGAGGAAACUCGCAAGUGGUCUAAUUGUUCCAGGCGACCUGCCCGAUGAUAAAAAAUGCGAGGAAACUCGCAAGUGGUCUAAUUGUUCCAGGCGACCUACCCGACAAUGAAAAUGCGAGGAAACUCGUAAGUAGUCUAAUUGUUCCAGGCGACCUGCCCGAUGAUAAAAAAAUGCGAGGAAACUUGCAAGUGGUCUAAUUGUUCCAAUCUAAUUGUUCCAGGCGACCUGCCCGAUGAUAAAAAAUGCGAGGAAACUCGCAAGUGGUCUAAUUGUUCCAAGCGACCUGCCCGAUGAUAAAAUGCGAAGAAACUCGCAAGUGGUCUAAUUGUUCCAGGCGACCUGCCCGACAAUGAAAAUGCGAGGAAACUCGCAAGUGGUCUAAUUGUUCCAGGCGACCUGCCCGAUAGUGAAAUACUUGAAAGUGAUUUCAAUAUAUUUUUGUGAAAUACAUGAAUGUGAUUUCAGCAAUGGUUUUACGAACCGACCCUUCUGUGAAAUACAUGAAAGUGAUUUCAACAUUUUUGUUUUGUGUGAAAUUCAUGAAAGUAAUUUCAACAUUGGUCCUAUUUUCCACGUGACCACCCCGAUGAUAAAAUGCGAGGAAACUCGCAAGUGGUCUAAUUGUUCCAGGCGACCUGCCCGAUAAUGAAAAUACGAGGAAACUCGCAAGUGGUUAAUUGUUCCAGGCGACCUGCCCGAUGAUAAAAUGCGAGGAAACUUGUAAGUGGUCUAAUAGUUCCAGGCGACCUGCUCGAUGAUGAAAAUGUGACGAAACUCGCAAGUGGUCUAAUAGUUCCAGGCGACCUGCCCGAUGAUAAAAUGCGAGGAAACUCGCAAGUGGUCUAAUUGUUCAAGGUGACCUGCCCGAUAGUAAAAUGCGAGGAAACUCGCAAGUGGUCUAAUUGUUCUAGGCGACCUGCCCGAUGAUAAAAUGCGAGGAAACUCGCAAGUGGUCUAAUUGUUCCAGGCGACCUGCCCAAUAGUGAAAUACUUGAAAGUGAUUUCAAUAUAGUCUUGUGAAACACAUGAAUGUGAUUUCAGCAGUGAGCUUUAGGGUUGAUUGAAAACUUCUAAAGGAAGUCAUACCUGUAUGGUUGAGAUCUGAUUUGUAAAUCGAUCUCCGAGAUGAUGAAAUCUUCUCAAGAAAGUCUUAUGUCUACGGUCGAGAUCUGAUCUUCUGUACAUCGAUCCCAAAAGAUGAUGAAAGCUUCUCAAGGAAGUCCUGUAUGUACGGUUGGGAUUUGAUUUGUAAAUGGAUCCCAAAGAUGAGGAAGGCUUCUCAAGGAAGUCCUGUAUGUACGGUUGGGAUUUGAUUUGUGGAUCCUAAAAAUGAGGAAAGCUUCUCAAGGAAGUCAUGUAUGUAUGGUUGGGAUUCGAUUUGUGGAUCCCAAAAAUGAGGAAAACUUCUCAAGGAAGUCUCGAUUUCAAAGAUGAUGAAAGCUUCUUAAGAAAGUCUUAUAUGUACGGCUGAAAUCUGAUUUGUAAAUCGAUCUCAAAGAUGAUGAAAGCUUCUCAAGAAAGUCUUAUAUGUACGGCUGAGAUUUGAGCUGCCGUUCAAAACGAUGGUAGGAGUAAAUUCCUUAUAAAUCACACAGUAUUUGGCAAAAGACAUCAUCAACUUCUUGCAUUUUCAAUACUCUCAAAGUUCUUAACUUUUGAAGCUUUAACCAUGUCUUCUUCUUCUUCCAAUGCUAACCCAAACCCUGUUCCUGCAGUAGAGCCUGCAGUUUGGCGUACUACCUUUGAAGUGAAUGGUCGUCCAGUUACAAUAGAGGAUACUGUAAUGGACAAUGAAGAUAUUGCUGUAGCCGUGGCUAGAGAUAUGAUCCUUCCUCGUGAUGAAAUAAUGCUGGCAGCCAGGACCGAUAUUGAAGUAGUGAAUCAGUCACUUGCUCUCAGUAUCAGAGCUACUUCGUCUUUGGUGAACGUUGCAGAGCGUCUUCAUGCUAGAAGACUUGAGUUGAAUACUCAGGUUCUUGAUCUCCAUCAUCAGAUUGAGAAUUUAAGGAAUAGACUCCGUGAUGAGAGACGUCACAGAAACAACUUGGAGAGGAGAAACCAAGAGCUAAAUACACGUGUUGACUUUUGGAGGGAUUAUGUUAACACACGACACCUCGAGUUCGAGGAAGAGAUGGAGCGCAUGCAUAAGCAAUUUGAGGAAUUCCGAGGCAUGAUUAACCAUCAAGAUGAAAAUAUCCCUGAUCGUCCUCGCACUGUUUAACAUUUGUACUUGUAAACCCCUUUUUCCAUGAAUAAAAAUCCAUAUUUCUUGUCUUCAUUUAUGAAUUUUGCUUUUGUGGAAUUGCCAUCUUUGAUGUGAUUUAAAAGAACUUCAAUUCAUGUGAGUCUCGUUGGAUCCCAGUGGGGAUAUUGUUUCAUAAAAUAUCUGCAAAACAAUUAUGCAAUGCAUGUGAAGUUAGAUGAUAUGCAAUGCAUCUUACCUGUUUUUGAAACAUAGGUCCCCCCUUUUUGAUGCUUCAUCGUCAUAGGGUGGCUUUGUUUGCAUUCCAAAACCUUCUUUGUUUUUCGAUGCAUUGGCUCAUUCAUGUGCUAGCCAUCCGCUCAGUUGUAAAUGCAGUGCCCAUCUUGGGUUGUCCGUGAUGAUUACUGCUCUCGCUGUUUAUCAAGCUUGACAAUGCCCCCAAGUGUAGUGUUGCUUGAUUUAUCAUUAAGAAGCUUAACAAAUCGUUCAUCUCCUGGAUUCUUUCAAGAAUUGUUCUCUGAUUGAUUGUGUGCAUCGUGCCAACACCUAUCAAGAUUGUCAAUCAGUUAUGAACUCACCUCCAGUUGAAACAUACCCUUCAAGGAUAUGCGGUCAUCCACUUUCAUGGAACUGUCAUGUCAUUCAGACCUGCAUUUCAUACUUUGCAGUACAAAGCUCAUCGUUGUAUGCUCAGCUUCUUUCUCAAUAGGUUCUUCUCAACUCAUUUAACCAGAUUGUGAAAAGAAGUGUCUCAGCCUCUUCAAUGAUGUUGCUUUUAUCACCCAUACUCAUGUGGUGCAAUGCGCAUUUGAGCUUCCAAUCAGAUGGCCCCACGGUCAGUCUAGGUGGGUGCGGUGUAUCCUUCCAACAUUCAUUCAAAAGCAAUCAUGUGAUAACAUCUUUCGAUAGUCAUAGCCAUAUUGGAGACGAUAAACCAAGAUGAAGAUAUGAAGAUGUCCUUCAGGUACAUCUUUGCUCUCAAUUGUUGUCGAGGUUUACUGGAUCAUAAACUGUUCUUGAACAUCAUUGCCCUUAAUUGAUAUGAAUGUGCUCAUUCACUGAUUAUCUUUCUUUGAACCAUAUUAUCCUCAGUUCAUUGAUUCAUCAUUUGAUCAUCUCUACCCCCCAGCUGAUUUAAAAACUGUUUGUUUUCCUUCUCAGAGGUCCAUUGUAUUGCCCCCAGAAGUGUCGAGAAGAAUUGAUGUCAUUUCUGUCAGGAAUUUGCAAACUCCGUCGAUGUUCUUAUUUGAAAAUCUUUCUUAUUUUGGAAUCAAAUCUCACAUUUCAAAGAUCAUGUCAAGCAAAUCUGAUUGUUGAAAUGAAAUCAGAGAGAUGUCAAUUUUGAAAGUAUUUUUGGAAAUCAAGCUUUGUUGGUCAAAGAUCCAACACACGCUAUUCAAUAUAGUCCUUUGAUUGUCUUGUAUUUUGAGAGAAAAGAAAUUGACUCGUUGUAAGAUUAAAAUGGCUUUUUUCAUGGUUUUUUGUAUCGAUUUUAAACUCUAAUUUUGGGUAUAUCUUUUGAUUAUCUGUGAUGAGGUGACCUUUUAUGAAUUUCAAGAAAAAUAAGGUACCCGAGGCAAAACUUGAGGCUUAAUCAAGAAAGAUGGUUUCUUUUUCUUAGCACCAAUUUUAUCAGCAUGCAUAAUAAUCAGUAGCUUGAUUCAUGAAGUCACGACCUGUAUGAAACAACUCUUCAAGUUUUGAGAUCGCCAUUUAUCGGUUCAGAUUGCUUACUUGAUUAAAAAGGACUUUCUAAAGCAUGUAAUGUAGGCUAUGGUUCCUGGCUAUGAAAGAAAGGAAUUUCACAAGCUCAAAAGGUGUUUGAGGGUUUCAUGAACCUAGGAUCACCAUCAAUUACUCAUCAAUCUCUUUUCCUCACGUUGUCUUUGUAGAGACGGUGACAUAUAACCUUGUUAAUCUCUAAGAUUAAAAUUCGUUUAACAUAGGUCAUAACGCAAAUCCAACUUUUCUUUAAUGAAUAGCCAAUCUAAACUUUUGAAGAUCAUAGAGGCUUUACCAUAGACACACCAAAAGACAUAACACUUGAUUUUUCGUGUUAACUUUUGGUAUUUGUUGUGUCUUUAUCAAUCUUUGGCUUUCUUCUUUUAGCCCUUUCUCAAUCAUUGGACUUUUGUUCUAAGCCUUCCCUUUGUCCAUCGACUCUAACAUUGUCUUCGUCUUUUCUAGGAAAAGACUCUCAUUGCCCCUAGUGUGGGGUGUGAUCCUAGUCAAGGUUUUUUAUGAAAGAAAUAUUCUAUCAGCUCAAAAUGGGACUGCAAGGGAUAUAUAUUUCAAGAAUUGUGAAAGGAUGAAACAAAAAUGGCCUUUUCUCAUCUCAAGUAAGGUCGGUUAGAACCGAUAAAUUUUGACCUCAUCCAAUAUAAUGAUUUAGACUUGUAAGAAUCAUAAUUCACGAGUCCAUAACUACUGAAUCCACUACGUUUCAUUAUGCAUACUGCUAAAACUUAGCUAUAUAGUAUGUGGUUCAAUUUCAUGUGUGAGUUCAAAAGUUUCUUGGUCACCUCAUGUCAUUUCAACAAGCUUCGAGUCAUUCAAGCAAAAUAAUUUUAAUCUUCAAGAUUGACUAAUCUUAAACGCAUGUUGGAGCUUGAUCAAAAUAUUUUGUCAAAAUAACCUUUGAAAGAAACAUCUCAUGCUUUCAGAACAACAAAGGGACAAAGAAAAGACAUGUUUUGUUAAAAGAUGAGAUAUGAUCCCAAAAUAAAAUGCAGAAUGACAAAACUCAUAACAAAAAGGAUCGACAGUUUAACACUCUUCUUGGAUCAGCUUUUCUGGUGAUAUCUGUGUUUUGUCAAGCAUUUCAAUCACUUGUCAUUAUGGGGAUGUUGUAGUGACAAUAUGGCCGAUGAUGUCAUUUUCACAAACUCAACUCGAUUCUUGAAAUUCUUGCAACUUUCAAAUGAAUGGCACAAAAUCCCCCAAUGAUAUUCAAAUCUCUUUUCUGGAUUAUACCACCUAGAAAAUGAUGGUUGUAUGGGAUUUGGCGGAGUCAUGGCAAUAAAUCCGGAGUCUAAUAGAUGCUGGUAGACAAACUCGAGUGGUCGAGGUAUGUCAAUCUUGGCAAAAAUAUUUGAGCAGUUGAUACAUAAUUAAAGCUUCCCAUCGUUAGAGUCAUCCUUUGAUUCAUCUCUCAUUAUUGUUCUACAAUCCUUGGCAGAAACUUCAAUAUUUCCCCUCUUCGUAGCUUGUUCAAUUCUUUCGAAAAUCCUCACAACAUCAAUAUCAAUCUUUCCAAUGUUGUUAUGGUUAUUUGUGGAUUGGUAUAAACUUUCCAAUAGCCAGGUAAUCUUGGUAGCGCACAGAAACAUUCAGCACCACCAUUGCCAACGUGUGGAAUCAUGCGUUGUCUCAACUGGAAGAGAAAAUGAUGAAUCUGAAAAUGAUGAAUCUGAAACCCUUUUGUCUCCUCUUCAAUUCCUCACUGGCAGUGCAGCAAACAAACACCUAUAGUGGGAAUUCUGCUUUGUUAAAGUUGCAAUGUUUGCUCUUUUUUUUCUCAGAGCAGCAUCCGAUACUGCAAUGUCUGCUUUGUUAAAGUUGAGAACAAGGGUUGUCAUUAGUUGAUGACUGAAGGCAUUGUUGUCAUUGUUCAUGACUAAAAAGGAGAGGUACAACUUCAAUGGAACGUGGACAAGUAGUGUUCUCAGCAAGAGCCUGUACAGACGUUCCCUUUCCACUUUUGAAGCUCAACAUUUAUUCAAACAGAUUUAUGAGUCGAGCCACUUCACCUUUACUGCUCUCAACUUCCUUUUGAUAAUAAACCUAUGUCUAACCCCUGUCUUUAUUUUCCAUCUUCAUCAGUCCAGUAGACCUCAGGUGGGGGAACUUAUGUUUCAACCGUGUGCAAGCUUGAUAAAUGAAUGAAAUGCGCAAAUGGAUGCAAAAUGCCAUAUGGACUAUGCAUGCUUGUUAUUUGUUUCAAGUUUUCCUUUAGCUUAUGACGAGGAAUAGACCAGAUCAGAUUCUCUUAAGAAAGUUCUCAAUGAGGACUCCAAACCUACAGGAACUUGAACCGAUUUAGGGGAGAAAUUUGAUUUUUAUUGGAUAUUCUUCAGUUGUUUUUCCCUCUACUCUCUUAGCAGAAGUAACCCUACCGGGAUGUUUCCAUGCCUUUUUCACUAACUCUAAUAAUUUCUUCGAGGUCUUGAAAUCUUCAUAAAAUGUUGGCAGUUUGGUAGUCAUUGGAAUAAACUGCUCAUGUAAGAUCCCACAUCGAAAGCGAGCGUCCAACGCCAAGGCCUUAUAAAUGCAUGUUCAUCUUAACUAGUAAGACGCGUUUAAAACCCUGAGGGGGACCUGGGUGGAAGCCCUGGAAAUGGGUAGACCGGGGGGCCUAGAAGGGACAGUAUCUGACAGGGUGAGUGUGCUGCUCUACUCUGAAAGACGCGUUUUGAGGCCAUGCGUGGCUGCCAAGAACAAACCCGUCAGGAGACUUGGGUGGAAGCCCUGGACAUGGGUGAACUAGGAGGCCCAAAGCGGACAAUAUUUUGCUAGUGAGGUAGGAUGUUACAGCUCAAAUCCAAAUUGUUGUAAAAUCAUGUUAGGACAAUAACUAAUACAGCAGCAGGCUCCUAUCACAACGGGACCCAUGGAUACUCACCAUAAUAUGCCAGAUAAGAUUUGAAGUAAGAGUAUCGACUCCUCCAAUGAAAUUGAGAUUUACUUAGAUUUAGAAACAUUGAUUCCCAUGUGGUUCUUGCUACUUCAUGCAAGUGUUUUUCAGCAAAAUUCUCCAGCUUAGAAUAAAGAUGCCAUGGGGUACCAACCAAACCUGAAAUCUUCCCCUCGAUCAUAUGACUCACAGUCCAGACAAACAAUAACUGCAAGCAACAUCUUAAACGACCCCUUCCAGCUUUUCUACAAUAAUUCAAGGAUGAGAAAGUUUCUGCCAAUAUUGCUGUAGCCGGGUUAAUUUUAAGGGUCACCACAUUUUUAAAUACAUUGACAGCCUCAAAAUCGAUCAUUCCCUCUGUAGAUGGGAAAAGAACCAAACCAUAUAUGCCUAAGGCCAAAAUUCUCAAUCGAAUUUCAUUGCUUUUAUCGUGUAAUCUCCUCUUGAAUAUGGCUUCUAGUUCAUUCCAAAACCAACCUUGGCUAUUUCCUCGUUUAGUUGCAUGAGAUUUUGCUAGUUGACAUUCUAUCUGGGUAAUCCAAGCAAAGUUAGAAAGUGCAUGCUCUAUAGGUGUGUAAAAGUAUACCUUUUCUGACUUGGGACAAUUUAGCAGGGAUUCAUACUCCUCAAUAGUAGGAGUCAUAUCCACAGUAUCAAAAGUGAAGCACCGAUAUUCUGGAUCCCAAAACCCUAUCAUGGCCUUAAAACAAGCAUGUUGGACCCUAAUUUUCAGUAAAUGUGAUAGAUCCCCAUAUUGUUUCUGAAAAGUGAUUUGAUCAUGAGAGGAUAACCUUUCCCAACAGUCUAGCAGCUGUCUUGUACCAAGUGGUCUGUCAUCUAAUUUAACAUGCUCUGGCAACUGAGACUCAAAUUCUGAUGGCAAACAAUCCCCUUCAUCAUGUUGGCUCAAUUCUGAUCUGGUAAAAAAUUCCUCAAUAGUAAUGGGUUUUUCCAUCUCACACUUCUUGUAAGGAUCGGUGGAGAUUUAAUGAGCACAUGAAAUGUAUAUGAACAUGUAUGUUCAUGCAUUGACAUUUGUUCGUGUCCUAAUGGGUAUAUCUUACUUGAUAGGAUCUAGCUCAUAAGGUUUGGUUCAGUUUAAUCUAUCCUUAAAGAUAUUUUUUGGUUCUUAGAUUGCCCGAAUUACCCAUGGAGUAAUCGGCCUCUUAACCUUAUACAACAUGAGUAUGGGAAACAAUUUCCACAAUACCCGUUGCAUAGGGUGAGUUACAAUCCAAGCGAAAGUCCAAAUGAGCAUCAGUGGACAUAAGUCACACUUGCCACCUGAAUCUCUCUUUUCUAAUCUUAAACAGGACGAGCUCGGGUCCAGAGCUUUUAUGGGUUCACCGUGAAGUGUGUGAAUACACAAAUAAAUAACAUGCAUGUAUGUGGCAAUAUGGAAAAUUGAAAAGAAUCACAGUAGAUAUUGCAUAAAAUAAAUAAUGCAAAUAAGAUAAAUGCCUAAAAAUAAAUAGCGAUAAGAAAGAACAAAUGAAAAGCAAAUACAAGCAGUUGGCUCAACCCUAAGUCCCCAGUGGAGUCGCCAUUCUGUCGAUACACGACGUCGGGCGACUGCUUCCGCUUUUUUUGUUUAUUUAACAAAAAGGGUUUUUUUUUAAUUGGGGGAAACAAAGAUUUUAUUGGAGUCGCCAUCUAGUAAUUUGAGGGAACUAGAAAUCCCAAAUUAGACACUGGUCCCAGAGAUUCAGGUACGGGGUUAGUUAUGAUUAAGGGAAGGUAGACACCACCCUUAAAACAUCCUUUCAAAGAAAGGUUACCCUUACUUGUGUGUUUUUUGUUUGAUUCAAAUGCGAUUAUAUUUUGGGCUUAUUUGUAAUUAUUUUAAAUGAUUAAUGUCGGUCCCUAAAAAUAGGAGACACGUUAAAAAUGACAUCAGUCCCUAAAAUUUAGGAGACUCGUCUAGAAUAUUAACGUUUAUUCCUAAAAAGGAGAGUUACGUCUGGGUUACCAAAAGAAAUAAUGGAUAUAAUCCAUUAUAUUUUGGGUUUAUUGGUAACUUGUUUUUUUUUAAAAUGGUUAACGUCGGUCCCUAAAAAUAGGAGACGCGUUAAAAAUGACAUCAGUCCCUAAAAAUUAGGAGACUUGUCUAAAAUAUGACGUUUUAACCCUAAAAAGGUGAGAUACGUCUGGGUUACCAAAAAAAAAAUAAUGGACAUAAUCCAUAUUUGGUAUUUGCAUUUUUGACAUCGGUCCUUUUUUUUAAAAAAAAAAGAGAAGUGUUGACUUUGGUUUUUGUAUUUUUUUUACAACAUGCAAGAAAAUUUACAAGCAUUUAUAUAUAAAAAAAUAUCAAAAAUACUAGUUGAAACCCAAAAAAUUACCUGAGUGUCACUGUAUAGGUAAAAUACUGAAAUACCCUCGAAGUUCUCCGAAAAUUACGAAAAUGCCACUGGCUAGAUUUCUGGCCAACAAAUGGUUGAUUCUGGCAGAUCUGAGGGCGAGGAUUCUGACGGUGGUGGUUGUGACGGUCUUUGAUGGCUGAUGAGUGAGAAUCGACGACUUGAAGCUUCGGUGUGAACGCGUGUAUGGUAAACCGGUACCUCUGAACACUGUGCGCCGUUGGAUCUCGGAUGAAAUGAUUGGAUGGCUGUGAUUGGCCCGAUCUGCAGGUUGAUCGGACGGUCCGGAUGAACAGAGGUGGGAUCUGGUGUGGAGCGGUGUACCGUGAGAUUGGUACACCGGGUGACGUGGCGAAACUGGAUCUAAGCUUAGAUUAUUUCAAGGGCUGAGAUGCGUCUGGGUUUUAAUCUAGUGUGGUAAGCCCUAUUGUAUCCUAUUAAAUCAACGGUUCAGAUCUAAACACUAUUAGAUCUAACGGUUAUGAUAUAUUUGGUAUUUUUCAUAUUGUAUUUUUAAAAAAUCAAUAUCCACUCUCAUGAAGAAAUAGUGAAAAACUUAAAUAGUAACCUUGAUAUUCGUUUCUUUUCUUUCUUUUUCUUACCUCUCCCCCUUUGUUCGUUUUUCUCACCGGCUAUUUAUAGCCAAUCAACAGGGGACAUCAAAAUCUCAACAUUAUCUACUUGCAAGAAAAAAAUCGUCGAUACAACUGCCCCACCUGCUGUGACAAAAAAAGUUUGCAUUAUUGAUUUUUUUAUUUUGUUUUAUUAUAUAUAAUAAUAAAUAUUUAUAUGGAUAAAACUAAAACUCAAAUUAGUAUUAGAAAAGCCCGUUUCAACCGCUAAAAAUCAAUUUUAAUGACCGAAAAUAAUAGUUUUGAUCCAAAAUAACCUGAAACUCAUUUUUUACCUCGGUCGACAUGGUUGGACCCGUAUGGACUCGGUGGACUCGGUUUUGACUGAAUAUGACGGUUUUGACCCAAAACGGCCCGACACUUAUUUUUUACCCUGGUCGACAUGGUUUGACCCGUAUUGACUCGGUGGACUCGGUUUUGACCGAAAAUGACGGUUUUGACCCGAAACGGCCUGAAACUCAUUUUUUACCCUGGUCGACAUGGUUUGACCCGUAUUGACUCGGUGGACUCGGUUUUGACCGAAAAUGACGGUUUUGACCCGAAACGGCCUGAAACUCAUUUUUUACCCUGGUCGACAUGGUUUGACCCAUAUUGACUCGGUGGACUCGGUUUUGAUCGAAAGAUGCGGUUGACUCGAGAAAAAUAUAUUUUUGAAUUUUCCUUUUUCUUAAUUUUUUUGGAUUUUUAUAAAUAAUAAUAGAAAUAAAAUAACAUUCAAGAAAAUCUUGGUGAAUCCAAAAUUGGGUUACAACAAUGUCAAUGGAAAAGAGAAGCCAAGAGUUAGUAAGGGCUUAUGCGCAAAGAUGGAGGGAUGAGGCAACACAUGUGCAACCCCCUUUGAUAGAGACGGAGAUGGUGACUUUGUUCCAAACUGAGAUCAGUGGGUUAACUCGGAGUGGCCGGUGCUUCACGCCCGAGGAGUUGAAGAAAGCAAAAGGCAAAGAAGUGGUAGAUCUUGACAAAGCACUAGAAGUUAAUAAGCCAAUAACUGAAGAGGAGUCAAAUGAAUUUUUAAAGUUGAUAAAGCAUAGCGAAUAUUGCAUAGUAGAUCUACUAAAAAAGACUCCAGCAAGGAUUUCCCUUAUGUCCUUGAUACUAAGCUCUAAGCCGCAUCGAAAUGCUUUGCAAAAGGUAUUGAAUGAGGCGUAUGUGCCCCAAGACAUUGAACAGAAAACCAUGGAGCAUCUGGUGGGGAGAAUCCAUGCAACUAAUUACCUGUACUUCACAGCUGAUGAGCUUGAUGCUGAAGGUAUCGGACAUAACAAGCCCUUAUACAUUACUGUUAGGUGCAAGGAUUGCCUCAUAGGAAAGUGCUCGUCGAUAAUGGCUCAGCUCUUAACGUGUUGCCAAAGCACAUGCUGAAGAAAUGCCAAUUGAUGAUUCUCAUAUGAAGUCGAGUACUGUGAUGGCCAGAGCAUAUGAUGGCUCACUUGGGCCAAUAAUUGGGACUGUAGAAGUGGAGCUAUAUGUGGGGCCACAAAUGUUCUUGGUGACCUUUCAAAUUAUGGACAUCCACCCUUCCUAUAGUAUGUUGUUAGGAAGACCUUGGAUUCAUGUGGCUGGGGCGGUAACUUCAUCAUUACACCAAUGCUUGAAGUAUAUCAUGAAUGGGAUGUUGGUAACUGUCAAAGCUGAGGAGACAAUAUCCAUGAUGAAGAAUGUGGCCAUACCUUUCAUUGAGGCAGAGGAUCGCAAGGAUAACAAUAUCCACUCUUUUGAGAUUGUGAACACUGACUUGGUACCUAAGAACACAGUACUAAGAAGGCCAAGGAUCUCAGAAGCAGCAAGGAUGGCAGCUCAAUGCUUCUUGGAACGCGGGAUCCCAUUUCAAUAUAACCCUAUCACUAGGGUACCAGAAAGGGUUAAUCCGAUAAAGAUGAAAGGUGUUGAUCAAAGAUUUGGGCUGGGGUAUAAACCUAAAAAAGUGGAUCAUCGGUGGGCUGCUGGUCGAAGAAGGGAAAGAAGAAUGGCUAGGAUUGAAGGAAGAGAGCUUGAAGAAGAAAAGCUGGAAAUCCCUCCCCUUAGAGUGUCGUUCCCAAAAGCUGCAUAUGUAAUGCAACCCGAUGAAGGAGCAGAAAGCCUUGGUCAAGAACUGUCAAAUAUGAGCAUAAACACCUUGGAGGAGAAUAAGGUGGAAGGAGGUGGCAUGAAGACGGUAGCGGGAAAGAAAGAUGAAGCACUACCACAACUAACUAUCCACACUUUGGAAGAAGUCUCUGCUAAGACCUUUGUACGAAAGCUGGCUGAAGGUGAGAAGUUUCAAAACUAGGUGACUCAAUAAGCCCUAGUAGUAUUUAAAAUGUAAACCAACUUUGUUUGCCUUAACAUGCUUUUGUCAUUGCUUUUGUUUGCUUUAUUUUCCCUGGUUGACAAUCGAGGCUCAUGAUGUCAAUCAGAUUUUGUCGUUGUCAUUGAGCCCACCUUUGUUUUAAAUAAUGAGAUCAUGCGUUUUCCAAAUUUAUCUCUUUAUUCAUGCAUUUACACCAAACACUUUCCGCUUUCAGGAACUCUGAAAGUGGAUCUUCCACAACAUCAUAUACACUUAGCAUCAAGAAUGAAUGGCCAAACUUUAACGAACAUGUGAUCACUAUGGAAGAAGAAGAAUGGGAUGAAAGCAAUAUUAGGGAAUUUACAAAGUUAGUAGAGCAACAUGAACAAACCUGGGAACCAACUACAUAAGAACUAGAAACCGUAAACGUGGGUAGCGAUCAGAUUAAAAAAGAGUUAAAAAUAGGGACCUUAAUCACUCCUAAGGAAAGAGUAGAGGUAAUUGCCCUACUACGAGAAUACGCAGAUGUUUUUGCUUGGUCUUACGAGGAUAUGCCUGGUUUGGAUAGAAAUAUUGUCGUACAUAAGAUACUGCAGGAGGAAGGUUGUAAACUAGUCAAACAGAAGUUGAGGAGAGCCCACCCGGAUAUUUGGAUCAAAGUUAAGGCAGAACUCGAAAAAUAGUGGAAUGCAGGCUUUCUAGAAGUAGUUAAAUAUCCACAAUGGGUAUCCAACAUUGUUGUCGUACCAAAGAAAGAAGGAAAGAUUAGAGUUUGUGUGGACUUCCAAAAUUUGAACAAAGCUAGCCCCAAGGAUGAUUUUCCUCUGCCACAUAUAGAUGUUUUGGUCGACAAUGCUGCACGUAGUUCCACAUAUUCCUUUAUGGAUGGUUUCUCGGGAUACAACCAGAUAAAGAUGGCUUUAGAAGAUAAGGCGAAAAUAACUUUUGUUACACCAUGGGGAACCUAUUGUUACAAGGUUAUGCCAUUUGGUCUGAAGAAUGCAGGAGCCACCUAUCAGAGGGCCAUGGUGACUCUUUUCCAUGAUAUGAUGCACAAGGAAAUUGAGGUGUAUGUAGAUGAUAUGAUUGCCAAGUCCAAGAAGGGAGAAGAUUAUGUAAAGGUUCUGAGGAAGUUAUUUGAGCGUUUGAGGAAGUAUGAACUAAAGCUCAACCCGGCAAAAUGUUCGUUUGGAGUUAAGUCUGGAAAGUUGCUAGGAUUUGUGGUAAGUGACAAAGGUAUAGAGGUGGAUCCUGAUAAAGUGAAGGCCAUCCAAUCCAUGCCAUCCCCAAAGACAGAGAAGGAGGUGAGGGGAUUCUUGGGAAGAUUAAACUAUAUUGCCAGACUUAUAGCUCAACUAACCACAACAUGUGAACCUGUCUUCCGGCUACUGAGGAAAAAGAAUCCUGGGAUUUGGAAUGAGGAGUGUGAGGAAGCAUUCAAUAAAAUCAAGCAAUACUUACAAAGUCCGCCUUUGCUUGUUCCUCCUAUAUCAGGAAGGCCUUUAAUAUUGUAUUUGACAAUAACUGAAACAGCUAUGGGAUGUGUAUUGGGUCAGCAUGAUGAAACCGGAAGGAAAGAAAGGGCUAUUUAUUACCUGAGUAAGAAGUUCACCGAAUGUGAGUCUAGAUACACGGUGAUAUAAAAACUCUGUUGUGCAUUGGUAUGGGCGACAAAAAGAUUACGACAUUACAUGUUGUAUCACACCACUUUGUUGAUUUCAAAAGUGGAUCCACUAAGGUACAUCUGUGACAAGCCCUAUCUCUCAAGCCGAAUUGCAAGGUGGCAGGUUUUGUUGUCAGAAUAUAACAUAGUAUAUAUGACAAGGAAAGCCGUGAAGGGGAGCGCGAUUGUCGACCACCUGGCUGAUAAUGCUGUUGAAGAUUAUGAGCCAUUGGAUUUUGACUUCCCUGAUGAAAAUGUAUUAUCAAUAGUGGGAGAAGAAGAGAAGAAAGAUUGGUGGACCAUGUUUUUUGAUGGGGCAGUGAAUGUUUAUGGUAAUGGGGUCGGCGCGGUGAUAAUCUCUCCUGACCAGAAGCAGUAUCCGGUUUCAGUUAAAUUGUAUUUUGAAUGCACCAAUAAUACAGCUGAAUAUGAGGCUUAUAUCCUGGGUUUAGAAGUUGUGUUAGAGCUGAAGAUCAGAAAGAUAGAUGUAUAUGGUGACUCAAUGUUGAUUAUCUGUCAAGUGAAAGGAGAAUGGCAAACCAAGGAAGAAAAGUUGAGGCCAUACCAGGAAUAUUUAUCAGCACUGUCAGAAGAAUUCGAAGAGAUAAGAUUCACCCAUCUAGGAAGAGAAGGGAACCAUUUUGCGGAUGCUUUGGCCACGUUGGCUGCUAUGGCUACGAUUGAUCUCGGGCAUAAGGUACAUCCUGUACACAUAAACAUCAGAAAUAACCCAGCUUACUGUUGCUCGAUUGAAGGAGAGGUAGAUGGAAAGCCUUGGUAUACGAUAUCAAGAAUUUUGUGCAAAAUCAGGAAUAUCCAGUGGGAGCUUCGAAGAUGGAUAAGAAAACCCUAAGAAGGUUGGCCAUGGAUUUCUACCUCGACGGAGAGAUUCUGUACAAAAGAUCAUUUGACAGAACCUUGCUAAGGUGUUUGAAUGAGACAGAUGCUAAAAAUGCUUUACGGGAGGUACAUGAAGGGGUUUGCUCAACUCAUGCUAACGGGCAUAUGGUAGCAAGGAAAAUACAAAGGGCUGGUUAUUUCUGGAUGACACUAGAGAAAGACUACAUCGACUAUGUCAGGAAAUGUCACAAAUGUCAAGUGCAUAGUGAUAAGGUCAAUGCGCCUCCGACUCCUCUGAUUAAUCUAGCAUCUCCCUGGCCAUUUGCAAUGUGGGGGAUUGAUGUGAUUGGACCUGUUAACCCAAAAGCUAGCAAUGGGCAUAGAUUCAUACUCGUAGCUAUUGACUAAUUCAUGAAAUGGGUAGAAGUUAGUUCAUACGCCCAUGUAACACAGAAAGUGGUGAAAAGGUUUAUAGAAAAAGACUUGAUUUGUCGUUAUGGUCCACCAGAAAAGAUAGUGACCGAUAAUGCACAGAAUUUCAACGGCAAAAUGAUCAUGGAGCUCUGUACCAAAUGGAAAAUCAAGCAUUCAAAUUCCUCACCAUACAGGCCCAAGAUGAAUGGUGCCGUAGAAGCAGCCAACAAAAACAUCAAGAAAAUUAUCCAGAAAAUGGUAGUCACUUACAAGGAUUGGCAUGAGAUGUUGCUGUUCGCUCUCCACGUAUAUCGCACUGCAGUAAGGACCUCAACAGGAACUACUCCAUAUGCUCUGGUAUAUGGAAUGGAGGCGGUGAUGCCUUUGGUAGUAGAAAUCCCUUCGUUGAGGGUGUUGAUGGAUUUAGAAUUAGAAGAGACUGAAUGGGCCAAAGUAAGAUAUGAACAGUUAAACCUGAUCAGUGAAAAGAGGUUGGCUGCAAUCUGUCAUCAUCAACUCUACUAGAAAAGGAUGGCCAAGACAUAUGACAAGAAGGUUAGACCUCGCAUGUUCCAAGAAGGAGAUCUAGUGCUGAAGAAACUAUUGUCUUUACCAGGAGAAGAUCAAAGCAAAUGGGCCCCAAAUUAUGAAGGUCCUUAUGUAGUGAAGAAGGCUUUCUCAGGAGGAGCUCUGAAGUUGUCUAGAAUGGAUGGAGAAGAUCUAGCUAGACCUGUGAAUUCUGACUCUGUAAAGAGAUAUUACGUCUAAUGUGUUCAGUUUUCUCCCAAAAUGAAUAAAGUGAAGUUUGGCUAUGAUUUCUUUGUGUAAAGAACCCUUUUUUUUCAUUUGCAUUGAUCUCACAACACUUAAUUUGUUUAUUUUCAAAAAAAAUCUUGGAAAGAUUUGGCUUUGUGCAUGAUUAUAAGGAAUGUAUCAUAAAAUGCUCAAAGAUGAAGUUUAAGCAUUUCCCGUUAAGAGGUGACCAAACCAAACAAACCCAACGCUGAGAUAAAACCUUGCCCCUAAUAGCAUUUUGAAUUGUAUGGAUAAAUGGUUAGGUAAUCAUCAUUGUAAUCACUCGGAUGUUUUUCUUUCGAGAUAAGAACAAGGUUUAUCAAUCCUAACAAUGUGCGUCUUGAAAUGAGGAAAGGCCAUCUUUGUCAUCCCUUCACUUUCUAAAGAUUUCAUCCUUUGUAGUCCCCAUUUGAGCCGGAUUGAGUUUAUUCUUUAUGAAAACCUGACUAAGACCACACCCCGCACUGGGGGCAAUGAGAAAUCUUUUGUUAGGAAAGAUAAAGAUAAUUGUAGAAAAAAAGGGUAAAGAAUGGAAGCCUAACAUUUAAGAAGAGAAUAAGAAGAAAAGGGAGAAGGAAUUUGAGCAAAUUACAAAAAAAAAAAAAGAAGAAGAAGAAGAAGAAGAAGACUUGGAUCUUUGAAAGUCCGAACCCAAAACUUGGGGGCAUAAAAAAAAAAGAAGGGGGGAAAAGGAAUAAAGAAAGAAGAUGAUGGUUUGAUAAUGCUUUAAGACUGAGAUGAGGAUCCUUAAGCAAGCUUCUCCAAAUGCAACCUAUGAGACAAUUUCACAAAAAACAAAAGAUAGAAGAAGAGUGGUCUUAAGUCUUUAAACCCUCAAACACUAUUGAGCCUUAAAGCAUCCUUUUCUUUCAUAGCCCGUAGAUGUAACCUACAUUACAAGCCUUUAAAAGUCCUUUCUGAUCAAGCGCACAUAACUUGGGUUAAUAAACGAUGGUCUUAUAACUCAUAGGACUUAACAAAUGAGAGAUAAUCCGCUUUUGUCCAUGCAAGAAAAAGGCUAAUAUGAGACAUUUCCCUUUUUCUACACAGCCUUUUCAAAUAAUUACUUAAAACCUGUUGAAAAGAUUAAACAGAAGAGCCUUUGAAAAGAAAAAAAAAACCUAAAGACAAACCGCAAACCGAUAAAACCCUCAUUGGGAAUCGCUUAAAAGAGUUUUCAAUAUGUAUGUUGAAAGUUUCAGUUGUCAUGAACAAAUUCAAGUCUUUUAAAGAUUCUUUUUGAGGAAGGAAUUUUUUGUGCUGGAACGAAAACCAAAAAACCCUUAAUUUGAGAAAGACAAAUUAAAGCAUUGACAAGAGCAUGAUAAAAAGCAAUGGCAAAUCAUGCAUUUUUGGAAAAGGUUCACCUAACGGAAAAGGUCAGGGAUUUCUUCCCUAAAAAGUGAUGGGUAGAAGAAACAUCAUAGGAAAUGGAUCCAGCAUGCCAUUUCGAGCACGUGAACAAGAUCGUAUUAAGAGAGAGUUUCAGAAAAUUGAAGGAAGCGAUGGGACCUAUGUUUCCAAACCAGGUAAGGAUGCAUACAUAAGCAUUGCAUCAAACAUUUUUGUUGAUUUGUUACAGGAAAAAUCCUCAAUAUAGUCCGGCAAGAUUAGAGACAAAGAAAGAAUCUUUGAGUUGAUGAACAACGAAGAAUCAUGCUUUGGACCCUGGAACGGGAGAAAGAUGAGAUAAACCCUAACAUUAGGGAAAUCUCAAAGAAAUAAGAGUCUUCAAUUCAAACCCUAUCAUCUUGAAGAAGAAACAUUUUUUGGUUAAAGAGGAUUGCCAAAAGGGAUCUCAGUUUAACCACCACAUGAAGAUUUUAGCUUUGGUUGAAGGGAGUCGCCAGAUGGGAUUCCAGGUUGACCGAGCUACACACAGGCUUUGGUUCUGGUUAAAGGGGAUCGGCGAAAGGGAUCUUAGUUUACCCUAACCACACAGAGACUUUGGUUCUGGUUAAAGGGGAUCGACGAAAGGAUCUCAGUUUAGCCUAACUGCACAGGAGUUUUGGUUCUGGUUAGAGGGGAUUGGCGAAAGGAAUCUCAGUCUAUCCUAACCAUACAGGUUUUUUGGUUAUGGUUAAAGGGGAUCGGCGAAGGGAUCUCAGUUUAGCCUAACCACACAAAGACUUUGGUUCUGGUUAAAGGGGAUCGGCGAAGGGAUCUCAGUUUAGCCUAACUGCAAAGGAUUUUGGUUUUGGUUAGAGGGGAUUAGCGAAAGGAAUCUCAGUCUAUCCUAACCACAUAGGAGUUUUGGUUCUGGUUAGAGGGGAUUGGCGAAAGGAAUCUCAGUCUAUCCUAACCACACAUGUUUUUUGGUUCUGGUUAAAGGGGAUCAGCGAAGGAUCUCAGUUUAGCCUAACCACACACAGAUUUUGGUUCUGGUUAGAGGGAAUUGGCAAAAGGAAUCUCAGUCUAUCCUAACUACAUAGGAGUUUCGGUUCUGGUUAGAGGGGAUUGGCGAAAGGAAUCUCAGUCUAUCCUAACCGCACACAGGAGUUUUGGUUCUGGUUAGAGGGGAUUGGCGAAAGGAAUCUCAGUCUAUCCUAACCACACAAUUUUUUAGUUCUGGUUAAAGGGGAUCGGCGAAGGGAUCUCAGUUUACCCUAAAUACAAAGGAUUUUGGUUCUGGUUAAAGGGGAUCGACGAAGGGAUCUCAGUUUAUGUUAACCACACACAGAUUUUGGUUCUGGUUAGAGGGGAUUAGCGAAAGGAAUCUCAGUCUAUCCUAACCACACAUGAGUUUUGGUUCUGGUUAGAGGGGAUUGGCGAAAGGAAUCUCAGUCUAUCCUAACCACACAGGAGUUUCGGUUCUGGUUAGAGGGGAUUGGCAAAAGGAAUCUCAGUCUAUCCUAACUGCACACAAGAGUUUUGGUUCUGGUUAGAGGGGAUUGGCGAAAGGAAUCUCAGUCUAUCCUAACCACACACACGAGUUUUGGUUCUAGUUACAGGGUAUUGGCGAAAGGAAUCUCAGUUUAGCCCAACCACACAACAGGACUUGGGGUCCGGUUGAAGUUUUAGGUCAACCAAAUUUUGGGAAGACCAGUUUCGGAAGACCAAUUUUGUUUAUCUUUACAACACUUACUACGCAAAAUCUUUGCUCCGUAAGCAUUGUAAAGAGGGGGCAUCUGUUGUAACCCAUUUUUGGGUCCCCGCACAAAAUACAAAAAAAAUUAUAUCAAAAUAAACAAAAUAUUAUAGAAAAAUAAUAGUAGUGAAAAGAGGAUGUCGGAGCGCCCAGAAAAUGGUCAAAAAUUGGUUGAGGAGGUUUAAAAAUACAAGGAUUGAAGUUUGACAGUAUAUCAUUGACUGGGGCUUAAUUGCAUACAUAUUAAAGUCUGGUGGGCAAUUAGGGACUUGAUUGAAGAAAUCCAAAACCAAGGACCAUAGUGAAAAAAGCGCGCAAAUUGAAGGGCUAAUCUGAAAUUGGACCCAUUUUGGCGCCAAUUUUCGUUUAAAUGAAACGGCGCGUUUUGAUAAAAAACGAUGUUCGUUUCAUGUAUUUCACGAAGAAAAAGAGCAAACGGUGCCGUUUUGAACGGCACCAUAAGCCUUCUUCUUCCCUUAUUGAGAAUAGGGGAAGAAGAAGCAUUUUCCCCCCAUUUUUUUCUCCUCUCUCUCUCUCCCAAAACCCAAAUAACCAACGACGACCCAACUUGUCCCUUCACUGACACCACCACGCCCUCAUGCCGAAAGACCCAUACCCUAUAGAGGUAGGGGCGGCUGUGCAGUAGCCGCCCCCAUGCCACCAUGCCCUGCACCAUGGCACAGGACAGGGCAUGGUGGCCCUCUCUCCCUCUGCCUAUAAAUACAGAGGGAGUGCGGGAGAGAAGAGGGGGGAAAAAAGAUUUUUUGAAAGAGAAAGGGAGGAGAAACCGAGAGAGAGACCGACUGUUUUUUAAGGAGGAAAAGAGAGACGGAAAAAGGGGAAACAACAUUUUUUUUAUUGCUUAUGGGCUGGAACAUCAGCCCAGCCCACGCGGCUGAGCUGAGUCCAGCCCACAGUAUAUGGGCCAGGUCAGGCCCAACCUAGGAUGGGUGGGCCAGAUCCGGCCCAAGUUUUUUUUGGUUAAAAGAAAAUUUCAAAAAAUAUUUUUUAGGAAUUUUAUAAUUUCCCCGCAUAUUUUUCUGUCAUUUUGAUUAAAAGCAAUAUUUUUUAUGUUGCUAAAAAUACAAAAUCCGAUAUUAAAAUACCUGGUUUUCGUCAAAACUUCCAAAAUACAAAAAAAAAACUUGUUUGUUUUGAAAAAAAGAAAAAUGUUUUUGUGCAUACGGCCAAGUAUCUCAAAGCUAAAAAAUCAUAUGGUGUUUUUAUACAUAAAAAAAAAAAACAAUGUUUUUGCAUGCAUUUUGGCUUUAAUAACCAGUUUAUUAGAGUCAAGAGAACAUUGGCCAAAAUUUCAAAAACUACAAAAAUUUUAUUUUGUUUGUCUUUUAAUAUCCGUGGUACGAUAUUACAUGUAAUACAUAUUCCGGAUAUUAAAUGUUUUUCCAACGUUAGAACGGUUAGGUUCUACCCCAUUAAAGAUAAUAACCUCCUUAUUGAGGAGGACUUUUCUUGAGUCUUAGAUAGACAGGACCAACAAGUAGAAAACACAACCAAACCUUAGAUUUUGAUCAGACAAAUAAAACAAUGCAGCUUACCUUAGGUAGGGCGUAUUUGGGGUGCUAAUACCUUCCCUUUACGUAACCAGUCUCCGUACCUGAUCUCUGAGACCAGUUAGGGUUCCUAGUGAUCAUAAUACUAGGUGGCAACUCCCAUUCUAUAUUUUUCACCGCUAAGAGACAAAGAAUUCCUUGUCUCCCCACAUUUACCAGAUAUAUAUCCAUACAUUGAGGGUGGACGAUCGCCGCGACGCCGCACGUGCGACAACAGUUAUAUAUUAAUUCUAAUAAAAAAUAUAUAUGGUUUCUAUGUUUAAAUUUUGGUAUUAAUAACGCAUACAACAAUGAGGCAGUUAAGUUUCUUUGAUAAAAUAAAAUCAUUUAAAAAAUAAAAAUAAGCUAGUAUGUUUGUUACAUAACUAAAAAAAAAAUUGAUUUUUUUUAAAUUAAUUUUUAAAAUCAUUUUAAUAGACUGAUAUUAAAAAUAAAUUUUAAAAAAUAAAAAAUAUAUUAUUUUGAUAUAUUUUUAAGAAAAAAACAUUAUGAAAAGAAAUUGUUAAUAUUGUUAAAAAUAUAUUAAUAUUUUAAGGAAAAAAUAAAAGAAUUUUUUUUUUUCAAAUUAAUUUUUUUCUUUUUUGUAUAUUUUUGUGGUUACCAUAUCAGACAAAGUAGAGGUUGAUUUCAACAUGCUUCCUGCAAGCAUGAUAAACCAAAUUCAUUAUGAGAUAUAUAGCCUCAAGAUUAUCACAUCAUAAAGAAGAGUAGAGGUUCAAAUCCCUAAAUCUAUAAAUAAAUAAAAAAUGAACUAAGCAAUUUUAUCUCGAAACAACAAUGACACUAACUUAAUGCUCAGCCUUGGUACAAAUUAUGUCAGCACUUCCAUGCCUUGUGAUCUUGACAAAAAUAUUUUUGGUCCUUUUAGUUUAGAAAUGAAACUUUUCAGUACAAAACUUUAUUUUACCUAUAUAUAUAGUUCUUGAGUUUGAGAAAAAAAAGAAAGAUUUGUUGAAAAACUACAAAGGAGAGAUAAAAUUAGUCUAUUUAGAUUUGGAUUGAUUUUCUAAUUUUAAAUCAAUUAAAUGUUUAUUUAAAAUCAUGAAUGGAUUUAUUGAAGUCACUUCUUACAUAUAGCACAAUAUUUAUGAAGAUGACACGAGUUAAAAUAAUUGUUUAAACACACACUAUAUAUUGUAAUGUUGUCUGCAUAUAACUGUCAUGUAAGGGCUUCCAAUUCGCCUCUCCGUAUUACAGCACUUUACAAAUUAUUAGAUCAUUUGAUACUACACACAACAUUUGAUAUUUUUAACCAUUCACAUACAUGAAAUAAAACCCAUGGAAACAUGACACAAACGUCGACUGCAACUGCAACAUUAUACUAAUGAGUGUAUUUUCUAAAGUCGAAAGAGUGCUACCCAAUCUAGGUUCAAGUGGGAUGAUGAAUUGAAGAGCAGUUGUUAUUUGACACUGCAAUUAGAUGUCUCAUAUUUGAUUUAUGGAGCUAUGAUAAGGGAAUCGUGCUUGUAUAUUUACAUAGUAACAAGCAUUAUUAAAGAUGGUACACUAGUAAGUUUCCAAAUGCUAUCAGCAAAUAUUAUAACCUCUUAAUUUAUACAAGGAUUGAGCUAAAUUGCUUUAUCAAAUAUUUUAUGUUUUUUUUUUUUUGAAAUAUUGUUAUAGACAUAGAAUCAACAAGUUUAUGUGACAUUCUAUAUUGAUUUUGUUAUAUUUUAAUCACUAAAAGUAUGGGUUUCAGAAAAAUAAAAACCAAACAAAAAAAUUGAAAAAAUUAAAAAUUUUCAAACCAACCCAAUCCAACAAAUUUGAUCAUUUUUCGUCUGGUUUAGUUCGGAUAUUUUUUAGUUGAAACAAUUACUAACCAUUUUCAAAAGAUAAAUAUUGACAAGCCUUUCACCAAAACCAUGUUCAUUUAUGCUGAAUCAGGCCAAAUCAGGUUCAGGUUGCUAACUCAAACUAACGCAAUCCAAAAUUAAAUGCAUAUAGACUCUGGGUUGGUUUAGUUUAUUGAUUAUUAGAAAUGUCAAACUGAAACCGAACCGAAAUAAAUGAAUAUUUCUAACUGAGACGCCCUAAAAUACUGAAAAAAAUGGUUGGUUUUGUUUAGUUUGGUUUGGUUAUAGCAGAUACCCUGACAAUUUACUUUUUCACUCGACCUCAAACAAUAAGCACUAUUAUUAUGUCUUUAAUUGAAUUACUAUAAAGUAUAAAAAUAUAUGUGGAUAAUUGAAAAUUUGCUUAGAGUUGCUAAUAAUUCACAACUGCAACAACCAUCACGACCAGGUAAUGCUUGGGAAUGGGAUCAUGUAAUUGUGGAGAUUUGUCUAGAUUUUCUAGAUAAUAAUUUCAACCACCCUCUCCUUUCCUCAACCACUAUCACUCACCUUUCAACCACCAUCAACUACCCUCUCCUUUUGUCAACCAUCAACACUUCUCAACCAAGCUGCCAAGGCUCUCAUUCCUUCUAUAAAUGAAGACAAAGAGAGAGCAAGAUAAAGUGUAGUGCAGAGACAGUGCAAGUGAGUGCAGAGGAGAGGAAGUGUGGAGAGUGCAAGUGCAACUUUGAGAGUUGUGAGCAGAUUUGAGAGAAACACCAAGUGUAAGAGUGAAACACUGGGAUUUUGGGAUUGUACUAGGGUUGAGUUGAGUGUUUGUAUCAUUCCUCUAAUAAUAUAUGAUUGUGCAUCAAAAGUAUCAUUAAGUCUCCUAUUUUACAUAUAUAUUUAUUAUUUUUAUUUGGGUUUUUUAUAAUAAUUGAUGUGCUUUUUAGUAAUGAAGUUUUUUUUAAUGUUUCGAUAGGAUUUUGGAGCUUAAAUGAAUUAUUUCAGAAAAUUCAACGUCGGAAUUCGGAACAAAGAAUCGAAGAGAAAUUUAGUUGAAGAUUGAAGCAAGUCUUGGUUCAAAUAAGUGCUCCAAAUUUUCCCCAAAAAUCAAUUCUAUUCCAAUUCUAGAAAAGAAUAUCAUAUGAUCUAUUUCAAGCCCAAACAUGCCUUAUGUUGUGUGCAAACUUCAACCAUCAAACACUCAAGGUUUCAAUGUCAAUCUUAGCCCAAAUAAUAGGUACAUUUCUAUCCUUAUUUGAUGCUUAAAUCAGCCCCAAAUCAGCCUCCAAAUCAGCCGAAGCACAAUCCAUGAUCUUACAUGCCCACACAACAAAUAACAUUUGAUUUAUUUUGGGUAAUUCAUUGAUCCAAGAGGGAAAGAACAUGGAUGGAAAGCUGGAGGGGACAUUGUGACAUUAUUUUGGGUCAAAAGAAGAAAGAGACAGCUCAUAAAGGAGGAAGAAAAACGUGCACCAAAGUGUUCUCCAAGCUGGCCUGGUUUGAUUUUCCAGAACACCUUUCGGUGUUUCGCCCAUAACUUUUGACUCAGAUGUCCAAAUGAGCUGUUCUUUAAUGAUGUGAAAAUAUAACAGAAUGGCCUAUAAAUAUGUCUCCAAUAGCCAUUUCCAGGGGAGGCUUCAAAAAGGGUCUAAUUUCUGUCCAAAGUUAGAGUCAAAUUUGUGUCCGAAUUUUUACUGAAAUUGUGUUGUGUGCUUCUUUAUAGAUUUUGGUUCUUUAGCUUGUAAAAAUCAUUAUUUCAGUUUGAUUCAAGUUAUUUCAUGUUUAUUAAAGUGUUAUUAUAUAUAAUCAUGGUUCGCUAAUCUCUUUCUUGGAUCCAAAUCAAGGAUGAUGGUGGUUGAGGUGAGUUUUUUAAGAUAUGAAUGAAUCUUAAUGUCUAUCUUUUCAUUUUCUUUAUAAAUGUUUUAUUAUUGCAAAGAAAUUUUAGAAAUCAUUUAGGUAAUGUUAUAAUCUUGAAUUUUUAUGCACAAACCUUAGUUUUGGUAUAGAGAUUGCUUGAUUCAAUGUCUUACUUAAUAUGAAAAUACUUGUUCAUUCUUAAGCAAUAAUCAAUCUUCAUCUUUUUAAACUUCAUUGUAAUAUCUUCUGAUCUAAUAUCACCAUCGUUGAUAUUAGGUUGAGUUAUCUUAUAUAUGUUUGAAGGAAUCACCAAUACAUCACCAUUAAAAUUGAUUUGGACCAAGACUUACUUUUUCUUGUCAUUUAAAAUCUAUUUACACUUUUUCAUCUUUGAAAACAAAUUCAUCAAUCAUUUUCAACCAAGUUAUUGUUAAUUUAAUUUCUCUUGAGUUUUUUUGUUACCUAGCUUAAUUUCCAGAUCUAGCUCUCUGUGGAUAUGACCUCAAUCUUACUGAGUUAAUUGCUACAUCGCACACUCGUGCACUUGCGAGUUAAAACAAGCCGAACAUAAAAAGCGGUCAAGCAAUUUUUGGCGCCGUUGCCGGGGAGCUAGCAAGCAAAGGUAACAAAUUUAUAUUUGAUUAUUGAAAAAUAAAAAAAAAUACAUAUAAAUAAUAAAUCAAAUGGCUGGUUUUACCGCCUAAAAAAAAAUUGACCUCAACUUUUCGGAUAUUGGACUGUGGACUAAACUAUUAAUUAUUGGAUUUUGGUUGGUUCAACCAUUUUUCUUUUAUUUUCUAUUCUAAUUAGUUUCUAAUAUUUAUUGUUUAUAUUAUAAGGCUGGUUUUACCGCCUCUUGUUUAUUUUAUUUUAUUUUGUUGUUAUUAUUUUUCUUAUAUUUAUUGUCUGAAGUGCUUAGCCGGUAUUACCGCCUCUUGUUCAUUUUAUUUUAUUUUGUUGUUUUGUUGUGAUUAUUUUUCUUAUAUUUAUUGUUUGAAGUACUUGGCCGGUAUUACCGCCUUUUUAUUCAUGCUUGUUAUAAUUAUCUUUUAAUUUUUAUUGUUGUUAUUAUUGCUUAUUAGUUGGAGUGUGAAUUUCUUAAUUUGUUAAAUUUUUAUUUUUGUGCUAUUACUUUAUCUUUUACAUUUCAUUUACUUUUAUUUGCAAUCUUCUUUUUCUUUUUCUUUUUUUUUUCCUUUCCUUUUGUAUUCAUAUAAUUGUUAUAUUAUUAGCUUUUUUUAUCAUGGCUAAUGUUGAAGAUGUAGAGGGUGAAGGGAGUGUUCAAGGUAAUGGACCUCCACAAUUCAAUGAUCAACCUAAUUUUCGAGUACACCUUCGUGUAUUAUCUUUCCUCUUAACCAACAAGCUUUCAAUUUGAAACCGGGCAUGAUUCAACUUCUUCCCACAUUUCACGGUAUGGAUUCUGAAAAUCCAUACAUACAUAUUGUCAUAACCCAAUUUUUGACCAUUUUAUUUUAAUUAUUAUUAUUAUUUUAUUUACUGAAAAGGAUAAAAAAAUAUGAUGAUGAUGAUAAAAAAAAAAUAAUGAUAAAAAAACAAGUAAAAUGAGAUAAAUGAAGAAUGAAUUAAAAUUUGGGUUAAGGGCAACAUGAUUAGAAGUUUUAGGGUUUAAUUAAACUUUGAAAUUAAUCUAAUUAAGCUUGGAAUUAAUUUAAUUAAUCUGAUUAAGGGUUUAAUUGGAGAAUUGAUAAGUUUUGAGACUUAAUUGAGCUUGGAAUUAAUUUAAUUAAUCCAAUCAAGGGUUUAAUUGGAGAAUUGAUAAAUUUUUAGACUUAAUUAAGCUUGAAAUUAAUUUAAUUCAUCCAAUCAAGGGUUUAAUUGGAGAAUUGAUAAGUUUUGAGACUUAAUUAAGCUUGGAAUUAAUUUAAUUAAUCCAAUCAGGGGUUUAAUUGGAGAAUUGAUAAGUUUUAGACUUAAUUGGACUUUGGAUUUAAUUAAAUUAAUGAAAUCAGGGACUUAAUUGAAAAAAUAGCAAAGUUUGGGGUUAAUUAGGGAUACGAUUGCAGCAGAUUAAAGUCCAAGGACUAACUUGUAAAAGGCACCGAAAUGCAGGGGCAAUUACAGUUUAAACCAGGGGCUUAAUUAUAAAAUUCGGCGUCGUUUGAAAGAGCACUAUUCAUCUUCUUCACCCGAAAACAAGAAGAAAACGCAUGCCUUUAUUGCAUUAAAAUCCAUGCAAAACGCAUGCCUUUAUUGCAUUAAAAUCCAUGCAACCGCAUGGCAUUCUCUGGUUAUAAAAACCAGAGAAGGAGAACCGGCAAAGAAAAAAAGGAUGGCAUAACCGAAAAGCCACUAGAGAAACACAGAACCGGGGAAAGAAUAGAAAAAAAAACUUUCGUUCCUCUGUUUCUUCUCAAAGAAACAGAGGAGGCCACGAGCAGCGGAGGAAGAAAGCAACUAGCCCACCAGUCCUCCAUCACGUCUCCGUUUCCCUGCUUACACAGAGGAAGUAACACCGGGAACACAACAAGACGCAAGAACAGAAACUGUACAGAGGGGAGCAAGUUUUCUGCCCCUGUUUCUUCUCUAAGAAACAAAGGCGUUCGUGCCUCACGAUCGUGAGGCACGAACGCGUGAAGAAAGGCCAUUCUCUGGCUUUAUAAGCAAGAGAAGGCCGCAGAGAAGGAAGAAAAACUGAGGAGAAACAUGAAAAAGAGAGGACAGAACCGGUGGACGAGAAGAACAAACACAGACGGCCGCGGACGAGCGGGGAAGACGACUAGCAGGGGAACAAACCGAAACAAAAAAGAAGAAGACGACAGAACAAGGAAAGCUAAAACAGAGGAGUAGACAGAAAGCAGUAACAGAGAGGAGUAACGCUGGUCAGUUGUCAUCCCCGUCUUCCAGUGCAGCAACAGGUAAGUUGCGUUGCCCCUCCCUGCAUUUUAAUUGCAUGUUGCUGUAACAGGCGUGCGUGAGCGGUUCACGCACGCCUGCGGGUAAAAAAAUAGAAAAAUGGCCAGCCGGGUCAAGCCUUUGACCCGGCUAGGCCUGCUGAGUCCAGCCCAGCCCAUGUGGGCUGAGCUGGGCCCAGCCCAAAAAAAUAAAAAAAUAAAAAAAACAGAAAAGUAAAAAAGGGUAGAAAAAAUAAAAAAAAUGUGUAUGCAUGAAUAAAAAUAAUGUAAAUUUACUGGUUUAUUCACUGACGCCAGAGUCAGGAAUAAAAAUACUGGUUUAAAUUUAUAUUAUUUUUAUUCGGUGUAUUUUAUUUUAUUUAGCUAGAAAAAUAAAAAAUAUGUGCAUGCAUAAAAAAUCAAUUUUUUUUAAUUUAUUCACUGGCGCUAGAGUAGGGAAUAAAAAAUAUUGAUCUAAUUUUUCGUAGCUACGAAUUUUUACCAACGCCAGAGUUGGAAUUAUUCGAGCUCGAAUAUUCACUGGCGCCAGAGUCAGGAAUAUUAUAAACAAAUCAUUAUAGCAUAAGCGAAUAAAUGUUUAGCAAUUGAAGACAAAACCAACAAUGCAGUUUGCCUUAGGCAGAACGUUUAAGGGGUGAUAAUAUCUUCCCUUUUACGUAACCAAUCCCGAGCCAUAGAAUCUCUGUUGACCAGUUAGGGUUUCUAGUGACCAUAAUACUAGGUGGCGACUCCUUAAACAAGAUCUUUUCCCCUAAAAGAACAAGAUGCCAGAUAUCUGUUCUUUUUCCAUAAAUCUAGAAUUAUUUUGUGGGCCGCUGCGAUGUCGGGUGCGACACAUAUUAAGGACUUUGAAGAGGUAUGUAAUACUUUUAUUGAUAGAACAUGCACCGAGGAAACCAUUCGGCUUAAAUUGUUCCCAUUCUCUCUAAAGGAUAAAGCCAAGCUUUGGCUAAACUCCUUGCGUCCUAGGUCUAUAGGUACAUGGAGAGAAAUGCAAGCUGAAUUUUUGAAAAAAUACUUCCCCACUCAUAGGACGACAACCUUACAACAUCAAAUGAUGAAUUUUUCUUGUAGUCCAAAUGAGUCAUUUCACCAAGCUUGGGAAAGGUUCAAAGACUUGUUAAAUGCAUACCCCCACCAUGGUUUUGAGAUGUGGAGGUUAGUGAGUUUCUUCUACGACUCUCUUACCGCAGAUUUUAAAAAGCUAGUGUCAACCAUGUGUAAUGGUGAGUUUUAUGACAAAGAACCAAGUGAAGCCUUUAAUUUCUUUGAUCAAUUGGCUGAAAACACAAAGCAAUGGGAGACUUCUCUCCUACUUCAUGUUGAGUCUAGAAACACCAUUUCUCAUUCAAGUGGGAAGUUCCAAUUGAAAGAGAUUGAUGACCUCAAUGCUAGAUUAGCCUCAUUGGCUAGGAAAGUAGAGUCUCUUGAGAUUAAAAAAGUGCAUGUCAUGAGUGAACAACAAGAGGAAAGUUGUGUUGUUUGUGAGAGCAAAGGGCAUAGGACAACUGAGUGUCCUACCAUUCCAGCCUUCAAGGAAGUGCUAUAUAGCCAAACUUCUGAUUCAAGUAAUGUUAGAAAGCCAUUUUCAAACCAAGUAGGCAAUCCCUACUCUGAGACCUAUAAUCCUGGAUGGAGGAACCAUCCAAAUUUUGGAUGGAGAAAUGAGGGCCCUUCAGUACCUCAAACAUUUCAACCUCCACCCCAACCAUUUCAUGCUACCACACAUAACACGUACCAAUCACCUCAUAAGAGAUCCCUAGAGGAUACUCCAACAAUUCAUGCAAACGCAAGGAGGAAUCAAUAACCAAGCUUACAAAUUUCAAGACCAGACUAAUAGGACCUUAGAUGACAUUCAAAGUCAACUAACCAAGUUGACUCAAUCAUUAAGCAUUCAAGAGAAGGGAAAGAUCCCAGCUCAACCAAUGUCAAAUCCUAGAGGUUAGGUACACAUGAGUGAAUCCUCAUUUAGUGAACCUUCAAACCAUGAACAAGUCCAAGCCAUCACUACCCUUAGAAGUGGAAAGAUUAUUGACAAAGCUAUAGGUUUUGGGAUUCCUAGAGGUAUUGUGGAGGAGAAAUCUAGGGAAAGUGAAGAGGGAAUCAAAACACAAGUGACAAAUGAGAGCUUGAGUGACAAAGAAGGUGAGAUAAAUGAGAAAGAAAUGAGUGAGAAAGGAGAUGAUUCAAGAAAAAUUGGAGUCAAAGUGAGUGAUUUAGAAUUUGUUCCUAGAGCACCAUUUCCACAAAGGUUAGGGAAGCCUAAACAUGAUCUUAUGAACUCGGAAAUCUAUGAAUUGUUCAAACAAGUGAAAGUCAACAUUCCACUCAUUGAUGCAAUUAAACAAGUCCCCUCUUAUGCAAAGUUCUUCAAGGACUUAUGCACAGUCAAAAGGAGAUUGAAUGUGAAAGAAAGAGCCUUUCUAACUGAACAUGCUAGUGCCAUCAUCCAGUUUAAGACUCCUCCCAAAUACAAAGAUCCUGGUUGUCCUACUAUUUCAUGCAUUAUUGGAAGUCAUAAAAUAGACCAAGCUUUGUUGGAUUUAGGAGCAAGUGUGAAUUUGAUACCCUACACUGUUUACGAACAGUUAGGUUUAGGAGAAAUCAAGCCUACUCAAAUCACCCUUCAAUUAGUUGAUAGGUCAAUCAAGAUUCCCAGGGGUAUUGUUGAGGAUGUGUUGGUCCAAGUAGACAAAUUCUACUUUCCUGUUGAUUUUGUAGUGUUAGACACCGCACCUAUUCAAGGUUCUAAUGCUCCCAUCCCAGUCAUCUUAGGUAGACCUUUCCUAGCUACAUCCAAUGCUUUAAUUAACUGUAGGAAUGGGGUGAUGAAAUUGUCUUUUGGGAACAUGACUGUGGAGAUGAACAUAUUCAAUGUCUCGAAACAAAUUGGUGAACAUGAGGACAUUAGAGAGGUAGAUUUGAUCCAAACAGUUUGUCAAGAACACUUUGAGAGAGAGUGGUUCAAAGAUCCAUUGGAGAGAACUUUAAUUCAUGAUGAAAGAUUUUGUUCUUUGGAAUGUGUUGAUGAGGAAGUAAGAGAACUCAAGACUUAUCUAGAUCCAAUGCCUAUUAUGUCAAUAGGUCAAUGGACCCCAUCGUUUGAGCCUUCGAUUUCACCCCAAAUGAAAGUUGAGGCAUCUCUUGUCCAACCUUAUAAACUAGAAAGGAAGCCUUUACCGAGUGAUCUUAAGUAUGCAUUUCUAGGGGAAGAUGAAUCAUAUCCUAUUGUGAUUUCAUCAAAACUUAGCAUAGAGCAGGAACAAGAACUUUUGAGAGUGGUGAGAAAACACAAAAAAAGCAAUUGGGUGGACUAUUACUGACUUGAAAGGAAUUAGCCCUCUUUUAUGUACACAUAGAAUCUAUCUUGAAGAAGAGGCUAAAUCUGUGAGGCAAAUGCAAAGACGACUGAACCCAAACAUGAAGGAAGUAGUAAGAGGUGAAGUGCUUAAGCUACUUGAUGCAGGUAUCAUUUACCCCUUGCAAACUCAAAAUGGGUUAGUCCAACCCAAGUUGUCCCUAAAAAAUCUGGAGUCACGGUAGUGAAGAAUGAAAAUAAUGAGCUAGUACCAACUAGAAUCCAAACUGGAUGGCGUCUGUGCAUUGAUUAUCUUAAGUUGAACAUGGUGACCAGGAAGGACCAUUUUCCGCUUCCAUUUUUAGACCAAGUGCUUGAAAGAGUAGCCGGAAGAGCUUUCUAUUGUUUUCUUGAUGGAUACUCAGGUUACAACCAAAUUGAGAUUUCUUUAGAAGACCAAGAAAAAAUCACUUUCACUUGUCCUUUUGGUACCUAUGCUUAUAGAAGAAUGCCUUUUGGCUUGUGUAAUGCACCAACCACUUUUCAAAGGUGUAUGAUGAGUAUCUUUAGUGACAUGGUGGAAAUUUUUUUUGGAAGUUUUCAUGGAUGAUUUUUCAGUUUAUGGGGAUUCUUAUGAGUUGUGUCUAAUGCAUUUAGAAAAAGUUCUUGAAAGAUGUGAAGAGAGCAAUCUUGUACUUAAUUGGGAGAAGUGUCAUUUUAUGGUGACACAUGGCAUUGUCUUAGGUCACAUUGUCUCUUCAAAAGGGAUAGAGGUAGAUAAGUCAAAAGUUGAAGUCAUUCAAAAAUUACCUAGCCCUAGGACUGUGAAAGAUGUGAGAUCGUUUUUAGGACACGCUGGUUUUUACCGAAGAUUCAUUCAUUCUUUUAGUACCAUUCCCAAACCAUUGUGUAACUUGUUGUCACAAGAUGUUCAAUUUGAUUGGACAUCAAAAUGUCAAGAAGCUUUUGAAAAGCUUAAAGGGUUGUUGACCACUACACCAAUCAUGCAAGCUCCUGAUUGGUCUUUACCAUUUGAACUGAUGUGUGAUGCUAGUGAUUUUGCAGUAGGGGCUGUUUUAGGGCAAAGAAAAGAUAAGAAGCCUCAUGUCAUUUAUUAUGCUAGCAAGACUUUGAAUGAUGCUCAAUUGAAUUACACUACAACUGAAAAAGAACUCUUAGACAAGUUUAGGUCUUAUUUGGUUGGAUCUCUUGUUAUUGUUUUCACUGAUCAUGCAGCAUUGAAAUACUUGCUCACAAAACAAGAUGCCAAGCCAUGUUUGAUUCGAUGGAUCCUUAUAUUCCAAGAGUUUAACCUUGAAAUUCGAGAUAAAAAAGGAGUAGAGAAUGUAGUGGCUGAUCAUUUGUCCCGUCUUUCAAGCUAUGAGACCAUAAUUGAUGAAUCUCCAAUAAAUGAAUUCUUUGCUGAUGAAAAUUUAUUUUGUGCAGGUAUUGUUUCCUACAUUGGCUCUCCAUGGUAUGCUGACAUAGCAAAUUACCUAGCCACAAGUCAGAUUCCUUCUCAUUGGUUUAAACUUGACAAACAAAAAUUCUUGCGCAACGUGCGUACCUUUUUUUGGGAUGACCCCUACCUAUUUAAAUACUGCCCUGACCAAAUUGUUAGGCGGUGCAUCCCUGAUCAUGAAAUUCCAAGUGUCAUUAAUUUUUAUCAUGCAUUAGCCUGUGGUGGGCAUUUCUCUUCCAAGAAAACCACUGCCAAGAUCUUGCAGUGUGGUUUUUAUUGGCCCACCAUGUUCAAAGAUGUCCAUGCCUUCUGUGUUGCAUGUGACCGAUGCCAACGACUAGGUAACCUCACUAGGCGUAACAUGAUGCCCCUAAACCCCAUUCUUGUUUUGGAAAUAUUUGAUUGUUGGGGGAUUGAUUUCAUGGGACCUUUCCCAAGUUCAUUUGGUAACCAAUUCAUCCUUGUAGCUGUUGAUUAUGUGUCUAAAUGGGUGGAGGCCAUUGCAUCUCGAACCAAUGACCAUCGAGUUGUGGUCAAAUUCUUGGAAGAAAAUAUUUUCUCUCGUUUUGGCAUGCCCCGGGCUAUGAUUAAUGAUGGGGGAAAACAUUUUUGUAACAAGCCCAUUGGGAUUUUGAUGAGAAAAUAUGGUGUAAUUCACAAGGUCAAUACCCCCUAUCAUCCACAGACUAGUGGCCAAGCUGAGUUGACAAAUUGGGAGAUCAAGAACAUUUUAGAGAAAACAGUCAAUCCAAACCGUAAAGAUUGGUCCCUACGACUAGUUGAUGCUUUGUGGGCAUAUCGCACUGCUUACAAGACCUCUUUAGGAAUGUCUCCUUAUAGGCUAGUUUAUGGAAAGCCUUGUCAUCUCCCUGUUGAGAUUGAGCACCGUGCAUAUUGGGCCAUCCGGCAAUUCAAUGACAAUGAAAACGAGGUUGGAAAAAAUAGAAAGCUUCAAUUGGAUGAAUUAGAUGAGCUGAUAAAUGAUGCAUUUGAAAAUGCAAAAAUUUCAAAACAUAAGAUGAAAACCUUGCAUGAUAAACAUAUUCUUAGAAAAUCCUUUCAUCUUGGUCAAAAGGUUCUCUUGUAUAAUUCACGAUUACAUCUCUUUCCUGGGAAGUUGAGGACAAAAUGGAUUGGUCCAUUUGUGAUUAAAUCCAUCUCUGAGCAUGGUGCAUUUGAGGUAGAAAAUCCUAAGAAUGGAAAUGUUUUCAAAGUAAAUGGUCAUCGAUUGAAACCUUAUCUUGAAAAUUUUGUGGCUGAAGUUGAGACAUUGGAUCUUGAAGAUCCAAUACCAUUGUAGUAUCAGAAGUAAUGAGCUUUUUAUUUUUAUUUUUAUUUUUUUAUUCAUUUUUAUUUUUCUGUUUUUCAUUUUUUUUCUUUCUUCCAUCGCUUAUAUUUUCUUGUUCAUGCAUUAGGGACAAUGCAUUAUUUUAAGUUGGGGGGUGUGAGGUUCUUUAUUUUUCAAAAAAAAAAUCAAUGUUUUCUUUUAGUUGUGAUAUGCAGGUAAAAAAAAUCAAGCAAGAAGUCAGCUCAUGUCCAAUUCAAUCAGACAUUCAUCCUUGAAAACAAAAGGGGAGUAAUAGUUUUCUAAUCUUUAUACUUUUCUUCUCUUUUUUUUUUACAUUGAGGAUAAUGUAAAACUUAAUUUUAGAUAUUUGAUUAUGUUGAAUGCUUGAGAUGACCAUGCAUGUUAAAAAAAAAAACUUGCAUUCGUAUAUGAAUGAGACUUGUUUAGGAUCAACAUUACAUUUUUGGAUUCAUUAUUGUGUUGAACAUUGCAUGCUUUAAUUUGGGAUAGAUAAUAUCUUAUAAAGCAAGAUAUAGCAUACUUUUUUUUAAGAUUAUUGAAGUACAUCUUUCCUUGUAAAAGUUGUGUGAGUUGUGUGAUUAUGCAUGAAAGAUGAGUGUGAUGCUUUACUUGUGAUCAUCCCUUUUGAUCUAGUCCUAAACAAGGUUUAAGUAAAUAGAGUAAUCAUUAUUACACAAAUGUGUACAAAGUUCUAUCUACUCCAAUGUUUUGAGUUGCUCAGUAACUAGGGGUAUUCAUCAUAAAUGUUUAUCUUUACGUCAAACGGCAGCUUGAAAUAUGAGUAUGCAAAGCACUUUAAGUUUGUGACUUUGUGAGUAACCGGGUGCAUUCAUCACAAAUGUUUGUAUUCGCGUCAAAAGGGAAGUGACCACUUAAAGAAAAAAAAUAAAUAAUAUCUUCAAAAAAAAAGAGAAAAAAAAGAAAAGAAAAAAAAUAUAUAUAUAUAUAUAUAUAUAUAUAUAUAUAUAUAUAUAGAUAUUUCUCUAGUUUGCUACCUUGUUUGUAGUAGUGAGAAGGGAAGAUUACAAGUUGAGUUUUCGCGUGAAUCAAUUAUGUUGGUUGCAUGAUAAAUACAAUUCUAGAAAAGAAUAUCAUAUGAUCUAUUUCCAGCCCAAACAUGCCUUAUGUUGUGUGCAAACUUCAACCAUCAAACACUCAAGGUUUCAAUGUCAAUCUUAGCCCAAAUAAUAGGUACAUUUGUAUCCUUAUUUGAUGCUUAAAUUCAGCCCCAAAUCAGCCUCCAAAUCAGCCCAAGCACAAUCCAUGAUCUUACAUGCUCACACAACAAAUAACAUUUGAUUUAUUUUGGGUAAUUCAUUGAUCCAAGAGGGCAAGCACAUGGAUGGAAAGCUGGAGGGGACAUUGUGACAUUAUUUUGGGUCAAAAGAAGAAAGAGACAGCUCAUAAAAGAGGAAGAAAAACGUGCACCAAAGUGUUCUCCAAGCUGGCCUGGUUUGAUUUUCCAGAACACCUUUCGGUGUUUCGCCCAUAACUUUUGACUCAGAUGUCCAAAUGAGAUGUUCUUUAAUGAUGUGGAAAUCAAACAGAAUGGCCUAUAAAUAUGUCUCUAAUAGCUAUCUCCAGGGGAGGCUUCAAAAAAGGGUCGAAUUGCUGUCCAAAGUUAGAGUCAAAUUUGUGUCCGAUUUUUUACUGAAAUUGUGUUGUGUUCUUCUUUAUAGAUUUUGGUUCUUUAGCUUGUAAAAAUCAUUAUUUCAGUUUGAUUCAAGUUAUUUCAUGUUUAUUAAAGUGUUAUUAUAUAUAAUCAUGGUUCGCUAAUCUCCUUCUUGGAUCCAAAUCAAGGAUGAUGGUGGUUGAGGUGAGUUUUUUAAGAUAUGAAUGAAUCUUAAUGUCUAUCUUUUCAUUUUCUUUAUAAAUGUUUUAUUAUUGCAAAGAAAUUUUAGAAAUCAUUUAGGUAAUGUUAUAAUCUUGAAUUUUUAUGCACAAACCUUAGUUUUGGUAUAGAGAUUGCUUGAUUCAAUGUCUUACUUAAUAUGAAAAUACUUGUUCAUUCUUAAGCAAUAAUCAAUCUUCAUCUUUUUAAACUUCAUUGUAAUAUCUUCUGAUCUAAUAUCACUAUCGUUGAUAUUAGGUUGAGUUAUCUUAUAUAUGUUGAAGGAAUCACCAAUACAUCACCAUUAAAAUUAAUUUGGACCAAGACUUACUUUUUCUUGUCAUUUAAAAUCUAUUUACAGUUUUUCAUCUUUGAAAACAAAUCCAUCAAUCAUUUUCAACCAAGUUAUUGUUAAUUUAAUUUCUCUUGAGUUUUUUUGUUACCUAGCUUAAUUUUCAAAUCUAGCUCUCUGUGGAUAUUACCUCGAUCUUACUGAGUUAAUUGCUACAUCGCACACUCGUGCACUUGCGAGUUAAAACAAGUCGAACAUAAAAAGCGGUCAAGCAAUAUACAAUCUGCUGCCUCCGUGGACGUACCCGGUUUUGGGGAACCACGUAAAUCUGCUUGUGUUGUGUUUUAUUUGUGUUUGCUUUCGGUCCAGUAUGCACAACAAAUUGGUAUCAGAGCAUUAGGGAAGCUUAAACACAGAAAAACACAUUUUUCAGCUCUCUGUUCAAAGUUGCAGAAUUUUCAAAUUUCUCAGAUCUUGAUUUUGAUCAGCUGCGGAGAUUCCUCUCGUUGAUACAAGUCCGGAGAUAUAAAGAUCAUCGAAAUCGGAGUUGAAACGAGCCCUGUAGAGCUCGUCGAAGUUUCGCCUGAAAUCUGCUGGAAAAACCAAACAGUGCCGGAAUUCUCGCCUUAGAAGACAGCCACGUCAUCCGACACGUAAGCGAUGAGUCAUCAUCCACAUCAUCAACAGGGGUCCACAUCGCCCUGUCAUCAGCCACAUCAUCUAACAGUGACAGAAUAUUCUCUUGACAUAGUAAGAAUAUUCCGUUAACAGUAAGAGAAUAUUCCCGUGACAAAAUAUUCUUUAUCAGAGACAGAAUAUUCCUUUCCUAAGUCAACUCGGUCAGAUUGGUUUUUUGGCCAACUCAGUGAUUUUUUAGCCUGUUUUUGGCCGAGUCAAGCUGGUUCCUAGCAUUUUCAACCAUUCCGGACGCGACCGUGGUGUCCGUUUUGUGAAACAGUACACAUCGAAGUUACUAUUUUGGCUCUUUUGAGCAUAAAAGUGCAUGUUUUAACAAUUUCAGGAGUCCAUUUGUAAUCCAAAGACGUUCUAAUGGCUGAUAUUCCAGAAGAAAAAUCAGCGGGGAAUGCUAGUAUACCUCCAUAAUACAUCCCGGUAUCAAGUACCAAAUUUGAGGUGGAGAAGUUUGAUGGGAAAGGUAAUUUUGGCAUGUGGAAAUGUGAAGUCAUGGAUAUGCUUGUCCAAAUGAAUUUGGAUUUCACUCUAGAAGAUAAACCGGAGGAUUUGGAUGAUAAAAGCUGGGAAAGGAUAAAUCGGUUGGCUUGUAGUUCCAUCCGACUUUGUCUUGUAAAGGAUCAGAAGUAUGCCUUUCCAGAACAAAACUCUGCAAAGGAAUUAUGGCAAGCACUGGAGGACAAGUUUAUGAAUAAGAGUAUAGAGAAUCGUCUCUACAUGAAGAAAAGGAUCUUCCGUUUUCAGCACAAGAAAGGUACUUCCAUGAAUGAGCAUCUGAAUGAUUUCAAUAAAAUGAUAGCUGAUUUGAAGAAUUUAGAUGUGGAAAUUGAUGAUGAAGAUAAAGCUCUGUUGUUAUUGAAUUCACUGCCUGACACAUAUGAACAUCUCGUCACCACUUUACUGNNNNNNNNNNNNNNNNNNNNNNNNNNNNNNNNNNNNNNNNNNNNNNNNNNNNNNNNNNNNNNNNNNNNNNNNNNNNNNNNNNNNNNNNNNNNNNNNNNNNAGAUUGUUCACAAGGAGUCAACGUCAGAAGCAUUGACAGUUAGAGGCAGAACAAACCCCAGAAGAUUUCGAGGACGAGGGAGAUCUCGCUCAAAAUCCAGAGGAGAAUCAUCAAACAGACGAUAUCUUGCAAAAGAUUAGUGUGCCUUUUGUCACAAAAAGGGCACUGGAAGAAAGAUUGUCCAAUCAAGGGCAGUAAGGAAAAAGAUGAACCAACUGUGAACGUUGCACGAGAUGAGGAUGAACAAGACUCUGCAUUCAUGGUCUCAUCACCAGAAAACCAUUCUGGUGAAUGGAUUCUUGAUUCUGCAUGUUCCUAUCACAUAUGCCCUAACAAGCACUUAAACUUGUCCUCCUCGUGCAUACAUACUUGUGCCUAUUUUUAGAGAAUGGGGUGUGAUCAGUCACGGUUCCUGUUAUUACUUCAGUUUCAGAACUUUUUUUUUCCUUCUCGUGCAUACAUACUUGUGCCUAUUUUUAGAGAAUGAUGGGUCAAGCCUGUUCAGGCCUCAAGUUUAAAUUGGUGUGUCCAAUCUUGUUUAUUUGAGAUGAACUGUUUCAAGCUUCUUGUGAAUUCUGGAAUAGACGGUUAUGCUUUGGUUUUAUUAAUCGUGAUGUUUGUGUUUAAUCAUGUUGUUCGUGUUUUGACAAAAUAUAAAAAAUGUUUUCUUGUGUGUUGCAUAUGUUUAAUACCCUAAUAUGUUUUUAAUGUUUUAUUUAUAUAAAAAAACAAAUAUUUGAAGUUUCAAAAAUAUGUUUUCGCAUGGAUUUCUUAAACACAACACAAAAAUUAUUUUCUUGCAUCUUGGAUUUUACAACAUGUUUGUAAAUUCCAAAGGGUGUUGGCCAAUAUUCCAAAAAUAUAAAAAUCUUAUUUUUGGGAAUUCGUUUUUAUUCACUAUUAAUAUUUGGAUAAAGAAAUCCCAAAAAGGAUAAAUAUCCAAAAUAUUAUUAUGAAUAAUUUGUUAUUCAUUAGUAAUGUUUGGAUAAAGAAAUUCCAAAGGGGUUAAUAUCCAAAAUAUUAUUAUGAAUAAUUUAUUAUUAUUCACCAUAAAUGUUUGGAUAAAGAAACCCCAAAAAGGGGUUAAUAAUCAAAAUAUUAUUGGGAAUAAUUCAUCAUUGUUCACUGAAUAUUUAGAUAAAGAAACCCCAAGUAGUAAAUAUCAAAAAUAUUUUUUUCUAGGAAUAACAAGUCAUUAUCCCUCAAUAAUAUAAGGGCAAAUAAACCUAUAAAAGGUAAAUGUCCAAAAUAUUUUUAAUAGGAAUACAACUUGUUUAGUUUUAACAUAAGGGCAGAUUUAUGCCUGAAAUUUUAUUUAGAACCAUUUAAUCGCACCUCUGAUUAGUACUUAAAAGUGCAUUUUUAUCAAGGUUUUAUAUCAUCAUUUUGCACUUGAAGUAUCAAUAACUCCUUAACUAAAGCAUGUUUUAUAAUAACAUAUCUAAUUAUAUAAGACACCUUUAAUUUAUGGUAAAUGUUCAUCUUAAAUGCAGGCCUAUCACAUAAAUGAAAGAAUUGAUUGAUGAGUUGAAAUACUGAAAUUGAAAGGACAAAGAGAUGGCCAAACUUAGAAAAGAGAUGCUAGUGCAGUCCAAACUGGAACACUGUUCGAUAAUUGGGUCAUAUCUGGAGCUGUAGAUCUUGUAUUUAGGUCCAUUUUAUAUGGAUGGAAAGAUAAGACAUAGGCCUAUAACUUUCAUGUGGAGCCCAAGAUUUAACAAGGCCGUUUUCAAGUCCAAAUUGUAGCAACAAAAAAGAAGUCUGAAUCUGUUCUACAGCCCAGACACUGUUCAGUGUUCAGCCCAUAUCUCAAGUUCUAGAAGUCCAAAUGAUCUCAAAUGUUUACCCUGGAAAGAUGAGACAAUUUCCUAGAACUUUCAUGAUUUAAGUUUGUUCAAAUUAUGACGUCAUAAAUGACGUUUUUGGCAGACAAGAAGAUAAGAAUUGUCACCAAGUCAAGAUGUGGCCACCCACUCAUCAAUUAGUCAGCAAAUCAAUAGUUCUGAAUUUUGGCCUAUAAAAUGAGGCAUUUGCCAUGUAUUUAGGCAUCUUGGUUUUCAGAUCAAGAUCAUGCUCUUGCUCUCUCUUUAUAUUUUGUAAUGCUUAAGUUUUGCUUAUAUUAAUCUCUUGCUUAUGCUUUUCAUUUCCUUUCCUUGUUUAUUUAUGUUUCUCUCUUUCAUUAUGUUUAACUAAGUUAAUUAUGUCAAGGUGAAAAGGGUACACUAAUGGUGUAAGAAUAAGUAUAAUAUAAACUUAACAUGGACCUUAAUGUUGGAUACUAACAUGCUUUAUAUUUGUUAUCUUGUUCACUUUUAACACUUUGCUUGUUAAAUGGUUAAUCUAGAUUUAUGUUGUAUAACACUUGGUACAACAAAUACUUGGCACUUUCAUAGCCCAUACUGUAUGGUAUAACCGACACCUGAGCUAUGAAAGGAACUUGAUUUGUUGUUAACAUAAGUUAUAAUAAUGAAUGCCUGAAAACAUUUACAAGUAUUAGCAUUAUUCGAAUAAGAUAACUAAUGUAAUCAUUUUAACAAUUUAUAAUCCGAUUGGAACCUCCUUUGUGUGUGGUUUCCAGUUGAGUAGAGUUUAUACUAUACUUGUUUGAAAUACCAUUAGUGGAUCCUCUAACCUUGACAUUUGUUGUUAUCAUUGUUUAAUCCUUACGUUAAUCUUCCAUCUCAAAAGUUCUCAUCAAUUUCUUCCUCUUCUUCUUCACUAUUAUUAUUAUCACUGUUAUUAUUAUUGUUGUUGUUGUUGUUGUUGUUGUUGUUGUUGUUGUUACUUUUGUUUUAUUGUUAUCUAUAAUUUAUACAAUUAACCUCCUUGUGGUUCGACCCCGGUCUUGCCGGGUUAUUUAUUACUUCGACACUUCUGCACUUGGGAGAAGACAUCAAUCUUUUGGUCGUGUCAAGUUUUUGGCGCCGUUCCCGAGGAGGUAAAUUCUUGUACAAAUUAUAGUAUUUAUUUUAUUUUACUUUUUUACUUUUCUUGUAUUUAACUUUGUUUCUUUGGUGUUGUUUCUUUUUCUUUUGUUUUCUUCUUCCUUUUAUUCUCUUUUUACACGUGCAUGAGAGUGUGGUCACGUACAUUAAGUGGUAGACUUUGUAGGGUAUCCUCAUCAUUUUCAGAAAAUAUGGCUGAAGAAGAUAACCAAUCGCUUCAUAAUGAGAAUAAUGAGAAUAUUCGGGUUAGAACUCUUAGAGACCACAUGAAUCCCACAAGAACAAGUGCACCCUCAUGCAUAGUUUUUCCUCCUGAUGCAUCUCAUUUUAAUUUUAAGACAGACAUUAUUCAACUUUUACCAUCUUUUCAUGGCUUAGAUUUAGAAAAUCCAUACUUGCAUUUAAGGGAAUUUGAGGAGGUUUGCAACACGUAUAAUGACUCAAAUUGUAGCAUGAACACCAUUAGAUUGAAGCUUUUUCCUUUUUCAUUAAAAGAUAAAGCUAAAACAUGGCUACAAAAUUUGAGACCUGGAUCCAUUCGUGCUUGGGAUGAAAUGCAACAACAAUUUUUUAAGAAGUUUUUUCCAUCCCACAGAACAAACUCUUUCAAAAGACAAAUCAUUACUUUCUCUCAAAAACCAAGAGAAACAUUUUACCAAUGUUGGGAUAGGUAUCGAGAAUUGCUUAAUACUUGCCCCCAUCACGGUUUUGAAACAUGGAGAUUAGUUUCACAUUUUUAUGAAGGGUUAACUCCUAGAGAUAGGCAAAUGGUUGAAUUGAUGUGCAAUGGAACUUUUGAGGAUAAAGACCCUAAUGAAGCAAUGGAGUACUUAGAUUUGCUAGCUGAAAAUGCACAAAAUUGGGACACCACAGGUACUUAUGAGGCACCAAGUAAAACCCAACCUCAUACAUCUAGUGGGGGUAUGUACAACCUUAGGGAAGAUCAUGACCUCCAAGCCAAGUUUGCAUCUUUAGCUAAAAAAGUCGAAGCGCUAGAAUUGAAAAAGAGUGGUCAAUUAAAAUCUGUUCAAGACAUUGCAUGUCAAAUCUGUGAAACCAACGAACAUUCAACCAAUGACUGUCCAACCUUGCCUUCUUUUAAAGAAUGUCUCCAUGAACAAGCCCAUGCAUUAAACAGUUUUCAACGGCCCAACCAUAACCCAUAUUCGCAAACAUAUAACCCUGGUUGGAGAAAUCAUCCAAAUUUCAGUUGGAAGAGUGAGAACAAUAAUGCUCAAACUUCACAGCCACCGUUUCAAGCACAUCAUAAUUUCCAAAAUUCUCAUAGAUAUGCACCUCCUUAUGCUCCACCUCCUAGAAGAAAUCUUGAGGAAACAUUGCAUGCAUUUAUGGAAAAGCAAGAGGCAAUUAACACUCAACUUGCUCAAAGCAUGACAGAUUUUAAAGAUACUCUGGCAAAAUUGACAUCUGCUCUCAGUUUCCAAGAGAAAGGUAAGUUUCCAUCUCAACCACAACAAAAUCCAAAGGGGCAAUACAAUGUGAAUGCAAGUAGUUCGGGAAGCCAACACAUGGAUCACGUAAAAUCAGUCAUCACUCUUCGCAGUGGUAAGGUUAUUAAAAAACCCAUUCUUGAACCUUGUGAGAAUGAUGAUGAGUCAAUCUCUCUGAGGGUAAGGAAGGGGUUGAAUCUGAUCAUUGCAAAGAAAAGACUGAUUCUCCGCCAGCACUUCCAUUUCCUCAUGCCAUGACGAAACAAAGGAAAGUCAAUCACAACUCUGAAAUUUUUGAAACCUUCAAACAGGUAAGGAUCAAUAUACCUUUGCUGGAUGCUAUUAAACAGGUUCCUUCUUAUGCUAAAUUUUUGAAAGAUCUGUGCACUGUGAAGAGAAAACUGAAUGUGAAAAAGAAAGCCUUUUUAGCCGAACAAGUAAGUGCCAUUCUUCAGAACAAUAAUGCAUUGAAAUAUAAAGACCCUGGUUGUCCUACAAUUUCAUGCUUUAUUGGAGAACAUAAAAUUGAAAGAGCUUUACUUGAUCUUGGAGCUAGUGUGAAUUUACUUCCAUAUUCAGUUUUUCAAAGUCUCAAUCUAGGUGAGUUAAACCAACUUCUAUAACUCUUUUACUUGCCGAUAGAUCUGUAAAAGUGCCUAGAGGAAUAGUUGAAGAUGUGUUAGUACAAGUUGAUAAAUUCAUUUAUCCUGUGGAUUUUAUUGUCUUGGACACACAACCUAUUGAAGCAUGUAAUUCAUUUCCUGUUAUUUUAGGGCGUCCAUUUCUUGCAACUUCUAAUGCAUUGAUUAAUUGUAGGAAUGGACUGAUGAAGCUAUCAUUUGGGAACAUGACAUUAGAGAUGAAUAUUUUCAACAUUUGCAAGCAACCUCGAGAUGAUAAUGAUUUACAAGAAGUAGAUUUUAUUGAAGAAUUGGUUUAUGAUCAAUUUGAAUCUACUUUGAGUAAUACUGAGUUUGAUGAAUUUGAAGAUUUGCAAAUGACUUAUUCUCAGGAAGAAAUCACGGAUGAAAAAGGCAUUGAAAAUGUUGAUGCGAAUCUUUUGUCAAGAGUGACAACAGAUUCGAUAUCUGACAUCACACCAACCGAUGAUUACUUUCCUGACAAAUCCUUACUUUCUCUUAGUUCAAUGCCUUGGUUUCCUAAAAAUAUCAAUUUCCUUGCCUCAGGAGAUUUGCCAACUCAUUGGAGUACCGAAGACAAAGGUAAGUUUUUGAACGAAGUGAAGAAAUUUUAUUGGGAUGACCCUAACUUAUUCAAACAUUGUCCUGAUCAAAUAUUUCAAAUAUGCAUUGCGGACAAUGAGGUAAGUAGUGUCAUUAAAUUUUGUCAUUUUGAAGCAUGUGGGAGUCAUUUCUCGUCAAAAAAGGCCAUUGCAAAAAUCUUUCAAACUGGAUUUUAUUGGCCCACCAUGUUCAAGGACACACAUGCAUUCUGCAAAACUUGUGAAAAUUGUCAAAAAGUUGAUACUGGUCAAAAAGUUUUGCUUUAUAAUUCUCAACUCCAUUUAUUUCCUGGAAAGUUAAGAUCAAGAUGGAGCGGUCCAUUUAUUGAGAAACAUGUGUAUCCUUAUGGGGUCUGUGAUAUCGCGAAUCCAAAAAAUAGCAAUGUUUUCAAGGUAAAUGGACAUCGUUUGAAAGUCUACUUUGAUAAUUUUUCAGUUGAAAAUGACUCUAUUGAAUUGAGUGAUCCUGUAUAUAAAGAUUGAUUCGUUUUAUCACAUUGUUUUGUGUUUCAUUUUGCUAGUUUCUCUCACCCCGGUCAAAAGGCGGAUAACGGUACUCCGUGACUUAAGUCGGUUCUUUCAGUUUCUCAUAAUAACUGAUAUUUGUAUAUAUUUGUGCAAUUCUUUGCUCUUUCUCCAUUCUUUGACUCUGUUCUCCAAUUCUCAUUUGAAAAUGGACACCACUCUUGAAAAAUUGAAAAAGUAUUUUCCCGCUCUGCCUCAGAAUGCGAUUACAAAAAUUUACCGUGCUAGGUGUGCAAGAUUGAAGUUGUUGAUGAAUCAUGGAAUUCCUGAAGAUAUUCGCUGGCUGAUUGAAGCAAAGGUCCGAUUAUUAGGUGAGUCCUCCAAUUCUUUCAUUUCACACAUGCCUGGAACAGGUAAAAGCACUUUUGCAAAGAAACGUCGUGCAAAACGACUGAAAGUCUGUCACAAAUGUGCCAGAUGGACUUGCAAUGCAACAUGUCGUUCUUUAGGAAUGGUAUCUAUAAACCGUGAAGAUAAAAUACAAUUCAUUAAGGAUGGCCUGAGUAAGGGGUCUUUAGAUAAUCUUUUGUUGACCCUUGAGACGCAUCCUAGUGGAGAUGUGCAUCGUGCAAUUCAUGAUUUAUAGCCCCAUUUUCAUAAAGAACAUGAUAGACUCAGUCUUGGGAAUCUGACUAAAAAAGACCUUGUUUGCCACUUUUUAAGAAAACUGGAUGGGAAGCCUCUCCCCGACCCAUAGAGGGCGUUUAAGCCGUUCUUGGACAUAAAACCAAGGGAAGAUGUGAGCCACAAUCACAACUACCUGUACAUACACAUUCUUUUUCAAAAUAAAUAAAUAAAAUAUAAAGAGAGAGCAAGAGCAUGAUCUUGAUCUGAAAACCAAGAUGCCUAAAUACAUGGCAAAUGCCUCCUUUUAUAGGCCAAAAUUCGGAACUAUUGAUUUGCGGACUAAUUGAUGAGUGGGUGGCCACAUCUUGACUUGGUGACAAUUCUUAUCUUCUAGUCUGCCAAAAACGUCAUUGAUGACGUCAUAAUUUGAACAAACUUAAAUCAUGAAAGUUCUAGGAAAUUGUCUCAUCUUUCCAGGGUAAACAUUUGAGAUCAUUUGGACUUCUAGAACUUGAGAUAUGGGCUGAACACUGAACAGUGUCUGGGCUGCAGGACAGAUUCGGACUUCUUCUUUGUUGCUACAAUUUGGACUUGAAAACGGCCUUUUUAAAUCUUGGGCUCCACAUGAAAGUUGUAGACCUAUGUCUUAUCUUUCCAUCCAUAUAAAAUGGACCUAAAUACAAGAUCUACAGCUCCAGAUAUGACCCAAUUACCGAACAGUGUUCCAGUUUGGACUGCACCAGCAUCUCUUUUCUAAGUUUGGCCAUCUCUUUGUCCUUUCAAUUUCAGUAUUUCAACUCAUCAAUCAAUUCUUUCAUUUAUGUGAUAGGCCUGCAUUUAAGAUGAACAUUUACCAUAAAUUAAAGGUAUCUUAUAUAAUUAGAUAUGUUAUUAUAAAACAUGCUUUAGUUAAGGAGUUAUUGAUACUUCAAGUGCAAAAUGAUGAUAUAAAACCUUGAUAAAAAUGCACUUUUAAGUACUAAUCAACCUCCUUGGAAGAAGCCUCAAUUAUAAUUAGGGACAUUUCAAAUUUUGAUUCCACAAUUUAUGACCCAUGGAAAAUAUUAAUUGCUAAGGCAAAAAUGGGCUUUUAAAGUACCUUGAAUUUCCUUAGAUUUUGAACUUAGUUUUUUUUCUCUUCCUUGCGAUUUAUGAGUUGCGAACACUUGAAAUAUUAAGGGGAAAAUGAGCUCUUAAGCACAUCGAAUCUCCUUAGAUUUCUAUAUUAGCUGUCUCUAAAUUCAUAAAUUCUGAAUUUAUUUCAAAUCAAACAUAGACUUCGAGAGAUCUACCUCUUUGGCACUCUACAAACAUAUCUAAAGGUAUGAUCCGUAUUGGCCAAGGGUUCUUUCCCUUCGACUUUGAACCCAAGUUCGUCGUCAAAACAGACUUAUCCUAGGAAACUGAUGGGAUUAGAGAACAUCAACACCAUAGCAAUUAUAGGGCAAACCAAACACCAAGCAGCUUAUCUUAGGUAGGGCGUACUAGGGGUGCUAAAACUUUUCCUUUACGCAACCAGUCUCUUGCCUUAGAAUCUUUGAAAGACCAGUUAGGUUUCCUAGUGACCAUAAUACUAGGUGACGACUCCCUUUUUUUACAAAACAAAGACCCCAACAUUAAUCCCUGCUAUCAGGAAGGGUCGCCUCAACAUCGAGCUCUCUUGAGGGUACGACAAUAAUAAUCAUAAUGUUGAUUCUUUUAUCUCCUACUUAAUGCAAGUGUCCAUCGUGUGCUGAAAUUGAUUGUUUACCAUAACAUUUCUUUUAAAGGUAGAGAUUUCUUGGUUGACAAUGGAAAAAAGUAAUCGCAUGGUUAUUUUCCAUAACAUUCCUUUGAGUAAAUAUUCUCUAUUGGAGGUCAAUUUCAUCGAAGCAAUUACCUCAAUGAACACGUCCUAAUUACCAACCUCUAAGUAGUCAUCUCCCUUAUCCUAACUUUUUAUUUCCUUAUAAAAUCUCACGGUUUUUCAUCAUUUUCAGAGGAAAAGUUGACCUUGCAAAUGGUGCUCUAAGGAACCAAGUCAUCCUAGAACUAAUCAUCCACCUAAUCUCGUCAACUCCUUGUUGCACAAACAGCCUGUCUCACUUAAAGGGGAUUUUAAUGAUGAACAAACACAAAUUCCUUGUUGCUCAAAUACAUAUGCUCAUUUAAACACAGGAUGCUUGACCUCAUUAAAGACAAACUGACGACAUCCGUCCGUAACAUAAAUUAUCUUCCUUGCCCCAAAGUCAGCACAGAAAAACCUUGUUCACUAUAAAGGUUCUGAAUGUUUUUCCUAAAUUUCAUGAUAUGGCAUUCAGCAUUCUUAAGCAAACUACAACUGCAGAAGGCUUGUACAUGUAGGGGAGACGUAGGAAGAACUGCAAAAGUUGUCGCAUCUAUUGUUAUGCUGUUCAGAGUUUCUAUCUCAUCAUCCAAUCUGCCUAAAAUAUAAAAGAUCAUGUGCAUGAAUUUGAUCUCAAAGGGGUACCACCUCAUAUGCGUACAGGACAUACAUGACCAGUGAUGGUUGUUCUAUCCACAAAAUUAGCUAACAUACGACUAUUUUAUUCAACUACCAUUUCAGGAUAUGAGUUCUCCUAGCCACACUCAAAAGCCCUAGCCGCUAUAUGAACAAAGCACCUAAAAAAUUAAUCACCUGCCUAAUCUAAUUCACCCACACACACACACACACCCACCUGAUCAUAGACAGGAAACGAGUUAUUUGAAUGCAUAGACAGGAAAUUCAGGUAAACACGCGCGCGCGCACACACACACCUGAUCAUAAAUUUCCUAAAGAAAUUCUGAAUUGUAACAUUGGUAAACAAAGUGUGACAAUAUCAUCACAUUAAAAAUGCAUUUCACUCAAAACAAAUACUAGCUCAAGAAAAAAAAAUGCAAGAAGCCAAGAGAGAAUAAAUUAAGCAGUCCAUAAACAAGAGACAGAGAGGCAUUGUUCCAAUGAGAAAAGUAAUUAAAACCCAACAACUAAAGAAAGAAUCAAACCAGUGAGUAACUAAUCCUUUUAAAGCAUUCCAAGAAUGGCAACCAAAUGUAACAUAAUCAACCUGCAAAAACAAACACAAAAAGAAUUAGAAGAAGAAACCCCAGACCUCCACCACCAAAUCCACCUCCACCAAAUCCACCUCCACCACCAAGCCCGCCACCUCAUUCAUCCUCAAAAGAACCCUUUCUAGAACCGGAUUCUGUAACGCAUUGUCUUCAUUCUGACAGGAGGGGAUAUCAGUCACAAUUUGGAAAUCUAAUAGUUUGAAGGUUUCUGAAAACCGUCCUCAGACCUGUCAGCGUCGCUGGCCAAUUUCUCAUUCUUCCACCGUUGGAUUAACACGAAUUUUGGGUAAGUUGUGUGUCACUAUAGUUCCCACAUCCUGACCAGAGCGAUCGUUCAUAUUUGAAUCCACUAGAUAAAUCUUACCGUUUGAAGAUUUCUGGGCAAAUCACUCUCGGAACAGUCAGAAUCGCCGGCUUAUUUCUUCUUUUUCUACCGUUGGAUCCAUCUGAAUUUUGGAUAUGUGAUGCGUAUGGUCGUAUUACACAUUCGGAACGGUGGAGAUGACAUGAAUCGUUUCCAGAAAAGAGUUAUGCACGCUCAACAGUGGUCCAUCAAUCUCAGGUCAGUUUUGGUCUAACUCCGAUCUAGGGAGAUCCAACCGUUAACUGGAGCUGAUAUUUGGAUAUGUUCUGCAUAAGAUGUGUUUUUACCUUGUCACCGUUGCGAUUUGUUAUUUGUUGAAUUGUUGGUGAGUAAUUGUUGUUUGAAGCUCUGCACAGAAUCUAUCAUGGCUUCCAAUCCGAAACUUCAAACCCUCAAAGCUAACACCACCCACUCAAUCACUAAACAACCCACAAACCAUCACCAAAACAUCCAAAAUACAGCCUCCUCAACGUAGGUUAGGUUUCUAAAAUCCCACGAAUCAACAAACAAUCAAAAAUCCCUUUCCAAUAGUCACCUCCGCCUUGACUCAAGACAACAACCACCCCCUAAACACAUUCACAAUAUUCCUAGCCCAAAAACCCAGAAUAACCAUUCCUUUAACAUUUCAGUGCCACAAAUUUACUUUGAAGGUUUCCCAAUAUGGGCUGAUUACCAUCGCAUAAAGGCUUCUUUUAACAAGUUUGGCUAUGUACUCAAACUUUAUGUAUCCAGGCGUGUCAACAAAUCAGGGAGUCUUUUUGGUUUUGUAACAAUAGCAUCAAAAUUUUCUGAUAAAGUUUUGCUAGAGAGUGUGAAUGAUAUUUGGUUUGAAUAUCACAGACUAAAGGCCAAUUUCACUAGACACUAUAAAAAGAUUCCAAGAGAGAACAAAGCUCCUGACAGAUCAAAACCCAAAACAACUUUAAGAGUGCCUAUUAGUGAAAGAGAUGACAGAAGUUACAAAGAGGUACUCAGUGAAGGAAAAGUGGAACAAAUACUUCUGCCUGUGGCUUCUGGACCAAAGGAUUACUUUGAAAAACUCUUCAUUGAUAUUGAAGAAGAGGAUUAUGCUUGGCUAAAGAGAUGUCUUCUGGGAAAAAUAAAAAAAGGAUCCAAUUACUCUUCUAUACGUUUUGGACUGAUCCAACAUGAUAUAGAUUUUGUUGGACUGCGCUUUCUUGGGGCAUCUCAGGUCCUUGUGAUUUUUUAUAAUAGAGACAUAUUAAUGGAAUCAUGGAGGAAGAAUAAUAAAUGUUGGGAUGUAUUUUUUGAGGAAGUUCGCCCCUGGGUUGAGACUGACACAACUUUGAAUCGGAUGGCCUGGAUAACAAUAACAAAUCUACCCAUUAUAGGGUGGAAUUGCAGAUGCCUCACAAAGAUUUUAGAAAGAUCUGGUCAGAUGAUAGGUUAUGAUAAAACUACUCUCAAGCUUUUUGAACUAUCACAGUUACGGAUCCUCAUUGGUACACAACUGGAUAAGGUGAAUAAGGUGAUUGUUUUGCAACUCAAUAAUCAAACAUAUCAGGUUAAGAUAGAGGAGAUGGACCAGUUACAUUACCCAAUUGCUGGCUCUAUUUCAUACACCAUGGAUGACUUUCUGACAUCCCUAGAGCAAGGGGAUGAUGAUGAUGAGGAAGACUCGGUUGAUGUGGGUGAUGGCGUAGACACAGAUGAGGACAGAGCAGGUGUGGCUCCAUCAGUCACCAGGACUCUUGGGGGCGGCACCAACGGGUGGGAAAAUUCAGAUCUGGCACAGGAUGGAGACAUGCUAUCAACUUCUGACGAUAGCUCUCUUAUCAUAUUUAAUGCUCUUCAUCUGGAUGUGGUGCAAGAUCAACAUGCUGCCUCAUCUUUAGAGAGAUUUCCAGAAAUUAUGGCAUACAAUCUUUCUUUUUCUGACAGCAGCUAUAUAAAAGCAGCCCCAUUCCCAAUGCUCUUACCCUAUAUACGGGACAUGGCACUCCUAUUUUGAGAGAAGAUGCUAGAAACCCUGCAGCUGCCUUGGACCUUGACUCCCUUGUAUUGGCCCAGAUUGAAAGCCCAGUUUAUGGCAGUGGAUCUCAAAGCCCAUCUGACGUUCUCUCUAUUUCAUUUGGAUCAAACAAUGAUUUAGCCCUUCAAUCAACAUACAAUCAUCAAGCCAUAGUAAUUCUGGAACCGCAACACAUGAAUCACCCAGUUAUUUUACACUCUAAUGCAAACACAAAAGAGAGUGCAAUUGCCCUAUCUGCAAAAACAAGAAGGAAGUUGCGACGUACAAAGAUGAUUACAGCUGAUGGAAGUUUGAAUGAAACAGUUAAUAUGAGUGAGAUGGAUACUAAGGACUCAACAAUACAGAGGUGUAACAGGAGGAACUUGCUAGCUCAUGACGAAAACAAUAAGCCUUCUGAGGGUGAUGAGGUUUGUUUAAUGCUGGAAAUAGGAGAGGUUUUGCAGAUUGAAAAACCUCACAAUUUAGAUGACUUCACAUCCUAUAUAAAUCAGCAAAGGCGUAAAGAGAAGGCUGAUUGGGAAGCAUCCCAGUGAGUAGAUGUUCCUCUUUGUUCUGUAAGGAUUUUAAAUCUCUUUUCUUAUGCAGAUUCUUUCAUGGAAUUCUUGUGGUUUGGGGUUAGCUAGAAAGAAGAGGACAGUUUCAAAGUUAAUCAGGGAUUUUGAUAUAGAGGUUUGUUUUUUGUUUGAAACUAAGUUACAAAGUUACUCAGACAAAUUGGUUUUUCAAUUAUGGAGCGUCAGUAAUGUUUCUUGGUUUGGUAAUGAGGCUGAAGGUACUAAAGGGGGCAUUCUGGCUAUGUGGGAUAACUCUAAGUUUGCGGUAUCAUCAGUGGAGUAUGGUCAUGGUUGGAUCGGGUUAUUUGGGCAGAAUGUCUUGACAGGCUUCUCAAGGGCGGUGGUAGGUGUUUAUGCCCUUUGCAAUCAAGCUGACAGACUUCUUCUUUGGAAGGACCUUCGUAUUCUGAAGGCUGCUUUUGAGUGUCCUUGGUUUUUAGCAGGUGACUUCAAUGAAACUAUGUUGCGAAGUGACAGAAGCAGUGGCUUCAUUAACAAGGUGGGUUCAACGGCUUUUAGACUUUUUAUUGAUGAUUGCAACCUAAUCGAGUACAACAUGUCAGAGGGUCUGUACACCUGGUUUCGUGGGGGGUCCAUGAGUAAACUAGACCGUAUUUUUUCUAGUCCUUGUUGUCAUUUGCAAUUCCCCCUUUUGUCUCUUCGACGGCUUCCAAGAGGGUUCUCUGAUCAUUGCCCUUUAAUCCUAGGGGUUUCACCUGCAGAAAAAGGUUGGAUUCCUUUCAAAUUCAUGGAUUGUUGGCUCCAUCAUCCAAAUUUUAAAGAUAUCGUAAAGGGUAUAUGGGAUGAAGCUUGCAAUGAAUUUUCAGGUCAGUUCAAGCUCAUUAAGAAGCUCAGCUUUAUGGCAACUUGGCUCAGACAGUGGAAUAGGGUUGGUUUUGGGCAUCAGGAGACUGCUUUGUCAUUGAUCCAAAGCAAUAUUUCAGCUAUAGAAAAGAAAUCAGAGUAUGGGCAAUUAUCUACUGCAUAGCAGAACUCGCUUGAUUCAUUGAUUAAGAAGUAGUGGCAAUGUAACUUGCAUAUAGAAAGCAUGUGGCGUCAAAAGUCUCGCCAAAUUUGGUGUCGCCUGGGCGAUCGCAACACGCGUUUCUUCCAUCUAGUUGCUAACUUCAGGAGGGCUAAAAACCAUCUCCUGAAAGUGGUUCAUAAUGGUUCUGUUGUUGAAGGUUUACCGGUCAUAAAAGAUGCGGCAGUUAACUUCUUCUCCAACUUAUUCAGAAGUUUUGAUAGAUUCCGAAUUGGUUUAGGGCCUGUUGGUUUUAAAACACUAUCGGCUUCUUCUUCAGCUAGCUUGGAGCGAGAUAUCACUUUGGAAGAAUUAAAGCAGAGUGUUUGGGAUUUUGAUGGGAGCAAGAGUCCGGGUCCAGAUGGUUUCAAUUUCAAAUUCUACAGGCUUGCUUGGAAUUUCAUUGCAGAUGAUUUGUUAGACCUGGCCAAGAAUUUCUUCAAAACAGGUAGGCUUCCAAAAGGAGUCAAUCAUGCUUAUGUUCAUCUAAUUCCGAAGAUAGCUUCCCCAAUUGGCUUCAAAGAUUUCAGGCCUCUUAGUUUGAUUCAUGGCAUUUACAAGAUAAUGGCUAAGGUUCUUUCUAGCCGUCUGAAAGCGGUUAUGCAUGACCUUAUCAGUGAGAAUCAAACAGCUUUCUUGGCAGGGAGGCAAAUAAUUGAUGGGUUUGUGGUUGCCAAUGAAGCAGUUCAUUCCUUGAAAAGACACAGAGUGUCGAGCCUUAUCUUUAAGGUGGAUUUUCACAAGGCUUUCGAUAGUGUGCAGUGGGAUUAUUUAGAGCAGGUUAUGAGGCAUAUGGGUUUUGGUGAAAAAUGGAUUAAUUGGAUCAACACUUGCAUCUCCACUGCAAAAUUAUCAGUGCUGAUUAAUGGAUCUCCUUCUAAGGAAUUCUUGAUGGGUCGUGGGAUUCGCCAAGGUGACCCCCUUUCUCCAUUCCUUUUUCUAAUAGCAGCAGAGGGAUUAUCUGUUUUGUUUCAAAGAGCAGCUUCAAAUGAUCUUUUCAAAGGUAUCCCUUUUGGAGACAGCUUUUGCCUUAGUCACCUACAAUAUGCAGACGACACUUUGAUCUUCAUGCCUGCUAAUCUUCAUAUGGUCAAAACGGUUAAAAGGAUCCUGUUAUGGUUCGCUAUUUGUUCAGGUUUGCACAUUAACUUCCAUAAAAGCUCUUUAAUUGGCAUAAAUGUUGGGGAAGAUACUUGUGCUAGUAUGACAUAUUCAGUCUUUUGCAGAUUUGAUUCCUUGCCUUGCUCUUAUCUAGGCAUGCCUUUAGGAUCCAAUCCUAAAAGAUUGUCUACAUGGAAGCCUAUUAUUGAGAAUUUCAGACGGAAGUUGAGCAUGUGGAGAGGUCGUAUGCUUAGUAUGGCAGGACGUAUUUGCCUAAUCAAAAGUGUCUUGAGUUCAUUGCCAGUAUAUUAUAUGUCUUCUUUUCUUAUGCCGAAAGGUGUCUGUAAUAUACUACCAUCUAUUCAACGAAGAUUCUUGGGUCUGAGUGGCGAAGCAAAAGAAAAUCUGCAAGGUACAAUGGCGUAUUGUUGUGAAAGCUAGAAAAGAAGGAGGCCUCGGGUUGGGUUCUUUAAUGUCAAAAAAUAUAUCCAUGCUUUUCAAAUGGAUAUGGAGGCUAAACUUACCAGACCAUGCCUUAUGGAAACAGGUAACAACCCAUUUUUACUCCCCAACUUUCGAGAAUGGAAUCCCAAAAUUGCAUGGUCAUAUUUCCCCAUUUUGGAAAGACAUUUUGUCAAUCUUGGAUCCAAACAGUGUCAUCGGCUUAGUAUUGCGUGAAAACAUUAAAUUCAAGAUUGGAGAUGGAUCCUCCAUCCUUUUCUGGUCUGACGUGUGGAUAGGAUCAAAUGCUUUACGUUGCAUUUUCCCUAAGCUUUACCAAAUUUCUACUUUUCGGAAUGGUUUGGUUAAUGAGAUGGGUCAAUGGGUGAAUGAUCAAUGGCGAUGGAAUUUGGUUUGGCGUAGGAAGCUCUUAUCUUAUAAAGAGCAACAAUAUCAUCAUUUGCUCUCAAUGCUGGAGCCAACGAUAAUUCGGCAAGGAAAAGAUGACAAACUUAUAUGGCCAUGCAAUUCUGAUGGAAGCUUCUCAGUUAAAUCGUGUUGCACCCUGAUUGACAAUACCUCCUCUGCGACUGAUAGAGUCUUUGAAGCCAAUGUUUGGAUUAAAGGGGCCCCUCUGAAAGUUCAGGUGUUUCUCUGGUUGGCAGUACAAGACAAAGUUAGUACAAGAGCUUUUCUCCAUCAACGGACUAUUUUGUCUGCCACACAAGCUUCAUGUGUCUUUUGCAGCUCAAAUUUGGAAACCUCAGAGCAUCUUUUUAUACAUUGUAACUUUUCUAUGAGUGUUUGGAUGAAAGUUUUGGAUUGGUGGGGUAUCCAAUGUUGUUUACCGAGAACACUUGACUUGCUGCUUCUGCAGUGGCCCGAAAUGGUACAAGGCAAAUUCCAAAGAUCAGCUUGGAGAUUAAUUUCAAGUAGUACUAUUUGGGGUAUAUGGUUACUGAGGAACAAAAUUGUUUUUGAGGAGGGAACUAUAAACUUGUUUGAUUGUUUCUCCACCAUCCUUCAUCGGGUUGCUAUUUGGUUGCAUACUCAUGAUUCAAACUUCAAUUAUACAGGCAAUGACCUCUUAAGAUCUUCUGAUGGCAUCAAAUUAUGGUGUAAUAAGAAAUCUUAGGUAGUCUUCUUGUUGUUUGCUGUAGUAGAUCAGUUUUUUUCUUUUUUCUUUUUUUCUUUUUUAUAUCCCUUGUAUUUCUCUUUGGCUAUUCGCUUUAUGGCCUUCUCAAUAUACUCUCGAUGAUUAUAAAAAAAAAGAAGAAGAAACCCCAUUAGUUAAUAAGUUAAAACAGCAGCAGCAGCAAAAAGACUCAAAUUUUAGUUAUUUGGACUUGAGAAAAAGCAUUGAACCCUCUGUGAAAAUGCCAUGAAAGGGGUGCUUAGAAACCUGGAAAAUAAAAACUUUUAAAAGGGUGUUUUUACAAAGCAAGAAAGAAGCUUGGAAGCAAGGAAGCAAGCCAGCCUACCCUCACGAACUCUGUUUGUUAAUUGUUUUUUCUCCUUUAAAGUGAAAACAAAAAAAUAAAAAACAAAAACAAAGAGCACCCAGAAAAUCUAGUCAGAAAUAUUUUAUGUUGCUGUCUUGGAGAGACGCAUUAUAUUACAUAACAAAAUGAUAAAUUCAUUCAUUACAAAAAGAUACCCAACAAAAUAUAAGAAAACUAAUCUACUGUUCAACCCGAUAGGGGGAUGUACCUGAAAAUUGAUUUAAUACAAUAAUUCAAUUAGACAGAUGAAAAAAAGAUAUCCAUAAAAUUCUUUCUACUUUCUUUCUUUCUUCCUUUUUUUUUUUUUUGAAAAUUUAGUCAAAAGAUCAUUAAAUUAACUUGCUCAUCUAGUAUUGUAUAUAUAUAUCAAUUAAAUUUCAGAAUAAUCUAUGAGUUUGUUUUCUUUUUCUUUUUUCUUUUUUAAUAUCAACCAAAAAUAUAAUUAUUUCUAUCGCUCAAUUAACCCGGCAUUACUUUCACUAAUAGAUGAUUAAUUUUCCACCAGUCCAUUCAACAAACACUAUUGUCAUCAAUUCAAAAAUUAGUUUAAUGUUUCAUCCAUUCAUCAGGUAAAAAUCUCAUUAACCAGGGAAAUUAAUUCUUCAUCUUGCCCAUUUGUCAAGGCACUAAUUCCAUUAAAUCAGGAAUUAGUUCAAUGAUUUACCUAUUCACCAGGUUACUAAUCCCAUUAACCAGAGACUUAAUUCCUCAUCAUGCCUAUUCACCAGGACAUUAAUCCCAUUAAUUCAGGAAUUAGUUCAACGAUUUGCCCAUUCACCAGGGCAUCAUAAUUUCUUAUCACGCCCAUUCACCAGGGCAUUAAUUUCUUAUCACGCCCAUUCACUAGGGCAUUAAUCCCAUUAGUUCAAGAAUUAAUUCAUCACAUCGCAUAUCUUAUUUUCUAAAGUAAACAAUAUAAUAAUUUCAUAUUUAUCAACCACAAUUAAUCAAAUAAAAAUACAUAUUGACCAAUAAUAAAUUCGAGUACCGUGUAAUUACCUGAUGACUAAGCUCGAGUUGAAAUUUCCUGCUGUGGUGUCGGCCUGGCAGCCUCUCUUGAAUUGAAAAGUAUAUCACAUCAUUAUUCUACUUUCCAUAUUGAAACACUCAAUAAAUAAAAUCAUUCCAAUUAUCCUUUUAUUUGCCAAAAUAAAAUCAUUUCGUAAGUUUCCUUCCCUAUCUUUCAAUUUCCACAUUGUAACACAAUUCAUUUUAUCAUUCAAAUCAAUAUAUAUANNNNNNNNNNNNNNNNNNNNNNNNNNNNNNNNNNNNNNNNNNNNNNNNNNNNNNNNNNNNNNNNNNNNNNNNNNNNNNNNNNNNNNNNNNNNNNNNNNNNCUUUAAAUUCAUUUAUUUAAUUUUUACCAUAAUUUAAAUCAAAGAAAAACAUAAAACAAUUUCAUGAUCUAUUCACUCUUUAACAUUAAUAUCAUGCUCUUUCUUACACAAUCUCAUCAUCUUAUCAAAACUCUUAAAUUUUUAUUUUUCUUAUUAUUAUUUUUCCAAAAAUCCCUUCUUCAAGAACACCUAAAAUUUUGCUUUAAUUACCAUAAUUUCUUACUUUUUCUACUCAUUUCAAUAAUCUUAACACAAUUUCACAAUCAAUUGUAAUUUUCUCUAAAAUUUAUCAUGAACCCUAAUUCCUCAUUUCACAAAGUUCAAUCAAUUUAAAGCAUAAAUUCUUCAAGAAUCUUAUUUAAAAGUUUGAGUACAUCUUACCAAGCAAUAACCAAAGUUUUAACACUUUUAAAUUGAGAAAUUUUCCUUGCUUGAAUUUGUUUUUUCUCUCCUGGCCGAUUGCUUCCUUCUCUUUGAAAAAACAAGUUUGUUUUUUUUUUUUUUUUGUUUACUUAUAGCACACACUCACUUGCACUCAUAUAUAUAUAUAUAUAUAUAUAUAUAUAUAUAUAUAUAUAUAUUAACUCUCUUUUUUAAAUACCUUCCACGUCCCUCAAUUUGUUUCUUCCCCAUACACACAUAUAAUUACUUAACUUUUUAAAAAUACCUUCUAUAUUCCUCAAUAGUAAAUUUUAUGAUUUUUGGGUAAAAUUUCAUGAAUCCUAACACCUGUUUAUACCAAAUUUUAUCCAGAUUAUUUCAAAUUUCACUCAGUUACUCGUUAGUACUUUCAGUUUCAUGAAAUUCAUUUCCAUCAAAAUUUUAUUCACAUUUUCAUGUUUAUUUAUUUAUAUUUAUUUUUUAUAUAUAUUUUAACACCCGAACAAAACAUUUCAAUUCAGAUUCUCGAAUAUAUCAUCAUUCUUAUAAUUUAAUUUAUCACUUUCCCUCAUUUUUCGUAAUCUUGACUUUUAUUAAUAUUAAUAAUAUUACCCGGGGUUUUACAGUCUCAGUUGACACUGAUUUUCGCCAUAAAAAAUGGUCGAUUUUUGUUUUAAUGAGUUUCAUUUGAUGAAGAGAGUUCCAUUGAAAUGUUUUUUGCUCUUGAAAUUGCCAAAACAUUUAUAGUUUUUGGGCUGUUUUAUUGGUUUAUUACAUCAUAAAAACGAUUUUUAGGUGUUUUGGUGUGAACUUUGUUUAAAUUUGCAUUUUUUGGUCAAAAACCACCAUGCUUAAUUUUCUAGUCACCUCUCCAAUGGCCAAGAACUGAAAAGUCUCGGUAGGUGACAUGUCGCUUUUCUUUAUUUUUUUUUCAAAAACAUUUGGAGGAUUUUCAAAUAAAAAAGGCCCAUACGUACCAACCCUUUUUAAAAUGGGCUUGAUGUGUAGGCCCGACUUACUAGGCCCAAAAGCACUUGAUCUAUUUCUAUUUUUUUUUCUAAUUUUGUUUUCUUAAUUGAUAUUUUUUAUGUAUUUUUAAUGAAUUUUUGAAUUUAUAUUUAAAUUAAUACUUUUCUCUCUAAAUAUUUAGAUUGUUUAUUUAGUUUUUUCUAAAUAAUGGAUAUCUUUUACUUAUCUUUUAUGUAUUUAAUAUCUAGAAAAAAUUAUUUCAAUUCAUCUAUAUGUUUUUUUAUAUAUUUUAUAUAAAUAAACUUUAUUUUCAUGACGUGUUUAUAAAAAUAAGAAUUAUUUGUUCUUGGUAAGAAAAAGUGACCUUUAAGAUAAAAAAGAAGAAGAAGGAGAAAAGUGUGCAUGAAGAUGAAAGUUAAGGUUAAGUAUCAUAUUUAUGUAUCUUUUACUUUUAUGAAAAUGAUUAUCAUUUUAUUUUAUAAUUUGAUUGGCAUUAACAACUCUUUAUUAGUUUAUUAGUUCAUAUUUUUGUAAGAUUGUUUUUUACAUUUCUUAAUUAAGAGAAUCAUAAUACAAUGAAAUGCACUUGAAACAAUGUCCCAUUUUUCUACUACAUUAAAAAUUAACUUAAGAUCCUAUAUGUGGCACGAUGCGUUAACAACUAUUUUUUAUAUUUAUGAACACUUAUGGUCCUUACUUUAUUUUUAUUAUAUGUAAAUAUCAACUUUUUUAUUUACAAUUAUAAUUUUCUCUUGAUUUUUAAAAAUACGUUAACAACAUUUAUAUAUAUUUUUUUUUGCGUUCAAAAAAUUAUCUAACUCGUAGCAAAGUGAAUUAAAUAAAUGCAUCAACACUUUUUUUUUUGUAUUUAUGAUUAGGAUUUGUUUUUGUUAAAAAUGCAAUUGAAAAGCAUACAAAUUUAUUUUUUGCUAAAAACAAUUUUGUGAUCCAUACCGAAGUGCGAGUUAAAUAACUACGUAUAUGGCUAUAGUAAGUCUUUUAGUAUAUGUGGAUGUAGGAAGCAAUGCGUUAUAUUAUUAGUUAGAUAUAACUUACCUAUUCAUUAUUAAAAAAAACAUAAAAUAAAUAAAUAUAUUAAUAGAAACCUAAAAGAGGUCGGCUGAAAUAUAAUAUUUUUGUCCUUUUUUUUAUUUUGUUUCACAUUUCUCAAUUAAGAGAAUCAUGAUACAAUAAAAUGCAUUUGAAACACCAUCCUAUUUUUCUAUUAAAUUAAAAAUUAACUUCCUGAUGCAACCAUAUUAUUCGAUAGUUUCACCCACAUUUAACUAGUGUUUUGCCUAUGUUUUAUAUAUAAAAUGCCUUGAUAUUCUUUGUUUUAUGUUUUGAAGGCACUUUUGGAUGAAAGAUGCAAAAAGGAGUAAAUUGGAGAUAAUUGGCAGAUUUGACCUUCAGUCGAUGUUUUGUGCAGAGCGUGAGCUCUAGAGGUUGAAAUGAAGUGAUUCCAGUGGCAUUAAAAAGCUAACAUCCAUACCUUUCUGGAAAUCUAAGGCAAGAAAAUAAAAUAAGGAAGAGCAUGGAAAUCACAGCCUUCAAAGUCAAAACAGAUUUGCUUUCUUUUUCCCUUAUCUUUUAUUUUUCGCAUUUUACUUUAUUUUUGUCAUUCUUCAAUAUUCCUUUUCUUUUAUUUCAACAUUGAGGACAAUGUUGUGUUUUAAGUGUGGGGGUAUUGGGAGAAUGUUGGUUUUCUAAUUUUGGUUUUCUUUGUUAUUUUUCAAAAUAAAAAAAAAUUAUGUUUGAUCUUUUGAACUCCCAUUGGUUUUUGAGAAUAUGAGUAUUAUGUAUGAGAAUUAGUUGAGAUAGAUGAAGAUAUAAAUAAAAUGAAUGAGUGUGCAUGCAAGUUUUAAGGUUUAAUUGGUUUAGGGAUUGACUUUGAGAAUCUGUCAUGUUGACUUUAUAGUGUUAUACCAAUGCAAGCUUUUGAGCCUUCAACAUUAUAUUCUUUUAUUGUGCCUUCUUUCAAUGAUAUGUAUCUUUAGAACUUGUUUCAUAUCUUGUUGAGAUUACAUUCAUAUUACAUAUAUACAUGAAGAUAAUAAAGGCAUUAGGAAUUUUAACCACUUGAGCCAAAAAGCCAACCUAAAGCAUAUUAUCCUUAGUGAGCCCCUUUUGAGCUUGUUUAUCUUUUCUUUGCUUUAUCCAUGUAUAAGCCUUAACUUUUUAUAUGUUUUCCUUUUCCCCUGGCCAAGGAUUAGUAGAGCAUAUACUUAUGAUAUCUCAUGGAAUUAUGGUUGGAAAUUAUGCGAAAAGAAAGAAGAAGUGAUGCUUGAUGAAAAGAUGGGCAAAGUUGCCGAAGGUCAAAAAAAAAAAAGGAAAAAAAAAGAAAAAAAAGAAAAGAAAAAGAAAAAGAAAAAAGUGUUCCUUUAUGUUCUUAAUAUUUUAUAUUGAAAAAGCUUGAAAUCAAAAGAAGUUAAGCAUUGGUGAUUAAAGAUGGAAAAUUUAUGUGCUUUGAUGGAAUAUCUUGUUUGAAAUAUCAUUUUUCAGAAUGCUCUACUUUCUUUGGUUUGAACCUUUUGUUUUACUCUCUUUUACCUCACCUUAACCUUAGCCCCAUUACAACCAGAAAAUAAGACCUUUUGAUUCAUGCAUUGUUUGUAAUAUGUUAUUAAUGGGGAUGAGAUUGAAGAGCAAGCUUAUGGUAGAACAUAUUCAUUGAUUGAAUUUGAGAGAUUUAAACACAUAAGCCCUAAACACGUGAGUGUUGGAGUAUAUAUCAAUGAGAGGACCUAUCACUUUGGCAUGGCAUAGAUUUCAUUUAAAUCUCGACGAUUAAUUGACUUUUGAAGUUUGCAUGUAAAUAAAUUCAUGAAAAUUUAUACUCUUUAUCCUUCUUAAUUGUGUUCUUGUUUAUAAUGCAUAUAUUCUUGGAUAUUGAUGGGAGAUUAGAAGAUUAGUCAUAGUGAUUUCAUUUAAUUUAACUUCAAUUUGAUUUUACCUAUCCUUUCUCGAGGACGAGCAAGAGCUAAGUGUGGGGGUAUUUGAUGCAACCAUAUUAUUCUAUAGUUUCACCCACAUUUAACUAGUGUUUUGCCUAUGUUUUAUAUAUAAAAUGCCUUGAUAUUCUUUGUUUUAUGUUUUGAAGGCACUUUUGGAUGAAAGAUGCAAAAAGGAGUAAAUUGGAGAUAAUUGGCAGAUUUGACCUUCAGUCGAUGUUUUGUGCAGAGCGUGAGCUCUAGAGGUUGAAAUGAAGUGAUUCCAGUGGCAUUAAAAAGCUAACAUCCAUACCUUUCUGGACAUCUAAGGCAAGAAAAUAAAAUAAGGAAGAGCAUGGAAAUCGCAGCCUUCAAAGUCAAAUCUCGCAAUCUGCCAGUGUUGACCUUCGGCCAUUCCGACUUGAAUAUCUGGAGCUACAGAAGUCCAAUUGAUGCAAACUCAAUUGUUUUGGAUUCAUGUCUCAAAGGUCUAUAAACGCUCCACAUUUCAGCCCAAACCGAUUUCAUAUGAGGGAGAUAUGAUUUUUCAAAGAUGACAACUGAAUUCUGCCAGCAAACAGGUUUCGUGAAGAAACGAGUCCAAAUUACGUUCCGAAGCAUCUAAACCGAUAUCCAAGUUUGUAUUUCAGCAAUUUAGCUCCUCUAAGUCAAAGCUUGAAGAUUUCAUGCAAGGCUAUUUCUCCUUUUUUAGGAAAAUAGUUAUUGAAGUACUUAAAUGUAAACAGUCUACUUAAUGGAGGACUAUUUUGUAAAAUAGAGACCUAGGGUUUCCUAGGAUAUAAAAAGAAUGAGAGAAGAGAAGGGGGGAGGCAGCCAAGAAGAGAAAAACGCCCCCUUCCUCUAAGAAACCCUAAAUUAUGCAUUCUUCCUUCUUUUUGAUUAGUUGUUCAACAAACAUGCAAGGCUAAACACUUUUUCUUGGUUGCAAGAACACGGAAACCUUCGGAUUUCAAGAACUGUGAGAUUUAUUUUACCUUUUCUUUUCAGUUUAUAUGAUGAAUAUGUUUGUUCUCCUAUGCUUAUUUUUCCUAUGAUUGUUUAUUUUAAUUGCUAGAGCGGACUCUAAGUUAUUAUUGUAGACAAUCUAUUGUUAAUUUUGAUAUCAAAACCGGAGUUGUGGUAUAUGAACUUGUGAAGCAACUGAGUUUAAUAAUUGUGGCGGAUCUACGUUAUUAAUCUUAGGGAGAACAUUCAAUCAAAUCAAACAUAGACUGCGGACAGUUAUGUUUUCUUGAUUAAUCAACUUAUCUAGUUCUUAAGGCUGCCAUUGAAUUAAAUUACUAGUGCGGACACUGUGGUUGUUUGAUGGUUAGGGCUAGUUAUACGGCGGAUCCGUUAACUAACCAAUGUUAAGAAGAGAUAAAUAUUCAGAAUAUAAAUUGAUGUUUCGUUUCCAUGAUCAGUUCUGAUUUUUGUAGGUGGAUGUGUGCUUCUGACCAAGGUUUGUUCUCUUGAUAAUUUUCUGAUUUUAUUAAAUUUAGUUUGAUAGUUUUCUGUUUUCUUUUGCUUUAGCCUAGAUAAUGUCCAAACCCCCCCAAAUUGCAUAUCAUCUAGCAUAAAAAUCUGACUUGAAUCUUCCUCGUGGGAUCGACCCCUUGCUUGCUCUAUACUAUCUUGUGUGUUGUGUUUGAAGCUAGGGUAAUUAAUUUGUGCGACCGCGACAUCGCAACACUUCCUACAUGGGGUGCGUUGCGUUAACAAUUGUUUUUGUAUUUAUUAACAUAUAUGAUCCUCAAUUGAUUUUAUUAUAUGUAAACAUCAACUUUUUUUAUUCACAAUUAUAUUUUUUUCUCUCGAUAUCUAAAAAUACAUCAACAACACAUAUACAUCCAUUCUUUUGUGUUGGAAAAUAUUAUCUGACCCAUAGCGAAGCGAGUUAAAUAAACACGUCAAUACCUUUUUUUUGUAUUUAUUAUUAGGGUUUUUUUUUGUUAAAAAUACAUUUGAAAAGCAUUCAUAUUUAUUUAUUUUGCUAAAAAACAUUUCUGAUCUAUAGUAAAGUGCGAGUCAAAUAACUACUAAUAUGGCUAUAGUGAGUGUUUUUUUAGUAUAUGUGGAUGUAGGUAGCAAUGUGUUAUAUUAUUAGUUAGAUAUAACUUACCUAUUCAUUAUAAAAAUAAAUAAAUAAAUAUGCUGAAACAAUAUAGUCCCCGAGAGGAAAUAUUGUGAAUUCACACAAUGUUUACUUUCUCUUUUUUUGUCCUUUUUUUAUUUAGUGAUCUUUGAUGAUGAAUUGAUUAAGAUUUGAGAUGGGUACUGUAUUUUUAUUUACCUUUUUUAUAGUUAUCUUGCUCUCAAUAAAACAUCUUGAUAUUAGAACAAUGCUCAAUUUCACAAAAAAAAAAUUAAUGUUUGUAAGAAAUUGAAAAUGAAAAGAUCAAAAUUGAAACAAAUAAAAAACUAUUUAAAAAAAAAAUGGUGUCAACUUUGCCUUUUGUUUUUUGCUUUUGAUCAUCUACUUUUUUUAUAAAAAAAAAAUUAAUAUUUCAAUGCUGUGUUAAUUGGAAUUUGAAGUUGGUAAUUUGAUAUAAGUUGGUAAUUUUAUAUGAGCAUCUAGAACUAAAUAAAAAGCCGCACCAUUGGUUUGGUGCUCGACUUUACAAAAAAAAAAUCGAUUAUAUUGUUUGAGAAAAAAUAAAAAAUAAAAAAUAAAAAUUAAAACAUGAAAAAAAAAAUAAGGGGCCUUAAAAAAACAAAUUGUGUCAACGCCUCCAUGCCUUGUAAUUUUAAUAAAUCUUCUUUUUGGUAAUGAAACUUUUUGAUACAAAACUUUAUUUUACUUGUAUUUUAAUUCUUGAGGUUGAGAAAGAAAAAAGAAAUUCAUCAAAAAAUUAGAAAGAAAAGAGAAAAUUAGCGAAAGCCAGCAAGGUAUCUGCUCGAAAAAACCAUUCAACAUAAGAUUGCUCUGCUAGGAAAACAUGAUAUCAGUAUCAAACUUUUGAACAAAGAGUUCAGCAUCAAGUCUCAGUCAUCUUGAGAUUUGAAUUGCUCAUACAACAACAUUUUUAAUAAUGCAUUAGAAACAGAACAUCAAACAAAGAGUUCAGCAUCAAGGAGAACGCAUGAAAGUCCACACAUUAAACCAAAAGAAACACAAAUGGCCAAGCAAACAUACGCCCUUACUUCUGGAGGCUUGUACG
Molecule: long non-coding RNA, 200404 nt
Filed under: Populus trichocarpa (black cottonwood)
Lineage: Eukaryota; Viridiplantae; Streptophyta; Magnoliopsida; Malpighiales; Salicaceae
Description: long non-coding RNA (PTRI_LNC000456)
Rfam family: MIR2912 microRNA precursor family (bases 182101-182256)
Source: RNAcentral